AGAACAUGAAGCAAGGUGCAAGAAGCAUUUUUACUUGCUCACAAAUGUGCAGCAAGGGAGCUAAUGGCUGAUAGCUCAUUCAGCUCAUUCAUUCAACUAGAAAAAACAUACAUUUAUAGUCAAAUACAUCACCAAAUAGUCAACUAACCCCACUAAUCAGCAUUGGGACUAUUAAAACAUUGCUUGUACACAUAAACAAGCCACCUAAACUAGUCAUUCAACACCUAAUGCAUCAAGUUGUCAUCAACUUGUCCAUUUUAAACUAGAUUAAUUAGAAUGAAACUAAAGAGAAACCUUGCUGUUACAGCAAGCAUAUGUGCUGCAGCAUGUCAUCAAGCUGCAUGCACUUCAACCACAAAAUGUAACAGCAGCAUGGUUGGCCAAUUUCCAAUAUUCCUCCUUGGACUCCAUGCUGCAAAUACCAGUCAUUCAUCAAGUUUUUUGAACUUGGCAGCUCUUAGAUGCUUUGAUUCAAGCUGACCAAUUCAUUUUCUUCUUGCACAAACAGUUCGUGAGUAUAGUUGCUUGCCUUCAUUCUGCCAUUUUGGCUUGCAAUUCGACAGGCUCACACUUUGCUUACUGUCUUCAAGAGGCUUGCAACUAUACAACACGCAUUGAGCUUCCACAUGUUGCUGAGCUCACACCUUUGACAGACUCACAUCUUUGCAUAUUGUCUUCAACAGGUGUCUUCAUCAGGCUCGCACUUUGCUAAGCUUGCAGCUUUGACAUCUUGCUAAGCUUGCACAUUUGGAAAGCUCACACCUUUCCUUUAAACUCCUCCUUUAGCUUAUUCAAGCUAGUUUGGGGAUCUUAUAAGUUUGAGCCGAUAUUAUCUUCUCUACAAGCAGUCCUUAAUGACUUGCUUGUGCUUUGACAGCUUCUUUCUUUUCAACAAGCAGGGGAAGCAAAAUCAAUGGUCCCGUAAGACAUAGGCUCAUGAUACCAAUUGUUGGUGCAAGAGGCAGCAACAAAAGAGAGAACAAGAGCACAGAACAUGAAGCAAGGUGCAAGAAGCAUUUUUACUUGCUCACAAAUGUGCAGCAAGGGAGCUAAUGGCUGAUAGCUCAUUCAGCUCAUUCAUUCAACUAGAAAAAACAUACAUUUAUAGUCAAAUACAUCACCAAAUAGUCAACUAACCCCACUAAUCAGCAUUGGGACUAUUAAAACAUUGCUUGUACACAUAAACAAGCCACCUAAACUAGUCAUUCAACACCUAAUGCAUCAAGUUGUCAUCAACUUGUCCAUUUUAAACUAGAUUAAUUAGAAUGAAACUAAAGAGAAACCUUGCUGUUACAGCAAGCAUAUGUGCUGCAGCAUGUCAUCAAGCUGCAUGCACUUCAACCACAAAAUGUAACAGCAGCAUGGUUGGCCAAUUUCCAAUAGCUUACUUCCUCUUGUGAACCUCAGAAGCUUGAAGAGAACAUCACUCUCAUGGAUGCUUCGCAGUAUAAGGCAGCAGCAGAAGGCAAGAUUGAAGUAUUCAAUAACAACCAGGGGCUUCAACUUGAGUCGCUAAAGACCCCAAACCACGACAACGUUCUCCAUGUUAACUUGGCAACCCAGGAUUAUGCUGCCUGGAUUUUUAACAUAUUUCUCUUAAUAAUCAUAUACUUCCCCGUUCUCUAUGAAUCAUUCUAUCGGUCUUUGAGUGUUUUCAUUAAUAUGAAAAGAAGAGAAAAGGGAUCAGAUUUUAUCGAACAAAUCCUUGGAAAAUGUCCGUCACUGCUACUCCAAAUGAAUGCUAAAGGUCAAACUCCUUUGCACGUUGCAGCAAGGUAUGGACAUUCUGCUAUUGUGAAACUUCUAAUCAAGUCUUGUGCAAAAGCUAGAGAUGGAGAUUUAGAGCAGGGAAUGGGUCAAAUAAGUGCAGUGAGGGAGAUGCUGAGGAUUAGGGAUGAGGAAUCCAACACGGCUUUACACGAAGCAGCAGGGUGUGGCAAUGUUGAAGUGGUGAAAGCAUUGUUGGAGUUUGAAGACCCUGAUUUUCAGUAUUCUGCAAACAAAAAACAGGAGACUCCACUUUACAUAGCAGCUAGGAGAGGAUAUGGGGUAAUGCUGAGUAUACUAUUAGAUAAAUCGAAAUCAACAGCUCAUGGCGGCCCCCACGGUAGAACAGUUUUGCAUGCAGCAGCUAUGGCUGGAGAUGCAGGUACGUUGUUGAGUUAGUUCCAAUUAUUUUAUUUUAUUUUGAAAUAAAUAAAGAGCAGGUAUAUUGACUUUUUAUUUUGCUUGGAUUUAGAGGCAAUAAGAGUAAUAUUAAAGAAGAAGGGGAAUUUGACAAAGGAAAGAGAUGAAGAUGGACACACCCCUCUUCAUUAUGCUGCACACUUAGGUUCUAGAUUAUCAGUUGUGGAGGAACUGUUAAAAGGGGAUGUAUCAGCUGCCUAUAUAGGUGAUAAAAAGAGGGGGAUGACACCCCUUCUUAUGGCAGCCAGGCAAGGUCAUGUUGGAACAGUUUCAAAGAUUCUCUCUUUAUGUCCAGAUUGUUGUGAAAAAGUGGACAACAAAGGUUUGAAUUUACUUCAUUACCUGGCUUUUAGAGGCCCUUUCUCUCCAUUAGGGCAUUCUCUUUUCAAGCGUGGUGGUAUUGAGAUUGCAUACCGAUCAUUCAGAAAUCUGAUGGAGUUGGAAGGUGCUUUUGGAAUGACACCUAAACAAGUUUAUAAUGCACUUCGAUCUGAGAGAUAUCAUAAUAAACAGGUGUGUAUUGCAUUUCCAUGGAUAUGGUUUUAUUAAUAUUUAAGUUUGGAAUUAACAUAUUUAAUAAACCCACACCACAAUCGGCUAAUGUGUCUGGCCUGGCAGAAGCAAAUCAAAGAAUUGUUGGAAGAGAUUGAGAAUGAUCAAGUGGCGGAGGAACCAGUUCAUCACUUUAGCUUAGGAAAUGUUUCUACAGAGAGCUUGGAGAGGACAAGAAAUUCUCAUUUAAUAGUGGCAGCACUUAUAGCUGCCAUCGCAUUUGCAGCGGUAAUAACUGUUCCUGGUGGUUCGAAGACUGAAAAAGGCACUCUCCUUUUGAUUGAUGAGGCAGCCUUUAAAGCAUUUGUUGUAACAAAUGCAAUCGCCUUUAUUCUCUCUGUUUCAGCCCUCACCACCCAUUUUGGGGUUCUGGAUAAUAUAUUAUCACAAUUUAGUUUUUGGCGUGAAGCAGUUUUACAUCGAAAUCGGUCUGUUGCUGAGAUCCUCGGCUAUGCAACGGUUGCGAUGUUGAUUGCUUUCAGCACAGGCAGUUAUGUGGUCUUACAACCUUCCUACGGGCUUGCAAUUGUUUCAUAUCUCAUUCCACCUGCCUUUUUUCUCUGUAUGUGGAUAAUUUGUGUAAAGUGAAAUCUAUUAAAUAUCAAACAAUAUAAUAUAGAUUGUAAUCACUGAAUUUUGUCCCAAAAUUUCGUAUUUUAAAUUUUUUUUACAUUUUGACCUCUAAACUUUUUUAAAAUUAUAUUUUGACCUCUAAAAUUUUUCAAAAUUACAUUUUAACCCCUAAACUUUUUUAAAUUACAUUUUGACUCUUAAAUUUUCUCAAAAUUACAUUUUGACCUUAAAAUUUUCUCAAAAUUAUGUUUCGACACCAGAAGUUUUACUAAAAUUGCAGUUUAGUCCAUAUGGCAGCAACUUGCACACCUACCCCCUUGAUUUCCGGCCACCGGCCUAAGGCAUGGCCUCCCUCUCCCCUAGCCACCUAAUCUCUGCAAAAAAGAAGAGAAAAACAUCUAUAAAAGGGGCUUAAAACCCCAAAAGACCCCCCACGAAAAAAAGAGAGAAGAAAGUUUCGAAAAAAAGGAAAUAGGAGAGAAAAGAGAAAGGAGAGGAAGAAAGGAAGAAGAGAAAAGAGGGGAAGGCAGUCACGACGGCGUGAAGCAGCAGCGGAGGCAAUGACGGCGGCGGGCUAGAGUUUCCAAGAAAAAGAAAAAGAAGAAAAAAAAAAGAAAAAAGAGAAAAAAGAUUAAAAUUUUUUUUAAACAGUCAGGUCAACCCGACCCGACCUUUCCGACCAGUGACUCGGAUCCGUCCCGGCCCACAACAGCCUAAGCCCAGUAGCCCAGGCCCCCCCAAAAAAACAAAACAGCAAAAAAAAAAUAAAAAAAACAAAGCAGAAAAAUAGAAGCAGGCCCAACAGCAAGUGCAGGCCCAGUGCAGCAGCAGGCUCCAGGCCCAGCACAGCAGCAGGCCAACCCAGCAGGCCCACAACGCCAGGCCCAGUUCACCAGCAGCAGGCCCAAAGGCAGCAGGCCUAAAAAAGAAGAGAAAAAAGAGAGAGAAAAAAAAAGAAAAAAAGAAAAAGCCCGAGUCGUGUAAACCCGUUCAAUCAAGCUCGUAUUUUCGGGCUCUUCGGUAAUUUCUUUUUUAAGUACUUUUAAUUUAAUUUACAUAUUUUUAUGACAUUUCAUAUUUAAUAUUCUUGUUUUUUUUAAGUAUUUUUUUUAUUUCGUAUUAGGUUUUUUAAAGCAUUUUGUAUUCAUAUUUAAUUUUAUUUAAUUUCAUUAAUUUUAAUUUUCAUAUAUAAGGCGACGAACUGAUUUAAUAUUAAGCUGUAUAUUUUCAUAGUUAUGUUGGGUGAAUAUAUUUAGCUCGUGUUAAAUUCGUGACCCCCUUUUAAAAAAUUGAAAAACUUAAAAAUUCUCGUGUUUUGAAAUAAAAUAUGUAUUUUUGUAAUUAUCGAUAAAUUAUCAAAAUUUUUCCUUUUAAAAUGUAUAUGGUACGAUAAUAUGUAAUUUAUCAAUAUUUUCGUGUUUUCAACAAUUUUCGUGUUUUCAAAAAAAAUAAUUUUCGUGUUUAAAAAAAUUCUCGUGUUUUAAAGAUUUUCGUGUUUUCAAAAAUUUUCGUAUUUCUAAGAUUCUCGUAUUUCCCAAAAAUUUCCGUGUUUUCAAAAAAAAUUCCCGUGUUUCAAUCGGAUCACGAUUAAAUAUUAAAUUGAACUCGUAUUUUUGAAAAUUAAGACAACGUGCAUUUAACGAGAUACCAAUUUUGGGCGUCACGAGGGUGCUAAUACUUUCCUCGUGCGUAACCGACUCCCAAACUCUAAUUUUAUCUGGAUUUUCACGUAGACCUAAAAUUACCUCUUUUUUAGAAAUAUUUAAAAAUAAAUUUUUCUUCUAAAAAGAGAAUUUAUUAGGUAUACGAUCACACUUAGGAAAAAAGAUUAGUAGCGACUCAUUCAGUUUUCAAAUUUACAAUAAUUACUUCGACUAACACCCGUGCCCAAAUUUUAGGUCACUACAUAGAUAUUGUAACUAAUUCUCGGUAGAACAAUUUUGCAUGCAGCAGUUAUGGCUGUAGAUGGCAGGCAAUUAGAUAUGGAAAUAUACUACCAACAACUUCAUUUAUUUCCCCAAAUAUCUGUGAAAUCUAUAUAUUAAACCAAAGUCGAUGUGAUUCCAACUGUUGAGCAGCAUAGGAAGUAACAAAAAUAUAUGUCUCACUGCAAGGAAUUCAAGGCUGCUACAAAGGCUUAUAGAUGCUAAGCAUCAGCUCUUAAAUUUGAUUAUGGCGUUCAACAUAGGGCGGCAUUGACUUCACCACAAAGAGCUGUACAUCUCAUUUUCUUCCAUUCUUCUCCUUCUUUGCAGUUUCCUUGAAACCAAAUUUCACCAUAAAAAACUCCUGCUUUAUUGACCUCACCUCUAACCACAGAUUGCAGUCUUUGUUUAAAGUAUAAAUUUAAUAAAAUGGUAUCCAAAUACAUCAUUAAUAUCUUUCAAAAUAAAUUUUAAGCAUAAUAAUAAAUUUAACUCUAAACACUUAUUAUUAUUUUUAAUUUGACUCUGUUUUAAAUUAAAUUUAAUGUUUCUAAUAGGAAAAAAGAUAAAUAAUAAUUUAAUUUCUUCCUAAUUUUUAACAUUUUUAGUUAGAUUUGAAUUUUUUUCAAGAAGAAAAAGUUGAAAAUCGAGAGAAAAAUUUUGAUUUUUCAUUCUCCUAUUGAAAAGGAAUAUGAAUGAUGUGUGUUGAAUAUUUUUCUCUUUGUCCUUUUAGAAGGUGUUAUUUGCCUAUUUAUAUCAUAUGGAUAUUGUUCAAUGACAUAACAUACUAAGUAGGCUUCAUGUAUGGAGACACUUAUUUUACUCUAGACUUGGCGCAUGUUCAUAUGACCUAUAUACAUGGGACUUCGUAGGUUAGCGAGCUUUGAAUGCGGAUCCCUCGUGAGCUCAACUUGCGAAAUCCCAUUGCGAGCCCAAUUUAACAACUUGUCCUGUGUAAAUUCGCUGAAACUCAGCCCAAGCCCACUCAAGUUUUAGACCAACUAUGGAGAUUAUAAUAACAACAUAAAAUUAUAAUUUCAUAUAAUACUUUCUCAAAAAUUAAAUUGACAUAAAAUUAUAAACAUUCAAAACUAAAUUUUGCAUAAUCCCAAAUUAAUUGGGUGGAGACAUGCGUUUGCGCGCAUUAUCUAUAAAGCAUGUUAAAAAAUAUGGUGGAAGCAACUUCGUUUUAGGGUCAUUUACUUUUCUUUUUGUUACAAUUAAGUCAUUCAAUUAUUAGCGUAUAAUAAUAACCCUAACCUUUCAAUGUCUACAAAUUUUAUUAUUUUGGUCCUAAUUCUAAAAAAUAAAUUUAGCCUUUAAUUUUACACAUUAAAUUAAUCUAAUCUCGAUUCUUAAAAAAUUGAAAUAAAACUUUAAAAAAUAAAAAAAAUAAAAUAUUUUUUUCUAUAAAAUACAUGAAAAAUACAAAAAUAUUUAUAAAUAAAUGAAUAUUAAAAAAAAAGACUUUAAAGAAAAUGUAAGGUUUAGUCUAAAUGACUCAAUAAUAACUAACAUGAUCAAAUUUUAGUGUGUAACAAUUUUCUCAGCUACCAGACACUGUCUUGGAAUAAUAAAAGAAAACAUAGGGCAGCGUUGCCUCGACCACAAAGAGCUGUACACCCCAUUUUCUUCCAUUCUUCUCCUUCUUUGCAGUUUCCUGGAAUCCAAAUUUCACCAUAAUAAACUCCAACUUUAUUGACUUGACCUCUAACCCUAUAUAUUACCAUUACUAAAGUGUUGAUGUAUGAAAUUACAUAUAGUUGCGGCGACUUGAAUGGAGGUUAUGCAAGCAAGUAACUAACAGGUAGGGCAUUUGGUAAAUUCCUUAAUUUGCAGUACUUUUUUUUCUUGAGCAUGGAAUGUUUCAGGGUUUUUUACCCAAAUAGUAUAGAAAAAAAAAUACGAUGUCAGAAAAAAAUUUUACCAAAAUAGGUUACUUUUUUCAUUGGAGCUUAUUAGAUAGGUGCCAAUGAAUAAAAAAAUAAUAAAUUUUUUUUUGAAUAAAAUAUUUUUUAUAUAUUUUUUUAAUAUAUUUUUUUAAAAAAUACAGGUUAAAUUACGGUCAACAGGUCGGGUCGGGUCGGGUGGCGUCUACCUGGUGCCUCAUAAAGAGGCGCCAAUGAAGGUGCCUUAUAGAGAGGCGCCAAUGAAAUUUAUGUUAUAAAUUUUUGUGUUUGUAAUUAUUUAACAUUUAAUUUAUUAGUAAUAAAUUGCAAAAUUACUAAUAAGAUACUAAUAAAUUUAUAACAUAAUCCUAAAUUACUAACAAAUUAAUUAUAAAAUAAUUACAAUAUUCAUACAAAAAAUUACAAUAUUACAAUAUAUCCCGACAUUACAAUAUUCAUACAAAAUUAUAAUAUUACAAUAUUACAAUAUUCAUACAAAAAAAUUGCAAUAUUCAUACAAAAUUAUAAUAUUACAAUAUUCAUACAAAAAAAUUACAAUAUUCAUACUAAAUAUAGAUAAUCUAUAAUUAAUAAUUAAUAACAAAAAAAUAUUGCAAUUUUAUAUGAAUAUUGUAAUAUUGUAAUUUUGUGUGAAUAUUGUAAUGUCGGGAUAUAUUGUAAUAUUGUAAUUUUUUGUAUGAAUAUUGAAAUUAUUUUAUAAUUAAUUUGUUAGUAAUUUAGGAUUAUGUUAUAAAUUUAUUAGUAACUUAUUAGUAAUUUUGCAAUUUAUUACUAAUAAAUUAAAUUUUAAAUAAUUACAAACACAAAAAUUUAUAACAUAAUCCUAAAUUUAUAACAUAAUCUUAAAUUUUAAAUAAUUUGUAUGAAUAUUGUAAUAUUGUAAUUUUGUAUGAAUAUUGUAAUGUCGGGAUAUAUUGUAAUAUUGUAAUUUUUUGUAUGAAUAUUGUAAUUAUUUUAUAAUUAAUUUGUUAGUUAUUUAGGAUUAUGUUAUAAAUUUAUUAGUAUAACUUAUUAGUAAUUUUGUAAUUUAUUACUAAUAAAUUGAAUUUUAAAUAAUUACAAACACAAAAAUUUAUAAUAUAAUCCUAAAUUUAUAAUAUAACCCUAAACCCGAAAAAAUCAGAGCAUUGGCGCCUCCCAGAUAGGUACCACCAUUGGCGCCUCCUAGAUAGGCACCACCAUUGGCGCCUCCCAAAUAGGCGCCAAUACUAUGUAUUAUACGGGUUAUAUACUAACCCGAGAAAGUAUAAAAUUAUAUUUUAUUCAAAAAAAAUUAUUAUUAUUUUAUUCAUUGGCGCCUAUCUAAUAGGCUCCAAUGAAAAAGUAACAUAUUUUGGUAAAAUUUUUUUUCUGACAUCCUAUUUCAGUAUUUUUUUUCUAUACUAUUUGGGUAAAAAACCCAAUGUUUCAAGCUGAUUAAAAAAAAACUAAACUAAACUCCUCCUUUCUACCGCCGCAAAUCUGAAACCAUUCUUUGCCGUUUCAAAUCUCAGGCCUCCGCCCAUCCAUCUCCGAUUAGCACAGAGGGGAAGAAGGCUUUAUUGGCGCACCCACGAAGGUAUCACCUUCUCUUUUUUUUCUUUUGAAUCGCGAAUAAGUAAAAUAAAAUAAUCGAAAAAAAAAGAAAGAAAACAGAAAACCACCUUUUAAAAACUGCUGAUUGUUCUCCUUUUUUAUUGAUUUUUUCGGGAUCCUUUAACAAUACAGAAAUGGGGUUUUUAUAGCCCCGAAAUACAGCGAUUUUUCUUCUAUUUUCCUAUUAUUUUUCUUUUUCCUUUUCUGUUACUGUUUUGUUAUUUGCUAUUCUUCCGUUUUUGCAGUUUGUUGCAGGUACAACUGGAGGAAGCGCGUGGUGAAGAUGCAGCAUGCGUGAAGGGCCUGCGUGCGUGGCUACUGGCCGUGACUGUAGGCUGUUUGGGUUUCGGCGUUUGGUGAAUAUUUUGGGCUGUGUUGGGUUUGGGUAUUUUGGGCUAGAGUUUGUAUUGGGCCUAUUGUAACUGGGUUAAGUUUGUGGGUUUCGGGUUCGGGCUAGGGUAAUGGGUUUAUUUAUUUUGGUUUUAAAUUUUUUUGACUUUGUAAUCUGGACUUUAGACUCUUAAUUUUGGGCCCGGGCUUAAAUGGGCUAUUACAACUAAAGUGUUCAAGUAUAUAUAGUUGUCAUUUGUCGGUGAGUUGAAUGGAGGAUAUGCAAGCAAGCAACUAACUGGUAUGGCAUUUGGUAAAUUUCUGAAUUUGCAGUACUUUUUUCUUGAGUGGAAUGUUUGAAGCUAAUUAAUUCAAUUUUGUUUGGUGUUAUCCAGGAAGAAAUAUAUCAACAAAAAUGGAGCCUGAAGAGAACAUCACUCACAUGGAUUCUUGGCUGUAUAAGGCAGCAGCAGAAGGCAACAUUGAAGUUUUCGAUAAUAACCAGAGGCUUCAACUUGAGUCGCUAAAGACCCCAAACCAUAACAACGUGCUCCAUGUUACCUUGGCAACCAAGGAGAACCCUGUCUGGCUUUUUAACAGAGUUCACUCAAUAUUCAUUUUCUCCCCCGCACUAUAUUUAUUAUUCUAUCGGCGUUUGAAUUUUUUCAUUACUAUUAUAAAAAGAGAAAAGAAAUCAAAUUUUAUCAAACAAAUUCUCAGCAAGUGUCCGUCACUGCUACUCCAAACGAAUGCUAAAGGUCAAACUCCUUUGCACGUUGCAGCAAGUUAUGGACAUUCUGCUAUUGUGAAACUUCUAAUCAAGUCUUGCGCAAAAGCUAGAGAUGGAGAUUUAGAGCUGGGAAUGGAUCAAGUAAGUGCAGUGAGGGAGAUGCUGAGGAUUACGGAUGAGGAAUCCAACACGGCUUUACAUGAAGCAGCAGGGUGUGGCAAUGUUGAAGUGGUGAAAGCAUUGUUGGAAUUUGAAGACCCUGAUUUUCCGUAUUCUGCCAACAAAAAACAGGAGACUCCACUUUACAUAGCAGCUAGGAAGAGAGGAUCUGGGCGCUUGUUGACUCUAUUAUUAGAUAAACUCAAAUCAACUGGUCAUGGCGGCCCCCACUGUAGAACAGCUUUGCACGCAGCAGUUAUGGCUGGAGAUGCAGGUAUGUUGUUGAGUUAGUUCCAAUUUUUUUUUUUUGAAAUAAAUAAAGAACAGGUCUAUUGACAUUAUUUUUUUUGCUUGGAUUUAGAGGCAGUAAAGGUAAUAUUAAAGAAGAAGGGGAAUUUGACAAAGGAACGAGAUGAAGAUGGACACACCCCUCUUCAUUAUGCUGCACACUUGGGUUCUAGAUUCUCAGUUGUGAAAGAACUUUUAAAAUGGGAUGUAUCAGCUGCCUAUAUAAGUGAUAAAAAGAGGGGGAUGACACCGCUUCUUAUGGCAGCCAGGCAAGGUUAUUUUGGAACAGUAAGAAUGAUUCUCUCUUUAUGUCCAGAUUGUUGUGAAAAAGUGGACAAUGAAGGUUUGAAUUUACUUCAUUAUCUGGCUUUUAGAUUCUCUUCCUCCCCAUUAGGGCGUUCUUUUUUCAAGUAUGAUGGUAGUGAGAUUGUAUAUGGAUCAUUCAGAAAUCUAAGGAAGUUGGGAGGUGCCUUUGGAAUGACACCUCAAGAAAUUUUUACUGCACUUCGAUUUGAGGAGCAUCAUCAUAAACAGGUGUGUGUAUAUAUAUAUGGUAUUUCCAUGUUAUUUAAGUUUUGAAUUAACAUAUUUAAUAAUCUUACAAUACAAUCGGCUAAUGUGGGUGGCAUGACAGAAGCAAAUCAAAGAAUUGUUGGAAGAAAUUCAAAAUGAUCAAGUGGCGGAGGUGCCAGUUCGUCGCUUUCCCUUACAAAAUGUUUCUACAAAAAGCUUGGAGAAGACAAGAAAUGCUCAUUUAAUAGUGGCAGGUCUUAUAGCCACCGUCGCAUUCGCAGCGGCAAUAACUGUUCCUGGUGGUUUGAAGAGUGAAAAAGGGUCAGAGCAAGGCACUCCCUUUUUCAUUGAUGAGGCAGCCUUUAAAGCAUUUGUUGUGACAAAUGCACUGGCCUUCCUUUUUUCUGUUUCUGCCCUCACCACCCACUUUGGGGUUCUGGAUAAUCUAUUAUCACAAUUUAAUUUUUUUCGUCAUACAGUUUUAUAUCGAACUCAAUCUGUUUCUGGGAUUCUUGGCUAUGCAACGUUGGCGAUGGUAAUUGCUUUCAGCACAGGCAGUUAUGUGAUUUUAAAACCUUCCCACGGACUUACCAUUGUUUCAUAUCUUAUUUGCCCUGUCUUUUUAUUUUGUAUGUGGGCAAUUUUGAAUCCCUCGUUACAUAUGUAAAAUAUAAAUAUGAUACAAUGUUGUUUCAAUUCGUAGCAAGAAAAAUUUUAGAAGUCAUUUUUAAAAAGAUAGUUUUGAGUUAGGUUUGAGAGUAGGUCACGCAAAAGAAAAAUUUUAGCACCUACAUUAUGCUCACAAUUUAUUAAAUAUGUAUUGUAAAUUAAAAUUCAUAUGUUAGUAUUUAAAUAUGAUCAAAUUUUUGAUAGAUUAAAAAUAAAUAUAUUAAAUGAGUGAAUCGAUAUUUUAAUAGCAAAACAAAGAUAAAGGAUCAAGAUGUAGCAUUUUCCUCUUUUCUUUUGUAAAUUCAACGCCUUUUUAGCCUUUUAUUGUCACUUCCUCCAUCAAUUAAAGUUAAAAUACCCUUAUUGGUUUUGGAGAAGAUCACCAAUUCCAGAGUAUCUUUUGUUUUUACACAGAUUUUCAUUUCCUUUUACUUUAUGAUUUUACAUUACCUAGGCUAAAUGUAUACACUUUUUGCCAUACAAGAUGAACCUAUUUUAAAUAAAAAAAAAAAGUGGGGUUUUCUUUAAUGGAAUCGGACCGGUCAGUUUUAUUGAAAUGGUAACCAGUCAAAACGAAAACCAAGAAACCCAAUUACAUCAGCUGAACAGACGCACAAAAGGAUGCCACCAGAUCAAAGCAACACCCAACAGUUCAAAAAACAAAAGAAAAGCAAAACACAACCCAGCAAACAGACGAGAUUCUAUAGAAAACUGUAAAGAAAUAAUUAUAAUACGCAUCAAAAUUAUUCUAUUACUGAUAAACACUGAAUUGAUAAAAUAAAAUAUAAAUGUCUAUAUUUAUAAGCUUACAAAGAAAUUACCUUAACACAAAAAUAACUAAAAAUUUAUUCAAUUAAAUUGAAAAUCUGGAACUAAUAAAGAUUCUAUCGAGAUACUUGGUCAACUAAACAACUCACUACUUUGCAUUAAUCCUCAACACUCUCCCUUAGUUCAAAGUUGCAGACAAGUAGACUUUUAAAAUAACUGAAUUUCAAGUGAUUACCCCUAAACCUAGAAUGAAAACAUUUGUUGAUACAUUUCUUCUAUCAUCUAAAGAACUUGCCUAAUCACUAACUAUGAACCCAUAUAAUCUGAAAUUUGAAAUUUUUGAGCACCAAAUGCCAUACUCCAAAGUUCCAGUCAUGUACCACAAAACCCGUUUUGUUGCUCCAUAAUGAACCUCUGAAGGUUGCUGCAUAAACCUAGAAAUAACACCAAUAGGAAAUACAAUAUUGAGCCUAGUGUGAGUCAAAUAAAUUAAACCUCCAACCAAGCUUCUAAACCUCCUGGCAUUUGCCAUUUCUUUUUCAUAUUCUAGCUGCAAUUUCUCAUUGAUAUUCAUGGGUGUAGUUGCAGGCUUGCAAUUAAGCAUGCCAAAAUUACUGAGAAGAUCCUUAGCAUAUUUUCUUUGUGAGAUAAAAAUUUCAAGACCAAGGAAAUAAUGGAAUAAACCCAUAUCAGACAUAUCGAAUUCAUUCAUCAUUUGAGACUUAAACUCAUCAAUAAGAAAGUUAGAGGAACUAGUAUAAAUGAUAUCAUCAACGUAAAGACAAACAAUGAUGAAAUCAUUUUUACCUUCCUUUUUCACAUAUAAGGUGGGCUCAUUUUUACUUCUUAUGUACCCUUUCUUCUGAAGAUACCCAUCGAUCUUGCUGUACCAUGCUCGAGGGGCCUGCUUCAAUCCGUACAAUGCCUUUUUCAACUUGUACACCUUUGUUUCGUUGCACUUCUCUAUGAAACCUUCUGGUUGUGCUACAUAAACGUCCUCUUGUAGAUCUCCAUUGAGGAAUGCUAAUUUGACGUCAAAUUGAUAAACAUGCCAUUGCAAUUGUGCAGCCAAUGCUAGAACAAGCCUCACCAUUUUGAACCGAGUUACCAAAGAGAAGGUUUCUUCUAAAUCAACACCAUAUUGCUGGCAUAACCUUUCACCACAAUACGAGCUUUGUGCUUUGGAUGCUUCCAUUUGCACCAAAUUUUAUCUUGAACACCCACUUCAAACCAAUUGCAUUUUUAUCUUCAUUUUGUGGCGUUUAGGGACUUUCCUAUUAGAUUACGCUUUUAUUGAAGGAUGAUGAUGCUACCACUGAAUAUGGAUCAAUCAGAAAUCUUAGGGACUGGAAAGAUGCUAGUGGAAUCACACCUCAACAAGUUUUCUAUGCAUGUUAAUAUGAUAAGUAAGAGAAAAAGGUAUAUUUAUAUUUGUAUUUCUAUGCCUACGGCUAUGGUUUUAUUAAUAUUUGUGUUUUGAAUUAUGAUUAUAUAACAUAUAUAAUAUAAUGAUCUAUAAUAUAAUCGGCUAAUGUGGUAGGAGCAAAUUGUGAAAUUGUUAAAAGAAAUUAUGAAUGAAGAAGUUGCGGAGAAACCAGUUUGUCCCAUUGGCUUGCCAAACAUAUCUGCAGAUAUAAACUUGGAGAAAACAAGAGAUGCUCAUUUAGUAGUGGCAGCACUUAUAGUCACCGUCACAUUCGCAGCGGCAAUAACUGUUCCAGGUGGUUUCAAGAGUGAAGAAGGUUCAGACCAGGGCACUCCUUAUCUGAUUCAUGAGGUAGCUUUUAGAAUAUUUGUUGUAACAAAUGCAUUGGCCUUUAGUCUCUCUCUUUCUACCCACUUCAUCCACUUUGGGAUGCUGCUUCCUCUUUUUCCAAAACCGCUUGGUUCAAUUACGUCUAAAUUGUUCAUCGUUGAUGUGAUCCUUGGCCUUGCACUUGUUGCCAUGGUGAUUGCUUUUAGCACAACCACUUAUAUAGUCUUAAAACCUUCGCUUGGACUUGCCACUACUGCGGUUUGCAUCAGCCCUGACAUUAUUUUCUAUGUUUUAUUUUGCUCGAAAUUUAUGCCUGUAUACAUAAUUAAUCAUAAUUAUUUUUAAGUAAACUACACUAACAGUAACUAAAUUUUGUUUAAAAUUAAAUUUCAAUUAUCCAACUUUCACAAGUUAUCAAAUAGCAGUAACAUUAUUGAGCUUGUAAUAACUCAUUUUGCCUGGCCCAAUAAAUACCAAAAAAACAAAUAAAAAUAAAACUAUAAAAAAUAAAAUAAAAAUAGUAAAUAAUGUCCAAAAAUAUUAAUGUCCAAUUACAAUAAAAUUACCAGCCCAAAUCAAACCAUAAUACUUUAAGCUCGAUUCGGUCCUUAACCCAAAUACUAAACCCAUCAGACCCACUAAGCCCAAAUACUACAAACCCAAUACCUAAGCCCAAUUAGCCCGUUUUGAAAGAGUAUUCCAGAAACCCUUAGGGUUUCUGAAACCCUUCAGUCACCGUAGAAGGAAAAUCACGGCCCUCCUCGCACAUGCUACGCCUCCGCGCGUGUGCGCCUCCGUCUGUUGCUCCAGGCUGGCUGAGUACCUGCAAAAUACACACGCAAGCAGUAGCGAAAGGAAGAAUAACAGAAAAGGGUCGAAGGGAUAACAGAUUAGAUUUUUGUAUUUAUUUUUAUUAUUUAUUUUGCAAUUUUGGCUAUAUAAAGUCAAUUCGAAUACUGUAAACGAUUACGCACACAAAGAUUGAAAGUCAAAAAAAUAUAUUCUAAAGAAAAAGAAAACAGAGAAUUCCAAAGGUGAUUUGAAUUUUUUCUUUUUCCUUUCUUUUUUGUUUUUUCUUUCGGUUCUCUUUUCUUCGAUUAUUUGUUCAUUAUUCAAGUAAGAUAACAAAAAAAAAAUUAGAAAGCGAAGAAAUUACCUCGCGGUCAGAUCCUUGUUCUCUUCGUCGCAAUCAGAGUUUGAGCAGGGGUUCGAAGAUCCUUUUUUGAGCGGUCGUUUUACAGAGCGGCGCAGAGAUCAUUUCGUUUAGGUUUUUGUUUAGAAUGAAGUAGGCUGCUGAUUUCUUAGGGUUUGGUCUAUAAGCAGUGAAAGAAACAUCGCCGUUUGAUGCCAAUGUGAUGCUUUCAAAACGGCGUCAUUUGAAGGCUCAGAUCCGCGCGGUGACCUGAUCCGAGGAAAGGAUCUGCGCGUUUUAUCUCAAUGGUCCAUUUGCGCCACAGGUCCUUUUGUAUUUUGUAUUGUUUUAAUUUAAUUUUUAUUAUUAUUUUAAUUUAUACACUAUAUUGGAUUUUGGUUUCAAUUGAAUCCAUGUUUGAAUGGCAUCGUUUUGAAGAUUUUGAUCCGUAUGCCAAAGAAGAUUUGCGCGUUAAAUUGCUAUAAUAGUCCCUUUGAUGCUAAUUGGUUCUCAAUUCGGUCGUUUGCACAUUUAUUUCAAAUUCACCCUAGGAAUUUUGUUUUAAUUCAAAAUUGAUCUAUUUUUAUUAAAUUAAUUGGUUUAUUAUUAUUUAUCACUAUUAUUAUUAUUAGUAUUUUUUAUAUCAAUUAACCUAAUCUUAUUAUAAAUUCUUUUAUUUUAUUAUAUAGUAUUAUUUUAUGUUUUUGUAUAUUAUUACUUAAUUUUACAAAUAUUUUAUUUUAUAUACAUAUUUUAUGUUAUCUUAGUAUAAUUUAUACAUAUUUUUAUAUUUGUUUAGACUCAUAUAUAUGUAUAUAUACCUUUAACUUUAAAGAUUUACCAAUAACAUUUUAUGAUUCUUUCACAUAUGCAUAUAUAAUUUAUAUUGAAUUAUUUUUAGUAUACAUAUGUAUAUAUAAUAAUAUAUGAUUAAUUUCAAAUUGUAAAUUUUUACCUAUUUUCUAUACAUAAAUACUUUAUUUCUUUUAAAUUUUCUAUUCCAAUUUACUUAUUUUGACUUUUACAUAUAUUAUUAUAGGUAUAUUAUUAUUUAAAUUAGUUUUUUUUUUGCUUAUCUAGAUUAAAAAAUAUAUAUAAAUUGUAGAUUUAUUCAUCUUUAUUUUCUUCUCAUAAUUCUUUCUUUAAAAUUCAUUUAAACAUUUUAUUCAUUUUUAGUUCUAUUAUUAAAUUGUUUCAAAUCUUCAUAUUAAUUACAUAUUUUAAUUUUUUCUCUUUUAAAUGUAUAAUUUUGUGUACAUUUUUUUAUUCCUAAAUUCUUUUCUCUUAUUUUUUUUCAUGAGUUAUAUUUUAUUUUUUUCUUUUAGAUUAAUAGUUUUUAAAUGUUGAUGUUAAUAUUUGCAUAAUGUAUGAUUGAAAUUAUUGUUAUUAUGUUUGUUUGUGUUUAUUUAUUGUUCAUUAUUCAUUGGGGUGCAUUUUACGUUCAAAUUUUGCAUGGUUCAUUGUUCGUUUAAUCACUGUAUCUUUUUAACCGUGUUUCAAUAAAAGCAUUAAAAUCAUCUUAUUUCAUAAAUUGUCAAAAUACUCGGUAUUCAUGAUUUUCAAGAGAAUUGCGCCCUAACUUACUGGGCUUCAAUUUUUUUCCGAUGAAUUUAGAUAGCCAAUUAUUUCUUUUGCAAUAAAACCAUAUAAUUUCUAAAUAAAGUUUUUCGGGAUUUCAAAAUGUUGGAUCCUAACUUACUGGAUAUGACAUUUUAUCAUCUCGAGUUAAGGAUUUUAAAAUAAAGGCAAUAUUCAGUGUUUAGGAAUUUCGAGAAAUUGAACCCUAACUUUCUGGAUUCUGAUUUCUCAGUUGACCCAAAUAACAAAAUAUCCUUCUCAAAAUGCAUGAUUUUUUAAAAUUUAAAAAGACAAACCUAAUUUCGAAUAUUGAAUUAUUGCACCCUAACUCACUGAGUGUGACGAUUUAUUUCUUUGAAAUGGGUAUGUCUUAUCAUCCAAUUCGAUUAUCCAAGUUUUCUUUUCAAGGGAUCAUAUUUUAAAAUCUCUUCAAAUUUUUGUAAUACCCCCUACCCGUAUUCGUCGCUGAAAUAGGGUAUGAGGCAUUACCAAAUUUUACCGAAUAAAUUUUUCAUUAUUACGAGUUAAAUACUGUUCAUUUAUUGAAACAUAUCAUGACGUUCCUUGGAUGGGCCUUCGAAGCCCAAAACAUACAUCGGGACUAAACUGGGAUUAAAUCGAAACCAUAAGAAUUUUUUUAUGAACUUAAUAUAACCCCUUUAUAAAUAUCUAAUCUCCCCUGCAAUUUUAAACCGAGACCAAUCCAACACAACCAAUCCAUUUCAACAUAUUUUCAAGAUAUAUUUAACAUAUUCAUAAGAUAACCUCAUCAGAUAUCAAAAUCAAAAUUUGUUAGCCAUACCAAUGGGUAACCAUACAUUCAUUUCACAUUAACAUUUACUUUAAUAGCUUAUACAUGCCAUUGAUUUCCAAAAUAAAGUUUCUUUUUAUACCAGGUUGAUAGUGUGAUAUGUCUUUGACCGAAUCCGACCUCCGAGCUCUUAACACUACAAAACAGGGGAAAAAGAAACAGGGUAAGCACUUUGUACUUAGUAAGCUCAUGUAACAAGAAUUAUACUUACCUAAUAUUUUCAAUACAAUGUAAUAAACAUUCAUACAUCCAUUCAAUACAUUAUUCCCCUAUCAUGCACAAACUCAACUUUCAAGUUAGUUCAAUAAUUUUCAUGUAUCAAUAAUAUAUAUACCAUGAUUGAUGAGCUCAUCAAUUCCAUGAUUUCCAUUCCCUUGUUAUUUUUCCAUAUUUAUCCCGUUGAACUACUUGAAAUUUUGAUGGAUUUUCAGGGGUACACCUAAGUGUACAAAUCCGGGUCCGUCAAUUCAUAUUCAUGCGCGCACAUUUCCAUUUCAGAGAGCACACUCCCGUGAACCUCAUCCUUACAGCGGGAUUACCAAUCCAGGCUAAAUCCCCUGUAAUAUAAUCUCAUAGAGUAUUGUCGGGAUUACCAAUCCAGGCUAAAUCCCUUGCAAUGAAAAUUACUCUAAUGAGCUUGGAUCUGAAUUACCAGUCCAGGCUAAAUUCAGACCCUAAUUCGGAUUACCCGUCCCGGCUAAAUUCAUUUUCCUCAUAUUCUUUGGGAGGGCUAUAUCAAGAUAGGAUCACCCGUCCGGGCUAGAUCCUUUGUACCGUCAAUUCCUUUUCAGAGAUCCAUCAAAUUUUCCUUUCAUUCAAUCGGGAUUUAUUUUCUCUUUUCAUCAAGAAUAUCUAUACUUCAUCAAUUAUCAUACAAUAAACAUCCAAAUCAUAUUCAUAUCAAGAAAAAUAUAUAUCAAGCAUUUAAGAAUAUAAUUCAAGUUACAUGAACUUACCUUGAUACUUGUUCGUAAACAAAAAUCUACUAAUUUCGAACUUUUUCUUUUCCUCGAUCUAGCUUCGUAUUUGAGUUUUUUGGAUCUAAAUAAAUAAAUUUAAUCAUUAAUCUAAUACAUUUUGUGUUCAUAUGUAACAUUCUCUAUAAUUCCAUUAUUAUUUAUAGUUCAUUCAGAGCUGUCUCAUUGAGUCAUAGUCACUAAAUUAUUUAUAUCUUGAGCUACGGAACUCCAAAUUACGAUCCGCUAAUUUUCCCUGAAACUAGACUCUUACAUAUCUUCUUACUAUAAAAUUUUUAGAAUUUUUGGUUUAGCCAAUAAGUACAAUUUAUUCUUCAAAUUCAUCACUGUUCUGUUGUCUGACAGUUUCGACCUUUCUUCACUAAAAAUUAAUUAUCUCAUUGUACAGGAUUUAAAUGAUGUUCUCGUUUAUUCUUUUUGAAAAUAGACUAAUUAAGGAUUUUAAACAUAUAAUUUUAAUCCCCUAAUUAUUUUUCUCCAAUUUUUGAUGAUUUUCCAAAGUCAGAACAGGGGAACCUAAAAUCAUUCUGACCUUGUCUCACAAAACCUAUUAUAUCUCAUGAUUUACAAUUCCAUUGCUUACACCGUUUCUUCUAUGAGAAACUAGACUCAAUAAGAUUUAAUUUAAUAUUUUAUUAAUCCUCUAAUUCAAUUUCUAAAAUUUAUGGUGAUUUUUCAAAGUUAACCUACUGGUGCUAUCCAAAACUGUUUUAUUGCAUGAUGUUAAUUACCAUUUUUCCCCUAAGCUUUCAAUAAAUGAUAAUUUCGUCCCUACUCAAUUAACCUCUCAAUUGAGAUGAUUUUUCUCAAUUAACACUUUAUUAUAUCACUUUAACUACUUUAUAACCUUUGAAAAUCAGAAUUUUAGCACUAGACUUUGAUUCCAAACUUUUUCACAAUUAGGUCCUACAAAUCAAUUUCUAUUGAAAUUACCUAAUAAAAUCAUCUCAUAAACAAAUUAAAGAUUCAAUUUCAUGCUAUUUCAUCAUAAACUUGCAGCACAUAUUCAUAUAAACUUUAAAUUUCAUUCAUAAAAUAAAAAACUAAUAAAUUUAGUAAUAGGACCUAGUUGUAAAAGUCUUAGAAACACAAAAAUUACAGGAAAAAGACAAGGAUUAACUCGCUUGAUGCAAAAAUUAUGAAAUAAAAGCUUGAAUAAACCCUUAGGAUGUUUUUGGCUGAUGAUAAUGAAGAAAAUAUGAAGAGAAUUCUAGAUAUCACAAGUUGGUCCCAUUUUUAUUUUAGUAAAUUUUGUUAUUUUCCCAUUUUGCCCUUAUUUCACCAAUUCUCCAGAUUUCUCUCAGCUUAUGCCGCCCAAAAUAUCUUCUUUUGGGCUUAUUUUCAAUUUAUGUCCCUCCUUAUUUAACAAUUGAGCUAUUUAAUCCUUCUAGUAACUUUUACACCCUUUUCAAUUUAGUCCUUUUCACUUAAUUAACUACCCAAACGUAGAAAUUUUCUAACGAAAUUUUAAUACCAUAAUACUAACACUUCAUAAAUAUUUAUAAAAAUAUUUCCGACUUGGUUUUACGAGAUCAAGGUCUUGAUACCUUAUUUUUACCCAAUUUCUUCAAUAAUUUCUUUUUCUAACUAACCACUAAAUCGGUAAAAUUUUUCUAUCGAUAUUUUCAUAUGAUUUUCCUAUCAUAUCAAUAUUCAUGCAAAAAUAUUAAAAUUAAUUUCUCUUUAAAUCGGAUUUGUGGUUACGAAACCACUGUUCUGAUAACAUUGAAUUUAGGCCAUUACAAUUUUCAACACUCAGACAUUAAACAAUCAAUUCGGUACCAAUUUUUGGGCGUUGCGAGGGUGCUAACCCUUCCUCGUGUGUAACCGACUUUCAAACGUGUUUUCUAAAAAUUUAAGGACCAAAAUCGUUAUUUUAAUAAAUCAAUAUGUUUUAUUAAAAUCCCAAGGUGACCCGAUCACACCUCAAAAAAAGGAUUGGUGACGACUCCAUUUUCAUUUUCAAAGUCGAUUCCUGUUUUUCAAAUGAAAAAAUUGGUUUAUAAAUUUUUUAAUAUUUAUUUUAAAUGAAUUUUUAACUUCUAUUUAAUUAUUGUUGGAUUGGAUGUUGUACUAGUUGAACUAAGAAUAGGUAGUUUGAUUAUUCGACCACCAAUCCAAUUUUUGAAACAUUGAAACAAAAAACCUACAAAAACAUAAACUCGAAAUAUGACUCAACCCGAAAAAUCCAAUAAACAAAUACACAAAAUCUAAAACCGAAAUAAUUCAAGAAAUUUAAACAUAUCCAAAUAAAUCAAACCCAAAUUAAUCUAUUAAAAAAUGAUCCAAAAAGAAAUCUUUAAGAGAGUGUAGGCAUGAGAAUGAAGUUAUUUCAAUGGCGGUGGCAAUGAAUCCAAAAUGCCUUCAUCGCUUAAACGCCGCACCACACUCUCUUUCACUUUAUCUUCUCUUUCAUUUGCAUAUAAAAAACUCCAUAGAUUCAAAUACUCCAUCAAUAAAUCACAGUUGCCUAGUUGCCCUUGCAAACCUUACCGGAAAACGAUGUCGGACUGGGGUCCAAUUAUCGUGGCGUUGGUUCUUUUCGUGCUGCUAAUGCCGGGGUUGUUGUUUCAAGUUCCCGGCCACCACAGGUGCGUGGAGUUCGGCAACUUUAAGACCAGUGGGGCUUCGAUUCUCGUACAUUCGUUGUUGUAUUUUGGGCUCAUUUGUGUGUUUUUGUUGGCUAUUAAGGUUCAUUUGUAUUUAGGUUGAUGAUAAAUGGUUGAUCCUAUCUCAUCUUUGGCUGCUUUAAGUUGUUUAUUUUUCUAAAUUAAAAUAAAAUUAGUAUUUUAUUUUUCAUUCCAUCCGAAAUCUCAAAUUAUGAUCCUCAUUUUAAUUUAGUGUUUAAAUAUUAAAAUGUUCGUUUACGUUUUUAAACUAUGGAUGUUAUAUUAGUAGGGUUCUUUUGUUAUUAAAAUCGUUAAUUUAACUGUCAAAUUUUAUGUAGAUAAAUUUAAACGAACAACUUUAAAGAAAUGGAAUAUCGUCGCAUUCUUUUUAAAAGUGAAAAUUAAAAAUCAAGUAAAAUUGAAAAGAAAAAACAAGCGAAUGAUAAAACUUCUAUAUAAACUUCGAAAAUCUCAAAACAAGUGAAUGAUAAAACAUCUAUUUUAAAAAUAUUUUUUCUUAAAAUUUUUAUUUUAAAUUAUGUCACAUAAGAUCCGACGUGUCAUUUAAUGAUUAAAUUAAUAAUUUUAGUAAUGGAAGGACCUAAUUUAUAUAACCUUAACAAUUUUAAGAUGUAAUUAGAAUGGUUUAAAGUUUUUAUUAAAUCCAAAGAUGUUAAUUUUUAUUGAUGUUUACAUGCUUUAAAAAAAUAAUUUAAAUAAUCAAUUACAUAAAAUUAUUAAUAUUUUUUAAUCUUAAAAAAUUAUUAAUAUGUUUUUAUUAGUAUUACACUUGCUGCAUCUCAGAGAGCAUCUUUAUCGGGCAAAAAUAUUUCUAAAUAAGUUAUCUUUUUUACAGAAAAAGCGUUUCCUCCAAAUAAAAAAAUAGUUUAAAAAUAUUUUUGAAAAAAACUGAAUCCCAAGAACACUUUUGAUAAUCAUUCCUAACCUAGGCCUUCAAGUGUUUAUAAUUUAUUUGAUUUAGGUAUUACUAUGCUCUAUAAAGUGUUUAUGUUGUGAUAUAGAAUUCUAUAAAUCUAUAGGUUUUAGGCUUAGAGUAGGUAGAAUGUUGUUUUUUUUUUUUUAAAUGAAAUAAAGUAUUAAGCUAAAGUGUUCAAGGAAUGAAUUAUGCAUGCCAUGGCGCUUUUGUUAUGUUAUGCUAAAGUGUUUAAGAAUAGGAGUAACAUGGUUUAAAUUCAUGCCAAAUAUAUAUUUUAUAAGAAUUUUAAUUAUUGUUUCAUUCGAGUUAAGAUUAUAUUUUCGUUAUUAUAUAUCGAUAAAGUGUUGAAAUAAUAAAUUAUAUAUAUAUAAAUGUGUGUCACUUGUCUUGAUAAGCCACUAGGUGACUUGAAAUAAGUAAUUAGGCAUUUAAUUUGUAAUAUAUAAUUUUCCUUUUUAUCUUUGAAUUUUCCAAGCUAAUUAAUUAAUUGGUGUUAUCAGGGAAGAAAGCUGUGCAACCUAAGAAUCCUGCAAACAACAUUACUUACAUGGACGUUUCAUUGUAUAAAGCUGCAGCAGAAGGUAAAAUUGAAGAUUCCAAUAAUUACCGGAGGCCUGAACUUGAGUCGCUGAAGACCCCAAACCAUGACAACGUGCUCCAUGUUAACUUGUCAACCACCGAGUGUAUCGGGAACCGUACCAGAUCAGAUUUUAUCGAACAAAUUCUCAGCAAUUGUCUGUCACUGCUACUGCAAACGAAUGGUAAAGGUCAAACUCCUUUGUACGUUGCAGCAAGGUAUGCGCAUUCUGCUAUUGUGAAACUUCUAAUCAAGUCUUGUGCAAAAGCUACAGAUGGAGAUUUAGAGAAGCUGGGAAUGGAUCAAGUAAAUGCAGUGAGGGCGAUGCUGAGGAUUAGGGAUCAGGAAUCCAACACAACUUUACAUGAAGCAGCAGGGUGUGGCAAUGUCGAAGUGGUGAAAUCGAAUUUUUUGUAACGAGAUUAACGGAAGUUAAGUCUGUUUUCUAAGUAGAGAUAAUCGAUUUUUACUACAAACUACUCAUGCUGUCCGAAAGACAAUAAAAGGAAGAGAUCAUGGAAACCCCCAUGGCCAUGGUAGAACAACUUUGCUUGCAGCAGUUAUGGCUGUAGAUGGCAGGCAAUUUGAGCAGCAUAGGAAGUAAUCAAAAUAUAUAUGUCGCACUGCAAGGAAUUCAAGGCUACCUUGUCCACAAAGGCUUAUAGCUGCUAAGCACCAGCACUUAAAUUUGAUUAUGGCCUAAUAAACAACAUAGGGCAUCAUUGACUUCACCACAAAGAGCUGUAGACCUCAUUUUCUUCAAUUCUUCUCCUUCUUUGCGGUUUCCUUGAAACUAAGUUUCACCAUAAAAAUCCUACUUUAUUGACCAGCUUGUUGGCACAUAAUUAAAUUAAUCUUGUACAAAUAAAUUAUGAAAAGUUAAAAGAGUGAAGAGACUUGAAUAUGAAGAGUGAAGAGACUUGAAGAUGAAAAAUUAUACACAUUAUGAAGAGUGAAGAGACUUGAGUAUGAAAAGUUAUACAUAUGCAUGGAUAGUCAUAACUCUUAUAAUAUUUAAGUUAUGUAAAUGAAUAGUGACAACUCCUAGCAUUUAGUGAUAUAGAUGAAUAGUCACUUACAACUCCUAUAUAAAUAGUUGUAUGUGAUGAAGAAUUUAAAGUAGAAUGAUUGAAAUAAAAAAAAGUUUAUUAUAAGGAAUUUUAUUUCUUCCAUAUAAUUUUUUUUUCUCUUUUCAUUAUAUUUUUUUUAUCAUUUUCUUUGUUUUAUUUCUCCAAAUAUUGAUCAAUUUUCUACACAGCUGACCUCAAACCCUAUAUAUUACUAAUACUAAAGUGUUCAAUUAUAUAUAAUGUUCAAUUAACCAUAAAGAGCUGUCCACCCCAUUUUCUUCCAUUCAUUUUCUUCAAUUCUUCUCCUUCUUUGCAGUUUCCUAGAAACCAAGUUUCACCAUAAAAAUCCUACUUUAUUGACCUGACCUCAAACCCUAUGUAUUACUAAUACUGAAGUGCUCAAUUAUAUAUAAUGUUCAAUGAACCAUAAAGAGCUUUCCACCCCAUUUUCUUCCAUUCUUUUCUUUAAUUCUUCUCCUUCUUAGCAGUUUCCUUAAAACCAAAUUUCACCAUAAAAAGCUCCUACUUUAUUGACCUGACCUCUAACCACAGAUUGUCGUUUUGUUUAAUGUAUAAAUUUAAUAAUAGUAUCAAUUACAUCAUUAAUAUCUUUCAUGUAAAUUUUAUUUAGUAAAUAAAUCUUAGAAAAUUUUAGAUUAUCUUUUAGGUAUAAUGAUAAAUUCAACUUUAAACAUUUUUUUUGGUUAAUUUAAUAUUUAUUUUUAAGUCAAAUUUAGCGUUCAAACUUAAAAAAAUAAAACCAUUGACAGUUAAAAUUUGCAUUAUGCGAAAUUAAUUUGGUGGAAGCAUGCGCUUGUGCGCAUUAUCUGUGAAGCAUGUUCAAAAAUGAUGGAUUUGAUGCAUCAUGCAUCUACCUUUCAACAAUUUUUAGCAUUUUAACCAUCUUUAGCAACUUUUUUUUAGUGCCAUUUAAAAAGUUUAAUUUAGUCAUUAAUUGUUGAUGCUUUGAGAAAUUAAGAAAGCAGAACAAAGGCUUAUAGCUGCUAAGCACCAGCUCUUAAAUUUGAUUAUGGCCUAAUAAACAACAUAGGGCAGCAUUGACAUCACCAUAAAGAGCUGUACACCCCAUUUUCUUCCAUUCUCUUUCUUCAUUUCUUCUCCUUCUUUGCCAAGUAAUUUCUUUACAGUUUGCUUAAACCCAAAUUUCAACCGGAGAUUGUCGUUUUGUUUAAAGUAAAAGUAUAAAGUUAGCACAAAGCAAUAAUUGUGUCGAAAUACAUCAUUAACACAUACAUAAACAAGUAGAUAUUUUCAAGCUAAAAAGUUACUCAAAAAUUACAUAUUUUUCCUCCAAAUAAAUUCAAGCACACACAAAAAAAAACCCCCUAAAAAAACAAUACCCAAAAUUAAAAGAAAGUGAAAAUCAAACACCAAAUCACAAAAUGAAUAAUACCCAGAUCUUCAUUUUAAAAGAAAAUGGUAAAGAUUGAAGAUCUGAUAAGAAAAAUGGAAGAUAUAAAAAGGAUAGUGAUGGUAGGUUAUGAUAUUUUUCUUUAUUAUUCAAUGCCUUUAAUUGUAAUUAAGUGGUUGGAGCAAUAAAUGGCACCUGGUAAUUUUAAGGAAUAGAGAGCUAAAUAAACUCGACUGUAAUAACAUAUAUUACAAUGAAUCAAAAUUGCGUUGUAGUGAGCCUAUUGAGCCAGGCCUAAAUGAAUGGCUCAUUCCAUUCAACCAAAUAAGCCCUAAGUGUUUAUAAUUUUUUAUAAUUAAAUUUUUUAUUGUAAUAAUUAAGAAAAUGUGAACUUGAAUACUUAAUCAUGUUUAAUGUCUUGUUGAAAGAUAAAAAUAUUAUAAAUAAUAAAAGAAAUUAUUUAAAAUACAUCUAAAUGAAAUUGAUAAUCUACGUAAUAGAUAAAUUUACUUAAUACAAUUUAUUUUCUAUUAAACUACUAUAUAUUUUUAUCUAUAAUAUUUUUAACUUCAUUGUAAGCACGUGCGUGUAUAUAUAUUAGUAGACUUUAAAAAUACAUAUAAAAUUAUAAAAAUUAUAAAAUUCAUAUAAAAAUAUUUAUAAAUAAAUGAAUACUCAAUUUUCUCUUAAAAACUUGAUCUUUUACCGAAAAUGUGGUAAAUCAUUUUGGUCUUAGGUUGCAGAAUUUCGAAUCCUUCUAUUAAAGAGCGUCUGCCCUGUAGGCAAAAAACCUCUUAAGGCUCUCCACAUCGUUAGCUUAAUCUUAGCAGGUAUAGAUAGUGACCACAAUUUUCUAUAGAUCAUUUGUGUAUCAUUUGAAAUUUCUGUGUUCUCAUUUUGAAUCAUGAGCUCUUUGUAACCACUACGUACAGUAUACUGACCUGUUUUCUCCCCCUGCCACACCUGACAGUUUGCACAUUCAACUUUGGAUAGAGGAAUGCAUCUAAUCACCUCCACAUCUUUAGCAGAAAAAAUCCUAGUAAUUAUCUCUUCGUUCCACAUUCGUUUAUCCUGAUCAAUUAACUGAUACACUGUUUGGACCGAAUCAUCAAUGGGACGUGUAUGAAUCUUGUUUCCAGCCCAUUUCGGUAACCAACGAUCAAACCAAAUCUAGAUAUUCUCUCUUGUUCCUACUCGCCAGCCCAUCCGUUGCUCUAACAAUCCUCGUGCCACAUAUAUACUUUGCCAAGUAUAUGAAGGAUAAGCCCCCAAUCUUGCAUCCCAAAAACUUGACAGAGGGUAGUAUUUUGCUUUAAAAAUUCUAGCUAAUAACGAAUCCGGAUAUAUAACCAGCCGCCAUCAUUGUUUAGCUAACAAAGCAAUAUUAAAUUUCCCCAUAUCGUGAAAAUUUAAACCACCACACUCCUUUGCCUUGCAUAAUUCUGACCAACAACUCUAAUGCAAACCACGUCGGUUACUUCCUUUACCCUACCAAAAUCGGUUCAUUAUUUUUUCAAAGUUAGCACACAACGAUUUCGAGAGAAGAAAACAAGACAUGGAGUAAAUCGAUAUGGCCUGUAACACAGCUUUGAUGAACACUUCUUUACCCCAUUGGGAAAACAUUCGACUCCACCACCCAUUCACCCUCUUCCUCAAUCUAUCGCUAAUCCUUUGGAAAGCCUCUUUCUUCUUCCGCCCCACUAUAGUUGGUAGAUAACUACCCUAACACCCAUAUAAUUUGUUGAUUGAUCUCGAAUAUCUUCAGAACAGUUUGAACUAAAGAAAAUUUGAGAUUUCUCAAAAUUAAUCUUCUGACCUGAUGCUUUCUCAUAAUCAUCAAGAAAACCUUUCAUUAACUUACAACCAUUCUCAUUUGCUUCACAAAAAAUAAUGCUAUCAUUUGCAAAAAACAAAUGGGUUACCCUCGGGCGUCCCAGACAAACUUAAACUCCCUUUAUUAGCCCAUCCCGCUUUGCUAGUUUAAAGAUUAUUGAGAAUCCUUCAAUGCAAAUGAGGAACAGACAGGGACUCAAUGGAUCCCCUUGUCUAAGACCACGUUCUGGUUGGAAAGGCUCACUCAAACUUCCAUUAACCGUAAUCGCAUACGAGACCGAAGAGAUACAGUGGUAAAUCAACUNNNNNNNNNNNNNNNNNNNNNNNNNNNNNNNNNNNNNNNNNNNNNNNNNNNNNNNNNNNNNNNNNNNNNNNNNNNNNNNNNNNNNNNNNNNNNNNNNNNNNNNNNNNNNNNNNNNNNNNNNNNNNNNNNNNNNNNNNNNNNNNNNNNNNNNNNNNNNNNNNNNNNNNNNNNNNNNNNNNNNNNNNNNNNNNNNNNNNNNNNNNNNNNNNNNNNNNNNNNNNNNNNNNNNNNNNNNNNNNNNNNNNNNNNNNNNNNNNNNNNNNNNNNNNNNNNNNNNNNNNNNNNNNNNNNNNNNNNNNNNNNNNNNNNNNNNNNNNNNNNNNNNNNNNNNNNNNNNNNNNNNNNNNNNNNNNNNNNNNNNNNNNNNNNNNNNNNNNNNNNNNNNNNNNNNNNNNNNNNNNNNNNNNNNNNNNNNNNNNNNNNNNNNNNNNNNNNNNNNNNNNNNNNNNNNNNNNNNNNNNNNNNNNNNNNNNNNNNNNNNNNNNNNNNNNNNNNNNNNNGGCACUGCCACAUUUUUGUUGGAUUCCCACAAAGUUUUGACUUGCUUAUAACAGGAAUCUUCUAGGAGCCAGUGUUAACAUUAAUGGAAGACAAUUAAUAAUGGUUGCCAUUAACAUUAAUGGGAGACAAUCAAUAAUGACAACCACCAACUUUGGAAAAGUGGCAAGGGAUAAUUUUUUUUUGGUCCUUGAGAUAAUGGGCUAUUUAUUGUUUGGUCCUUGAACCUCAACUAUAAAUAGGCCUUCUCAUUUCUCAUUUCAAUUCAUCCCAACCAAUCUUUCUCUCUUAGUUUUCUCUCUUCUCUCAUUUGAGAAUUCUUAAGGAAUUCUAUUUGUUUGUAAUAUCUUGAAGAUAGUAAAGUUAUCAUCUGGUGUUAGUGCCCGAGGACGUAGGUAUAAUUUACCGAACCUCGUUAAAACUCUUGUGUUCUUUCUUGUCCUAUUUUUCUUUCAAUAUUUGAGGGUAUAAUAGUAGUAUUUAAUUGUGCUAUUAAGUUACUAUAGAAGGGAUAUUCUGUCUAAGGAAAGGCUUGUUAUUUAAGAGAUCCAUGUGAUCCACCUCUCUUCCUUGGGAAUAGAAACUUUGUGUGAUUUUUUUAGUACAAUAAUUUACACGCUUCCGACCCUAUUGGAACAACAAGUGGUAUCAAGAGUCGAAGGUUAAUCGUAGUAUGCUCUGUGGUUGCAGUUUGAACUAAUCUUCCACAUCAGAAAAGAUUUCCUUAGGUAUAUUGAAAGAUUAUGGAGAAAACGGUCGGUGUAGGAGCUUCAACAUCGUCCAUGUGGACAAAACCGACAAUUGCAAAUGCAAGAUUGGCCGUGGAGAUCUUUGAUGGCACGGGCCAUUUUGGUAUGUGGCAAAGUGAGGUUCUAGAUGCUCUUUUUCAGCAGGGUCUAGACAUUGCCAUUGAUGAAGAGAAACCAGAUGAUGUACAGGAGAAAGAUUGGAAGGCGAUCAAUCGGUUGGCAUGUGGCACAAUUCGAUCAUGCCUUUCUCGAGAGCAGAGGUAUGCUUUUUCAAAGGAGACUUCUGCAAAUAAGUUGUGGGUGGCACUUGAAGAAAAAUUUUUGAAGAAAAACAGUCAAAAUAAGCUCCACUUGAAGAAAAGACUGUUUCGCUUCACAUACGUCCCAAGUACCACAAUGAAUGAUCACAUCACCAAAUUUAAUCAGUUAGUCACUGAUUUGCUGAAUAUGGAUGAGACAUUCAAAGAUGAAGAUUUGGCUUUGAUGCUGUUGGGGUCACUUCCUGAGGAGUUUGAGCUCCUAGAAACUACUCUACUUCAUGGCAGGAGUGAUAUAUCUCUGAGCGAAGUCUGUGCGGCCUUAUACAGUUAUGAACAGAGAAAGAAGGACAAACAGAAAAACUCAAUCAGAGAUACAGAAGCUUUAGUAGUCCGAGGUCGUUCAUACACUCGGAAGAAAACUCAAAAGGGGAGAUCAAAGUCAAAGUCCAGACUCGGGAAAGAUGAAUAUGCUUUUUGUCAUGAGAAAGGCCACUGGAAGAAAAAUUGUCCAAAGCUGAAGAAUAAGGGAAAAGCUGCUGUAGAUGCUUGUGUUGCUAAGCAUGAUACUAGUGACUCUGAACUAUCACUGGUUGCAUCAUCAUCGUCGUUCCAUUCAGAUGAGUGGAUAUUGGAUUCGGGUUGUACCUAUCAUAUGUCCCCUAAUCGGGAGUGGUUCUCUGAUUUAGUAGAACUAAAUGGAGGAGUUGUUUAUAUGGGCAAUGACAAUGCCUGUAAAACUGUUGGGAUAGGUUCAAUCCAAUUAAAGAAUAAAGAUGGAUCAAUCAGAGUUCUGACUGAUGUUCAGUACGUGCCCAGUUUGAAGAAAAAUCUCAUCUCAUUGGGAGCCUUGGAAUCCAAUGGUUCAGUUGUUACUAUGAGAGAUGGGGUUUUGAAAGUGACAUCUAGUGCACUUGUGAUAUUGAAGGGCAUCAGGAAAAAUAACUUGUAUUACUACCAAGGUAGUACAGUUAUUGGAGCAGUCACUGCAGCUUCCGGCAACAAAGAAUUGGACUCAAUACAGUUGUGGCAUAUGAAGUUGGGACAUGCCAGCGAAAAAUCCUUGCAAAUUCUGGCAAAGCAAGGAUUGUUGAAAGGUGCAAAGGCUUGCAAAUUAAAAUUUUACGAGCAUUGUGUUCUGGGAAAGCAAAAGAGAGUGAAAUUCGGUACUGCUAUCCAUAAUACAAAAGGUAUUUUGGAAUAUGUUCACUCAGAUGUGUGGGGGCCUUCCAAGACACCUUCAUUGGGAGGAAAACACUACUUUGUUACUUUUAUUGAUGACUUUUCCAGAAGAGUUUGGGUGUAUACCAUGAGAACUAAGGAUGAAGUGCUUAGAGUUUUUCUUAAAUGGAAAACUAUGAUCGAAAACCAGACUGGCAAGAAAAUCAAGCGGCUUAGGACGGACAAUGGAGGGGAAUAUAAAAGUGAUCCGUUCUUCGAUGUGUGCCAAGAGUAUGGUAUUGUUCGACACUUUACAGUUAGGGAUACACCACAGCAGAAUGGAUUGGCAGAGCGUAUGAAUCGAACAUUGCUGGAGAAAGUUCGAUGUAUGUUGUCCAAUGCUGGGUUGGGCAAGCAAUUUUGGGCUGAGGCUGUGACAUACGCUGGCCAUCUUGUUAAUCGUUUGCCAUCAUCUGCAUUAGAAAGAAAAACUCCUAUGGAGGUAUGGUCUGAAAAACCGGCUACAGAUUAUGAUUCCUUACAUGUGUUUGGAACCACUGCAUAUUACCAUGUGAAGGAGUCAAAGUUAGAUCCGAGGGCAAAGAAAGCUCUCUUUAUGGGAAUCACUUCUGGAGUGAAGGGAUUUCGUCUUUGGUGCUUAAGUACAAAGAAAAUGAUCUGUAGCAGAGAUGUUACCUUUGAUGAAUCUGCCACAUUGAAAAAGGUAGCAGAUAAAGAUAUUCAGACGAGCAAUACUCCACAGCAGGUGGAGUGUACUCCAAAACAGGUAGAGUUUGAGCAGAUGGGGAUUUGCCCAGUUAAUAAGUCUAAUUCUCCAGCCACAAUGGAGGAAUUAGAGGUUGAAGAGGUUCUGACCCAAGAACCACUAAGUACACCAGAACCAGUUGCAGUUGCAAGACCACGGAGAGAAAUUCGUAAACCUGCUCGAUUUACUGAUAUGGUGGCCUACGCCCUUCCCGUUGUUGAUGAUAUUCCUAUCACUUAUCAAGAAGCAAUGCAAAGCUUAGAAAGUGAUAAAUGGAAAAGCGCCAUGGAUGAAGAAAUGCAGUCUCUCCGGAAGAACAAUACUUGGGAGUUGGCGCAAUUACCGAAAGGUAAAAGGGCAAUCGGAUGCAAGUGGGUAUUCGCAAAGAAAGAUGGAUCUCCUAGCAAGAAGGAUAUUCGCUACAAGGCAAGAUUGGUAGCUAAAGGCUACGCUCAGAAGGAGGGAAUUGACUACAAUGAUGUAUUUUCCCCUGUUGUGAAGCAUUCUUCCAUUAGAAUUUUGUUGGCCUUGGUAGCACAGUUGAAUUUGGAGCUAGCUCAACUUGAUGUUAAGACGGCUUUCUUGCAUGGUGAGUUAGAAGAGGAGAUCUAUAUGACUCAGCCAGAAGGAUACACAGAUGCUGGUGGUAGAAAUUGGGUUUGUAAGCUUAACAAAUCGCUAUAUGGAUUGAAGUAAUCCCCGAGGCAGUGGUACAAGCGAUUUGAUAGCUUUAUGAGAAGCCAGAAGUACACAAGAAGCAAAUAUGACAAUUGUGUAUAUUUGCAGAAGCUGCAUGACGAAUCUUUCAUUUAUCUACUCUUGUAUGUUGAUGAUAUGUUAAUCGCUUCGAAGAGCCAAAAUGAGAUAGAUAAGCUGAAGGCUCAGUUGAAUCAAGAGUUCGAGAUGAAAGAUCUAGGUGAGGCCAAGAAGAUUCUCGGCAUGGAGAUAAGUAGAGAUAGACCGAGAGGCAAGCUCUAUUUAAAUCAGAAGCAAUAUCUGAAAAAGGUAUUACAAUGUUUUGGUGUAAAUGAAAACACAAAACAUGUAAGUACCCCACUUGCUUCUCAUUUGAAACUUAGUGCUCAAUUAUCUCCGAAGACUGAAGAUGAAAGAGAAUAUAUGGCGAAAGUCCCAUAUGCUAAUGCAGUUGGGAGUUUGAUGUAUGCGAUGGUGUGUACGAGGCCUGACAUUUCACAAGCUGUUGGAGUUGUGAGCAGGUAUAUGCAUGAUCCUGGAAAAGGACAUUGGCAAGCUGUGAAAUGGAUUCUACGGUAUCUUCGAAAAACCGUAGAUGUUGGUUUAAUUUUUGAACAGGAUGAAGCACUUGGUCAGUUUGUAGUUGGAUAUGUUGAUUCCGACUUUGCUGGCGAUUUAGAUAAACGUCGUUCAACUACGGGGUAUCUGUUUACUCUUGCGAAAGCCCCAGUGAGUUGGAAGUCUACCUUACAGUCUACAGUAGCUGUGUCUACUACAGAGGCAGAAUAUAUGGCAGUUACAAAAGCUGUUAAGGAGGCUAUUUGGCUUAAUGGAUUGUUGAAAGACUUAGAAGUUGUUCAAAGUCACAUAAGUUUAUAUUGUGACAGUCAGAGCGCUAUUCAUUUAGCGAAAAAUCAAGUCUAUCAUUCAAGAACCAAGCAUAUCGACGUAAGAUAUCACUUUGUGCGAGAAGUCUUUGAAAAAGGAAAAAUUCUACUUCAGAAGAUUCCGACAGCAGAUAAUCCCGCAGAUAUGAUGACCAAGGUGGUAACAACAAUCAAGUUUAAUCAUUGUUUGAACUUGAUUAACAUCCUGAGAAUUUGAGCACCUUCAGGUGUAUGGCGCUCGAGAGCGCAUUUGUAGGCACUACAAAAGAUAGCUUUAUCGAAUUUGGGGAGUUGAAGGAAGUGUGUGAAGAUGUGAUUAUCCUAAUCAAAUCUUCAAGGUGGAGAGUGUUAACAUUAAUGGAAGAUAAUUAAUAAUGGUUGCCAUAAACAUUAAUGGGAGACAAUCAAUAAUGACAACCACCAACUUUGGAAAAGUGGCAAGGGAUAAUUUUUUUUUGGUCCUUGAGAUAAUGGGCUAUUUAUUGUUUGGUCCUUGAACCUCAACUAUAAAUAGGCCUUCUCAUUUCUCAUUUCAAUUCAUCCCAACCAAUCUUUCUCUCUUAGUUUUCUCUCUUCUCUCAUUUGAGAAUUCUUAAGGAAUUCUAUUUGUUUGUAAUAUCUUGAAGAUAGUAAAGUUAUCAUCUGGUGUUAGUGCCCGAGGACGUAGGUAUAAUUUACCGAACCUCGUUAAAACUCUUGUGUUCUUUCUUGUCCUAUUUUUCUUUCAAUAUUUGAGGGUAUAAUAGUAGUAUUUAAUUGUGCUAUUAAGUUACUAUAGAAGGGAUAUUCUGUCUAAGGAAAGACUUGGUAUUUAAGAGAUCCAUGUGAUCCACCUCUCUUCCCUGGGAAUUGAACUUUGUGUGAUUUUUUAGUACAAUAAUUUACACGCUUCCGACCCUAUUGGAACAACAGCCAGACCGUUUCAAAAUGAAAUAAUCUACCUGCAUUAGAGAAAUUACCUGAAUUAGUUGAAAAAUUCGUAUCCAACAACAAAGGACAAUGAUCAGAAAUUGUAUUAUCAGCAUGAGUGAGGGCCUGUAAGAUGGAAACUUCUCAGACCAUGCUAGAUUCGCCACUCCCCUAUCGAGCCGCUCUCUGAUGUUAUUUGAUAGUAUGCUCCUCAUGUUAAAAUUUAACACCAAAAUUUUAAAUGUUUAUUUAUUUUUGUCAAUUUGAUACUUAGUUUUUUAGUUAAAUUUAGCAGUCAAUCUUUUAAAAAGAGUAAAAUUUGGCCAUCCACUUUUAAAAAGAAUUUAAUUGCUAUUUUUUACAUUAAAAUGUUACAUUUUUAAAUAUGGUAGUCCGUGUGAAAAUUCACAUACACUUUAUGCUAAUCUAUUUGAAUUUUGAAUUUUUUUAAAAUAAUUUUUAAGUUUUUACAAUUUUUAAAUUAUUUUUUAAUGUAUUAUAAAAGAUAAAUAGUAUUAUGUUAAUAAAAAUGAUUUGAGUUUUUUAAAAAGUUAAUAGUUAAAUUUAACUAAAAAAAUAUAAAUAUUAUGAGUAAAUUUAUGAUUAUACUUUUUUUUAUUAAACCUUUUGAGGGAUAAGGGUGUACUUUUCAAAGGUAACACAUUUUUUUUUUUAGAAAUCUCAUCAUGUGUUUGUGAGAUAUCACUUUUUGACGAAGUUGAUAGCCAUCUCUUUUAUAAAAGAAUAAAUUUUCAAAAAGAAUUUACCAACAUAAAUUUUACAGCCAACAUUCAACACUCUAUUCCAUUUGACCCGUGAUUUAAUCAGAAUUUUACGAGUAAAACUCAAUUUUGAUCCUCAAAAAUUUGGAAAGAAAUUCAAUUUAACCCUCUUUCUAAAUUCAGACAUUUAAUUUUAAUUCAAAACCCAAACCAGAAAAAUUAGUUCAAUUAUAAAAUUAGAUUAAAAAAUCAAUUUAACUAAAAAAUUUCCAAAUGAGCUCCUAUUGGAAAUUUUCUUAAGGCGAUUUCUUGAGUUCAAAUUUGCCUAAGUCAAUUUUACUCUUGAAAAAUAAAAUUUUUUGCAAAAAUUCUUUAAGGCACCGAAAGUAAAGUAGAAGCAAACUUGAAAAAAGAAGAAGCCACACACGCACAAAAAAAUUAGUGCAUACCAAGUGUUUGAAUAAAUACUCUCAAAAGUAUUAUUUAAAAAAAAAUAGUAUACCAAGUGUUUGAGUAAAUGCUCUCAAAAGUAUUAUUUAACUCAAGAAUAGAAAAUCUCUAUUUAUAGUUGAACUCCCCUAGAUCCAACGGUACAAAUUGAAUUACAUUAAUGACUGAGAUUAGUGUCUACCCACAAGAUAAGAAUCCUAAGGGAUUUAAACUCUACUAAUCUUUAUCCCUUAAGAUUUACAAUAAUUACCAUGGUAACUCUAGUUUCAUUGGAGUAUUUUACUGGGCCACCAAGGCUUUAAAUAGAUGAGUUUCUCCAUGUGUUCCAUGUAUCAGGUCAGUUUAAAUUAGUUAAAUGAGCCUCAUUUAAUCAGUUGACGUCUAUGAGGUGUUUUGUGUGCAAUAGUCAUGGGCUUUGAUUUGCGUCCCGUGACAUUCUCCUCCACCCAUUUUUCGCAACACCCUCGUCAUAUCCUCAGAAUGAUAUUGCUUUGACUCGUCUUAGAACUGCCUCAAUGCCUUGGCUAAUUCCCAACUAGUCUCUUUAUCGCAUAGUUUCGCCCCUCAGAAUAUUUGCCUUGACUUAUAUCUCCACCGUCGCCUAACUCAGACUGUAUUUCUCUCUUGUACAUCUCGGUCGUAAGAGGUCACCGCUUUUACUUGUCCCUAUUGUGACUUGUCUCAAUCGAGAUCCCCUUAAUCCUCAAAAACAAGAUUCAACACACCAACAUUAAACACCGAUUUAACCUUGGGUAUUGCCGCUAAUUUUGGUUUUUAAGCCCUUUGGCUUACCCACUUCAGAACAUUGAAAUGCCCUCUGUGUCUUUACCAAUCCAACAAUAAGUCAUAAUGUAAAACACUAGAUAAGUGUUUGAGAUGUACCUCGCUCGUAGAAUUUACUCAAUUUAGUUGCCCAAUUUACAUUACUACUUUUCUUCAAAAAUUUGAUACACAACCUAUCUUUCUCAUAAGUGGUAGCCCCAUUGGUAACUCAACAAACUUCCCAUUGGUUUGUCGCACCUUUAGCAUUUCUAAGGGGGUUUUCUUAGCACUCUGAUCUACUAAGUCGAUGUUUUUCCCACAAUGAACAUCCUCGACUAGCUGGAUUGCCGACGAUAUCUUUAUUUCACCCCUCACGGCUCGACUCACCAACGCAAUGCAUUAUUAAUGUCGAGUAUCGAAGAUACAUAUACAAUCAACAAAAGGAACCAAUAAAGCAUUAAUUCGGUUAAGGAAAUUCAAGCCAAGUACAAAGUCCUAAUCAUCUAAGUGAAUUACCUCAAAGUCUUUCUUGCCUUAUCAUUGAUCGGUUUAUAGCUUAACUUCUUAUGCUACUUCUAUAGUUGAGACCUCUUUGGAAUUUACCGUCUUGAUUUCUUAUUCGUUUUUUAAUUGAGAGACCAAGUUUACCCACAGCUUUCUACGAUAUGAAUAAGUCUAAUGUCCUCAUAUUAACAAGAGCACUCUUUCUUUGGCCUGCUAUGUUUACAUCCACAUGCACCAACUCUUUCUGCUUGCAAUCCCUAUUCACUUUCACAAAAUUGAGUAUCAUUGAUCCAAGCUUUGAAACCUCACUCACUGGCUCCGCUUCAUCUUAUUUGGUGGUCGCAGACAGUUUCGCAUUCUAUGUGGACCAUAACAUAAAAAACACUUUACUAGUUUCUUCUCCUUUUCUUUGACCCUCUAAGCUUCGACAGAACUCAAGAUCGAACCAAACCUCAUCAAUGCUUUCUUUAGCUCAUCAUCACCUUUGAUGACUGAAAUCACAGAUUUCUUUGGACAAUCCCUCACUAUAUGUGAACCAUCAUAAAAGAAAUUGUUAGAGUUGUAACCCGAAUUCUUAUUAAAAUAAAAUACAAGUGGCAAGAUAGGGGGAUCCAUGAGGGUGAAGGUUGAGGUACAGUACAGACUGUACAAGAAGAAUCCAUUUAGAAGUUUAAGAAUCCAUUUAGAAGUUUAAUUCCUUUGUUUGAUAUUGAUUUGAAUAAGGUGUUUCAACCUUACUGCAUUACUUCUAUUAUAUGUUGAUUAGAAUAAGGUUUUCUAAAACCUAUAAAUAGAUGCAGUCUAUACUCCUUGUAAUUAUCCAAAUUCGACAUAGUGAAUUUUAUUCUCCUUUGCUCGUGGUUUUUUUCCGAAAGGGUUUCCACAUAAAAUCUAUGUGUUCUAUUUUUCUCGCUUUUCUUACCAUUAUCGACAUUCUAUUUUGACAGAAACAUUUCAUUAGCCUCUUCGAUUUGUUGUUGGGCUUCCACUUCCCAUUAUGUGGUUUCCCUUUACCACCAUAUUUGUUGCUAUACUUAACAUUUCCUUCAUUUCUCUCACCAUUGCCCUUGUCCUUGGGUUUGGAAGAUUCGAACUUGUCAUUUCUCGGAAUAAGUUUAAUUAAGGACUCUACCAUGAUCAUAGCUUUGGACAGUUCUUGGACCCCUUGACGUUCCAAUUCCUGUUUAACCCACGACUUCAAAUCAUCGACGAUGAAAAAGAAUAAUGCCCACCUUCUCAUUCAAAUCCGUGAUUUGGAGCAUCAAUUCAUUGAAUUCUUUCAUAUACUCCUUCAUUGUGUCUUGUUGCGAGAAUCAUUAACAGAAUGCCGACGCAUCCUUUUUUUAGUAGUGUAAUAAUAAAUUUAGCCCUUCAAUGCCUAUAUAUUCUAUUAAUUUGGUCCUAAUUCUAAAAAAAAAAAUCUAGCCCUUAACUUUAUAGAUUAUGUAAUCUUGAUUCUUAAAAAUUUAUAAUAAAACUUAAAACAAAUAUCUAAUAGCUUUUUUAGAUAAAAAUAUAUACAAAAUUAUAAAAUGCAUAAAAAAAUAUAAAAAUAUGUAUAAAUAAAUUAAUACUCAAUUUUCUCUUUAAAGAAAAACUUCAAAGAAAAACACAAAUAAAAAGUUAAUCUAAUUUAUCAUCUCUUUUGUUGAAAAUGUGGUAAAUCAUUUUGGUCUUAGGGAUUUUCUUUGUUGUAAGGGUGAAAAGAAAAUCUAGGGUUUAGUCUGAAUGAGUCAAUAUUAACUAACAUGACCAAAAUUUAGUGUGAAACAGUUUUCUGAGCUACCAAACACUGUCUUGGAAUAGAAAAAGAACAUAGGGCAGCAUUAACUUGACCACUAAGAGCUGUAGACCCCAUCUUCUUCCAUUCUUUCUUUAAUUCUUCUCCUUCUUUGCAGUUUCCUUAAAACCAAAUUUCACCAUAAAAAACUCCUACUUGAAUGCAGGCAUAUGCAAGCAAGUACCUAACUGAAAAGGCAUUCGGUAAAUUUCUGAAUUUGCAGUAUUUUUUUCUUGAGCUUGGAAUGCUUCAAGCUAAUUAAUUAAAUUCUGUUUGGUGUUAUCCAGGAAGAAAUAGAUCCACAAAAAUGGAACCUCGGGAGCCUGAACAGAACAUCACUCACAUGGAGGCUUCGCUGUAUAAGGCAGCGGCAGAAGGCAACAUUGAAGUAUUCAAUAAUAACCAGGGGCUUCAACUUGAGUCGCUAAAGACCCCAAACCAAGACAACGUGCUCCAUGUUAACUUGGCAACCCAGGAGAUUUUCAAUUUCCCAGAACUCAAAAAUCUUCUCCGUAGUACUUGCAUCAUUGAUUCGGUUUUUGAAUUCCGAAGUACUUGCAUCAUUGAUUCGGUUUUUGAAUUCCGAAGUACUUGCAUCAUUGAAUCGGUUUUUGAAUUCUUUCCUUACUACGAUAGAAAGAAAAAUAAAAUCAGAUUUUAUAAAAAAAAAAACCAGAUUUUGUCGAACAAAUUCUGAGCAAGUGUCCGUCACUGCUACUCCAAACGAAUGCUAAAGGUCAAACUCCUUUGCACGUUGCAGCAGGGUAUGGACAUUCUGCUAUUGUGAAACUUCUAAUCAAUUCUUGCGCAAAAGCUAGGGAUGGAGAUUUUGAGCUGGGAAUGGAUCAAGUAAGUGCAGUGAGGGAGAUGCUGAGGAUUAGGGAUCAAGAAUCCAACACGGCUUUACAUGAAGCAGCAGGGUGUGGCAAUGUUGAAGUGGUGAAAGCAUUGUUGGAGUUUGAAGACCCUGAUUUUCCAUAUUCUGCCAAUAAAAAACAGGAGACUCCACUUUAUAUUGCAGCUAAGAGAAGAGACGGCGGCGUGCUGAAUGUAAUAUUAGAGAAAUCAAAAUCAACAGCUCAUGGCGGCCCCCACGGUAGAACAGCUUUGCAUGCAGCAGCUAUGGCUGGAUAUUCAGGUAUGUUGUUGAGUUAAUUAGUUCCUUUUUUAUAUUAAAAUUUUGAAAUAAAUAAACAGGUCGAUUGACAUUUUUUUUUGCUUGGAUUUAGAGGCAAUAAGGGUAAUAUUAGAGACGAAGGGGAAUUUGACAAAGGAAAGAGAUGAAGAUGGGUACACCCCUCUUCAUUAUGCUGCACACUUAGGUUACAUUUCUGUUGUGGAAGAAGUGUUAAAAUGGGAUGUAUCAGCUGCCUAUAUAGGUGAUAAAAAGAGGGGGAUGACACCUCUUCUUAUGGCAGCCAGGCAAGGUCAUUUUGAAACAGUUUCAAAGAUUCAUUCUUUAUGUCCAGAUUGUUGUGAAAAAGUGGACAACAAAGGUUUGAGUUUACUUCAUUAUCUGGCUUUUAGAGGCUCUUCCUCCCUAAUACAGAGUUCAUUUUUCAAGUACUAUCCAUUUUUCAAGUAUGGUAGUAGUGAGAUUGUAUAUGGAUCAUUCGGAAAUCUAAGAAAGUUGGAAGGUGCCUUUGGAAUGACACCUCAAGAAGUUUAUAAUGCACUUCGAUCUGAGAAACAUCAUCAUAAACAGGUGUGUAUAUAUAUAUAUAUAUGUGGGGCAUUUCCAUGGCUAUGGUUUAAUUAAUAUUUAAGUUUUGAAUUAACAUAUUUAAUAAAUCUACAAUACAAUCGGCUAAUGUGGGUGGCAUGGCAGAAGCAAAUCAAAGAAUUGUUGGAAGAAAUUGAGAAUGAUCAAGUGGCGGAGGAACCAGUUUGUCGCUUUCCCAUACAAAAUGUUUCUACAGAAAGUUUGGAGAAGCAAAGAGAGGCUCAUUUAAUAGUGGCAGCACUUAUAGCCACCGUCGCAUUCGCAGCAGCAAUAACUGUUCCAGGUGGUUUGCAGAGUGAAAAAGGGUCAGAGCAAGGCACUCCCCUUUUGAUUCAUGAGGCAGCGUUUAAAGCAUUUGUUGUUACAAAUGCAUUGGCCUUUCUUUUCUCUGUUUCUGCCCUCACCACCCACUUUGGGGUUCUGGAUAAUCUAUUUUCACGAUUUAAAUUUUAUCGUCAAACAGUUUUAUAUCGAACUCGGGUUGUUUCUGGGAUCCUUGGCUAUGCAACGUUGGCAAUGGUGAUUGCUUUCAGCACAGGUAGUUAUGUGGUCUUAAAACCUUCCCACAGACUUGCCAUUGUUUCGUGGCUCAUCGGCCCUGCCAUUUUACUCUAUUUUUAUGGAAUUUUGAAUCCUUCAAUACAUAUGGAAAUAUAAAUAUGAUAAUAUUACUUUAUCAUUGAUUACAAUGUUGUUCCAAUUCCUAAUAAAAAAAAUUAAAAAUUCUUUUUUAAAAGAUAAUUUUGAGCCUAGGAUAAAAAUUAAGAGAAAAACGUUAUUAUAUGAAAGGGAAGUUUUAACACGCUCGCGACACUCAAAAUUAGCACCUUGUUAAAUAUGAUUUGUCUACAUUCAUAAAUUAAAAUUCAUAUCUAGGUACUUAAUUAUGAUCCAAAUUUUUGAUAAAUUAAAAACAAAUAUAUUAUAUGAGUGAAUCGGUUAUUUAAUAGCAAAACAAAAAUAAGGAUCAAGAUGUAGCAUAUUCAAAUUUCAAGGGCCUUUCUUGAGGUUUUCCAUUUUAUAUUUUUUAUCAUAUAUUACACAUAUGAACAAAUAAGAAAACAUUUGGGGCCAAAUCAAAUAUUAUCCCAAAGUUCAGAAACAUUCGACGUUAAAAAUUGUGAAAUUAAAUAGAAUAGAAAACAAUAACAUUUCAAAACUAAUAAAUAUUAACAAAAAUUGUAUCCCAAUUCCACAAAUUAAAACAAGAAUGUAACCCAUCAUUAAUACACAUGAAUUUCAAGACAACUUAGCCUUGAUUUAUGGUUUGAUUAUUCCACCUUUUACGUAAAAAUUAAGGGUGGUUCAUUAAAUAUCAAAAAAUCAUAAAUUAUACAAAGUAAGAUUUAUUAAAUAUCAAUAUUGUAACUAAUUUUCCAUUAUAAUUAAAAAUUAUAUUGACGAAUCAUUGAAUAAUAUGAGAAGGUUCGCCGCUAAUUUAUUUAGCUACAUGUGAUCAGUCACUUAUAAAAUCACCUUCUAAAAAAAAUUGAAAAUUCCUUUUUAAAAAGAUAAUUUUGGGUUUAUGAUAGAAAUCCAGAUAAAAAUGUUGAGAGUUGGUUAUGCGGAAAGAAGGUUUUAAUACCCUCACGACUCUUAAAAUUGAUACCACAAUAGUUGUAAUGAUAAUAAAAAAUUCCGUCACUAUUAUGAUAAUAGUUGUGACGGUUUAAAUUAUUCCACAAUUAAAUCGUUUUUAUAAAUGUAUAAUUGUCACCUAAUUUAUUUCUCUUUGAGAAAUUAUGUAAUAGGGACAAUAUCACUAUUGUCCAAAUCAUGCUCGGAUCCUAGUUAAUUUAUAUAAAAAUCAUAUAAACCUGAUUUUACUUUGAAUUUUGGUUUUCUCAAAAUUUGGAGCAAGAUUUUUUUAACGGUGGGGUUUUAGUUGGGUUAUGGCUAUGUUGGUUGAAGAGUCUCUUCGUAAUACUAUUGUGUAUAGUUCUUAAAAUUAUACAUUAUUAAUGCUCCAAACAAAAUUAAGUAUCUAUAAAGCUCAAACAAAAACACUUGAAUUUUUUUGUAAAGAAAUGAAUGGAAUUCCGAAUUUUGUAAGUAGAGAGCAUCAAUUUUUACUAAAAAGUACUCAUGUUGCCCAAAGGACAAUAAAAAGAAGAGCUCAUGAAAGCCCAAUGGUAGAACAACUUCGCAUGCAGCAGUUAUGGCUGUAAAUGGCAAGCAAUUUAGAUAUGGAAAUAUGUUAUCAACAACUUCAUUUAUUUCCCCAAAUAUCUGUGAAAGGGAAUUAAAUCUCCAUAUGAAGCCAAAGUGGAUGCGGUUCCAAGUGUUGAGCAGCAUAGUAAGUAAUCAAAAUAUAUAUGUCGCACUGCAAGGAAUUCAUGGCUGCCUUGUCCACAACACAAGGGCUUAUAGCUGCUAAGCACCUGCUCUUAAAUUUGAUUAUGGCCUAAUAAGCAGCAUAGGGCAGCAUUGACUUCACCACAAAGAGCUGUACACCCCAUUUUCUUCCAUUCUUUUUCUUCAUUUCUUCUCCUUCUUUGUAGUUUCUUUAAACCAUAAAAAACUCGUACUUUAUUGACCUGACAUCUAACCAGAGAUAGUCGUCUUUGUUUAGUAAAAAUAUAAAGCAGUAUCCAAAUACAUCAUUAAAACAUUUCCUUUUCUUUUCUUUACAAUUAAGUCAUUAUAUAAUAAUAAUAUCUAAAGUAAGUUAUACAAAUAAUCAUUCAAUUAUUAGUGUGUAUUACUGUUUUGGUCACUCAAGUUUAAAAAAGUCUAAUUUAAUUGUUAAAAUUAUCAACAUUUAAUAUUUUGGUCACUCCUUAAAUCAUGAUCAUAAUAUUGAUAUAAUCUUUUUUUAUUGGCAUAAUAAAAAUUUAGCCCUUCAAUGUCUACAAGUUCUAUUACUUUGGUUAGUAGCGAAUCUAGGGAGGUUGGCAGGCCCAGCCCUCUAAAAUGAAAAAUUUCUAUUUAAGGCCUUUAAAAAUUCAAAUUUGUAAUGCUAAAAUUACACUCCCUUAAAAUAAUAAAAAUUUGAUUUAAUCUUUUAAAAAUUAUAAAGACAAUAAAUUAUUAAAAUGGUAAAAUUUUAUUUUUACUAUUAUAAAAAAAUACAAUUUAAUUUCGCUCCCUCCUCUAAAAUUUCAUUUAGACCCUGAUUUUUCGUAUUCUGCCAACGAAAAACAGGAGACUCCACUUUACAUAGCAGCUAGGAGGAGAGGAUCUGGGCGCUUGUUGACUCUAUUAUUAGAUCAAUUGAAAUCAACUGCUCAUUGUGGUCCCCACGGUAGAACAGCUUUGUGUUGGGUAUGGGUCCCACUAUAUGGGAAACCCAUAUUUUCUGCCAUAAUGUUUUGUCUUUCUAUUAUUAUUGAGUGUCAAAUUCUCAAUUUUAAAAAAAAAAUAGAGAGUGAGAUUGAAGCUCGUUGGAGAAAAAGAGAGAAUAAAAAAAAUCAGUUUUUCAAGCUUGGUGCAGCAGUGAUCAACUCCUCGAUCGAAGGUCCAUCUGUGGUUCGAUUGAGCUGAUUUUUAGACAGCAGCUAGGUGAUAAGGUGUUCUUGACUUUGUACGGUCGGAUUUUUCAUCCGAGACUUGUAGCGUCGGAAAUACCCUUUUUUCAGCAGCUACGUUUUUGGUGAUAUUCUCUCAUUUUUCUCUCUUUUGCUAAAGAUUACAUAUUGUUAGCCUUGUCGGAGUUGAAUGCUUGUUGUAGGCUUGAUAUUGUGAUCUUGUAGUCGAACAUUUGAUGAUAGUAGAGCUCUUUAUCGGACUCUAAAGUCCCGUGGUUUUUACCCUUGAUUUAGAGGGGUUUUCCACGUAAAAAUACCGGUGUCUCUAUUUAUUUUUGUUGUGGUUGCAUUAGUUGAUUUGUGGUUGAUUAAGGUUGCUAGAGAACAUAUCUUGUGCUAUUGUGCUUGCCAUAAUUUUUGACAGGAGUUAUAAGGAGAGAAAGAACACCGGUUGUGCUUUCGCUUUGUUUCGGUUGUUCGGUUUCUUCCCAACAAACUGGUACCAGAGCUUGGUUAUUGUGUCAGGUAAUUAUGGAAAUUAAUACGAGCAAGAUGAUUAUGUUGAAUGGCACAAAUUAUCAACUUUGGCGGAAUAAAAUGAAGGACUUGUUGUUUGUGAAGGCUUUGCAUCUUCCGGUCUUUACUACUCAAAAACCCGAUUCGAAAAGUGAUGAAGAAUGGGAAUUUGAGCAUCAACAAGUGUGUGGCUUUAUUCGGCAAUUUGUUGAAGAAAAUGUUUACAACCACAUUGAUCAAGAGACACAUGCUCGAACAUUGUGGGAGAAGCUUGAAAGCUUGUAUGCUUCGAGGUCGGGCAAUAACAAGUUGUUUUUGCUGAAGAAAAUGAUGGCGCUGAAAUAUAAAGAAGGAAUGUCUAUAGCUGACCAUGUUAGUGAAUUUCAGAGUGUGAUGAAUCAGUUGCUUGGUAUGGGUGUCAAAUUUGAUGACGAGAUUUUAGGACUUUGGUUGCUUGCUACUCUACCAGACUCUUAGGAGACCUUUCGAGUCUCACUCAUUAAUUCUGCCCCACAGGGUAUUAUUACUUUGGAUUUGGCUAAGAGUGGUGUGUUGAAUGAAGAGGUUAGAAGAAGAUCUCUGGGUUCUACAUCACAGUCCGAGGUGUUGGUUAUCGAGAAUAGGGGAGAAACAGAGACAAAGAUGGAAAGGGUAGAGAUAAAAGCCGAAGCAAGUCAAGAUCGAGAUACAAGAAUCUUGAAUGUCAUCAUUAUGGUAAGAAAGGUCAUAUCAAGAAAUAUUGCUUCAAGUGGAAGAAAGAGAACAAAGGUGGUGGUGAUAAACACGAUCGGAAUGACGAUGAAAAAUCCGAGCGUGUUGCUACUGUUACUCGUGAAGAUCUGUUAGUUAUUUGUGAUGAGAAUUUGGUCAACCUAGCAUGCGACGAAACUAGUUGGGUGAUUGAUACUGGUGCAUCACUUCAUGUCACGUCGAGGAAGGAAUUCUUCACAUCUUAUACUCCUGGUGAUUUUGGGGUAUUGAAGAUGGGUAAUGAUGGUUUGGUUUCGGUUAUUGGUAUGGGAGAUGUUAGCUUGGUGAGUAACAAUGGAACAAAGUUAACUCUCAAGGAUGUCAGACAUGCACCGGAUGUCCGUUUGAAUUUGAUUUCUGCAGGAAAGCUUGAUGAUGAGGGAUUCUGUAACACCUUCAGUGAAGGGCAGUGGAAGCUGACUAAAGGCUCCUUGGUUGUGGCUCGAGGAAAGAAGAGCUCAAAUUUGUACUUGAUGCAAGCUUUGAAUUCUCGAGAGACGGUGAAUGUGACACUGAAUGACAACUCAACUGAGUUGUGGCAUAAACGACUCAGUCACAUGAGUGAGAAGGGGCUUAGCUGUUUAGCGAAGAAGAAUCAACUUUCAGGUUUAAAGAAUGCUACACUGAAGAAUUGUGCUCAUUGUCUAGCAGGAAAGCAGAAAAGAGUUUCAUUUAGAAGCCAUCUUCCUCAUAGGAAAUCAGAGUUGCUAGAGUUGGUCCAUUCAGAUGUUUGUGGUCCGAUAAAAGUAAGAUCACAUGGUGGUGCACUUUACUUUGUGACUUUCAUUGAUGAUUGUUCAAGAAAGCUAUGGGUUUACACUUUGAAGUCUAAAAAUCAAGUUUUUGAGGUGUUUAAACAGUUUCAAGCAUCAGUUGAAAGGGAAACUGGGAAGAAGUUGAAGUGCAUUCGUACUGAUAAUGGUGGCGAGUACACAGGGUCGUUUCAUGAGUAUUGUCUGCGACAGGGAAUCAGACAUCAGAGAACACCACCAAAGACUCCACAGUUAAAUGGGUUAGCUGAAAGAAUGAACCGAACAUUGAUUGAGAGAGUCAGAUGUUUGUUGUCAGAUGCAAAGUUACCAAGAUCGUUUUGGGCUGAAGCUUUGAAUAUAGUGACACAUGUGAUAAAUCUGUCUCCUAGUGUUCCUUUGAAAGGUGAUGUGCCAGAUAGAGUUUGGUUUGGUAAAGACGUGUCAUAUGAUCACCUACGUGUGUUCGGUUGUAAAGCAUUUGUUCAUGUUCCAAAGGAUGAAAGAUCCAAGUUGGAUGCCAAGGCUCGACAAUGCAUUUUUAUUGGUUAUGGUCUAGAUGGUGAGUUUGGUUAUAGACUCUAUGAUCCAGUUCAGAAGAAACUCGUGAGAAGCAGAGAUGUUGUCUUCAUUGAGGAUCAGACCAUUGAUGACAUUGAUAAGACGGAGAAAGUGGAUUCACAAGGUAGUGGUGACUUGAUCGAUGUGAAUCCGGUUCCCCUAGACUCUUCACCAGAUCCUAUCCAGGAUGAUGUGCAUGGUGAUGUUAGUGGUAACCAUCAGACUAUAGGUGACUUUGAUACUCCCAUGGAUGAUGUUGUGAAUGAUCAACAACAAGCACCUAUAGCUCCACCAGCAGUUCCACUUCGAAGGUCUUCCAGAGAUCGACGAUCUUCUGUCAGGUAUAAUCCUGAUGAAUAUGUUCUUUUGACUGACGGGGGAGAACCUGAAUGUUAUGAAGAGGCUAUGGAGAGUGAAUGCAAAGAUCAGUGGGUUGAAGCGAUGAAAGACGAACUUCAAUCCUUGCAUGAGAACCAUACUUUUGAAUUGGUGAAACUGCCUAAGGGCAAAAGAGCUUUGAAUAAUCGGUGGGUUUACAGGUUGAAGCAAGAAGAGAAGUCUUCAUCUCCACGAUACAAAGCUAGAUUUGUCGUCAAGGGUUAUACUCAGAAAAAAGGGGUUGAUUUUGAAGAAAUAUUUUCUCCAGUUGUGAAGAUGUCCUCUAUCAGAACUAUACUGAGUUUGGUAGCUUGUUAUGACCUAGAGGUUGAACAAAUGGAUGUGAAAACUGCUUUUCUUCAUGGUGACUUGGAAGAAGAGCUUUACAUGGAGCAGCCAGAGGGUUUUGUUGCACAAGGGAAAGAGGACUAUGUGUGCAGAUUGAAGAAGAGCUUGUAUGGUUUGAAGCAAGCUCCAAGGCAAUGGUACAAGAAGUUUGAGUCUGUUAUGGGGGAGCAAGGCUACAAGAAGACUACUUCUGAUCAUUGCGUGUUUGUUAAGAGAUUCUCUGGUGAUGAUUUUAUUAUUCUUUUGCUCUAUGUUGAUGAUAUGCUUAUUGUUGGUCAGAAUGCUUCUAGAAUUGAGAAGUUGAAACAAGAGUUGAGUAAAUCCUUUGCAAUGAAGGAUUUGGGGCCAGCAAAGCAAAUUCUUGGCAUAAGACUGACACGUGAUAGAAAGGCCAAGAAAUUAUGGUUAUCACAAGAGAGGUACAUUGAGAAAGUACUUCAAAGGUUUAGUAUGGACAAAGCUAAAGCGGUGAAUACUCCAUUUGCUAUGCACUUUAGAUUGAGUGUUAAGCAUAGUCCUUCCACAGAAAAGGAGAAGGAAGAGAUGCAGAAAAUUCCUUACUCUUCAGCCGUGGGUAGUUUGAUGUACGCAAUGGUUUGCACGAGACCAGACUUGGCUUAUGCCGUUGGUACAGUUAGUCGGUUUCUUUCUAAUCCAGGCAGAGAGCAUUGGAAUGCAGUGAAGUGGAUUAUGAGAUAUCUUCGUGGCACUUCCAACAUGAAACUUUGUUUCGGCAAUGAGAAACCUGUUCUUGUUGGGUAUACAGAUUCAGACAUGGCCGGAGACAUUGACUCGAGGAGAUCUACUUCAGGUUACUUAAUCACUUAUGCAGGGGGAGCUGUGGCAUGGCAAUCGAGACUGCAAAAGUGUGUUGCAUUGUCCACCACCGAAUCAGAGUUCAUUGCAGCAACCGAAGCGUGUAAGGAGAUGCUUUGGAUGAAGAAGUUUGUGCAUGAGCUUGGUUUUACUCAGGAGAAGUAUGUCCUAUACUGUGAUAGCCAGAGUGCUAUUCAUCUUGGUAAGAACUCAACUUUUCAUGCUAGAUCUAAGCAUAUUGAUGUGAGGUACCAUUGGAUACGAGAUGUUCUUGAAGCUAAGCUGUUAGAGCUUGAGAAGAUACACACUAAUGAUAAUGGUGCUGAUAUGUUGACGAAGGCCUUACCAAGAGGAAAGUUUGAAGCAUGUUGUUUGACCUCCGGCAUGGAGGCAUUCCCCACAUAGUUGGAGGGGGAGAUUUGUUGGGUAUGGGUCCCACUAUGUGGGAAACCCAUAUUUUCUGCCAUAAUGUUUUGUCUUUCUAUUAUUAUUGAGUGUCAAAUUCUCAAUUUAAAAAAAAAACAGAGAGUGAGAUUGAAGCUCGUUGGAGAAAAAGAGAGAAUAAAAAAAAUCAGUUUUUCAAGCUUGGUGCAGCAGUGAUCAACUCCUCGAUCGAAGGUCCAUCUGUGGUUCGAUUGAGCUGAUUUUUAGACAGCAGUUAGGUGAUAAGGUGUUCUUGACUUUGUACGGUCGGAUUUUUCAUCCGAGACUUGUAGCGUCGGAAAUACCCUUUUUUCAGCAGCUACGUUUUUGGUGAUAUUCUCUCAUUUUUCUCUCUUUUGCUAAAGAUUACAUAUUGUUAGCCUUGUCGGAGUUGAAUGCUUGUUGUAGGCUUGAUAUUGUGAUCUUGUAGUCGAACAUUUGAUGAUAGUAGAGCUCUUUAUCGGACUCUAAAGUCCCGUGGUUUUUACCCUUGAUUUAGAGGGGUUUUCCACGUAAAAAUACCGGUGUCUCUAUUUAUUUUUGUUGUGGUUGCAUUAGUUGAUUUGUGGUUGAUUAAGGUUGCUAGAGAACAUAUCUUGUGCUAUUGUGCUUGCCAUAAUUUUUGACAGGAGUUAUAAGGAGAGAAAGAACAUCGGUUGUGCUUUCGCUUUGUUUCGGUUGUUCGGUUUCUUCCCAACACUUUGCAUGCAGCAGCUAUGGCUGGAGAUGCAGGUAUGUUAAUGAGUUAGUUCCAAUUUCUUUUAAAAUUUUUUGAAAUAAAAAAAGAACAGGUCUAUUGACAUUUUUUUUGCUUGGAUUUAGAGGCAAUAAGGAUAAUAUUAGCGAAGAAUGGGAAUUUGACAAAGGAAAGAGAUGAAGAUAGACACACCCCUCUUCAUUAUAUAUGCUGCACACUUGGGUUCUAGAUUAUCAGUUGUGGAAGAACUGUUAAAAAGGGAUGUGUCAGCUGCCUAUAUAGGUGAUAAAAAGAGGGGAUGACACCCCUUCUUAUGGCAGCCAGGCAAGGUUAUGUUGGAACAGUUUCAAAGAUUCUCUCUUUAUAUCCAGAUUGUUGUGAAAAGGUGGACAACGAAGGUUUGAAUUUACUUCAUUAUCUGGCUUUAAGAGACCUUUCCUCUCCAUUGAGGCGUUCUCUUUUCAAGCGUGGUGGUGUUGAAAUUGCAUAUGGAUCAGUCAGAAAUUUAAUGGAGUUAGAAGGUGUUUUUAGAAUGACACCUCAAGAAGUUUACAAUGCACUUCGAUCUGAGAAUCAUUUCGGGAAACAUCAUCAUAAACAGGUCUAUAUAUAUAUAUAUAUAUGGCAUUUCCAUGGCUACGGUUUUAUUAAUAUUUAAAUUUUGAAUUAACAUAUUUAAUAAACUUACAAUACAAUCCGCUAAUGUGGGUGGUAUGAUAGAAGCAAAUCAAAGAAUUGUUGGAAGAAAUUGAGAAUGAUCAAGUGGCGGACGAACCAGUUUGUCAUUUCGGAUUCCGAAAUAUUUCUACAGAAAGCUUGGAGAAGACAAGAGAUGCUCAUUUAGUAGUGACAGCACUCAUAGCCACUGUCACAUUCGCAGCGGCAAUAACUGUUCCUGGUGGUUUGAUUAGUGAAAAAGGGUUAGAGCAAGGCACUCCCCUGUUGAUUGACGAGGCAGCCUUUAAAGCAUUUGUUGUAACAAAUGCAAUAGCCUUUAUUUUCUCUGUUUCUGCCCUCAUCUUUCAUUUAGGGGUUCUGGAUUAUCUAUUAGCAGGAGUUUUUUUGGCUUCAAAUAGUUUUAUAUCGAACUCGGUCUAUAUCUGAGAUCCUUAGCUGUGCAACGGGGCGAUGGUGAUGGCUUUCAGCCUAGGCAAUUAUGUGGCCUUAAAACCUUCUUAUGAAUUUGCCAUUGUUUCAUAUCUCAUCUGUCCUGCCUUUUUACUUUGGAUGUAGGUAUUUUUGAAUCCUCCAUUUUAUAUGUAAAAUAUAAAUAGAUAAUAUUACUUUAUCCUCUAUUACAAUGUUGUUCCAAUUCCUAGUGCCAAUGUUACCUUAUCAAUAUUACUUUAAUUUAUUUUUGGGAUACCUUAAUAUUAACAAUUUCCAUUUAAUUCAAAUCAAUAUAAAAUUAUUAGUUGAGAGACAUACAAUUUCCAAAAAGGUAAAAAAGAUCACAAUAUUUGUAAAGUAAGAUAUAUUUAAUAUCAAAUAAUAAUAAAGUUAUUGUAAUUAAUUUUCUAUUAUAAUUAAAAAUUAAUUUGACAAAUCAGUAAUAAAAUGAGAAUUUUAGGAUUAAAAAAACACAAAAUUUUAUUUAAAAAUGGGAAGUCAUCAUAAAUCCUUUUAGCUUUUGAAUAUUUAAAAAAAAAGUUAAUAUAAGUAUCAAAAUAAUUAAGUUGCUGUAGGCUUUCUUACAGGUGGUAAAAACAAAAUCAAAACAUUCAUUAACCCAUAUAGGGGCAAAGCCAAUAAUUUUUUUUAAGGGGUUGAAAUUAAAUUGUAUAUUUUUAUGAUAGUAAUAUAUAUAUAUAUAAUUUUACCAUUUUAAUAGCAUAUAUAUUUAUAAUUUUUAAAAAAUUAAAUCAAUUUUUUAUUAUUUUUGGGAGCCAAAAUGAAAUUUUAUGAUUAUUAAUUUAAAAUUUUAUAAAUUAUAAAGGGAUUAAAACAGAAAAUUCCCAUUUUAGGGGUAGGGCCUUACCAACCCUUGGCUCUACCUUAAGCCCAUACAUUUUCAACCAACUUUGGUGAAGUCAUUUUGAGAUUUCCAAUCUAUUAUAUUUGAUGUCUCAACAAUCUAUUAUAUUUGAGCUUUCCAACCUAUUAUAUUUGAUGUCUCAACAACCUCGGCUCCUCCCUUAAUAAUAUUUGAUGUCUUUGACCCUUAUUGCUUAUCCUGAGAGUAGAUAAUUAAUGCAUUCCACUUAUUGAACAAGGUUUUAUAGACAUUAACACAAGUUAAUUAUGAUUAAGGAAAAAUUAUCGUAUGAGUUUGAGAGCAUCUCGGAGAGCAUCCUUAUCGGACUUAAAGUCAGUAGAGUAGCCGUAGAAUAGGUAAGUCUUAGAAGCAAACAAUUUGUUCCUAUAAUUUUCCUUAAGAACCUUGACAACCCUAUCUUUGUUAUCUGAUUUAAGAAUUGAAGAGUAUCUCGAAGUCUGAACUCCAAUGCUCUUAAAGUGUUAUUACGUUUUGUAGGUCCAUUCCUUUUUACUCCACAAAGCUAGAGUCGUCCAAGCCUACCCGAUUCAUCUCCAAUUAAAAGAAACUGAAAUAGAUAUGUUGUGAUAGAAUUAUAUAAAUCUAUACUUCUUAUUCUUAAAGUAAUUAUUGUUAUUAUUAUAUUAGGGAAUUUUACUAACUUUGCUUGAAAACACAACAAGAAUAAAGCAAGUAAAAUGUUGUUUUGUUUAAAUAGAAUAAAGUAUAAGUUAAAGUGUUGAAGGAAUGAAUUAUGCAUGCUAUGGGGCUUUUGUUAUACUAUGCUGAAGUGUUCAAGAAAGGAAUUAUGCAUGCCACGCUUUUGUUAUAUGCUAUGUUAAAGACUUCAAGCCAUAUAUAUAUAUGUGUGUGUGUGUGUCACUUGUCUUGAUAAAGCCACUAGGUGUCGUGGAAUAAGUAAGGCAUUUUGUAAUUUUUCUUAAUUUGUAAUUUUUUUUCUUUUAUCUUUGAAUGUUCCAAGCUAAUUGAUUAAUUGGUGUUUUCAAGGAAGAAAGCUAUGCAAUAGAUCAACAAAUAUGGGACCAUCGUUAAACGACAUUGUUAUUUCCUCCGAUGAACCUGAGAAGCCUGCAGAGAACAUCACUUACAUGGAUGCUUCAUUGUAUAAAGCUGCAGCAAUAGGCAAAAUUGAAGAAUUCGAUAAUUACCAGGGGCCUGAACUUGAGUCGCUGAAGACCCCAAACCAUGACAACGUGCUCCAUGUUAACUUGUCAACCCCUGAGCGUAUCUGGCAACGUACCAGCAGAUUAGAUUUUGUCCUAAAAAUUCUUGUCAAGUGUCUAUCACUGCUACUCCAAACAAAUGCUAAAGGUCAAACUCCAUAGCAUGUUGCAACAAGGUAUGGAGAUUCUACUAUUGUACGACUUCUAAUCCUGUUUUGUGCAAGAGUUAUUGAUAAAGAUUUAGAGAAGCUGGGAAUGGAUCAACUGAAUGCAGUGAGGGAGAUGAUCAGACAUACGGAUCAAGAAUCCAAUACGGCUUUACAUAUAGCAACACGGUAUGGCCAUGUUGAAGUGGUGCAAGCAUUGCUGGAGCAUGAAGACCCUGAUUUUCCAUAUUUUGCCAAUAUAAACCACGAAACUCCACUUUACUUAGCAGCUAGGAGAGGAAGUCGGCGCUUGCUGAGCAUAUUAUUAGAUAAAUCAAAAUCAACUGCUCAUGGUGGCCCCCACGGUAGAACAGCUUUGCAUGCAACAGCUAUGGUUAGAGAUCCAAGUAAGUUAAGUUCCAAAUUUUUUUUUGUUUGAAAUAAAUAGAGAAUAGAACCAUUGACUUUUUUUUGGGCUUGAAUUUAGGGGUUACAAGGAUAAUUCUAGAGAAGAAAGGGAAUUUGACAAAGGAAACAGAUGAAAAUGGACGCACCCCUCUUCACUAUGCUGCACACUUGGGUCACGAUGCAGUUGUGGAAGAGCUGUUAAAAUGGGAUAUAUCUGUUGCUUAUAUAGGUGAUAAAAAGUGGGGGAUGACACCCCUUCUUAUGGCAGCCAGGCAAGGUUUUUUUGGAACAGUAAGAAAGAUUCUGUCUUAUUGUCCAGAUUGUUGUGAAAGAGUGGACAAAAGAGGUUGUGUUGGUGCAGGAGGCAGCAACAAGCUGUUUUGUGUCUUGCUUGAAUAGCAAGCCUCGAGCCUUGGUGAAGAAGCAAACUCGGAAGCAGAAACAGAAAAAUGAAACUAGCUAGUGAAAAAAUAGAAAAGAGAGAAGAAGAUUGAAUGAAAAAUGAGCUGAUUUCUUUCAUUAACACAUCAACAAGGCAUUAAGCCAUUACAUAUAUCAGUCAAGAAGUAAAACAAACAAGUAAUCACCUAAUCAACUACCUAACUCCACUAAUUUGCAUUGAAACUUACAAGAUUAGCUUGUACAACUUGCAUUGCUGACUUUUCAGUCAAUCAAUAUCAAAACAUUUACCUACUUAGUUUAACAUGAACUAGAACACAAAAUGUUCAUUUGAGUAACCAAAUGAAACAAUGCAGUUUCGGUUUGCUGUUAAAGCACGAUCCCUGCAUGGCCACCUUGCAUGGUCACCUUGGCUGCUGCAUGGGGGUUGACUUCAACACUCCUCCUCAGCUUCUAUGCAGCAGACUCCUAGUUGCUUCCUUAGGUUUACAAAUCUCGAUGCACCAAGUGAUUUUGUGAAGAUAUCAGCGAUUUGAUCUUCUGAGCUGCAAUGAAUUAGCUUGAUCUCUCGAGCUUGUUCCAUUUCUCUUAUCACAUGGAGUUUGAUGUUGAAAUGUUUUGUCCUGCCAUGGAAGACAGGGUUUUUAGCAAUAGCAACUGCUGACUUGUUGUCACAAUGUAUCACAGUUGCAUCAUUCUGCUGUAGAUUCAAAUCACCCAAAAUUUUUCUCAGCCACAUAGCUUGAUUAACAGCAUUAGCAGCUGCUACAUACUCUGCUUCUGCUGUCGAUUGAGCCACCAUUGUUUGUUUUCUUGAGCUCCAACAAAUCAUAGCUGAGCCAAGAGUAAAAGCAUAGCCAGAAGUGCUCUUCAUGUCAUCCUUUGAACCAGCCCAAUCGCUAUCAGUGUAGCCAAUCAGUUUCAACUCUUCAGUCUUUCUAAACUGUAUUCCAUGGUUUAAGGUACCUUUGAUGUAUCUUAGCACCCUUUUCCCAGCCUUGUAAUGUUGCUGGUUACAGCAGUGCAUGAACCUUGAUAGCAUGCUCACAGCAAACAGAAUGUCAGGUCUUGUUGCUGUUAAAUACAGCAAACAACCAACAAGGCUCCUAUAAAAUGAUUCAUUGACAGGCUCGUGUUCUUCUUGGCUCGACAGUUUUAUGCCAACUGCCAUAGGUGUGCAUGUUGGCUUGCAAUUUUGCAUUGAAAACUUGGAUAAAACUUUCAAAGCAAACGCCUUUUGUGCCAAAAAGAUUCCUUGAUCAGCUUGUUGUAUCUCUAUUCCAAGGAAAUAAGUCAUCAACCCCAAAUCUGACAUCUCGAACAUUUCUUUCAUUUUUGCUUUGAAAUCAGCCAUCACAAGCUUGUCUCCUCCAGUCACUAGAAGAUCAUCAACAUAUAGUGACACAAUAAGCUGUGUUUCAGCUUCAUUCCUCUUAACAUAGAGUGUUGGCUCACUAGCACUCCUUUCAAAUCCCAAACUGACCAAGUAUGAGUCAAUUCGAGCAUACCAGGCUCGAGGGGCCUGUUUUAGGCCAUACAAGGCCUUUCUUAGCCUAUACACCAAAUGUUCCUUACCAGGCAUUAUAAAACCUGGGGGUUGCUCGAUGUAUAUCUCCUCUUCUAGGAAUCCAUUGAGGAAUGCAGACUUGACAUCCAUUUGGUGGAUUGUCCACUGGUUCUGAGCAGCAACUGCAAUCAGUAAUCUGAUUGUAUCGAGUCUGGCUACUGGAGUAAAUGUUUCCAUGUAGUCCAGACCAUACCUUUGACUGAAGCCCUUUACAACUAGUCUGGCCUUUAGCUUAUUUAAACUUCCAUCCGCAUUGUGCUUCACUCGAUAGACCCAUUUUACACCGAUAGUCUUUCUGAUGGCAGGCUUUUCAACCAACUCCCAUGUCUGAUUCUUUACAAUCAUGUUGAUUUCAUCAACCAUAGCUUGUUUCCAACCUUCAUCUGCCUCAGCCUCUUCAAAACUGCUAGGUUCUGCUAUUGCAACCUGUGCCCUUUCAUAAAUAUCUUCUAGGAGCCUUGUGCCUCUCACAGGCACAUCAUCAACAUCCAUUUCAGGUCCUAGCUGCUCAAGUUCAGCUUGAUUAGGCACUAGGUCUUCUAAAAUUGUUUCUGGCUCAUUUUUCUCCCAAUUCCAGCAGGCUUUUUCAUCAAAGAUGACAUCUCUGCUCACUUGGACUUUGUUUGUCAAGGGAUCCAGAACCCUGUAGCCCUUUUUGACUGAGCUGUAACCUACUAGAACACCUGGUUGAGCCCUUUUGGAGAGCUUGUCUCUCUUUGCUGCUGGUACUUGUGCAUAACACAAGCAACCAAACACCUUCAGAUGUGCCAAGGAAGGCUUGAAACUGAACCAAGCCUCGAAAGGUGUCUCGGAUGCAAGAGCUUUAGUAGGAAGCCUGUUCUGAAGGUAAACAGCAGUGUUUACUGCCUCAGCCCACAUGGUCUUGGGCAGUUUCUUUUCAAACAGAAGACAUCUGGCCAUAUCCAUCAGACUUCUAUUCUUUCUUUCAGCUACCCCAUUCUGCUGAGGUGUGUAGACAUUUGUAAGCUGAUGUUUGAUACUAGCAUCAUUGCAAAUGGCUUGAAACUGAGCUGAAGUGUACUCAGUGCCAUUGUCAGUCCUUAUCGAUUUCAGCUUGCAACCUGUUUCUGUUUCUACAGCAUUUUUAAACUUCACAAACACUUGAGCUACCUCAGACUUGUGUUUUAAAAAGAAAAUCCAGCAAAACCUUGUAAGGUCAUCAAUAAAGAGGAUGAAAUACCUGUUUUUGCUGAGUGAUUCAGUCCUCAUCGGGCCACAUACAUCAGAGUGCACCAGCUGCAGUCUUUCAGUAGCUCUCCAAGCUGAAUUUGUAGGAAAUGGCAGUCUUGCCUGUUUCCCCAUUUGGCAAACUUCACACACAUCAUCAUGCUCCACUGAGCUGGUGAAGUUUUCUGCCAUGCCCUCUUUGGCCAAUCGAGCCAUUGAUCUAAAGUUGGCAUGUCCAAGCCUUUGAUGCCAAAGCUUGAAGUCAUCAACAGAAGUUGUGUAUGCUGAGUUUGAGUCAUUUGCCCAGUGAACCUCAAAGCAUUUAUCAGUCAUUGUGACUGUCAUAAGGCUUGAUCCACUUGGAUCAGCAAUGUGGCAUUGUUUGUCCUUGAACACAACAGAAUAACCUUUCUCGAGCAGUUGAGCUAUGCUGAGAAGGUUUCUGUCAAUCUCUGGCACCAACAGCACAUUUGGAAUGAUCUUGUUGCCUGUGGGAGUACAUAUCAGCACUUCUCCUCUUCCUUCAGCCCUUAUAAACUGACCAUUUCCAACAUUGACCUUGGUUUUAUAACUUCUAUCCAAGGUUUUAAACAAAGAGGCAUCUGGUGACAUGUGGUUAGUGCAACCACUGUCCAGCAACCAGCUUUUUGAGCAUUUCUUCUCAGCAGCUAAACAGGAAACAGCAAAGACCUGUUCUUCUUGGUCACUACUGUCCUCAGCUACUCGAGCUUCAACCUUUGACUGCUGAAAUUGAUUCUGCCUUGGCUUACUCCUGUUUUUGCAGACCCUUUCAACAUGGCCCUUCUUCUUGCAGUGUUGGCAUACUGCAUCUGGCCUAAACCAGCAUCUGUCUUCUGGAUGGCCAGGCUUCUUGCAAUAUCUGCAGGGCUGGUCAUUGCUCCUUGCAGCAUCAGGCUUAGGCCUGUUUUUCCAAGGCUUUUUACCUCUUUGAGCAUUGGUGCUCGAGGCUUCUCUGGCCUUGGCUUGAAAUGCACCUUCUUGGUGAUCUUCAGCUCUGCUAGCUCUCCUUUGUUCCUGAGCAUAGAAGGUGUUGAUUAACUCAGUCAAAGAGAUGCUAGCAAGGUCUCUUGAGUCCUCUAGGGAGGAUAUCUUGGCCUCAUAUCUCUCAGGCAAAGUGGAGAGGACUUUCUCCACAAUUCUUGCCUCAUCAAAGUGCUCACCUAGGAGCCUUAUGCUGUUAACCACUGCCAUAAUUCUAUCUGAAUACUGCUUCACUGUUUCUUCUUCCUUCAUCUUCAAAUUCUCGAAAUCCCUUCUCAAGUUCAACAGCUGCUGUUGCCUUGUUCUCUCAGUACCUUGAAACUCCUCCUUAAGCUUGUCCCAGGCCUGUUUUGGAGUCUCACAGGCCAUAAUUCUGGUAAAGAUGACAUCUGAUACACAGUUCUGAAUACAGGACAUGGCUUUGUGCCUUUUGGUCCUCUCAUCAGCAUGUUGUCUGAUCUGAGCUACUGUGGGAUUAGCCCUCAGUGGUGCUGGCUCAGCAUAUGUGUUAACAACUUCCCACAGAUCGAAGGCCUGUAGGUAAGUCUUCAUCUUGACCAGCCAUAUGUGAAAGCCUUCUCCAUUGAAGACUGGUGUGGCUGCUGGUGAAAAUCCUGAAGAAGCCAUCAAGUUCCUUGAUUUGAAGCAACAGGUCCACUAAGACAAGAGCUCUUGAUACCAAUUGUUGGUGCAGGAGGCAGCAACAAGCUGUUUUGUGUCUUGCUUGAAUAGCAAGCCUCGAGCCUUGGUGAAGAAGCAAACUCGGAAGCAGAAACAGAAAAAUGAAACUAGCUAGUGAAAAAACAGAAAAGAGAGAAGAAGAUUGAAUGAAAAAUGAGCUGAUUUCUUUCAUUAACACAUCAACAAGGCAUUAAGCCAUUACAUAUAUCAGUCAAGAAGUAAAACAAACAAGUAAUCACCUAAUCAACUACCUAACUCCACUAAUUUGCAUUGAAACUUACAAGAUUAGCUUGUACAACUUGCAUUGCUGACUUUUCAGUCAAUCAAUAUCAAAACAUUUACCUACUUAGUUUAACAUGAACUAGAACACAAAAUGUUCAUUUGAGUAACCAAAUGAAACAAUGCAGUUUCGGUUUGCUGUUAAAGCACGAUCCCUGCAUGGCCACCUUGCAUGGUCACCUUGGCUGCUGCAUGGGGGUUGACUUCAACAGGUUGGAAUUUACUUCAUUUUGUGGCGUUUAGAGACCUUCCUAUUGGAUUACGCUUUUUAUUAAAGGAUGAUGAUGCUACCACUGAAUAUGGAUCAGUCAGAAAUCUAAGGGACUGGAAAGAUGCUAGUGGAAUCACACCUCAACAAGUUUUCUAUGCAUGUCAAUAUGAUAAGGAAGAGAAAAAGGUAUAUUUAUAUGUGUAUUUCUAUGCCUACGGCUAUGGUUUUAUUAAUAUUUGUGUUUUGAAUUAUGAUUAUAUAACAUAUAUAAUAUAAUGAUCUAUAAUAUAAUCGGCUAAUGUGGUAGGAGCAAAUUGUGAAAUUGUUAAAAGAAAUUGUGAAUGAAGAAGUCGCGGAGAAACCAGUUUGUCCCAUUGGCUUGCCAAACAUAUCUGCAGAUAUAAACUUAGAGAAAACAAGAGAUGCUCAUUUAGUAGUGGCAGCACUUAUAGUCACCGUCACAUUCGCAGCGGCAAUAACCGUUCCAGGUGGUUUCAAGAGUGAAGAAGGUUCAGACCAGGGCACUCCUUAUCUGAUUCAUGAGGUAGCUUUUAGAACAUUUGUUUUUAACAAAUGCAUUGGCCUUUAGUCUCUCUCUUUCUACCCUCUUCAUCCACUUUGGGAUGCUGCUUCCUCUUUUUCCAAAAUCGCUUGGUUCAAUUACAUCUAAAAUGUUCAUCGCUGAUGUGAUCCUCGGCCCUGCACUCGUUGCCAUGGGGAUUGCUUUUAGCACAGCUACUUAUGUAGUCUUAAAACCUUCGCUUGGACUUGCCACUACUGCAGUUUGCAUCAGCCCUGCCAUUAUUUUCUAUUUUUUAUUUUGCUCAAAAUUUAUGCCUGUAUACAUAAUUAAUCAUAAUUAUUUUUAAGUAAACUACACUAACAGUAACUAAAUUUUGUUUAAAAUUUUGUUACGAAGAAAUUGGACUAAGAGGUAAAAAUGGGUAAAAUGAAAAAAUUUCCGUAUAAGAGUAUUUUGGUCAUUUUUGAAGAAUUUUAUAAUCGAAAUAUUAUUUUGACAUCACGUUUGAUACUUGGUUUAAAUUUGAGCCAUUGGAUGUGAAUGAAACGAAGAGAUGGAAUGUGAACCGCAUGUUAGUAUUUUUUACCUGGCUUUGACUUGGAUAUUUUUAUUUAGGUGUUUUAAAAUUGGCCAAAGAAGGAUGAAAGCUCAUAUAAUAUAUAACACUACAUACCUGAUUCAAUCAUCAGUUCCAAGUUAUAAGGUCUCACACUUGUGUCAGAUCAACUACGAUCAAAUUUAAUACAAUCCACACCAUCAAUCAUAUAAACAUGAAAUUAUAGGCAAACAAAACAAUAUAUAAUCAAUCCCUAGUAUUAUAUAAGCUUACAAAAGCUCAUAAGCUAACCCGAGACUGAAUCAUGACUGAAUUGUAAAUAAAUUAAAUUACAAUGUUGACGUUGUGACAUCGUUACUUCCUCGUUGUGAUGUUGUCAAAUAGUUUGCCACAUCACGACGUUGCAGCGCCACUUAUUGUUUUGGCCUCGUCAAGAUGACGGUGUUUCUCAUAUUGCUGUGACAUUAUAGGUCAUUUCUUGUCGUGGUGUCAUAUGCUAUUUCUACAAAAUUUUUCUUGAUUAUGUUAAAGUUGUAUGACCCAAAUCUCAUCACUUGUUCUUACGUUAAGAAAAUUUACUAACUUUGCUUGAAAACACAACAAGAAUAAAGUAAGUAGAAUUUUAUUUUGUUUAAAUAAAAUAAAGUAUAAGUUAAAGUGUUCAAGGAAUGAAAUAUGCAUGCUAUGAGGCUUUUUUUUAUGCUAUGCUAAAGUGUUCAAUAAAGGAAUUAUGCAUCCUACGCUUUUGUUAUGCUAUGUUGAAGUGUUCAAGCAAUAAUUAUAUAUAUUAUAUGUGUCACUUGUCUUGAUAAGCCACUAGGUGUCUUGGAAUAAGUAAGGCAUUUUGUAAUUUUUCUUAAUUUGUAAUAUUUUUUUCUUUUAUCUUUGAAUGUUCCAAGCUAAUUAAAUAAUUGGUGUUAUCAUGGAAGAAAGCUGUGCAAUAGAUCGACAAAUAUGGAACCAUCGUUCAACCACAUUAUUAUUUCCUUUGGUGAACCUAAGAAGCCUGCAAACAACAUUACUUACAUGGACGUGUCGUUGUAUAAAGCUGCAGCAGUAGGCAAAAUUGAAGAAUUCAAUAAUUACCGGAGGCCUGAACUUGAGUCGCUGAAGACCCCAAACCAUGACAACGUGCUCCAUAUUAACUUAUCAACCUCUGAGUGUGUCGGGCAACGUAGCAGAUCAGAUUUUAUCGAACAAAUCCUUUUCAAGUGUCCAUCACUGCUACUCCAAACAAAUGCGAAAGGUCAAACUCCCUUGCAUGUUGCAGCAAGGAAUGGGCAUUCUGCUAUUGUGAAACUCCUAAUCAAGUCUCGUGCCAAAGCUACUGAUGAAGAUUUAAAGAAGCUGGGAAUGUAUCAAUUGAAUGCAGUCAGGGAGAUGCUGAGGAAUACGGAUCAGGAAUCCAACACAGCUUUACAUGUUGCAGCUAGGUAUGGUCACGUCGAAGAGGUGCAAGAAUUGCUGGAGUUUGAAAACCCUGAUUUCCCAUAUUUUGUCAACAGAAAUCAGGAGACUCCACUUUACAUAGCAGCUAGGAGAGUAGAUAAGCUCUCACAGAUUAUACUAUUAGAUAAAUUGGAAUCAAUUGCUCAUGGAGGCCCCUAUGGCAGAACAACUUUGCAUGCAGCAGUUAUGGCUGGAGAUGUCGGUACGUUAAGUUAGUUCCAAAUCAUUUUUGUUUGAAAUAAAUAAAGAAUCAAUUUAUUGACUUUUUUGUUUUGUUUUGUUUUGCUUGGAUUCUGAGGCAACAAAGAUAAUAAUAGAGAAUAAAGGGGAUAUGAGUAUAUGACAAAGGAAACAGAUGAAAAUGGACACACCCCUCUUCACUAUGCGGCGCACUUAGGUCACGAUUCAGUUGUGGAACAGCUGUUAAAAUGGGAUUUACUUGCUGCCUAUGUAGGUGAUAAAGAGUGGGAAACGGCACCCCUUCUUAUGGCAGCCCGGCAAGGCCAUGGACAAAUAGUAACAAAGACUUUCCCUUCUUGUCCGGGUUGUUGUGAAAAAGUGGACAAAAGGGGUUGGAAUUUUCUUCAUUUCGUGGCCAUCAGAGCAAAAGUUUUCUAGAGCGUUUAAUAAAAUUAUUUUAUAUUUUAUUAACUAAAUAACUGAAUUUAAAUAGAGAAAAGAGUCUUGGGAAAAUAAUUCCCUUAUUCUAAUAAACUAUUUAAACAUAAAAAAAUAAAUUUUCUUAUUCUAAUAAACUACUAAAAGAUAAAAUAAAAUAAUCUUAAAAUAUCUCAAUAAUUUAUUCUAAAAUUUAUCUACCUAAAUAACUUUAAAAUAUAACCUAAAAUAUAUGGAUUUCACAUAUUUCAACAUAUCUCUAUUUACAAUUCUCCAACGUGAUAAUGGUUGUAGCACUAUAUAUGGGCUAGUAAAAAAUCUAAGGCAGUGGAAAAAUGCCCUCGGAAUCACACCUCAAGAAGUCUAUGACACAUGUCGUAGUCGUUUCCAUAUCACUGAUCAGCGUACAGAGAAAACGGUAAAUUUUCUAUGGCCUAUGGCUAUGGUUUUACAUGCAUAUAUGUAAAAUACAAAGACCUAUACUACAAUACAAUCCACUUGUAAGAGGUCAAUUUUGACCUAGGUCUAAAGACCCAAAACCAAUAAAAAUAAGGCCCGUUGGCCCAAAACCUUAAAAAUUUUUAGAAUGACCAAAAAUUAUAGAGUUUAGCGGCGUUUUUAAAAAAGCGCCGCUAAUAAUAAUAAAAUCUAACAACAAUUUCAAUUAUCUCAUUUUUUGAUAUAUUCUUAAGUAAUGUUUGAAUUAUAUUUUUUUAUUAUAAGUUGAAAAAAUUAAUAUUUCGUUGUAUUUAUUAUAUAGUGGUCAAAUUUACAUUUAAAUGAUAACAAAUAAUAUUAUUUAAUACAAAAUGUUUUUAUAAUUAAAGAGAAGUCCUAACUCCUAUCUAUUUAUUAUUUUUCAAUCACAGUUUAUUUAAACUACUUUACUAGAAAAAAUAUAUUAAAUUAUGAGUAAAAUAAAAUAUCAUAAAACUUAAAUUGUUGUGUUGUAAAGAAUAAAAAAUAGAAUAAAUUUUUAUAAGAAUAAUAAAUUUUGAUAGUUCGACUAAAUAAAUCAAAGAAAGUAAUAUAAAACACCAAUUUAUACAAAAUUUUUAACUAUUAAUUAUUGUUUAAUCAAUCUUAACUAUAUUUUAUGAUUAUUAAAGAUUUAGGGAUUUUUUUAGAUGGUAUUUUAAGGAGUAGGGGGUUUGGAUUUAGGGUUUGGGAUUUAAGGUUUAGAGGUUAGGGGUUAUGCUUUAGGGUUAGGGGGGAUUUAGGGGUUAGGGAUUUGGAGUUUAGGGUUUCAAGGGUCAGGUUAGGAUUUCAAGGGUCAAGUUAGGGUUUAAGUUUAGAUUUAUUAGUUUUAUUAAUUUAUAUAUUAAAUAUGUUCUUAUAUAUUUGUAAAAUAGAUAAUAAUAAAUUUAAUAUAUUGAAAUUAUGAGUAUAGUUUAUAUCAUUUAAGAGAUAUAUAAUAGAUAGAUGAUCACUUUAUGCAUGUAGAUCGAUUGGUUAAUUUAGGGUUUAAGGUUUAUUUGAGACUUGUUAAAUGAUACAAUUAAUUAAUACUUGUAUAUUUAAAAACAUUUAACCCUAACCAUUUGAUAUUUUUGAUAUGGAUAUAUAUAUAGGUAAUUAAUUAUUUAAUUUGUAUAGGACCAAAAUAUAAGAAAAAAUAAAAUAAAAAAAUAAAAAUGAAAUAAAAAAACUAAAAUUUAUACAUGUAUCAAAUACUUUUAAAUAUUACUUAAAAUUUUAAUAAUUAUUUAUGUAAAAUUUAAAUGAAAGAUACAAUAAAUAAAUAAAUAAAAUAUGUGAGAUUUAGCGGCGUUUUUAGCAAAAACGCUGUUACUAUAUAUUCAGAUUUCCAAAAAUGGCAACGUUUCGAUAGGAUAAUUUAAAUUUAUUAGUGGCAUUUUUAUCAAAAACGCCGCAAAAGGUAGACAUUACCGGCGUUUUGGUAAAAAACGCCACAAAUAUUUAUUGCAUUUUUCGAUAUGACGUCGUUUCAGUUUAAAGAUUAAAUUUUAGUUGUGGCAUUUUUCCGAAAAGCGCCGUAAAUAAUAUUUAAACUUUGGCAAAACGGCGCCGUUUCAAUGGAAGAAUGGAAUCUUUUAGUGGCGUUUUAUUAAAACACCGCAAGGAUGUAUAAAUGUUUCUGAAAACGUCGCCGGUUCGAUUCAGGUAAUUAUUUGUGGCGUUUUUUGGGAAAACACCAGAAAGUUGCCUUAUAUUUUAAUAAAACGGCGCCGUUUCUUUCUGUACUUGAAAUUUUAGUGGCGUUUUUUAUUUAAACGCAGCAAAUGUGGAUGCAAUAGUGGCGUUUUUUGAUUGGUGGUUGAUAAAAAUGUGGUGUAUAGCAGUCUUAAUAGCAAAUUGUCAAUUUUAUGUGUUUGUUAGUUUCUCGAGAGUUGAGACAUUGACAAUUACCUUAUAGGUUUGGGACCGUUCUAUAAUAUAUCUUAGCUAUAUAUGUAUGCUUUAAAACAUCCACUAGGGUUGAAAAUUGGACCACACAACUUUUCUGCAGAAAGAAAUAUGUAUGGAGUAUAAAGAAGAAAAAGAAAAAGACAAAGAAAACCUUCUUUCAACUUUCGAUUUCUUCACUUCAAUUGGUUGAAUCGUACAAUUCAAAUUUAUUUUGUUGCGUUUAAAUACAAAAUUCAAUAGUAAAUAUAGUAAAUCAUUAUUAAAAUUAUGGUUUUAGUUUAAAGAUAUUUUUAAGUUAAAAUCUCACUAUUUAUAAAUUUUUAUAUAAAAAAUAAAAGAAUUCCUUAUUUACUUGUUCCUAAAUUUUGCAUUUAGGCUGUAGUUUCUGUGUUGCCUUGUUGCUUUGAGAUUCUUAGCUGAAACAAUGGCACCCUCAUGAAGGAAACACUGAGGUACUUAGCAGGCAUUGUAGGCCCAAAUGACUAUGUCUCUAAUAUUUGUUCUGUAACACCCCUUAUCUGAGACCGUUGCCGGAAUCCAGUACGAGAUGUCAUCCAAUUUAACUUACCAAUUCGGAGCAUAAAAAUUUGCUUUUAAAAUUAAAUUCACUGUUCACAACAAAACUGUCCACCUGCGCGACUGUCACUAAUUUAAUUAUAUCUCAAUUUACGAAACUCGAAAUUUAAAUCCGAAAAUUUUUCCUGAAACUAGACUCAUAUAAAUUCUUACCAUAAAAUUUUUAGAAUUUUUUGUUUAGCCAGUUAGUACAGUUUAUUCAUUGAAGUCUCCCCUAUUUCACUACUUGACAGUUCUGACCUCUUGGCACUAAAAAUCAAUUAACUCAUUGUACAUAAUUCAUAUAAGGUUAUAAUUUAUUUCUUUUAAAAAUAGACUCACUAAAGAAUCUAGACAUAUAAAUUAUGACCCAUAAUUAUUUCUUUACAAUUUAUAAUGACUUUCUAAAGUCAGAACAGGGGACUUCAAAAACCAUUCUGACUCUGUCUCACUAAAAUUCAAAUAACUCAAAAUAUAGAAUUCCUUUGCCCACAUCGUUUCUUUCAUGUAAAAAUAGACUUGAUAAUCUUUAAUUCUAUAUAUAAUUCACUCUCUAAUUCCAUUUAUACUAUUUAUGGUGAUUUUUCACAUUCACGUCACUGCUGCUGUCAAAGAAACUGCUUCUUUGUAUUAGCUACCAUUUACACAUACAUAACACCAAAACAUAAUCUUUGCUAACCAUUUCAAUAGCUAAUCUUAGCCAUAUCAUAUGAACACACUCAAAAUGAUUAAUACUCUAUACAUGCCAUAGUUUUAAACAUUUUGAAAAACACAUAAUACCGAGAUCGUUAUGAUAGUGUGAUACGAGCUCCGACGAUCCCCAAUUCGAACAAGCUCAAAUCACUAUAAAACAAAGGAAAGGAGAAAAUAUGUAAGCUACAAAUAGCUUAGUAAGUUACAUGUAAACAAUAAGUACUCAUUUAGUAAUUGACAUUUCUCUCAUAUAACUAAUCAAACAUUUCUUAGCAAUUUCAAUCACUUACACAUGCAUAAUCUUACCCAUUUCACUUGCACAUGCACUUAUACACUUAACAUUUAUCACAUAUGCUCAUUCUUUUAAACAUACCUGCAUACACACUUCAUUUCAUAUUCACUUCAACUCAUUAUUAAUCCCAUUGAACACUCGGAAUAUACACGGAUACAUAGAGAAUUAGCACAUAAGUGCCACACUGAUACGUAGCCGAAGCUACCACUGAAAUGUAGCCGAAGCUACCACUGAUCAAUAACACUGGAAAUGUCCACGGGCCUGCUCACACAAGCUGUCAGGUGUCUGCAACACAUGCUAGAUCACCCAACACCCGGGACUCACUGUAACACUGGUCUCUAGUGACAUGUCACUUGUAUCCACUUCUAUUCCUAAGUUCAACCGGGAAUUUACACUUAACACUUUAUUUUCAACACUUUAUCACUUGAAUAAUUCAUGAACAAUUUUCCUUCUACAUUCAAUAUUGAUUCACAUAUCAAUAAAAUUCACAAUUUAUAAAAAUAUAUUGCUAUUAUUUACACAUAACUUACCUCGGAUGCAAAACGACUAUUUUUGUAAUUUAGUCGAUAACUUUCUCUUUUCCCCGAUCACUUCCACUAUUUCUUCUUUCUUGAUCUAUAUUAACACAAUUUAAUGCAUUUUAUCAAUAUUCCAUUCAAAUACAAUUUAUACACAAUAUUUUGGCAAACUUACAUUUUUUCCCAUAACUUUUCAAAAAUUACACUUUUGUCCGAAAGCUCGUAAAAAUAAAAUUCACUAAAUUUUUAAAUUUCAAACUUCACUAUAUCAUAUUCCAUGCUCAUAACAGCCCUCAAUUUCAAAAAAUCACAACUUUAUGCACACUUUACUAUCUUUCACAAUUUAGUCCUUUUUCAACAUUUUCAUCGAAAUUCAUCUAGUAAAACUUGUAAUUAACACUUCAAACAUUCAUUAUCUAACAUCACUAAUCAAUUUACAAUUAUAUCAUGAAUGAGUCAAUUUUUAAACUUUAAUUCCAUUAAAAAUAAAUGGUAGAAACAUGAAAUUCAAGUUUCAAUAAGCAUAAAAAUACGAAAAUAAUUAAAAACAGGGCAAGAAAUCACUUACAAUUGAGCUUAAAAAAAUCAAGAACCCUAGCUAUGGUGACAUGAAUUUUUUUUUUGGCAGCAAAUGUCUGAUUUUGAAGAAGAUGGACACUUAUUUUCUCUUUAUUUUGUCUUUUAUUCAAUUUGGACAAAAAUGCCCUUGACUCAUUACUUAGAUAUUUUUCUAGAAUUACCUUUUUGUGUCCAUAACACUAAUUUAUGGUCUAAUUGCCACAUAAAUACUUCCAAUUUCAUGCAAUAAUUCAAUUAAGUCAUUUAAUCACUAAUUAGACACACUUUGCAUUUUUCUCGAUUUAGUCCUAAAAAUUCAAUUAGACACUAAAUCAUUAAAAUUUCCUAUCCAUAUUUUCACACAAUAUUUCAAUCAAUCAUUAAUUAAUAAAAAAUUAUAAAAUUAAACUAUUUCACUUCGGAUUUGUGGUUACGAAACCACUAUUCUGAUUAGGCCCUAUUUCGGGCUAUCACAUGUUCAUAUGAACUUGUUUGCGCAUACUGCUUUCGCAUUUAGGCUAUAGUUGCUGUGGCUUCAUUAAACCCCAAACCGAUUAAACGAUUAGCAUUUAGGCUGUAGUUUGUGUGUUGCCUUGUUGCUUUGAGUAAUAAGAGAAAUACGAGUAAUUAGAAAAAUUCAAGGGCCAAUCUUUUGAUUAAGUGUUAAAUUAUUAUUGGACAGCUGAUCAAUGGAUAAUCUAAUUUUGGUUUUUAAUUAAUCUCUUCCCAAGGGAUAGAAAACAGUGAGUCAUUGUUGUUUUUAAAACCUAGUUAAUAUUAAAAUCUGGUUUAGUACAUGAUGUUGAAGUUGUUGAGACUAUUGACAUGGGAAUGGCUUUUAGUGUUUGAUUUGAGUUUAUUAGCACUUGUUCACUUUUGUCUUCUGUUUAUUAGCCAAAUUUACUUCUGUUGCCUUCUGUUUUGUUUUUCUUACUUCUGUUUUUUCGGUAGUAAUGUACUUCUGUCUUUUUUUUCCAGGAUUUGCUUCGAAAUUGAGGAAAUAUAAAGUAUCUAUUCCUAUGUUUCCAUAAUUAGUUUUCUUAAAAAAAAUGUCCAAUUGUUUAAUUUUUUGUAUGGUUAUAUCUGAGCUUUAUUUAUAGUUUAAUUAUUAAUUUUGAUUAUUAGAAGGGAGUUUUAAUUACCAUUUUAGCUAAAUUUGCACGUAACUUUGCAGCUUAUUACAUUAUUUGAGGUUUACAUUAUGAUUCUAACUUCUCCACGUAUUAUUUACCCAGGCAAACACAAAUGUUUUAAACUAUUAAAUUUUUGAUUAUAAUUCUUAAAUAAUUUUAUAUAUUUGAGUAAUUGAAUAAAUUAUGGGCGAUUAAUUUAAUCGGUUUAGCAUUUAUAAAUCAUCGAUUUUCGAUAUUAUGUCAAUAAAUUAUCAGUUUUACCUCAAAUUGUAAAAAUUAUCGAUCUUAUAUUUGCAACUUGUUUUUAUGUUAAUGAUUAAUAAUAUUUACAACUUAAAGCAAAGGCAGCAGCGAGAGAAGUAGAGGUUGCAGCGAGGGAAGCAGAGCAGAGCAGAAAGUACGACGAACUCCAACAGCAACUUCAGAAUAUGAUGAAGAUGUUUCAGUAGUCGCAACAUCCGCCGUCAUAGUGUAUUGUAUAAAAAUUUUUAUCAUUUUAACUUUUAACAUUUUUGUAAAAAUAAUAUGAAUUAUAUUUUAUUUAUUGAUUUUUAUAUUAUAUUAUUCGUUUAAUUUGAAAUAUUAUAUAGAUUUAUUGCUUUUGACUGGUUUAGAUUUUGUUGCUACAGGAGGGCUGAAAAUAUGAAUUUGAAAUCAUUAUCUAUCUUUUGAAGAAUUUCAUCUGGAGUUGCAUAUAGCUAUAUAUGUCCAGAGGCCUUGAAAAUCCUUUAUUACCAGUCCAUCGGCUACUCAAUUACCCUAUUUGAAUACAUCAUGUGUCACGCUAAUCAUCCAAGCUCGUUGAGUAAUUUCUUUAAUAUUAACAAUUUAGUAAUUUAAUGAUCUUUAACAACCUUGUUUUCCCGUAUUAUAUAGUUUUAAUUAAUAUUUUAUAAAUAAAAUUAAAAAUUUAUGUAUUCAAAUUAAUCCAAAUUCACCUUACCUUUGAAUUAAUUGAUAAACUACAUUUAGAUAAAUCCAUUUAUAAUAACGUAAUUUUUUAUUUAAAUUUAUAUAUAAUUCAAUAACAACUUAAUUUUGUGUUUAAAUUUAAAUAAAAAUCAAUCUUAUAAUAUUUGUAAUUAAUAUAGAGUAGUAAACUAUUCUUAGUCAUGAAUUAAUUUCUUCCACCCAUACUUGGCUGCAAAACCAAAGGCAAUGAAAUAAACAAAGAAAAAGAGUCAAGAAUGAAGAAAUCCUAGCCUUGAUUUAUGGUUUCAUUAAUUCCACUUUUGGCUCACAAAAUGAAAAUAAGGACAAAAAGUUAGUUCAAUUCUUGAUUGAGUCUUAGCUCAGUUGUUAUUGACAUUAUCGGUGUAAGAGGACGUAGGUUCAAGUGUGCUGAAGCGUAUUAUUCUCUACCUUAUUUAAGGUUGGGGAGAGAAAAAAAAAGUUGUUCAAUUGAACUAAGGGAUCAUUAGUUAUAAUGGGAAACAUUUGUGAAAAUACUGUUUUGAGUGGUUUAGGUCAUUGUGCUCUUCAAAAAUUUGAAAUUUAAUUCUUAUAUUUUUAUUUUUAAAAAUUUAGUCCCUUUAUUUUUGAGAUCUCAAAAUUCAGGUACAAUUGCUAACUCCAUUGUUUUAAUCUUGAAAAAUUUGUAGAUUGAGAUCACAUCCUUCCAAAAUUUGCUGAAUUUUCAAAAAUAUAUAUUAAAUGUUUGAUGUGAUUAAUCUAUUUGCUUAUAAAAUAGUAUUGAUCACACUGCAAGAGACUAAUUACAGGGAAGUAACAAACAGGAAAGGCAUUUGGUAAAUUUCUGAAUUUGUAGCUUCUUUUUUUCUUGAGCUUAGAAUAUUCCAAGCUAACUAAUUAAUAUUUGUUUUGUGUUAUCUAGGAAGAAAGCUCUGCAAUAGAUCAACAAAAAUGGAACUAUCGAUAAACUUCAUGCCUAUGUCCUCCAGAAAACCUGAGGAACCUGAAGAGAACAUCACUCACAUGGAUGCUUCGUUGUACAAGGCAGCAGCAGAAGGCAACAUUGAAGUAUUCAAUAAUAUGCAGGGGCAUCAACUUGAGUCGCUAAAGACCCCAAACCAUGACAACGUGCUCCAUGUUAACUUGGCAACCCACGAGCUUGCUGCCUGGUUUUCUAAUGGAAUUCUCUCAAGAACUAGAUCCUUCCCCAAUCUAUAUUUAUUAAUCUAUUUGUUUUUGUGGAUUUUCAUUAUUAAGAAAAACAGUGAAAAAAGAUCAUGUUUUAUCGGACAAAUUCUUACCAAGUGUCCGUCACUACUACUCCAGACGAAUGCUAAAGGUCAGACUCCUUUGCACGUUGCAGCAAGGAAUGGACAUUCUGCUAUUGUGAAACUUCUAAUCAGCUCUUGCGCAAAAGCUAGAGAUGGAGAUUUAGAGAAGCUGGGAAUGGAUCAAGUAGAUGCAGUGAGGCAGAUGCUGAGGAUUACGGAUCAGAAAUCCAACACGGCUUUACAUGAAGCAGCACGGUAUGGCGAUGUUGAAAUGGUGGAAGAAUUGUUGAAGCUUGAACACCCUGUGGAAAGAUUGUUGGAGCUUGAAAAUCCUAAUUCUCCGUAUUCUGCCAACAAAAAGCAGGAGACUCCACUUUACUUAGCAGCUAGGAGAGGAGAUGAGCCUUUGCUGACUGUAAUAUUAAAUAAAUGGAAAUCAGCUGAUCAUGGUGGCCCUCAUGGUAGAACAACUUUGCAUGCAACAACUAUGGCCUUAGAUGAAGGUAUGUUGAGUUAGUUCCAUAUUUUUUUUGUAAUAAAUAAAAAAUAGAUUUAUUGACAGUUUUUUUGCUUGGGUUUAGAGGCAACAAGGUUAAUAUUAGAGAAGAAAGGGAAUUUGAUAAAGGAUACAGAUGAAGAUGGGCACACCCCUCUUCAUUAUGCUGCACACAAAGGUUACAAUUAUGUUGUGGAAGUAUUGUUAGAAAAGGAUGUAUCAGCUGCCUAUAUAGGUGAUUUAAAGUUGGGGAUGACACCCCUUCUUGUGGCAGCCAGGGAAGGUAAUGUUGGAACAGUAAAAAAGAUUCUCUCUAAGUGUCCUGAUUGUUGUGAAAAAGUGGACAAAAGAGGUUUGAAUUUACUUCAUUAUUUGGCUUUUAGAGACCGUUACUAUAAAUCAAGUCAUUCUCUUUUCAUGCCUGGUGGUACGAAGACUGAAUAUGGAUCAAUCAGAAAUCUAAGGAAGUUGAAAGGUGCCUUUGGAUUCACUCCUAAACAAGGUUAUAACUUACUUCGAUACGAGGGUCAUAACGAGAUAUCUCUGAAUGCAAAGGUGUGUAUUUAUAUGACUAUGGCUAUGGUUUUAUUAAUAAUUGAGUUUUGAAUUAACAUGUAAUGGUAUGGCAGAAGCAAGUCGAAGAAUUGUUGAAAGAAAUUGCAAGUGAAGAAGUAGCUGGGUUACAAGUUUCCCACAUUCCCUUACCAACAGUCCCUGCAGAGAGCUUGGAGAAGACAAGAGAUGCUCAUUUAGUAGUGGCAGCACUUAUAGCCACCGUCACAUUUGCAGCAGCAAUAACCGUACCUGGUGGUUUGAAUAGUGAAAAAGGGUCAGAGCAGGGCACUCCUUUUCUGAUUGAUGAGGCAGCCUUUAAAGCAUUUGUCGUAACAAAUGCAUUAGCCUUUAUUCUCUCUGUUUCGGCCCUCUCCAUUCACUUUGGGAUUCUGGAUCCUCUUUUACCAAAACUAAAAUUUUGGGGUAUUAAUCUAAUCUUAUAUCGAACUCAGUCCGUUUCUAAUCUCCUUGGCCGUGCAAUGUUUGCGUUGGUGAUUGCUUUUAGCACCAGCAGUUAUGCGGUUUUAAAACCUUCUCAUGGACUUGCCAUCGCUUCGUGUUUCAUCUGCCCUGGCUUUUUUGUUUGUUAUUACGUACAACAAUCCCGAGCUUUCGUGAAGAGGUUUAUGUAGUGAUAAUAACGAAUUUCAUCGCAAAUAUUAUAUUAUGUGUGACAAAUUUUAUUUGUCGCACUAAUUAUACCACAAUAGUUGUAGUGAUAAUAAAGAAUUUCAUCAUUAUUAUGAUAAUAGUUGUGACGGUUUAAAUAUUGUUUCUAUAAAUGUAUAAUGGUGGCCUAAUCUAUUUGUCAUUAGCAAUUCUCUUUCUUCUUGAGUAAUUAUAUAAUAGUCACACCAUAUAAUUAUUCCGAAUAAAAUUAGGCAUUUAUAAAGCUCAAACAAAAGCAUUUGAAUUUUUUGUAAUGAGAUGAAUAGAAGUUAAUUUCGAGUUUUGUAAGUAGGGAUAAUCAAUUUUUACUAAAAGGUACUCAUAUUGUGUGAAAGACAAUAAAAAGAAGAGCUCAUGGAGGCCCAUGGUAGAACAACUUUGCAUGCAGCAGUUCUGGCUGUAGAUGGCAGGCAAUUAGAUAUGCAAAUAUGUUAUCAACAACUUCAUUUAUUUCCCCAAAUAUAUGUGAAAGGGAAUUAAAUCUCUAUAUGAAGCCAAAGUGGAUGUGGUUCCAAGUGUUGAGCAGCAUAGGAAGUAAUCAAAUACAUGUUGCACUGCAAGGAAUUCAAGGCUGCCUUGUCCAUAAAGGCUUAUAGCUGCUAAGCACCUGCUCUUAAAUUUGAUUAUGGCCUAAUAAACAACAUAGGGCAGCAUUGACUUCACCACAAAGAGCUGUACACCCCAUUUUCUUCCAUUCUUUGUCUUCAGUUCUUCUCCUUCUUUGCAGUUUCCUUAAACCCAAAUUUCAACCAGUCAAUUAAAUGUUUAAAUUUGAAAAUCCCCAUACACUUCAUGCUAUUUUUUUUUUGAAUUUAGCUAUGGCAUUUACAGCUUUUAUCAAUUUAGUUCUUUUUAUUAUUUUUUAAAUUAAAUUUGACUCUUCAUCUUUCAUAAUAGAGUCCAAUUUUGCCAUAACACAAAGAGCUGUAGACCUCAUUUUCUUCCAUUCUUUUUUUCAAUUCUUCUCCUUCUUAGCAGUUUCCUUCAAAGCAAAUUUCACCAUAAAAAGCUCCUACAUCAUUGACCUGACCUCUAACCCUAUAUAUUACUAUUACUAAGCAAUAGUUUUCAAGUAUGAAAUUAUAUAUAGUUGUCGUUUGUAGGUGACUUAAAUGGAGGAUAUGCAAGCAACAAUCAGGUAUGGCAUUUGGUAAAUUUCCUAAUUUGCAGUAUUUUUUUCUUGAGCUUGGAAUUUCAAAGCUAAUUAAUUAAAUUUUGUUUUGUGUUAUCUAGGAAGAAAGUUGUGCAAUAGAUCAACAAAAAAUGGGAACAUCGAUAAAUGUUGAAAAUUGGCCAACCAUGCUGCUGUGAUAUUUUUGGUUGAAGUGCAUGCAGCUUGUAAACAUGCUGCAGCACUUAUGCUUGCUGUAACAGCAAGGUUUUCUCUUUAGUUUCAUUGUCUUCAAACUAGUUGAAAAUGAACAAGUUGAUGACAACUUGAUGCAUUAGGUGUUGAAUGACUAGUUUGGGUGGCUUGUUUAUGUGUACAAGCAAUGUUUAUCAAGUUACUAGGCUACUUAGUGGUAGUAGAUAGUAUUUGGUGAUGUAUUUGACUAUAAAUAUAUUGUUUUUCUAGUUGAAUGAAUGAGCUGAAUGAGCUAUCAGCCAUAAGCUCCCUAGCUGCACAUUUGUGAGCAAGUAAAAUUUUUCUUGUAUCUAGUUUCAUUGUUCUGUUCUCUUCUUUUGCUGCUGCCAAUGUUCCAACAAUAAACAUCAUGUUUUUAUCCUCCGGUGAACCUGAGGAACCUGAAGAGAACAUCACUUACAUGGAUGCUUCGUUGUACUAGGCAGCAGCAGAAGGCAACAUUGAAGUAUUCAAUAAGUACCCAGAGCUUGCACUUGAAUCGCAAACGACCCCAAGCAAUGACAACGUGCUCCAUGUUAACUUGGCAACCCACGAGCUUGCUACCUGGUUUUCUAAUGAAAUUCUCUCAAUAACCAGAUACUUCCCCAAAUUAUAUUGUUUUCGUCUAUUUGUUUUAGUGGAUUUUCAUUAUUAACAAAAAAAAGUGUAAAAAGAUAAGAUUUUAUAAUGACCCCAAACCAUGACAACGUGCUCCAUGUUAACUUGGCAACCGAGGAGACUGCUGCCUGGCUUUUAAACAGAUUUCUCUCAAUGCUCAACUUCCUCCCCGUAAAAUAUGUAUUCAUCACCGUAGAAUAUGUACCAUUCUAUCGCUCUUUGAUUAUUUUCAUUACCAUGAUAAGAGAAGAAAAGAGAUCAGAUUUUAUCGUACAAAUUCUCAGCAAGUGUCCGUCACUGCUAAUCCAAACGAAUGCUAAAGGUCAAACUCCUUUGCACGUUGCAGCAAGGUAUGGACAUCCUGCUAUUGUAAAACUUCUAAUCAAGUCUUGUGCAAAAGCAAGAGAUGGAGAUUUAGAGAAACUGGGAAUGGAUCAGGUAAAAGCAGUGAGGGAGAUGAUAAGGAUUAGGGAUCAGGAAUCCAAUACGGCUUUACAUGAAGCAGCACGGUGUGACAUCCAUCAUGUUCCAUUAUUAUUGUCAAAAUUACUGUUAUGCACACAACUUGACUUUGGCUGGUCACUCAUUAUCAAUGGCUCCAGUAUCAAAUUAGGGGUACUUAAUUGUGUUCUCUUGAAAUAUUGAAGAAACUAUUUGAAUACUGAAUACCAAAUUCUCGUUCCCAUUUUAGAAACUAUUUUAAUUUCUUUAAUUUGAAUAUCAAAUUCGAUCUAGGAUCAUCAAACACCCUUAUUUUUUGAAUUAAUUUUUAACGGAUUUAAGAUUAUAUUUCAUUUUCGGUUCCAUCUAAUGUGUUAUUAGUCCAAAUUAACACAUCUAUAUCUCUACUUGAUAGUCAAUAUCCUACCCCGAUAAUCAAGACAAGUUAUUUUUUAUUUUGUUUAAUGAAGAUAGCUAAGAAAUUCAUCAAAGUAUAAGAAAUUUAACUUCUGUGAGGUUAAUAUACAUUUGGUACCUAAACUUUUUUUUUUAAUUUUGUAAUUGAAUCUGGCUUUAGUGUUCAAUUUGGCAUCCAAACCAAAUAGCAUCAUAUGGAAUAAUAAAUAUUUGACAUAUGUGUUCUAGUAAAAAAAAACAUAGGUACUUAAUUGACAUAAAACAAAAGUAAAGAUACCAAAUUAAAGAUUAGAGUCAAAGCCAUGUACUAAAUAAUAAAUUAACCUUUUUUUUAAUAUUUACAUUGAAUGAAACAAAAGGUGAACCCAACAUUAGUCCAUUCACUCCAUUCCCAAGAUACUUUUAAAAAAAAGAAAAAAGAAAAAAGAAAUUAUUAACAUUAGUUCAUCUGCUUUGUUUUGAUCAACUUGUAGAUAGUUUGAAUAAAGGAUGUCGAUAAUUUUUGAAUUAUUACUAUUUUAAUAUUUUUGUCAUAUAUUUUUAAAAAAUUAGAAAAUAUAAAAGCAAAUCGAAUUUAAGCUACUAUGACUUUAAUAAUGCUAAUUUUGUAAUUUCAACCAUAACACUAUUUUUUAAAAUAAAUAUUUACAUAAAUUUUUUAAUUACAUGAUAAAUAUGUGAUUUUUUUUCUCAAUGUAUCCACUAAAGCAAGCAUAGUGAUUUAUUUUCCGCAUUUUAUAAACCUAUUAAGAGAGUAAAUGUUUAAAUAUAUAAAAAAUAUAUUAAGUGUCUCAUAAUUUUUAUUAAAAAUGAUUAAAAUUUAACACAGUAAACUCGGCCUAGACGGAAAGACUAACUUUGAGAUGUCACAUGAGCUUACCAGAACACAGUUGUACUUAGAGCUGGCUUAAUCAAUACAUAGUUAAGUCUUUAAAAAAGGUCAAUCAUUCAAAGCAUAAUUCACUCUUAAAACUUAAAGUCCGAAACCAAAUAAAUGAUUUAAACACACACGCAUAUAUUUAAAGUAAGUCCAAUAGAUGACCGAGUCCCUCGUUCGCCGGCCACUCAGUUCUGAGAGUUUCCUGAUAUCCAUUCAAUCCAGUUAGUGUGUUGCAACUUAAUAUACACAUAAAGACAAUUUGACAUGUUUAUAAUAACUCAGAUAUAAUUGGAAGUUCAGUCAGCAUACUCAGUUUUGAUCGGUCAAAUUAAUAAUUUAGUACAAUUUCGGAAACAAAACAGUUCUAGUACGCAACAAAUCAGAUACAGAAACAGGUACAGAUGUAAAUACAGAUACAAAUACAAAUACAGAUACAGAUGUAUUUAUCCUACCCCAUCCCCUAUACACCAUCUCCGACCAACCCAACACACCAGUAGGUGUAUAAUACCCGUCCAACCUUACACACCCCAUAGUGUCGGUAUGACACGUUGCAGUGCUUACAGUCUCACUGCCUAUAUAGAUACAAUUGUGGAUGGUUUAACCACCAAAUCAGUACAAAACACUUCUUCCAUUUCAUGAUCCCCGCCCCAUGCAAAUGUAGAGAGCAAAUGACAAAUAUAUAUGUUUCUUAUGCAAAUAUAAUCACAUAGUCUAGUAUAAUAGAGGGUUGAAAUUCUUAAUAAUUAUCUCAUACGGGUAUGUAGAACAAGUUUAUAAUCAUGAUAAAAUAGAUCAUAUAGUUCAGUUUAGUUCAUACAUAUCCUACGGACGGCUUACACUCAUCUCGUACAACAACUAUGGCGUUAAUAGAAAUUUUGUCAUUCAGGCUCACACACCCGUGUGGGUGGCCAUAUGGCUCCACACAGUCUGACACAUGGCUGUGUCGCUACUCGUGUACCCCAAUUCAUCAAAUCAAUGAGUUACACAGUCUAAGCACACACCCGUGUGCUGCCUGUGUACCUCACACGGUUUGACAUACACCGCUAUCCCUUGCCUGUGUGUCCCUAAUACAUAAAUAGUGAAUUACACGAUCUAGACACACGCCUGUGUGCCCCCCGUGUGACCACUACACCUUAAUUUCUCACACACGGUCUACCACACGCCCGUGUGGCUCGCCUGUAUGUCUCCAAUCCGAAGUCAGUGAGUUACACAGUCCACCACACGGUCAUGUGGCACACACGGCCUACACACACGCCUGUGUGCCAUCUGUUGCGCGGAAGCGUGUGAAAGAGUAAAAUUAUUGUACUGAAAAAUCUCACUAAGUUCAAUUCCCAGGAAAGAGAGGUAGAUCACGAAGAUCACUUAAAUACCAAGUCUUUCCUAGCCAGAAUAUCCCUCUAUCGUAAUUUAAUAGCACAAUAAAUCACUACAAUCACAUUCACAAAAUAUGCAAAACAAAUAAUAAAGAACACCAGAAUUUUAACGAGGUUCAGCAAAUUUUGCCUACGUCCUCGGGCACUACCAAAUAUAUUUCACUCCAAAAAUUACAAGUGAAAUUUACAAAUAGAGAGAGAGAAUAAUGCCUUAAGUAGAGAAUGGCAAUUAUGGGAUGAAGAAAGUAAGAAAUGGUUAGGCCUAUUUAUAGUUGAGGUUCAAGGAUCAACUUGCAAUGUCCCUAUACAAUUAGGGACCAAAAUUGCAAUUAUCCCAUGCCAACUUUUAACCCAACUUGCCAACCAAUUUUACUUUCUACUUUCGGUGCCCACCCUUUUUGACUUUUCAAACAAUGGGUGGGUUCCAAUACCAUCGAUAGUCCCGUUUCUGGCAGAGAAAAAUGCAGAAAAGAAGGAAUUUCGAUACCCACCUGUUACACGACGCUGUAGAAGCACCCAAAUGCAAUUUCCAAUUCUAAAACAAGUUCCAAACGCUCAAUUCAAUAAAACAUUUGCAAAAAAUACAAGUAACAAUAAUCAAUGUUCAUCGAAACAGCCAACUCACUACACAAAAUGGACGGAAGCCUACUUACCGCAAAUUCCCAGUACACGUUUAGUUCCUAAGUAAGGCGAGAAGCAUUAGGCAUCUUCCGGGUCUUCUCCUACAAUUCAUCGAAGUACCUGAAAUGACAAAACAAAUUAACUCAACGAAAUGAAAUUCAAAAGAAAAACCCCAAACAACAAAACCAUCACAACGAACAAAUUAAAAACACAAACUCUUAUCGUUAGCAACAAAAUCGACCACAGAAGAAUUCAAUCAGCAAUUGAUAUAAUCAACAACAAAAAUAAUACGAGGCCAAUUGUUAAAAGAAAAGAAAGAAAAAGAAACGGUAACUGAAGAAGAACAGAAAAAUAACGCAGGAGGGAAAUUUUAAGAAAACAAAUCAUAGAAUUUCAAGAAAAAAAACUAAUGUUUGCAAAUAAAAAGAAAUAUUCCUUAACCAAAUGAUACAUAGAAACUGAACUAUUAAAUUACUAGGCCAAUCAUUGACACAAGUUAGCGAAUAAGUAAGUUUGAGUCAAAAGUUCCCAACUAAAGUUCCAACAAAAGAAUAACAAUAUUUUCAAGUAUGCGACUUGAACCUCAUACCUUUAACAAACACACAAAACACAACCACUAGAACAAACACAUACUUAUUAAAAUAACUUAAUAAGAAAACUCAAAUUUUUGUUGUGAAGUUGAUGAAAUUUUAUUAAAAAUGAUUGAAUAAAAAUAAAAAUUGAAAUCAGUAAAUCGAAGGAUUUAAACGUUGAUUAAUUAUGCAUAGUUUGAGAGAAAAUUUAAGUAGACAAUUUUAAUUAAAAUUAUGAAAAAAAUAAGUAAUAAAAAAUUUGAGUCAAAUGUUGUCGUAACCAUCGCUAAUCGUAUAUAGCAAGAAUAGCAUAGUAAAAUUAUGGUGCUUUCAUCAAUUAUGGAAUCAUAUAUGGUUUUCAUUAAAUUUAAUAGCUAAAUUGCACUUUGUUCGAGGGUUUCUAUUAAAUUGAAAUUAGAAUGAAUAAACAUAGUAAAAAUAAUCAAUUUCCCUAUUUUAAAAAAAAUUAAAUUUGGCCCUCAAUUUUUUAAAAAAAAUUGAAUUGUUAUUUUUUUAAUUAAAAUAUUAAUUAAAAUUUUAAACAUGACAGCCUGCAUGGUAAUUCGCUUAUACUUUAUGCUAAUUUGUUGAAUUUUUAUGAACCUAUUAUAAUUAAAUUUUGAAAUUUGAAAUUUUUUUAUUUUUUGAAUUUUUAAAUUAAUUGUUGACAUGACAUAUAAGAUAAUAAUGCUAUAUCAACAUGAACUACAAAUGGACUGUUGUGCCAAAAUCGUUAAAUUUUUUUAUGUUAUGGUCAAUUUUUUUAAUUAAAAAAUUAUUUAACUUUUUUUAAAAGGUUAAUAACCAAAAUUAAUUCAGUGGAUGCAUGCGUACGCAUUAUCUAUAAAGCAUGUUAAAAAAUGACGGAUUUGAUGCAUCUACUUUUCAACAAUUUAGUAUUUUAACCAUCAUUAGCAACUUUGUUUUAGGGCCAUUUGAUUUCCUUUUUGCUACAAUUAAGUCAUCGUAUAAUAAUAUUUAUGGUAAGAUACACAAAUAGUUAUCAUUGUUUUGGUGAUUUGGGUUUAAUUUUUAUUAGUUAUUACUAUUAUCGACAUUUGAUAUUUUAUUCACUCUUUCAUUAAAUCAUUAGCAGAAUGCUGAUGCAACCUUUCUUUAUUGACAUUGUUGACACCAUUUUUUGAUGGAAAACGGGGUCGACUUGGGUUUUGAAAAAUGAAACGGGAGUCGCCACCAAUCCUUUUUUUUAUGAGGUGUGAUUGGAUCACCUCGAAAAGGGGUUGUUUUUAAUAAACGGUUUGAUUUUAUUAAAACAACAAGUUUGGUCCACGAAAUUCAGAAAAAUGGGUUCGGGAGUCGGUUACGCACGAGGAAGGAUUAGCACCCUCGAUACGCCCAAAAUUGGUACCUAGUUGAUUACUUAAUGUCUUAGUGUCGAAGAGUGAAAACUUUGAAGAAUUUAAAAAUACGAUCAUUGUAUUAAAAAGUUGAAAAUUUUGGGAAAAGAGGGCACAUUCCACGUUAAUCGAGAAAGAAAGCAUCAUAUCCAGUAAGUUAGGACACAAUGUCUCGAAUUCCCGAUACGCGAAUAAAAAUGGUUGUUCAAAAGAUUAUUUAACUAUUUUUGGAUAAAAAAUGGAUCACGACCAGUAAGUUAGGACACGAUCCUUUUUUAAUUCCCGAUAUCGUUUAAAACUUGAGUUUGAAAAGAUUCGUGUAAUAAAGUUUAAAAGAAUAUUCAAUUGUUUAAAUCAAAUGAAGAAAUCGCAACCCAAUACGUUAGGGCACAAUUUAUCAAAAUAUUAAACAUUGAAUAUUACAUUUAUUUCAAAAAAUCCUCGUUUCGAGAAAACAACAUGUCACAUCCAAUGCGUUAGGACACAAUAUAUUGAAUUCUCGAUAACGAACUUUUUAUCAUUUUUAAAAGAGUAAUCUCGGUUAUUUUGAUUCAACAAAGAAAAUCGGAACCCAAUACGUUAGGGCUCGAUUCUCUCAAAGAUCUCAAAUAUCGAGUGUUAUUUUUAUUUUGAAAUUUUCCAUUUUUGGAUAAAUCCGAGUAAAAAAAAUGAAUGUAAAAUAAUAAUAAUGAUGAUAAUGCAAAUAAAAUAAUACAAGCAAAAUAAGAAAAGAUAAAUAAAUAAGAUGACAAAUAUAUAAUAAAAAGAAAUCAAUAAAUAAACAAAUAAAAAUUAAAGCACUUAAGUAAAUAAUAAUAAUGAGCAUGUAAAUAAAUAAAUAAAUAAAUUAACACCAAAUAUAUAUAUGAAAAUGAAAACGUAUAUAUAGGACAUAUAUAAUAUAAGGUAUAAAAUAUAAUAUAUAUAUUAGGGAAGUAUAUAAAUACAUAAAUAUGUACAUAAAUAAUAAUAAAGGGAUAAAUGUAUGCCUAUAUAUAUAUAUCCUAAAAUAUGUCCGUAUAUAUUAAGAUAAUAAAAAUGCAUGCAUAUAUACAUAGAUUAUAAAAUAUAUAUAUGUAUAUGUUUUAAAAUGUGUAUGUAAUAACAAAAUACAUUAAUACGUAUAUAGGAUACAACAUAUAGAAUAUAAGUACAUAAUGCCCAAAUAUUUGAUUAUAAUAUCAAUAAUAAUAUUAUAAUAAUAUUGUAUAAUGAUAUUAAUAAUAUUAAAACAAGUAAUUUUAAAUAAAAUAACCUAAACAACAAAAAUGGGAUUAAAUUGAAAACGAAAUUAAAGUUUGGGCUCGAAAUAAAAAGAACGAAAGGAUUAAAAGGUAAGGCACACAAAAGAGAAGGGAUCAAAAGGGCAAUUUCCCCGCGUUGAUUAAAUGGUGCCGUUAUAGUACAGCGCAUGCAUAGGGUUCAUGGACCAAAUUGAAACAGACGCGAAAUUCGUGGCCAAAAUUAAAAUGAAACAAAAGGCAGCAUUGAAUGCAUCGCAGGAUUAAAGGGACCAAAGGCGCAAAUUAUCCAUUAGGGCAAGAGUGCGCAGGUUUUCCCUCCUUCAAACGGCACCGUUUCCUUAGGGGUAUUUAAACCCAAUUUUUCCGAAAAAAAUCAUUCAGCCACUUCUUUUUGAAAAAAACUGAAAUUUCUCCCUCUCUCUUUCUUCUCCCCAAAUUCCGGCCUAGAUCCGGCCAUGGUUUUCGGCGGGUUUCCGCUGUAGCACCACCGUGUGUGGCAGCCGGAGACCCAAAAUUGGACCUUUUUGGUCCCUUUUUGAGGCCGAUUACUCCUAGACCUCAGAUCCAGGGCUGAAACUCACGAAAAGGAGGCCGAAGACUCAAAAACGAGACAAAACCGUUUGUCUUCUCGUCCUCCGACGGGGUGCAGGGAGAAAGGUACCUUCUUUUUCUUUUAUUUACUGCCUUUAUUUAUAUAUAUGCGAACGAAAAGAAAAUAGAAUAAACUAGAAAAAUCUUUCAGAACCAAAAAGAAAGAAAGAAAAAACAACACAUUGAAUCUGCUCUUUUUAUUUUCUUUCGAUUGAAUCUGUUUUUGUUUGUUACAAAAGUUGCCUGGGGGGGCCAGAGAGUUACAUUUUGGCUUUUUUUUUUUAUAGCCGAUCUUAAUUUCUAUUUUUGUUUUCUUUUUCCUUUCUUUUCUUUGGCUGUUGCGUGUUUGCAGGUGGAGCAAGUGAGGAUGAUGGGACAUGCGCGGCGCAAGUGGGGUGAGUCGGUGGUGGCAGUUGCGGCGGUAAUGUCAGAAGGCCCUAGGUGCGGCGCACCUAGGGUUAGGGUUUCUCUUUUUUUUUAUGAUUUGUGUUUUGGGUAAUGGGUUUUGCAUUUGGGCUCCGGGAUUGGGUUAGGCUAGUUUGGCCUGGGUAGGUUUUGGGUCUGUUUGGGUUAUGGGUUGUAAUGGGUUAGGUCAAAAUGGGCCUGUACAGCUGCCCCUCUUUGCUCGUUGUCGUGUAACGAUAACAGAGUAAAGACUAAGAAAGGCCCAUUUUGCUCGGCAUCGCCGGGUCUUGACCUCUCGGUGCAUUUCUUCUUCAGAUAGUCUUCUCGCAAUCUACUGUGUCUUGUUGCUUCAAUCCACUUCACUACACUUCAAAGAGAUACGGCUUGUAGCUUCAAUCCACUCUGUUGCAACUUCAGGGGGAUGAGAUUCGAAGUAAGAUUCAUUAUUGUUGAUCUACUCCACUACUGCUUAGGGUGAUAGGACUAAUGGUUUAAAUCUGCUUCUCCACUGUAUUUAAAUCUGCUUCUCCACUGUAUUGGGAAGAUAAGAUUCACCAUCUUCGAUCUGCUCCACUACUGCUUAGGGUGACAGAAUCUGCAAUCUUUAACCUACUCCACUACUGCUUAGGGUGAUAGGACUAAUGGCUUAAAUCUGCUUCUCCACUGUAUUGGGAAGAUAAGAUUCACCAUCUUCGAUCUUCAAUCUAUUCCACUGCCAACUAAGGAGAUAGAAUUAUCGGCUUCAAUGUACUCCACUGUGGUCACAGAGAGGUAAAACCUGUCAUAUUUGAUCUGCUCCGCUGUCAGUACAGGAAGGCAAGAUCUGCUAUCUUUAGUCUGCUCUACUGUCAGUACAGGAAGGUAAGACCGGUUUCCUCGAUCUGCUUCACCGUUAAUACAGGAAGGCAAGAUUUGUUGUCUUCAACUAGCUCUAUAACAACCGAGAGAGGCAAGGUUUGUCUUUGAUCUGCUUCAUUGUCAAUGCAGGAAGGCAAGAUCUGUUGUCUUCAACCAGUUCCGCUACAACCGAGAGAGGAAAGGUUUGUGUCUUCGACCUGCUUCGCUGUCAAUGUAGGAAGGCAAGAUCUUUUGCCUUCAACUAGCUCCACCACAACCGAGAGAGGCAAGGUUUGUGUCUUCGACCUGCUUCGCUGUCAAUGCAAAAAGGCACGAUCUGUUGUCUUCAACCAGCUCCACCACAACCUAGAGAGGCAAGGUUUGUGUAUUUGACCUGCUUCACUGUCAAUGCAGGAAUGCAAGAUCUUUUGUCUUCAACUAGCUCCAUCACAACCGAGAGAGGCAAGGUUUGUGUCUUCGACCUGCUUCGCUGUCAAUGCAGGAAGGCAAGAUCUUUUGUCUUCAACCAGCUCCAUCACAACCGAGAGAGGCAAGGUUUGUGUCUUCAACCUGCUUCGCUGUCAAUGUAGGAAGGCAAGAUCUUUUGUCUUCAACCAGCUCCGUCACAACCGAGAGAGGCAAGGUUUGUGUUUUCGACCUGCUUCGCUGUCAAUGCAGGAAGGCAAGAUCUUUUAUCUUCAACCAGCUCCAUCAGAACCGAGAAAGGCAAGGUUUGUGUCUUCGACCUGCUUUGCUGUUAAUGCAGGAAGGCAAGAUCUUUUGUCUUCAACCAGCUCCAUCACAACCGAGAGAGGCAAGGUUUGUGUCUUCGACCUGCUUCGCUGUCAAUGCUGGAAGGCAAGAUCUUUUUUCUUCAACCAGCUCCAUCACAACCGAGAGAGGUAAGGUUUGUGUCUUCGACCUGCUUCACUGUCAAUGCAGGAAGGAAAGAUCUUUUGUCUUCAACCAGCUCCAUCACAAUCGAGAGAGGAAAGGUUUGUGUCUUCGACCUGCUUCGCUGUCAAUGCAAGAAGGCAAGAUUUUUUUGUCUUCAACCAGCUCCACCACAACCGAGAGAGGCAAGGUUUGUGUCUUCGACCUGCUUCGCUGUCAAUGUAGGAAGGCAAGAUCUUUUGUCUUCAACCAGCUCCAUCACAACCGAGAGAGGCAAGGUUUGUGUCUUCGACCUGCUUCGCUGUCAAUGUAGGAAGGCAAGAUCUUUUGUUUUCAACCAGCUCCAUCACAAUCGAGAGAGGCAAGGUUUGUGUCUUCGACCUGCUUCGCUGUCAAUGCAGAAAGGCAAGAUCUUUUAUCUUCAACCAGCUCCAUCACAACCGAGAAAGGCAAGGUUUGUGUCUUCGACCUGCUUCGCUGUCAAUGCAGGAAGGCAAGAUCUUGUCUUCAACCAGCUCCAUCACAACCGAGAGAGGCAAGGUUUGUGUCUUCGACCUACUUCGCUGUCAAUGCCGGAAGGCAAGAUCUUUUGUCUUCAACCAGCUCCAUCACAACCGAGAGAGGCAAGGUUUGUGUCUUCGACCUGCUUCGCUGUCAAUACAGGAAGGCAAGAUCUUUUGUCUUCAACCAGCUCCAUCACAACCGAGAGAGGCAAGGUUUGUGUCUUCGACCUGCUUCGCUGUCAAUGCAGAAAGGCAAGAUCUUUUGUCUUCAACCAGCUCCAUCACAAUCGAGAGAGGCAAGGUUUGUGUCUUCGACCUACUUCGCUGUCAAUGCCGGAAGACAAGAUCUUUUAUUUUCAACCAGCUCCAUCACAACCGAGAGAGGCAAGGUUUGUGUCUUCGACCUGCUUCGCUGUCAAUACAGGAAGGCAAGAUCUUUUGUCUUCAACCAGCUCCAUCACAACCGAGAGAGGCAAGGUUUGUGUCUUUGACCUGCUUCGUUGUCAAUGCAGGAAGGCAAGAUCUUUUGUCUUCAACCAGCUCCAUCACAACCGAGAGAGGCAAGGUUUGUGUCUUCGACCUGCUUCGCUGUCAAUGCAGGAAGGCAAGAUCUUUUGUCUUCAACCAGCUCCAUCACUACCGAGAGAGGCAAGGUUUGUGUCUUCGACCUACUUCGCUGUCAAUGCCGGAAGGCAAGAUCUUUUGUCUUCAACCAGCUCCAUCACAACCGAGAGAGGCAAGGUUUGUGUCUUCGACCUGCUUCGCUGUCAAUACAGGAAGGCAAAAUCUUUUGUCUUCAACCAGCUCCAUCACAACCGAGUGAGGCAAGGUUUGUGUCUUUGACCUGCUUCGCUGUCAAUGUAGGAAGGCAAGAUCUUUUUUCUUCAACCAGCUCCAUCACAACCAAGAGAGGCAAGGUUUGUGUCUUCGAUCUGCUUCGCUGUCAAUGCAGGAAGGCAAGAUCUUUUGUCUUCAACUAGCUCCAUCACAACCGAGAGAGGCAAAGUUUAUGUCUUCGACCUGCUUCGCUGUCAAUGCAAGAAGGCAAGAUUUUUUUGUCUUCAACCAGCUCCACCACAACCGAGAGAGGCAAGGUUUGUGUCUUCGACCUGCUUCGCUGUCAAUGUAGGAAGGCAAGAUCUUUUGUCUUCAACCAGCUCCAUCACAACCGAGAGAGGCAAGGUUUGUGUCUUCGACCUGCUUCGCUGUCAAUGUAGGAAGGCAAGAUCUUUUGUCUUCAACCAGCUCCAUCACAACCAAGAGAGGCAAGGUUUGUGUCUUCGACCUUCACUGAUCUGUUCUCUGGGAAACAUGACCUGUAUAAUGAACCUAAUUAUGCCUAAAGAUUAGGAUGACAUGAUCAGAACGAAUCAAAUGCUCCUAACUAGAUGUGUAUGAAUGCAAAAUGUCAUGAAAAUGAUUCAUUAAUGCUUAGGUUAUCAUCACGCAAAAGCCUAUUAAGGCUUUAUCAUUGACAUGUUACAACGCCUUCUUGCUCGGCUGGCUCAUCCAAAGAAACACUUAAUCUGAUUGCCCCCCAGUGUGAUAUUCAAACUUUAAUCCACUGGGAUGCAAAAUUUGUACCAUCAUUCUCCCACUGUAAUACAAGGGUAGAAAGAUAUGGCUUUUCUCAAUCUUCUCCUAUCGCAAUUCAAGGAUACAGAAUGUGAAGCUCUUUGGUCCUUUACCCCAUUCCCAAGGUUUCAUACCAAAUGCGCAUGCACAAUUGCAAAAUUUUCUUCUCCUAGAAAACCUUUUCUUUUUGCCUGGUAAACAUCGCUUGUUGGUUCAUUGAAGCUUUGCCACCAAUACGACAUCUUGUCAUUUUGCUUAAUCAAUGUUUGGACAACAAAAUCUGAAAGAAUAGUCUUUAACUUAGACCCUUCCUUCUUAGAUAUUUCGCCCUUUAAACUUGGUGUUUUCUAAACAAUAGUCCUGUUUCAGGUUCCUAUAUUAUUUAGAAACUUCUAAAGUAAUAUGCAAAACUUCCAUUGUGAAAGUGUUAUUAGUCCAUUAAUCAUUAUUCUAAUGCAACAUGCUUGUAAAGAGAACAUAACGAUAGAUAAAAUAAAAAUGAUUUGAGAGCAUAGCUCGAAAUGAAUGAAUUAUCAAGGGUAGCAAGAAUAAAAGAGGAAUUGAUUGGAACACGUAUCUUGAAAAAGAAUGAAGUAUUCCCAGAACAACAACAAAUUCAAUAUAUAAAUAGUAUGAAGGUUAGGUGCCCUAGAUAUCGUAGCUUGAACUUCUCUGUACAAACUUUCUGAAGACUUUCCUGAGUUUGACAUGUUUUUAGGAGAUCUACAUGACUCUAUCGAUGCCCCAAGACGUUGCCUUACCCUUUCAAGUAUAGCAAGAUCACCACAUGCCCCGAUCUGAUCACUUCAUGCCCCAUUCUGAUCAAUAUUUGAGCCGCCCUUCAGGUUUUCAACUCAAAUCCCCUUUGGCCUAAGGUGCCCUUUGCUGGGUUUCCCCUUAGCCUCUCCAUUUUUACUUUUUAAUUUUUUUCAUUUUUCAUUUUUUUCAUCAUUUUUUUUGUUUGACUCAAAGUACCCUUUGCAGGUUCUCACCUUGGUCCUUCCUUCUUCGAAGUGUUUCUCAAUUGGAUCCGAGUUUAUAGGAUUGGCAAUCUCACUCAGGAUCAGUGCUCCUCUGAAAAUGGUCUUCUUUACAAUAUAGAGACAUUCCUAGUUUGACAUUCAUUUCCCUUUAGAAUCCUUUCAUUAAGGAAGAAUCUUUUUCAACAUCCAGCCCUCUCGUGGAAUUCUCUGAGACGAGCCUGUUUAUUAUGGGCUUAUAUUAUUUAUUUAUGGUACAUCCGACCUUGAUGAAUAGCUUCUAACCCUUUUCCUAGGAUCAACUGAUCACAUCACGAUAGGAUCCCUCCAACAAGCAACGAGGGGAUUUUAAUAGGUAAAACUACCUCAAUCCUGUAAACCAAAAAGAGAGGUGUUUCCCCAGUACAGAUGUUUGAUAAACAAUGAGGGCAAAUGGUAAUUUCUCAUGCCAGUCCUUGUUCACAUCUAGGUAAUUCGGUGACAAAACAUUGUGUCUGCUUCUGAAUUGAUUUCAGACCUCAGUUAUCGUGCUAUCAUUUAAGUUCAAUGCAUUUUCCAAUACCAUCCUCUCUGAAAUUCUGUAUCGGUAUAGGAUGACCUUGAUCCAUGAAGUAACCUCUCAAAAAAAAUGAAGCAAUGCCAAUUAGAAGUCUUCGAUAAUGGUGAAGUCCAUGCCCCAUUUUGCUUAAAAUUUGAGUCGCCAUUUUUCGGGUUUUCAACUCAGAUCCACCUUUGGUCAAAGUGCCCUUUGCGGGUUUUCGCCUUGACCUCUCCUUUUUCUUUUUCUUUUUUCUUAUUUUCUUAUUUUGACUUUGAUUUUUUUUUGAUUUUUUAAUUUUUUUUGAUUUUUUGAUUUUUUUUUUGAGUCUGAACUUAUGAGAUUAAGCAAGUCCUGGUCAUGCUUUUCGACCAGAAUCAAUGUUAUUCUAAAGUCUUCCAUAUAAGAUCUUCCACUUUCAUCUUGUAUGUGAGAAACCUUCUUUGGUACCAGAUUUCUUUCAUAGAGCCCUUUUGGGACGCAACUACGACAGAAAACUUUAGAUCUUCCUCUUUAAUCAGGAUAAAAUCCAGCAACAUCUUGAAGGGAUGGGAACUUGACUUCAAAUGGGCAAAGCUAUGCUGACUCAACGAGAGAGGCAUUGCCCCGGCAAAGAAUUGCAUCGUUCGUACUGUGAAUUUCUGACAUCAUGCUAUUAUGCAGAUUUUAUUAUAAGAAUCGAGGCAUACCCUGGUAUGAUCAUACAAAGACAUCAUUGAACUCUAGAGGUAACUCAACAAGGUUUUGCUUCGUGUCUGUGGUUAGGUCAAUUCUAGUCUUCACCAAGUUCACAAAUUCUAAUGAUUCCUUGAGAGGUAGGACCUGUUUAGCCUUUUAUUCUACCAUCCUCAACAAGUCCAGAGAUAGGCUACAAUCUAUGUCAUCUUCAAAGGCGUGAGAUCCCUCUAAACACAUGUCUCACUUAAAAGGAGAUUCUAAGUCUGUAGCGGUGUUAUUCAUGUCGUUGAUAUCCAGGGCCCUACUGUAGGUACAAAGAAUGUACAAAGAAUGUAUGAAUUUAAGAAUAAUUAUCUGCACAGUAUGAUUAUGAAUGAAAAAAAUGAUUUUGAUGAAAGAAUAAAAGAAUAAUCGUUCAAGAAAUGAAAGAAUAUUGGUUCAAAAGAUCGCAAAGAUGCAUUCCAUUAAAAUAAUGACGUUCAGACAUGAGCCUAUUUCACAAAAGACUUCUUGUUGCCUCUAGGCUAAAAGCAACAAGUGUGUUUUGAAUAUUACUCUGAGUAAGCUCUAAAUACUACAGGGGUUCCUUUAAACCACUCCCAAGUUUAUAAGGGUGAACAUCUAAUAAGAUCUCUUCUCCGGUUGCUUCUUCGUAUUCGGCACUGAUGUGAAUGUUUCCCAACAUCUCUUCAUUCAUCGUAUUCCUUUCAUUAUCCGUAUGAUUGAGUAGCGGGUUUUCUGUACUGAGUGAAUCCUCAAAUUUGACGAUGCCCAUAUUGAUAAAUCUUUCGACCAGCUUUUUAAAGGCAGUGCAGUUUUUUAUAGAAUGCCCCGUAAUUCCCGCAUGAUAGUCACAUUGCGUAUUUAUGUCAUACCAUUUAGGGUACGGAGGUUGUAAAGGCUUCAAGUAGAAAGGGGAGACAACAUGUGCGUCAAAUAAACUCUGAUACAGCUUCUGGUACGACAUUGGGAUUGAGACUUCUUAAUGCUUUGCUUAGUGCCAGAUUCAUGUCUUGGGGAUAUCUGAUGGCCAGUAACAACCGACCUUUGCUGACCUGCGGUAAUCGACUUUGAAUAACCCUCAUUAUGCCUACCCGUAUUGCUCACCUCAUUUUUCCUCUUCCUCGAGACUUUUGAAGUAUUGUUUUGGGAGUUCCAUUCUUGCCCUUUCUGUUUGUAAUGAUCUUCGAAUUGUUUUGAAAACUCUACCCUUGCCUGUUUUGUUCCCGCUAGAUCAUCAAGGACAGCAGAAUUAGUUAGAUUGCCCCUCAGAUUGGAACCUGAACCUGUCGCGAAAUUCACUGGUGUCGAGGUAUUGGUCUGGAUGUUGACAGUUACCCUUUGUGGAUAUGUGUUUGGUUGUGCUUGGAUGUCGGUUGGAGUAAAGUCUGGAAGAUAUGCAGGAACUUCAUUAUCAUUCCCAAAGUGGACCACUAGGUUUUUUCCUUUUUCCAACCUCAUAUCCAAUAACUGGGUUAACUGGCUCAUCAGAUUUCUCUGGACUUCUAGCAUUUGAUCCUUCACAUCUUGUUGAAAUUUGGCCAAUUGCUCUAGCAUCUGUAUCUGCAUUCGCUCUAAUCUCUCCAACCUUUGGUCCAGUCCUUAGUUUCUAUUCGGGUACAGCAAAAAUGUUGGUUUUCCAAACUUUCUGAAAUAAUUUUACCUAAUUAGGGUCACUUUAUGAAAAACUAAUGCAUAUGAUGCAAUGUAAUGCAAAUGCAUGAAAUGAAUGCCUAAAGAGACGUUGAUUCUGAUUCAAUCACAUUUAGGAAACUUUUCUGGAAAGCAAAUUCCCUUACACAAAACGGAUACAUGUACGACCUCACCCUCAUAUUCCAAGAAACAACAUCGGUCUUUUUCUUCAUCUGCAUGCUUGAGGUAAUCUCGCCAAUAGAUGCCAUUGCUAGCUCCUUCUCUUGAUCUUGGUUGUAAUCCAUCACCUGCCUGUCCUCAUAAGGCUCGUCCGCCUCUUUAAGGGGUUGGAAUGUUCAAGGCUCUUAGACAAUUGCCUUGAAUCCUCAGGCCACGAAGCAGGGUCACGAACUCUUCCAUCGCCCUUCUUGUGUUUCUCGGAAUAUAUUUGGGAAGUCGUAUUGUUUUCCACUUUAUCAAGGAAUCCGUAUUCCAUGACAAGCUUUCUAAUUUAGUAAUCGAACUUAAAUCAAUAUCUCUUUCCUAAGAUGCAGAUGCGAUGCAAUCAUAAUCAAAGCACAAUAAAAAGGGUUAGUACAAAAACAAACAAGGAAAACAGAAAGUAUGUAAUCGGGUGACUACUAGGGGUUUGGAGUGGCUCUAUCUAGGUUAAGUUCCUAAGUCCACUACAUGAGGUUUAGUUCUAAAGUAAGGGUACCCAAACCAGCAGAUUCCUCGAUCCUCACCCAUUAUAGGCUCAUACGGACCAAGUUCGGUUCAGGGGAAUACAUUUCCCUAUGGCUGCACGGAGAUGAAAAUCUCACGAAGACAUAGGUACGGAUGUAUCCCAAAAGCGAUCCACUAUCCUGCAUGGAGGUGAAAACCUCACGAAGGAGUAGCUUCUCACUCCCACUUAAAAGGUGUGACGAGCGGUCAUGCAAUGCAAUGCAUAAAGAUAUAAAAAUUUAAACAAAUAGAGCAAUUAUAAACCACAAUAAUGAAAAUUAUAAUGAAGAAUGAUAUGCAAUGAAAGGAUCAUAAAUUUAAACCAAAUUUUCAAUUUUCGACAAAAAAGACAAAAAAUAAUCAACUCGUGGCUCGACUCACUUAUUUAAAGUCCCCAGUGGAGUCGCCAAGCUGUUGACACUAUUUUUUGAUGGAAAACGGGGUCGACUUAGGUUUUGAAAAAUGAAACGGGAGUCGCCACCAAUCCUUUUUUUAUGAGGUGUGAUUGGAUCACCUCGAAAAGGGGUUAUUUUUAAUAAACAAUUUGAUUUUAUUAAAAUAACAAGUUUGGUCCACGAAAUUCAGAAAAAUGGGUUCGGGAGUCGGUUACGCACGAGGAAGGAUUAGCACCCUCGAUACGCCCAAAAUUGGUACCUAGUUGAUUACUUAAUGUCUUAGUGUCGAAGAGUGAAAACUUUGAAGAAUUUAAAAAUACGAUCCUUGUAUUAAAAAGUUGAAAAUUUUGGGCAAAGAGGGCACAUUCCACGUUAAUCGAGAAAGAAAGUAUCAUAUUCAGUAAGUUAGGACACAAUGUCUCGAAUUCCCGAUACGCGAAUAAAAAUGGUUGUUCAAAAGAUUAUUUAACUAUUUUUGGAUAAAAAAGGGAUCACGACCAGUAAGUUAGGACACGAUCCUUUUUUAAUUCCCGAUAUCGUUUAAAACUUGAGUUUGAAAAGAUUCGUGUAAUAAAGUUUAAAAGAAUAUUCAAUUGUUUAAAUCAAAUGAAGAAAUCGCAACCCAAUACGUUAGGGCACAAUUUAUCAAAAUAUUAAACAUUGAAUAUUACAUUUAUUUCGAAAAAUCCUCGUUUCGAGAAAACAACAUGUCACAUCCAAUGCGUUAGGACACAAUAUAUUGAAUUCUCGAUAACGAACUUUUUAUCAUUUUUAAAAGAGUAAUCUCGAUUAUUUUGAUUCAACAAAGAAAAUCGGAACCCAAUACGUUAGGGCUCGAUUCUCUCAAAGAUCUCAAAUAUCGAGUGUUAUUAUUAUUUUACAUUCAUUUUUUACUCGGAUUUAUCCAAAAAUGGAAAAUUUCAAAAUAAUAAUAACACUCGAUAUUUGAGAUCUUUGAGAGAAUCGAGCCCUAACGUAUUGGGUUCCAAUUUUCUUUGUUGAAUCAAAAUAAUCGAGAUUACUCUUUUAAAAAUGAUAAAAAGUUCGUUAUCGAGAAUUCAAUAUAUUGUGUCCUAACGCAUUGGAUGUGACAUGUUGUUUUCUCGAAACGAGGAUUUUUCGAAAUAAAUGUAAUAUUCAAUGUUUAAUAUUUUGAUAAAUUGUGCCCUAACGUAUUGGGUUGCGAUUUCUUCAUUUGAUUUAAACAAUUGAAUAUUCUUUUAAACUUUAUUACACGAAUCUUUUCAAACUCAAGUUUUAAACGAUAUCGGGAAUUAAAAAAGGAUCGUGUCCUAACUUACUGGUCGUGAUCCCUUUUUUAUCCAAAAAUACUUAAAUAAUCUUUUGAACAACCAUUUUUAUUCGCGUAUCGGGAAUUCGAGACAUUGUGUCCUAACUUACUGGAUAUGAUACUUUCUUUCUCGAUUAACGUGGAAUGUGCCCUCUUUUCCCAAAAUUUUCAACUUUUUAAUACAAGGAUCGUAUUUUUAAAUUCGGCAAAGUUUUCACUCUUCGACACUAAGACAUUAAGUAAUCAACUAGGUACCAAUUUUGGGCGUAUCGAGGGUGCUAAUCCUUCCUCGUGCGUAACCGACUCUCGAACCCAUUUUUCUGAAUUUAGUGGACCAAACUUGUUGUUUUAAUAAAAUCAAACCGUUUAUUAAAAACAAUCCCUUUUCGAGGUGAUCCAAUCACACCUCAUAAAAAAAAGGAUUGGUGGCGACUCCCGUUUCAUUUUUCAAAACCCAAGUCGACCCCGUUUUCCAUCAAAAAAUGGUGUCAACAGACAUAAUAAUAAAUUUAACCAUUCAAUAUCUACAAAUUCUAUUAAUUUGGUUCUAAUUCUAAAAUAUAAAUUUAGCUUUUAACUUUAUCCAUUAUGUCAAUUUAGUCUUGAUUCUUAAAAUUUUAAAAUAAAAAUUUAAAAAUUUUUAUCAAUAAAAAUACAUACAAAAUUUUAAAAUGCACAAAAAAUAUAAUUUUUUUAAAGGUGAAUACUCAAUUUCUCUUUAAAGGAAAACACAAAUAAAAAUUAGAUCUAAUUUAUCAUUUGUUUUUGUUGAAAAUGUGGUAAAUCUUACGGAUUUUCUUUGUUGUAAGGGUGAAAAGAAAAUGUAGGGUUUAGUCUAAAUCACUCAAUAAUAACUAACGUGAUCAAAAUUUAGUGUGUAACAAUUUUCUCAGCUACCAGACACUGUAGGCCCCGUUUUCUUCCAUUCUUCAUCAUCAUUUUCUCAGCUACCAGACACUGAAGACUACACGGGCGUGUGACCUUGAACCUAGGAAAAAUUUUAAAAUUUUGUGAAAAAUUCUUUGAGUUCUCGAUUUGGGCCACGAGGGCCCACAGAAGGGACGAUGUGGUUAAAUUAUAAUUAAUUUCUGAUACGAUUGUAAAAUAACGUGAAAUAUCUGAAUAUGAUCUGUAAAUUUUGGUAAUGCUCCUAAACCCUGUUCUGGCGACGAAUACAGGUUAGGGGUGUUACAUUAUCACCUUUCGAUUAUUUAACGUAAUAAUUCAAAGGAUUCCUUAAAACUAAAAUUGACUAACUAAAAUAACUAACGAAUGUGCCAAAUAGCAAAACACGAAAAUAAUCUAAUAUCAUCUGAUUUACUAAACGAUACCCACGUAAGAAUCCACUUAGAAUUCAUCUAAAAUUCUCAAUUUAAUUUCUGCAAUUUAUUUCCUUAGUUUCCUUGAUCCGUAGAAAUACCUAACUUAUGCUAAUAUCUCUUUCAAGCAUAAAAGCAACUAACUCUAGGUUGAUUAAUUAAAAUUCCCUUCUAAUAAAAACCCUUAUUAUCGCAUUAAUUCACUCUAUGGAUUCUCUUAUUAGAUUUGACUCUAAUUUGGUAGAUUUGUGUCAUCCUAUUUCUAGGAUUAUAUGCAACUCCAUUCGAUUAUGCAAGAUCUAAUCACAAGAAGGGUCUAUUCAACCUCAAACUCAUGCCCAUCAAACAUGGAUUAAGACCCUAGAAAUAUUAACCCAAGAACAAAUUUAGAAUUCAUAAUUGAAAAUAAAGAAGCUAAGAUUUUAUUGCAUAAAACUAUAAAUCAAAUAAUAUAAUCCAUCGUAUGGUUCAUCUCCCUUAGGUAUUUAGAAAAUUAGUUCAUACUUGCAAGAAUAAAAAUCGACAUUAAAAUAAAAGAAACCUAUGAUAACUUCCCCAGAAAUCAAUUUGGAAUCUUUAAUCUUGAUGGAGAACUACUUUGAAAUCAACUUCAAUGGUGUUCUUUUGGGUAAUUUUCGCUUUAAACCAAGACGGAUGUUGUUUUCCCUUUUUUAUUUCCUUAUAUAUGCCUUCUUAAAGUGCCAAAAACUUAAAAAUUGAAACUUCUCACUGUCAUUGUACACGGUUUCCGAAAGUUACACACCCUUGCCACACACUCUUGUGGUUCAUAUAGCCUUGUGGUCUGGCCGUGUGAAAAUCUGUUACCCGUGUACAACUUCCAGACUGCUUCAAUGUUAUGAUUUUCACUUGUUUUUCACUCUAUUUGUUCCCAAGUACUCCAUUAAGCUUCAAAACAUGAAUUUAAAGGAUUAUAGGUAUAUAAUUCACAAUUAACACCACUUAAUUACCCAAAAUGCACUAAGAAUGAGGCUAGAAUAUGUUACUUUUGACACUUAUCAAAUAUCCCCAUACUUAAGCAUUUGUUUGUCCUCAAGCAUAGUUCUCUACUCACAUUCGAAUUUCCUUCACCCAUUAUUUUCACUAAUCAUGGCUUAGGAUAAUCUAUAUAUAAUUUGAAAAUUAAACUAAAAUGACAGUAAAGAGCAUAAGCAAUCCAAGCAAAAAUUUUAAUUUCAAAACAUAGGAUUCUCCCCUACCUUAUAAUAACCUGAAAUUCAAACCCAAUCAGAUUUAACAUCCUUACUAAGAUUCACUCAAAACACUCAAAGUAUUUAAAGGUUAAUUAAUAUGCACUCAAUAGUCAAACAAGGAAUGUUAUUACCAUAAGCUUGCUUAAGAAUCAAAUCUCCACCACUACAAAUAUGAGAUGACACGGAGAUCAAGAGGUUUUUACAAGAGUUGUAACGGGGUUUAGGUUAAGGGUACAGAAGGUAUAAAAGGUGAAUAUAGUCAAGAGUUGAAAUGAUGAGUUACCAAACUAAAAGAGUAGGAUUUUGAAUUGCAAAAAAUUUAACAUUAAAGUGAAACAAAGAAUUGAAGUGAGCUUUUAUAUAUGAUGAUGAUGAUGAUUUAAGCUCAAAAAAAAAAGAAAAAAAAGAAAAAAGAUAAUGAUGCUUAUAACAUGAAUAUUGACCUCUCAAUUGAACAAGAUAGCCUGAAGAAUUUUUAAGAAUGAUCGAACAUAUCUAGGAAACUUACCAAAAAUCUAAUCUCAACUAAAGGAAAGCAAUAAAAAAAGUAAUUCACAAAAUUAAUGGGGUUUAAGGGUUAAAAUGGAAGGGAUGAUAAACAAACAAAAAGGGACUAGGCUCAAAGGGGUUUAUUAGUGGGCAAUGAAAUGGGUAGGCUAUUUAAAUGUUAAAUGGUUUAAUGGUUAAAAUGGAAGGGAUGAUAAACAAACAAAAAGGGAUUAGGCUCAAAAGGGUUUAUUAGUGGGCAAUGAAAUGGGUAGGCUAUUUAAAUGUUAAAUGGUUUAAAUCCUAAGUGUCUCUAUCAUCUCAAUAUAUCAAAUUAUUAUAUUUGAGAAUUUGCCACAAAUGUUGGACCUCAGUAACAUUUGUAAUCAAUCCCAUACAAGUGCGCACAAGACCCUAUUGACACGCCAAUUGUAUCUUAACAUUUACUAAGUUCACACGAGCAUUUCUUACACAUAUAAAUAUUUCUUUUCAAUUUAAUCCAAUUCUAACCUUUAGAACCAAUUCACAAUCAAUUGAUCCACAAUCACACACUUAUAUAUAAAUCAAAUCAAUUAAUUAUUUUAAAUAUAAUUAUUUUUAGUAAAAAUAAAUUUUAUAUGUGGAAUAUUUAUUUUUUUUCCAUCCAUAUCAUUGGUGUGACAAAUUUUAGUAUUAUAUAUUUUUAUGUGUAUUUUAGAUAAUUAUUUAAAAUAUUUUACAUAUAAAAACAAUGAUAUUUGAAAUAAUUAUUUUUAUAAUAUUAGAAUUUACAUACUUACAAUAUAGGUGAAAAUAAAUUGAUAUUUGUAAUAGUUAUUUAAAAUAUUUCACAUAUAUUUGAAAUAAAAUUUUGAAAUAAUUUACAUAUAAAAUCAAUAGUGAUAUUUGAAAUAAUUAUUUGAUUUUAUAAUAUUAGAAUCUACAAUAUCCACAAUGUAGGUGGAAAAAAAUAUUUCACAUAUAAAAAAUUAUAUUUAUUAUUUACUAGAAAUAAUGAUAUUUGAAAUGAUUAAUUGAUUUUUUUAUAGUAGAAUUUAUCAUACUUACAAUGUAUAUAAAAAAAAUAAAUAUUUGAUAUAUAAAAAUUAUAUAUAAAAAAUUAGUUGAUGUUUUUAAAAAAUAAAAAAUAUAUAACAUAAUGAUACACAUGAAUAUAUUUUCACUAUAUCCACAAUGCAAGUGAAAAAAAAUAAUGAUAUUUGAAAUAAUUAUUUUUAUAAUAUUAGAAUUUAUGUUACCCACAAUGUAUGUAAAAACAAUUUUUUUGACAUAAAAAUUUAUUUAUAAAGAAAAAUAUAUCAAAAUAUUAGUUGAUGUUUUUAAAAAUACAUAUAAGUUUAACAUAAUGAUACAUAUGACUAUAUAUUCAUCAUAUCCAUAAUGUAAGUGAAAAAAUAAUAAGAUUUGAAAUAAUUAAUUUUAUAUAUUAGAAUUUACGAUACCCACAAUGUACGUAAAAAAAAUAUUUGACAUAAAAAAUAUAUAAAUAAAAAUAUAUCAAAAAAAUUAGUUGUUGUUUUUAAAAAAUAAAAUAUAUUUAACAUAAUUAUAUAUAAAUUAUUUUCAUUAUAUAAUUACAUAUUUAUUAUUUUGUGCAUAUAAAUAAAGAAGUGAUUAAUUAAAAUAAAAAUAAAAAAUUAAUUGAAGACUUGAAAAUAGCAUGAUUAUUAAUUAAAAAAUAAGAAAAAAAAGCUUGAAGAAACAUUCAUUAGAAAAAAAACAAAUAAUAUGGGGGGGGAUUCGGAUAUGGGACUUAAGGGUAGAAAAUGCAAGAAAAAUAAUGAGGUCCUUGGAAGUAAUAAAUAUUAAUAUUUUGAUAUUUUUAUAAAAAAAUUAUAAACUAUAUAAGCAUAAUAGGAUUUGAAUUUAAGUUACUAUGACUUCAACAAUCUUAUUCUUGUUAUCAGAACAUUAUUUAUUUCUUUUUAUAAACAUUUACAUAUAUAUUUUUUUGAUCUAACAAACAGGGAAGGCAUUUGGUAAAUUUCUGGAUUUGCAGUAUUUUUUCUUCAAGCUAAUUAAUUCAAUUUUGUAUGGUGUUAUCCAGGAAGAAAUAGAUCAACAAAAAUGGGAGCUGAGGAGCCUGAAGAGAACAUCACUCACAUGGAUGCUUGGCUUUAUAAGGCAGCAGCAGAAGGCAACAUUGAAGUAUUCAAUAAUAACCAGCGGCUUCAAUUGAGUCGCUAAAGACCCCCGCACAAUACGUAUUCUCCCUGAUAGAUUUUGUAUCACACGAUUCGGGUUUCAAUAUUUUCAUAACUGUGAUAAGAAGAGACAAAAUAUCUGAUUUUAUCAGACAAAUUCUCAGCAAAUGUCCGUCACUGCUACUCCAGACGAAUGCUAAAGGUCAAACUCCUUUUCACGUUGCAGCAAGGUAUGGAAAUUCUACUAUUGUGAAACUUCUAAUCAAGUCUUGUGCAAAAGCUAGAGAUGGAGAUUUAGAGAAGCUGGGAAUGGAUCAAGUAAAUGCAGUGGGGGAGAUGCUGAGGAUUACGGAUCAGGAAUCCAACACGGCUUUACACGAAGCAGCACGGCGUGACAAUGUUGAAGUGGUGAAAGCAUUGUUGGAGUUUAAAGACCCUGAUUUUCCGUAUUCCACCAACAAAAAACAGGAGACUGCACUUUACAAUGUUGAAGUGGUGAAAGCAAUGCUGCACACUUGGGUUCUAGAUUAUCAGUUGUGGAAGAAGUGUUAAAAAGGGAUGUAUCAGCUGCCUAUAGAGGUGAUAAAAAGAGGGGGAUGACACCCCUUUGUUAACAUUAAUGGGAGACAACAUUAAUGGCAAACAAUACAAAGUGGUGCAAGUUUAGCACCCUAAAGUUGACUUUGAAAAAGUGGCAUGGGAUAAUUUUUUUUGGUCCUUGAGAUAAUGCGCUAUUUAUUGUUUGGUCCUUGAACCUCAACUAUAAAUAGGCCUUCUCAUUUCUCAUUUCAAUUCAUCCCAACCAAUCUUUCUCUCUUAGUUUUCUCUCUUCUCCCAUUUGAGAAUUCUUAAGGAAUUCUAUUUGUUUGUAAUACUUUGGAGAUAGUAAAGUUAUCAUCUGGUGUUAGUGCCUGAGGACGUAGGUAUAAUUUACCGAACCUCGUUAAAACUCUUGUGUUCUUUCUUGUCCUAUUUUUCUUUCAAUAUUUGAGGGUAUAAUAGUAGUAUUUAAUUGUGCUAUUAAAUUACUAUAAAAGGGAUAUUCUGACUAAGGAAAGACUUGGUAUUUAAGAGAUCCUUGUGAUCCACCUCUCUUCCCUGGGAAUUGAACUUUGUGUGAUUUUUUAGUACAAUAAUUUACACGCUUCCGACCCUAUUGGAACAACAAGUGGUAUCAAGAGCCGAAGGUUAAUCGUAGUAUGCUCUGUGGUUGCAGUUUAAACUGAUCUUCCACAUCAGAAAAGAUUUCCUUAGGUAUAUUGAAAGAUUAUGGAGAAAACGGUCGGUGUAGGAGCUUCAACAUCGUCCAUGUGGACAAGACCGACAAUUGCAAAUGCAAGAUUGGCCGUGGAGAUCUUUGAAGGCACGGGCCAUUUUGGUAUGGGGCAAAGUGAGGUUUUAGAUGCCCUUUUUCAGCAGGGUCUAGACAUUGCCAUUGAUGAAGAGAAACCAGAUGAUGUACAGGAGAAAGAUUGGAAGGCGAUCAGUCGGUUGGCAUGUGGCACAAUUCGAUCAUGCCUUUCUCGAGAGCAGAGGUAUGCUUUUUCAAAGGAGACUUCUGCAAAUAAGUUGUGGGUGGCACUUGAAGAAAAUUUUUUGAAGAAAAACAGUCAAAAUAAGCUCCACUUGAAGAAAAGACUGUUUCGCUUCACAUACGUCCCAAGUACCACAAUGAAUGAUCACAUCACCAAAUUUAAUCAGUUAGUCACUGAUUUGCUGAAUAUGGAUGAGACAUUCAAAGAUGAAGAUUUGGCUUUGAUGCUGUUGGGGUCACUUCCUGAGGAGUUUGAGUUCCUAGAAACUACUCUACUUCAUGGCAGGAGUGAUAUAUCUCCGAGCGAAGUCUGUGCGGCCUUAUACAGUUAUGAACAGAGAAAGAAGGACAAACAGAAAAACUCAAUCAGAGAUACAGAAGCUUUAGUAGUCCGAGGUCGUUCAUACACUCGGAAGAAAACUCAAAAGGGGAGAUCAAAGUCAAAGUCCAAACUCGGGAAAGAUGAAUGUGCUUUUUAUCAUGAGAAAGGCCAUUGGAAGAAAAAUUGUCCAAAGCUGAAGAAUAAGGGAAAAGCUGCUGUAGAUGCUUGUGUUGCUAAGCAUGAUACUAGUGACUCUGAACUAUCACUGGUUGCAUCAUCAUCGUCGUUCCAUUCAGAUGAGUGGAUAUUGUAUUCGGGUUGUACCUAUCAUAUGUCCCCUAACCGGGAGUGGUUCUCUGAUUUAGUAGAACUAAAUGGAGAGUUGUUUAUAUGGGCAAUGACAAUGCCUGUAAAACUGUUAGGAUAGGUUCAAUCCAAUUAAAGAAUAAAGAUGGAUCAACCAGAGUUCUGACUGAUGUUCGGUACGUGCCCAGUUUGAAGAAAAAUCUCAUCUCAUUGGGAGCCUUGGAAUCCAAUGGUUCAGUUGUUACUAUGAGAGAUGGGGUUUUGAAAGUGACAUAUGGCGCACUUGUGAUAUUGAAGGGCAUCAGGAAAAAUAACUUGUAUUACUACCAAGGUAGUACAGUUAUUGGAGCAGUCGCUGCAGCUUCCGGCAACAAAGAAUUGGACUCAAUACAGUUGUGGCAUAUGAAGUUGGGACAUGCCAGCGAAAAAUCCUUGCAAAUUCUGGCAAAGCAAGGAUUGUUGAAAGGUGCAAAGGCUUGCAAAUUAAAAUUUUGCGAGCAUUGUGUUCUGGGAAAGCAAAAGAGAGUGAAAUUCGGCACUGCUAUCCAUAAUACAAAAAGUAUUUUAGAAUAUGUUCACUCAGAUGUGUGGGGGCAUUCCAAGACACCUUCAUUGGGAGGAAAACACUACUUUGUUACUUUUGUUGAUGACUUUUCCAGAAGAGUUUGGGUGUAUACCAUGAGAACUAAGGAUGAAGUGCUUAGAGUUUUUCUUAAAUGGAAAACUAUGAUCGAAAACCAGACUGGCAAGAAAAUCAAGCGGCUUAGGACGGACAAUGGAGGGGAAUAUAAAAGUGAUCCAUUCUUCGAUGUGUGCCAAGAGUAUGGUAUUGUUCGACACUUCACAGUUAGGGAUACACCACAGCAGAAUGGAUUGGCAGAGCGUAUGAAUCGAACAUUGCUAGAGAAAGUUUGAUGUAAGUUGUCCAAUGCUGGGUUGGGCAAGCAAUUUUGGGCUGAGGCUGUGACAUACGCUGGCCAUCUUGUUAAUCGUUUGCCAUCAUCUGCAUUAGAAAGAAAAACUCCUAUGGAGGUAUGGUCUGGAAAACCGGCUACAGAUUAUGAUUCCUUACAUGUGUUUGGAUCCACUGCAUAUUACCAUGUGAAGGAGUCAAAGUUAGAUCCGAGGGCAAAGAAAGCUCUUUUUAUAGGAAUCAUUUCUGGAGUGAAGGGAUUUCGUCUUUGGUGCUUAAGCACAAAGAAAAUGAUCUGUAGCAGAGAUGUUACCUUUGAUGAAUCUGCCACAUUGAAAAAGGUAGCAGAUAAAAAUAUUCAGACGAGCAAUACUCCACAGCAAGUGGAGUGUACUCCAAAAUAGGUGGAGUUUGAGCAGAUGGGGAUUUGCCCAGUUAAUAAGUCUAAUUCUCUAGCCACAAUGGAGGAAUUAGAGGUUGAAGAGGUUCUGACCCAAGAACCACUAAGUACACCAGAACCAGUUGCAGUUGCAAGGCCACGGAGAGAAAUUCGUAAACCUGCUCGAUUUAUUGAUAUGGUGGCCUACGCCCUUCCCGUUGUUGAUGAUAUUCCUAUCACUUAUCAAGAAGCAAUGCAAAGCUUAGAAAGUGAUAAAUGGAAAAGCGCCAUGGAUGAAGAAAUGCAGUCUCUCCGGAAGAACAAUACUUGGGAGUUGGCGCAAUUACCGAAAGGUAAAAGGGCAAUCGGAUGCAAGUGGGUAUUCACAAAGAAAGAUGGAUCUCCUAGCAAGAAGGAUAUUCGCUACAAGGCAAGAUUGGUAGCUAAAGGCUACGCUCAGAAGGAGGGAAUUGACUACAAUGAUGUAUUUUCCCCUGUUGUGAAGCAUUCCUCCAUUAGAAUUUUGUUGGCCUUGGUAGCACAGUUGAAUUUGGAGCUAGCUCAACUUGAUGUUAAGACGGCUUUCUUGCAUGGUGAGUUAGAAGAGGAGAUCUAUAUGACUCAGCCCGAAGGAUACACAGAUGCUGGUGGUAGAAAUUGGGUUUGUAAGCUUAACAAAUCGCUAUAUGGAUUGAAGCAAUCCCCGAGGCAGUGGUACAAGCGAUUCGAUAGCUUUAUGAGAAGGCAGAAGUACACAAGAAGCAAAUAUGACAAUUGUGUAUAUUUGCAGAAGCUGCAUGACGGAUCUUUCAUUUAUCUACUCUUGUAUGUUGAUGAUAUGUUAAUCGCUUCGAAGAGCCAAAAUGAGAUAGAUAAGCUGAAGGCUCAGUUGAAUCAAGAGUUCGAGAUGAAAGAUCUAGGUGAGGCCAAGAAGAUUCUCGGCAUGGAGAUAAGUAGAGAUAGACCGAAAGGCAAGCUCUGUUUAAAUCAGAAGCAAUAUCUGAAAAAGGUAUUACAAUGUUUUGGUGUAAAUGAAAACACAAAACAUGUAAGUACCCCACUUGCUUCUCAUUUGAAACUUAGUGCUCAAUUAUCUCCGAAGACUGAAGAUGAAAGAGAAUAUAUGGCGAAAGUCCCAUAUGCUAAUGCAGUUGGGAGUUUGAUGUAUGCGAUGGUGUGUACGAGGCCUGACAUUUCACAAGCUGUUGGAGUUGUGAGCAGGUAUAUGCAUGAUCCUGGAAAAGGACAUUGGCAAGCUGUGAAAUGGAUUCUACGGUAUCUUCGAAAAACUGUAGAAGUUGGUUUAAUUUUUGAACAGGAUGAAGCACUUGGUCAGUUUGUAGUUGGAUAUGUUGAUUCCGACUUUGCUGGUGAUUUAGAUAAAAAUUGUUCAACUACGGGGUAUCUGUUUACUCUUGCGAAAGCCCCAGUGAGUUGGAAGUCUACCUUACAGUCUACAGUAGCUGUGUCUACUACAGAGGCAGAAUAUAUGGCAGUUACUGAAGCUAUUAAGGAGGCUAUUUGGCUUAAUGGAUUGUUGAAAGACUUAGGAGUUGUUCAAAGUCACAUAAGUUUAUAUUGUGACAGUCAGAGCGCUAUUCAUUUAGCGAAAAAUCAAGUCUAUCAUUCAAGAACCAAGCAUAUCGACGUAAGAUAUCACUUUGUGCGGGAAGUCUUUGAAAAAGGAAAAAUUCUACUUCAGAAGAUUCCGACAGCAGAUAAUCCCGCAGAUAUGAUGACCAAUGUGGUAACAACAAUCAAGUUUAAUCAUUGUUUGAACUUGAUUAACAUCCUGAGAAUUUGAGCACCUUCAGGUGUAUGGCGCUCGAGAGCGCAUUUGUAGGCACUACAAAAGAUAGCUUUAUCGAAUUUGAGGAGUUGAAGGAAGUGUGUGAAGAUGUGAUUAUCCUAAUCAAAUCUUCAAGGUGGAGAUUGUUAACAUUAAUGGGAGACAAUAUUAAUGGCAAACAAUACAAAGUGGUGCAAGUUUAGCACCCUAAAGUUGACUUUGAAAAAGUGGCAUGGGAUAAUUUUUUUUGGUCCUUGAGAUAAUGGGCUAUUUAUUGUUUGGUCCUUGAACCUCAACUAUAAAUAGGCCUUCUCAUUUCUCAUUUCAAUUCAUCCCAACCAAUCUUUCUCUCUUAGUUUUCUCUCUUCUCCCAUUUGAGAAUUCUUAAGGAAUUCUAUUUGUUUGUAAUACUUUGGAGAUAGUAAAGUUAUCAUCUGGUGUUAGUGCCCGAGGACGUAGGUAUAAUUUACCGAACCUCGUUAAAACUCUUGUGUUCUUUCUUGUCCUAUUUUUCUUUCAAUAUUUGAGGGUAUAAUAGUAGUAUUUAAUUGUGCUAUUAAAUUACUAUAAAAGGGAUAUUCUGACUAAGGAAAGACUUGGUAUUUAAGAGAUCCUUGUGAUCCACCUCUCUUCCCUGGGAAUUGAACUUUGUGUGAUUUUUUAGUACAAUAAUUUACACGCUUCCGACCCUAUUGGAACAACACCCUUCUUAUGGCAGCCAGGCAAAGCUAUCUUGGAACAGUUUUAAAGAUUCUCUCUUUAUGUCCAGAUUGUUGUGAAAAAGUGGACAACAAAGGUUUGAAUUUACUUCAUUACCUGGUUUUUAGAGGUGCUUUCUCUCCGUUAAGAGUUUCUCUUUUCGAGCUUGGUGUCAUUGAGACUGUAUAUGGAUCAUUCAGAAAUCUAAGGGAGUUGGAAGGUGCCUUUGAAAUGACACCUCAAGAAGUUUAUUAUGCACUUCGAUCUAAGAAACAACAUCAGAAACAGGUGUGUGUGUAUAUAUUGUAUUUCCAUGGCUAUGGUUUUAUUAAUAUUUAAGUUUUGAAUUAACAUAUUUAAUAAAUCUUCAAUACAAUCAGCUAAUGUGGGUGGCAUGGCAGAAGCAAAUCAAUGAUUUGUUGGAAGAAAUUGAGACUGAUCAAGUGGCGGAAGACCCAGUUCGACUCAAUCUCUUGCCUACUAUCUCUGCAGAAAGCUUGGAGAAGACAAGAGAUGCUCAUUUAGUAGUGGCAACACUUAUAGCCACCAUCGCAUUUACAGCGGUAAUAACUGUUCCCGGUGGUUUGAAUAGCGAAAAAAGGGUCAGAGCAAGGCGCUCCCCUUUUGAUUGAUGAGGCAGCCUUUAAAGCAUUUGUUGUAACAAAUGCAUUGGCCUUUAUUCUCUCUAUUUCUGCCAUCUUCAUCCACUCCGGGGUUCUGGGUAAUAUGUUAUCAGGAUUUAAGUUUGGGCAUCGGAUAGUUUUAUAUCGAACUUUGUCUGUUUCUGGGAUCCUUUUCUAUGCAACGUUUGCAAUGUUGAUUGCUUUCAGCACAGGUAGUUAUGUAGUCUUAAAACCUUCCCACGGACUUGCCAUUGUUUCAUAUCUCAUCUACCCUGCCUUUUUUGUCUUUAUGUUGCUAAUUUUGAAUCUUACAUCAUAUAUGUAACAUAUAAAUAUGAUAAUAUUACUUGAUCAUGGAUUACUAUUCUUCCAAUUCCUAGUGUCAAUGUUAUCUCUUUGAAGAAAUAUUACUUAAUUUUUUUUUUGAGAUAUAUCUAACUCAUAAGUAUUAACAAUCUCCAUUUAAUUGAAAUCAAUGUUAUUAGUUGAUAAAUACACAUUUUCAAAGAAAAUUAAAAAAAUUCAUAAUUUAUGUAAAGUAAAAUUUAUUAAAUAUAAAAAAAUAAUAAAUAUGUUGCAACUAAUUGUCCGUUAUAAUUAAAAAUUAGUUUAAUAAAUAUGAAAAUUUUUAAGUUCACCACCAAAUUUUGUUGGCUAGGUGUAUUCAAACACCUAUAAAAUCACUCUUUAAAAAGAAAAUUUUGAUUUAAAAAAAAUAAUUUUGGGUACGAUAGAAAUUCAGAAAAUAAAUAUUUAAGUUCAAGAGUUGAUCACGUGAAAAGAAGAUUUUAGCACCCAUGCCUAAAAUUGAUAGCUUGUUAAAUAUGUUCGUAAAUUAAAAUUGAUAUCUCGGUAUUCAAUUAAAAUCCAAAAUUUUGAUAAAUUAAAAAUAAAAAUAUGAAAGAUGUCCAGAUUGUUGUGAAAAAUUGGAAAAAAGAGGUUUGAAUUUACUUCAUUAUUUGGCUUUUAGAGACCGUUCCUACAAUUAAGUCAUUCUCUUUUCAUGACUGGUGGUACUAUGACUGCAUAUGGAUCAAUAAGAAAUCUAAUGAAGUUGAAAGGUGACUUUGGAUUUACAGCAGCAAUAACUCUACCUGGUGGUUUGAAUAGUGAAAAAGGAUCAGAGCAGGGCAAUCCUUUUCUGAUUGAUGAGGCAGCCUUCAACAAAUGCAUUGGCCUUUAUUCUCUGUUUCUGCCCUCUCCAUCCAGUUUGGGAUUCUGGAUCUUCUUUUAUGUUUCUAAUCUCCUUGAUUGUGCAAUGGUUGUGAUGGUGAUUGCUUUUAGCACAAGUUGUUAUGUGGUUUUAAAACCUUUCCAUAGACUUCGUACCGAUUCAUGUUUCAUUUGCCCUGCCUUCUUUGUUUAUUAUUACAUACAACAAUACCUAGCUCUCGUGAAGAUGUUGUACUAAAAAGUACUCAUAUUGUGUGAAAGACAAUAAAACGAAGAGCUCAUGGAGGCCCUCGUGAUAGAACAACUUUGCAUGCAGCAGUUAUGGCUGUAGAUGCCAGGCAAUUACAUAUGCAAAUAUAUUUAUUAACAACUUCAUUCCCCCCCCCCCCAAAUAUCUCUGUAUUAAACCGAAAGUCCAUGUGAUUCCAACUGUUAAGCACCAUGGGAAGUGUCGAAAUAUAUAGGAAGUAAUAAGAAUUUUAUACAUAAUAAUAAAUUUAACUAAUUUGACCUUUUUCAUAAUUAAAUUUAGCCUUUAACUUUUUAAAAAGAAUUAAAUUUGAUUAUUUACUUUCAAAAACUAUUUAAUUAUCGUUUUUACACUAAAAUAUUAAAAUUUUAAAUAUAGUAGUUCGCGUGAAAGUUGGCAUGAACUUCAUGUUAACUUUUUCAACUUUUAAAUUUUUUAUAAUUUUUAAAUUAUUUCUUGACGUGCCAGAUAAAUAGUGUUAUCCCACCGUUUACGAGUUUUUCCAUUCCUAUGAUAAAAAGAGAAACGAGAUCAGAUUUUAUGUAACAAAUUCUCAGCAAGUGUCCGUCACUGCUACUCCAAACGAAUGCUAAAGGUCAAACUCCUUCGCACCUUGCAGCAAGGUAUGGGCAUUCUGCUAUUGUGAAACUUCUAAUAAGUCUUGCGCAAAAGCUAGAGAUGGAGAUUUAGAGAAGCUGGGAAUGGAUUGAGUAAAUGCAGUGAGGGAGAUGCUGAGGAUUAGGGAUCAGGAAUCCAACACCGCUUUACAUGAAGCAGCACGGUGUGGCAUUGUCGAAGUGGUGAAAGCAUUGUUGGAGUUUGAAGACCCUGAUUUUCCGUAUUCUGCCAACAAAAAACAGGAGACUCCACUUUACAUAACAGCUAUGGCUGGGGAUGCAGGUAUGCUGUUGAUAUUAAUAAUUUUGAUAAAAUGUCUGCAAUUUGUUAAAAUGCAACCUGAAACUUAGAAACCUUUCCAGCAUCAGAAUUAACCGGAAGAGCUUACAUCAUGAUUUCAUGGAUUAUGAACUAUACAUUUAAAUUACAAAUUGAUAGAAGUUGUUUUUGUUAGUACAAAUUUCCGGUAAGUAAAAUUUCGAACACACGAACGAAACUUGAACAGCAAAUGAAGAAAUAGGACAAGGCUCUAAAGUGUGUAUCAAAUCGCUAUUUUUAAGGUUAUAUUCGCCCCACCUAUGUUUGAUGUGCAAAAGAGUUUCGAGCAAAUUAACCUUAAGGAUACAAUGAAGCCGAAGACUAUUUGCGUUUUGUACUGAUGAAAAUAGAUCGCUAAUCACUGAGCAAUGUAUAACAAAAAACUCAAUUUUUAUAAAGGAUUUUUACGGUAAUACUUUAUAGAAUAAUCUAAUAAUAUUUGAAGAUGGAGGAAGGAAAGAAAGAAUUUUAGAAUUUCUUGAUGUGAUUUCCAAAUAAAAUCUCAUUCCUAUUUAUAAGAAUUUUCAUGUUUCUCCAUAAACUCCUUAAGAAAGUGUGAAUUUUAUCCAAUUAAUGUUUUUGUUUCUUGUUUUGUUUAAUGAAGAUCAUAUGUUAGAAGCUAGGAAGCUCGACAAGAGUUUAAGCAUCCAUUUUGUUUCUUGUUAUUUUCAUUAAUUUCUAAUCUAAUUUUGAUUCCUACAGUUAUAUAAUGUUAUUAAUUAAUCAAAAUUGUUAAUACAAUUAAUUUUUCGAUUAAAACAUUUUAUAGUUAUAUAUAAUUUGAAUGUUUUAAGGGUUUUAGAGAUGAAUAUGUGACUCAUUAUUUCUUUUAGGUUUGUCUUACUCUUUUUUUUAUAUUAUAAGAAAAUGAUAAAAUUUAAUUUUAGCCCUUACACAAUGUGAAAAUUUGAGAUUUAAUCUAUAUACAUUAUUUUUUACAUAAUUUGAUCAUUCUACUUUUACAAUGUCAUUAGUUAGCCCUUACACGAUGUUGACAUCAAUAUUUUUAGGAAUACAAUUCCAAGAAAAAAUAUUCAUGACGAGUUCGAAUGAAUGUUCGAAAGGAAAAAUCUAUAUAAACAUUUUCAACGUUAUUUUUAUUUUUACAUGACUACCAAGUAGUUUUUUUUUUAAUUUCAAAAUAUUACACUAAUGAAUUUAAUAGAAGAAUUUUAGUAGUAGUAAUGAUUGGACCUAAAAUUUUAAAUCUAAAAAAAAUAGAGGGUCUAAAGUUCUAAAAAUAAAAGUAUGCUUAAAGUAUAUUGUCCUUUAAAUUUAUACUACAUAAUUUAAUACAAAUAAAUAAUGAACCCUUCGCGAAGCAUGAGACUCAUACUAGUUUAUGAUUAGGUUAAUGGGCAUUAAUUACCAAAUUUGCUAAAAUUUCUAUUUGUUGAAAUAACACAAUCACUAGUCUAAAACAUACAAGGUUGUGGAAUGCUUGUACUAUUAUAAAUAGAGGUGGUUUCUCCACUUUUAGAUUAUCCCGAAAUUUGUUGUUUCUUUCUUGUAAUUUUCUAUUUUAUCUUUUGCUGGGAAAUAUAUUUAGUAAUAUUCAAGGACGUAGGAAUAAUUUGCUAAAUCUCAUCAAAAUUUUAGUGUUAUUAUUAUUACUAUUUUCUCAAUAUUUUGUAGAGUGUAUUUGAAGUGAUAUAUUGGACUUUAAGCGGGGUCAUCUGUGACCCUUCCAAUCUUUGUUGGGAGUUGAACAAGUAUUUUUUACGACAAUAAUUUACUCUCUUUUAUCCUAUUCACACGACAUUAUUAACUCUUUAUGAUUAUACUAACAGUCUUAUUUUUCUCUUUUGAUAGUAAAAAAGUAGCAGCAAAAUGCUUCAAAACAAACCAAAUCAAAGACUAAACUUGUUUCCAUGGUAAGUAAGCAGCUCCAAAACACCAGGCGAUGGCUCUUCAAAAAAAUGCAGAGUAAUUCCCAAAUCAGGACCCAGCGGCGCCAUAAAGUCUGCAAUCUUAGUAGCUUCCGGUCUCUUCUGCAUAAAUUGGAAUCCAUCUGGCAAUAGCUUGGUCAUUAGUCGCCUCUUUAAAAUAUCCAUCGCCCCUCACAUUUUCCGAUUCAAUGAUAAGCUUGCGAUAGCCUUGGUGGCAGGCCAACAAUAUAGUAUUUUAAUCAUCUUUAACAACCUUGUUUUGGCCCCAUUUGAUAAUUUUAAUUAAUGUUUUACGCAUAAAGGGAAUUUGACAAACGAAAGAGAUGAAGUGUAUUUCAUCUGCCCUAUCAACUUUGUCAAAUUCCCAUGGACUUGCCAUAGUUUCAUUUUUGAUCUGCUCUGCUUUUUUUUUGUUUGUUAUUACUUACCACAAUACCUAGCUUUGUUGAAGAUGGUGUUGUAGUGAAAAUAACGAAUUUUGUGACAAAUUUUGCAUGUGACACUAAUAAUUGUAUUACCAUUUCGUCACUGUGAAAUUCUUACAUUGGAUCUAUGUUGUGCGGAAGCGUGUGAAAGAGUAAAAUUAUUGUACUAAAAAAUCACACUAAGUUCAAUUCCCAGGAAAGAGAGGUGAAUCACGAGGAUCACUUAAGUACCAAGUCUUUCCUAGCCAGAAUAUCCCUCUAUCGUAAUUUAAUAGCACAAUAAAUCACUACAAUCACACUCACAAAAUAUGAACAUUAAAUAGUAAAGAACACCAAAAUUUUAACGAGGUUCGGCAAAUCUUGCCUACGUCCUCGGGCACUACCAAAUAUAUUUCACUCCAAAAUACAAGUGAAACUUUACAAAUAGGGAGAGAGAACAAUGCCUUAAGUAGAGAAUGGCAAAUGUGGGAUGAUGAGAAUGAGCAAUGGUUGGCCUAUUUAUAGUUGAGAUUCAAGGGCCACCUUGCAAAGUCCCUAUUCACUUAGGGACCAAAAAUUGCUAUUAUCCCAUGCCCAACACUAAAUAAAUAUUUGGUGCCCAUAACUUUGACCUUUCCAAGGUAUGGGUAGGUAUGGGAAAGGUAUGGGCAAGGUAUGGGAUAUAUUCUAAUAAUCUCCACCUUGAAGAUUUGAUUAGGAUAAUAUUAUCUUCACACAAUUCUUUUUGCCUUUGACAACAAUACUUGAUAGUGCCUUCUUCGACUGUUAAACUUGCAGGAUAUUGAUCAAGUUCAAACAAUGUUCGAACUUGGUUGCUGUUACCACCUUGGUCAUCAUAUCUGCGGGAUUAUCUGCAGUCUUGAUCUUCUGAAGACAAAUUUUCCCCUCUUCAAUAAUUUCCCGCACAAAAUGGAAUCGUACGUCGAUAUGUUUUGUACGUGCAUGAUAGACUUGAUUCUUUGCUAAAUGAAUAGCACUUUGACUAUCACAAUACACGUUAAUAUGCUCCUGAACCAACCCCAAGGUUUUAGCCAUACCUUGUAACCAAAUAGCCUCCUUUACAGCCUCUGUUACAGCCAUGUACUCGGCUUCUGUGGUUGACAACGCAACUGUAGACUGUAGUGUAGACUUCCAACUUAUUGGUCCUCCAGCAAGUGUAAACACAUAACCGGUGGUUGAUCUUCGCUUGUCCAAAUCACCGGCAUAGUCAGAAUCAACGUACCCAAUAACACCUUUACCAAGUGUAUUAUCCUGCUUGAACAGUAAUCCAACAUCUACGGUCUUCUGAAUAUACCGUAGAAUCCAUUUCACAGCUUGCCAAUGUCCUUUUCCAGGAUUAUGCAUAUACCUGCUCACUAUACUAACUGCCUGUGAAAUGUCGGGUCUUGUACACACCAUUGCAUACAUCAAGCUACCCACUGCAUUAGAAUACGGAACUUGCAACAUGUAUUCUCGUUCCGUAUUCGUCGAAGGAGAUAGUUGUGCAGAAAGCUUGAAAUGAGAAGCCAACGGGGUACUUACAGGUUUUGUCUGCUCGUUCAUGCCAAACUGCUGUAGUACCUUUUUCAAAUACUGCUUCUGAGACUAGCUAACUCUAUCAUGAGCUCUAUCUCUCCAUAUUUCCAUGCCGAGAAUCUUUUUAGCUUCUCCUAGAUCUUUCAUCUCAAACUCGAGAUUGAGUUGAGUCUUCAAUCUUUCAAUCUCAACUUUGCUCUUAGAUGCUAUUAGCAUAUCAUCAACAUAUAAGAGCAAGUAUAUGAAAAUUCCUUCUUGUAGCUUCUGAAGAUACACGCAAUGAUCAAAUUUACUUCUUGUGUACCUUUGCCCUUUCAUGAACUGAUCAAAUCGCUUGUACCACUGCCUCGGAGAUUGCUUCAAUCCAUAAAGCGACUUUGUCAGUUUGCAAACCCAAUUUUCUUUUCCAGCAACCUUGAAUCCAUCUGGCUGAGUCAUAUAGAUUUCCUCUUCCAAAUCACCGUGUAAAAAUGCGGUCUUCACAUCAAGCUGAACUAGUUCAAGAUCAUAUUGCGCAACCAAGACUAGCAAAAUCCGAAUAGACGAAUGCUUCACAACUGGAGAAAACACUUCAUUGUAGUCUAUUCCUUCUUUCUGAGCGUAACCCUUUGCUACUAAUCUAGCCUUGUAUCAAAUUUCAUUUUUAUCAGGAAAUCCUUCCUUCUUUGCAUAUACCCAUUUGCAUCCAAUUGCCUUCUUUCCCUUGGGUAGUGUCACCAACUCCCAGGUCUUAUUUUUAUGAAGAGACUGCAUUUCUUCAUUCAUUGCUUGCUUCCACUUUACACCAUCAGGGUUACUUAUUGCUUCUGUGUAAGUAGAAGGAACAUCAUCAUCUGCAAUUGGAAGUGCAUAGGCCACUAUAUCAUCAAAGCGAGCAGGCUUACGAAUCUCUCUUCUUGGCCUCCUAUAUGCAAUUGAAUCUUGUUGCUGUAGAGGUUCUUGGGUAGGAACCUCUUCAUCAUUUGUCCCUUCAAUAUUAGCUGGAUCAUCGUUAACCUUUUCAAGCUCCACCUGCUGCAAAGUACUACUGGUUUUGCCAUCCUUUUGUGAAUCCUUGUACUUUAACAUGGUUGAUUCAUCAAAAGUCACAUCUCUACUGAAAACAAUCUUCCUUGUAUCAGGACACCAGAGACGAUAUCCUUUUACUCCAUCAGUUAUACCCAAGAAUAAUGCUUUCUUUGCUCUUGGGUCUAACUUAGAUUCUUUUACAUGAUAAUAUGCAGUGGAACCAAAUACAUGCAAAGAAUCAUAAUCAGUAGCAGAUUUACCAGUCCACAUCUCCAUAGGAGUUUUUCCAUUUAUUGCAGCUGAUGGCAAACGGUUAAUUAGAUGGCACGCAUAUGUAACUGCCUCAGCCCAAAAUUCUUUGCCCAAUCCAGCAUUGGACAACAUACAUCGAACUUUCUCCAGUAUAGUUCGAUUUAUUCGUUCUGCCACCCCAUUUUGCUGUGGUGUAUCCCGAAUAGUGAAGUGUCGCACAAUGCCCUCAUCUUGGCAUACUUGUAGAAAUGGAUCGUUUUUGUACUCAGUACCAUUAUCUGAUCGAAGUCGUUUGACCUUUCGACCAGUCUGAGUCUCCACCAUCUUCUUCCAUUUCAGAAAUGCAUCCAAAACUUCAAUUUUUCUUUUCAUUAGAUACACCCAUACUUUUCUUGAAUAAUCAUCAACAAAAGUAACAAAAUAGUGCAUACCUCCCAAAGAAGCUACUUUGGUAGGUCCCCACACAUCACUGUGAACGUAGUCCAAAAUUCCUUUCGUAUUGUGAAUUGCUGGACCAAAUUUUACUCUCUUCUGCUUGCCCAGAACACAAUGUUCACAGAAUUCCAUUUUGCAAGAAUUUGCACCUUUCAAUAAGCCUUGCUUCACCAAUGUCUGCAAAGCUUUUUCACCAGCAUGUCCCAAUCGCAUAUGCCAUAAUCUGGUAGCCUCUGAAUCUACAUCUUUUGUAGAAACUGUUGAUGUUGAUCCAAUAACUGUACUUCCAUUUAAAAAAUACAAGUUAUUUCUUCUUGUGCCUUUCAUCACUGUCAGUUGCCCAGCUACUACUUUUAGUAAUCCAUCUCUCAAAGUGAUUGUGAGCCCUUUAGAUUCUAGGGCACCUAAUGAGAUGAGAUUUUUCUUCAGGCUAGGUACGCAGCGAACAUCUGUCAAGACUUGGAUUGAGCCGUCGUGAUUCUUCAAUUGGACUGUACCCACUUCCAUUGUCUUACAAGCACUAUCAUUGCCCAUAAGAACAAUUCCACCUUCUAGCUCUUUAAGACUAGAAAACCAGUCCUUAUUAGGACACAUAUGGUAAGUACAUCCUGAAUCCAAAAUCCACUCAUCCGUUUGACAUGCCAUUGCCAUGCCAACCAAGCUAAAGUCUGACUCCUCAUCAUGCUCCGCUACACAUGCAUUAGAAAUAGCCUUGCCCUUUUGUAGCUUAGGACAAUUCUUUUUCCAAUGCCCUUUUUCACGGCAAAAGGCACAUUCAUCUUUGGCGGGUCUCCCUUUGGACUUUCCCCUUCUACCAGAUUUGCUGCUGUGUGAACGACCUCUUACUGUUAAGACUUCUGCGGUUGUAUCUCUGUGAUCUCUUUUAUCUUUCUUUCGAGUCUCAGAUCUAUACAACGCACUACAGACUGCAUCAAAUUCACAUGGUCAUUCAUCGACAUACCGGGUGCAUACGUGAAUCGAUAAAGUUUCUUUUUCAUAUAAAGCCUAUUUUCAAGACUUUUCGUUAGAAACUUUUCUUCCAGUGUAUCCCAUAACUUCUUCGCUGAUGUCUCCCUCAUGACAGAGUACUUCUGCUCUUUGGCCAAACAUAGGCGGAUUGUACCACACGCCUGUCUAUUGAUCUUGGCCCACUCCUUGUCAUCCAUCUUGUCAGGUUUUUCUUCAAGGGCUAUAUCUAGCUCUUGCUGACAUAAGACAUCCAGGAUCUCACAUUGCCACAUACCAAAAUUAUUGGUACCGUCAAAUUUCUCUACUUCAAAUUUUACAUUUGUCACAGUAGUCCUUGCUGAUGACGAUGCUGCUGCCAUUUUUCUCCUCAAUCCCAACUACUGUAUACGUGAACAGUACCAUAUACGUGAAUAGUACUGUAUACGUGAAUAGUACCGUAAACGGUCGUAUUCCCCAAGUACGAACCUGGCUCUGAUACCAAUUGUUGUGCGAAAGCGUGUGAAAGAGUAAAAUUAUUGUACUAAAAAAUCACACUAAGUUCAAUUCCCAGGAAAGAGAGGUGAAUCACGAGGAUCACUUAAGUACCAAGUCUUUCCUAGCCAGAAUAUCCCUCUAUCGUAAUUUAAUAGCACAAUAAAUCACUACAAUCACACUCACAAAAUAUGAACAUUAAAUAGUAAAGAACACCAAAAUUUUAACGAGGUUCGGCAAGUCUUGCCUACGUCCUCGGGCACUACCAAAUAUAUUUCACUCCAAAAUACAAGUGAAACUUUACAAAUAGGGAGAGAGAACAAUACCUUAAGUAGAGAAUGACAAAUGUGGGAUGAUGAGAAUGAGCAAUGGUUGGCCUAUUUAUAGUUGAGAUUCAAGGGCCACCUUGCAAAGUCCCUAUUCACUUAGGGACCAAAAAUUGCUAUUAUCCCAUGCCCAACACUAAAUAAAUAUUUGGUGCCCAUAACUUUGACCUUUCCAAGGUAUGGGUAGGUAUGGGAAAGGUAUGGGCAAGGUAUGGGAUAUAUUCUAAUAAUCUAAAUUAUGUAAUAGUGACAAUAUAUAAAUAUUCCCUGUUGUAAUAUAAUUAUUUUUGGCCAAAUCACAUUCAGAUCCUAGUUAAUUUAUAUAAAAAUCAUAUAAACCAAAAAAUUUACUUUGAAUUUUGGUUUUCUUAAAAUUUAAAUGGUGGGGUCUUAGUUGGGUUACGUAUAUAUUGGUUGAAAAUUUCUUCGUAAUGUUAUUGUGUUUCGUUCUAAAAUUACACAUUAGAUGUUUAUAAAGCUUAAACAUAAACCCUUGAAUUUUUUAUAAUGAAGUGAACAGAAGUUAAUUCUAAGUUUUCUAAAUAGAGAUAAUCGAUUUUUACAAAAAAAAAAAAAAUACUGUCUGAAAGACAGUAGAAAGAAGAGCUCAUGGAGGCCAACUUUGCAUGCAGCAAUUCUGGCUGUUAAAUCUAUAUAUUAAACCAAAGUCGAUGUGGUUCCAAGUGUUGAGCAGCAUAGGAAGUAAUCAAAAUAUAUAUGUCGCACUGCAAGGAAUUCAAGGCUGCCUUGUCCACAAAGGCUUAUAGCUGCUAAGCACCAGCUCUUAAAUUUGAUUAUCGCCUAAUAAACAACAUAGGGCAUCAUUGACUUCACCACAAAGAGCUGUAGACCUCAUUUUCUUCAAUUCUUCUCCUUCUUUGCAGUUUCCUUGAAACCAAGUUUCACCAUAAAAAUCCUACUUUAUUGACCUGACCUCAAACCCUAUAUAUUACUUAUACUAAAUUGUUCAAUUAUAUAUAAUGUUCAAUUAACCAUAAAGAGCUGUCCACCCCUUUUUCUUCCAUUCUUCUCCUUUGCAGUUUCCUUAAAACUAAAUUUCACCAUAAAAAACUCCCACUUUAUUGACCUGAUCUCUAACCACAGAUUGUCGUUUUGUUUAAUGAAUAAAUUUAAUAAAGCACAAAGGCAAUAAUAGUAUCAAUUACAUCAUUAAUUCUUUCAUGUAAAUUUUAUUUAGUAAAUAAAUCUUAAAAAAUUUAGAUUAUCUUUUAGGUAUAAUGAUAAAUUCAAUUUUAAACAAUUUUUUUGUUACUUUAAUCUUUAUUUUUUAAGUCAAAUUAAGCGUUCAAACUUAAAAAAAUAAAACCAUUGAAAGUUAAAAUUUGCACCCUGCGAAAUUAAUUUGGUGGAAGCAUGCGCUUGUGCGCAUUAUCUGUAAAGCAUGUUCAAAAAUGAUGGAUUUGAUUUAGUAUUUUAACCAUCUUUAGCAACUUUUUUUUAGUGCCAUUUAAAAAGUUUAAUUUAGUCAUUAAUUGUUGAUGUUUUGAGAAAUUAAGAAAGCAGAACAAAGGCUUAUAGCUGCAAAGCACCAGCUCUUAAAUUUGAUUAUGGCCUAAUAAACAACAUAGGGCAGCAUUGACUUCACCACAAAGAGCUGUACACCCCAUUUUCUUCCAGUCUUCUUCUUUGCAGUUUCCUUAAACCCAAAUUUCACCAUCAAAAACUCCUAAAAAUGAUGGAUUUGGUGCGCCUACUUUUCAACAAUCUUUAGUAUUUUAAUCAUCUUUAGCAACUUUGUUUUAUGGCCAUUUGCUUUCCUUUUCGUUACAAUUAAGUCAUCAUAUGGUAAUAACAUUUAAUGUAAGUUAUACAAAUAAUCAUUUAAUUAUUAGCACAUUAUUAUUUUGGCCACUCAUGUUACAAAUAGUCUAAUUGAUAUUUUUGUCAUUCCUCAUUCAAUCAUUUAUAGAAUGCUGAUGCAACUUUUUUUUUAUUGGCAUAUUAAUAAAUUUAACCUUUCAAUCUCUAUAAAUCCCAGUAAUUUGAUCCUAAUUCUAAAAAACAAAUUUGGCCGUUAACUUUACACAUUAUGUUAAUUUAAUCUUGAUUCUUAAAAAUUUUAAAAAAAAACUUAAAAAAAUAAAAAUAUAUAUUUAAUUUUUUUCUAUAAAAUACAUAUACAAAAUUAUAAAAUACAUACAAAAAUAUAAAAAUGUUUAUAAAUAAAUGAAUACUAAUUUUAUUUCUUCAAAGAAAAUCUAGGGUUUAGUUUGAAUGAGUCAAAAUUAACUAACAUGACCAAAAUUUAGUGUGUAACAGUUUUCUGAGCUACCAAACACUGUCUUAGAAUAAAAAAAGAACAUAGGGGAGAAUUAACUUGACCACGAAGAGCCGUAGACCCCAUUUUCUUCCAUUAUUUUCUUUAAUUCUUCUCCUUCUUUGCAGUUUCCUUAAAACCAAAUCUCACCAUAAUACUUUAUUGACCUCACUUCCAACCCAAAUGCCACUAUUACUAAAGUGUUCAACUAUAUAAAGUUUUCAUUUGUUGGUGACUUGAAUGCAGGCAUAUGCAAGCAAGUAACUAACUGGAAAGGAAUUUGGUAAAUUUCUGAAUUUGCAGUAUGUUUUUUCUUGAGCUUGGAAUGCUUCAAGCUAAUUAAUUAAAUUCUGUUUGGUGUUUUUAUCCAGGAAGAAAUAGAUCCACAAAAAUGGAACCUCGGGAGCCUGAACAGAACAUCACUCACAUGGAGGCUUCGCUAUAUAAUGCAGCAGCACAAGGCAACAUUGAAGUAUUCAAUAAUAAACAGGGGCUUCAACUUGAGUCGCUAAAGACCCCAAACCAAGACAACGUGCUCCAUGUUAACUUGGCAACCGAGAAGACUGUCAAAUUCUCAAUAAUCAAAUUCUUCUCCGUAGGAUUUGUACCAUCCUAUCCGUUUUUCGAUUUAUUCGUUACUAUGAUAAAAAGAGAAAAAAAAUCAGAUUUUAUCGAACAAAUUCUCAGCAAGUGUCCGUCACUGCUAUUCCAAACGAAUGCUAAAGGUCAAACUCCUUUGCACGUUGCAGCAAGGUAUGGACAUUCUGCUAUUGUGAAACUUCUAAUCAAGUCUUGCGCAAAAGCUAGAGAUGGAGAUUUAGAGCUGGGAAUGGAUCAAGUAAGUGCAGUGAGGGAGAUGCUGAGGAUUACGGAUCAGGAAUGCAACACGGCUUUACAUGAAGCAGCAGGGUGUGGCAAUGUUGAAGUGGUGAAAGCAUUGUUGGAGUUUGAAGACCCUGAAUUUCCGUAUUCUGCCAACAAAAAACAGGAGACUCCACUUUACAUAGCAGCUAGGAGGAGAGGAUCUGGGCGCUUGUUGACUCUAUUAUUAGAUAAAUUCAAAUCAACUAGUCAUGGCGGCCCCCACGGUAGAACAGCUUUGCAUGCAGCAGCUAUGGCUGGAGAUGCAGGUAUGUUGUUGAGUUAGUUCCUUUUUUAUAUUAAAGUUUUGAAAUAAAUAAACAGGUCGAUUGACAUUUUUUUUUUUGCUUGGAUUUAGAGGCAAUAAGGGUAAUAUUAAAGAAGAAGGGGAAUUUGACAAAGGAAAGAGAUGAAGAUGGAUGCACCCCUCUUCAUUAUGCUGCACACUUAGGUGGUCGAUUUUCAGUUGUGGAAGAACUGUUAAAAAGGGAUGUAUCAGCAGCCUAUAUAGGUGAUAAAAAGAAGGGGAUGACACCCCUUCUUAUGGCAGCCAGGCAACGUAAUGCUCAAACAGUUUCAAAGAUUCUCUCUUUAUGUCCAGAUAGUUGUGAAAAAGUGGACAACGAUGGUUUGUCUUUACUCCAUUAUCUGGCUUUUAGAGGCUCUUCCUAUCCAUUAGAGCUUUCUCUUUUCAGGCGUGGUGGUAUUGAGAUUGUAUAUGGAUCACUCAGAAAUCUAAUGAAGUUGGAAGGUGCUUUUGGAAUGACACCUCAAGAAGUUUAUAAUGCAGUUCAAUAUGAGAAACAUCAUCAUAAACAGGUGUGUGUGCGUGCAUAUGUAUUGCAUUUCCAUGGCUAUGGUUUUAUUAAUAUUCAAGUUUUGAAUUAACAUCUUUAAUAAACCUACAAUACAAUUGGCUAAUGUUGCUGGCAUGGCAGGAGCAAAUCGAUAAAUUGUUGGAAGAAAUUGAGAAUGAUCAAGUGGCGGACAAACCAGUUCGUCCCUUUGGCUUGCCAACUAUCUCUACAGCAAGCUUGGAGAAGAAAAGAGAAGGUCAUAUAAUAGUGGCAGGACUUAUAGCCACGGUCACAUUCGCGGCAGCGAUAACCGUCCCAGGUGGAUUCAAGAGUGAAAAAGGAUCCGAACAGGGUACUCCUUUUCUGAUUCAUGAGGCAGCCUUUAAAGUAUUUAUCAUAUCGAAUGGAUUGGCCUUUAUUCUCUCUCUUUCCACCCUCUCCGUUUACCUUAGGACGAUGAAUUUCUUUUCCUCAAACUCAAAGCAGCGACGCAAAAUUUUAAUAACAAAGUUGACCGCUAAGAAUCUCCUUAAUGGUGCACUGAUUGCAAUGGUGAUUGCUUUCAGCACAGCUAACUAUGUUGUGUUAAAACCUUCUCACGCACUUGCCAUAGCUUCGUGUUUGGUCGGCCCUGCCUUUAUUUUCACUCCUUUACUUACCCGCAAAUGGAUGUUAAUUUUUGUGUGGAUCUCGGCAUACAUUGUGAAUGUUUUUAUACCAUUUUCAUUGGUUUAAACUUGGUUUUUAUACUGAAAUUGCUUUUGUUUGUGCCUUAUUUUAGUGUUUUUGGAAUUUAUCGUUGUAUUGUUUGUGUUGAUUUUACUUUAUUUUAACUUUUUUGCUAUGUAGUUUUACAUUACAACUUAAUAUUUAUAAUCUCCAUUUAAUUGAAAUAUAAAGUUAUUAGCAGAGACACAUACAAUUUCAAAAAAGAUAAAAAAAAUCACAAGAUUUAUUAAAUUCAAAGAAUAAUAGAGAUGUUGUAACUAAUUCUAAUUUUAGGUUUAAGAAAAACACUAGAUUUUAUUUAAAAAUGAGAAUUGCCGUCAAUCUUUUUUAUUAGGUGUGAUCGAACACCUAUACAAUCACCUUUUAAAAAGAAAAUUUUGAGUCUAUAAUAGAAAUCCAUAGAAAAAUGUUUCAGUUUGAGAAUUGGUUACUCAAAAAAUUAAGUUGUAUACUUUUACUAUAAUAAAAAAAAAUUACAAUUCCACCAUUUUGAUAACCUAUGUCUUUAAAUCAAAAUUUUAUCCUUUUUGGGAGGUUAAAAUGUAAUUUUACCGAUACUAAUUUAAAAUUUUAUCAAUUUUAGGGGGACUAGUACCCUGCCAACGCUAGCUUCGCCCAUAAACUCUUAUAUCUCAAUCAAUUUUGAUGAAAUCAUUUCCCACUUUGCACUCUAUUAUAUUUUUUAUGUCUCAAGAAUCUUAACUUUCAACAAAAUAAACUUUGUUGUUAUUUUUAAAUUAACGUGAACCCCAAAAGGAAAUUAAAAUAUGUUACGGAGCUUUCAACAUAUUUCUCCCAAUAAUCAAAUUCGUCCCCUUGCUAUAUGGAUGCUUCUCUCCACCUAUGCGUGAUUUAAUUACUAUUAGAAAAAAGAUCAGAUUUUUUUUAUCGAACAAAUUCUCAGCAGGUGUCAGUCACUGCUACUCCAAACGAAUGCUAAAGGUCAAACUCCUUUGCACGUUGCAGCGAGGUAUGGACAUUCUGCUAUUGUGAAACUUCUAAUCAAGUCUUGUGCAAAAGCUAGAGAUGGAGAUUUAGAGAAGCUGGGAAUGGAUCAAGUAAAUGCAGUGAGGGAGACGCUGAGGAUUACGGAUCAGGAAUCCAACACGGCUUUACAUGAAGCAGCACGAUGUGGCAAUGUUGCAGUGGUGAAAGCAUUGUUGGAGUUUGAAGACCCUGAUUUUCCGUAUUCUGCCAAUAAAAAACAGAAGACUCCACUUUACAUAGCAGCUAGGAGAGGAGACCGGGGCAUGCUGAGUAUACUAUUAGAUAAAUCGAAAUCAACAGCUCAUGUUGCAUGCAGCAGCUAUGGCUAGAGAUGCCGGUAUGUUGUUGAGUUAGUUCCAUUUUUUUUUUAAUUUGAAAUAAAUAAAGAACAGGUCUAUUGACAAUUUUUUUUUUUUUUGCUUUGAUUUAGAGGCAAUAAGGAUAAUAUUAGAGAAUAAGGGGAAUUUGACAAAGGAAAGAGAUGAAGAUGGACACACCCCUCUUCUUUAUGCUGCACACUUGGGUUAUAGAUUAUCAGUUGUGGAAGAACUGUUAAAAAGGGAUGUGUCAGCUGCCCAUAUAGGUGAUAAAAAGAGGGGGAUGACACCGCUUCUUAUGGCAGCCAGGGAAGGUAAUGGUGGAGCAAGUGCAAAUAUUCUCUCUUUAUGUCCAGAUUGUUGCAAAAAAGUGGACAACAAAGGUUUGGAUUUACUUCAUUAUACGGCUUUUAAAGACUCUGUCUUUCCAUCAGGGAGUUCUGUUUUUAAGCGUGGUGGUGUUGAGAUUGUAUAUGGAUCAGUUAGAAAUCUAAUGGAGUUGGAAGGUGCCUGUAAAAUCUAAUGGUUUUGCAUUUCCAUGGCUAUGGUUUUAUUAAUAUUUAAGUUUUGAGUUAACAUAUUUAAUAAACCUACAAUACAAUCGGUUAAUGUGGGUGGCAUGACAGAAGCAAAUCAAAGAUUUGUUGGAAGAAAUUGAGAAUGAUAAAGUGGCAGAGGAACAAGUUCAUCACUUUCAGUUACCAAAUGUUUCUAUGGAAAGAUUGGAGGCUAUAAGAAAUACUCAUUUAAUAGUGGCAGCACUUAUAGCCAAUCGUCACCAUCGCAGCGGCAAUAACUGUUCCUAGUGGUUUGGAGAGUGAAAAGGGGUCAAAGCAAGGUGAUCCCUUUUUGAUUCAUGAGGCAGCCUUUAAAGCAUUUAUUGUAACAAACGCAUUGGCCUUUAUUUUCUCUGUUUCUGCCUGUUGGGAUUUGGACAAUGAUAGAUGAAGAUUAACAGAAGCUUGAGCAACAAUGUUGUAUGUUUGCUGGUGAAAAUAAAUAGAAUCGGGCUUGGGAGCAAAGAAAAUGAAAAACAAGAAAACAGAGAGUUUUGGAUGAAAUUUUCAAAAUGAUUUCAUUAACAUUGAAUGAAGGCACAAAGCCAAUACAUAUACCAGACAUUUAGCUGGUCAAAUCAAAACAAAUUGUCACCUAACAUUACCUACUAUCACUAAGUAACAUUGGAACUUAUGAAAACAUUGCUUGCACACAUAGGUAUACUGAUUUAUCAAUUCAUCAAUACCUAAUUACAUCAAAACAAUAUCAACUUAGUUCAAAUCUGACUAAAUUACAAAGCAAUAUUUAAGGUAACAAAACGGAAUGAAAUACAAUAGCAAUAAUGUGCUUCAGCAGCUGCAUGCAUACUUCAUGUGCUGUAAUUGCGGCUUGAUCUGCUUCUUCAUACUUCAUGUGCUAUAAAUGCGGUAUGCAGGCCAACUUCAACACUCCUCCUUGGCUUGCAUGCUGCAUACUCUCAUUUUAACUCUCAAAUGCACGAACCUUGACACACUAAGGGGCUUUGUUAAGAUAUCAGUAAGUUGUUAUUUAGAACUGCAAUGAAUUAGCUUCACUUCUUGAGCUUGCUCCAUCUCUCUAACAAAGUGAAAUUUGAUCUUGAAGUGUUUCAUUCUCCUAUAGAACAUUGGAUUCUUUUCAAUUGCAACAGAAGAUUGGUUGUCACAAUUGAUCUCUAUUGCUUCCCUUUGGUGUAGAUUCAAAUUAACCAUGAUUUUUCUUAGCCAAAUAGCUUGAUUGACAGCACUAGCAGUUGCUACAUAUUCUGCUUUAGUAGUUGGUUGAGCAACAACAUUUUGUUUCUUCGAAUUCUAGCAAAAAAUGGCUGAUCCAAGAGUAAAAACAUACCCUGAGGUACUCUUCAUGUCAUCUAUUGAUCCAACCUAAUCACUAUCAGCAUAACCAACCAAUUUCAUACUUUCAGCUUUGCUAAAUAACAUUCCAUAGCUCAAUGUACCUUUGAUGUACCUGAAAACUCUUUUGGCAGCUUGAAAGUGCUUUUCAUUGUAGCAAUACAAGAAUCUAUAUAGCAGACUCACAACAAACAUGAUGUCUGGUCUAGUGGUAAUAAGAUAUAGCAAACAUCCUACCAAACUCCUAUAGACAGAUUCACUAACCUGCUCAAAGUCACCUUGGCUCGAUAGUUUCUCUCCAAUGGCAACUGGUGCGUUUGUUGCCUUGCAAUUUUGCAUGGAGAAUUUUUUCAGAAUCUUGGAGACAAAAGCCUUCUGACUUAGGAAGAUUCCAUGUUGUGUUUAAGUCGCUUCCAUACCAAUGAAGUAAGACAUUUGCCCCAAAUUUGACGUCUUGAACAUCUGUUCCAUCUUGGCUUUGAAAUCAGCCAGCAUUUCAUGAUCUCCUCUAGUUACUAGCAGGUCAUCAACGUAUAGGGACACUAUUAGUUAAGUUUCACUACCUUGCUUCUUCACAUACAAGGUAGGUUCACUGAUGCUUCUUUCAAAUCCAAGGCUAGCUAGGUAGCCAUCGAUCCUGCUAUACCAGGCUCUUGGUGCUUGUUUCAAACCAUACAAGGCUUUCUUCAGUUUGUACACCUUGUCCUCUUCACCUGCCACUUUAAAACCUUCAGGUUGCUCAACAUAGAUUUCUUCAUCAAGAAAAUCAUUGAGGAAUGCUGAUUUUACAUCAAGCUGAUGAAUUUUCCAUUGCAUUUGUGCUGCUAAGGCAACUAGCAGCCUUAUGGUAUCAAGCCUAGCUACUGGUGCAAAGGUCUCAAAGUAGUCAAUGCCGUACUUUUGACUGAACCCUUUUACAACCAGCCUUGCUUUCAGUUUGUUUAAGCUUACAUCAGCAUUGUGCUUAGCUCGAAAUACCCAUUUCACCCCAAUGACAUUUCUAUUUGCUGGUCUCUCAACUAGCUGCCAUGUCUGAUUAUUUUCAAUCAUUCUGAUUUCAUCAGCCAUUGCCUGUUUCCAGCCUUAUUAAGCUUCAGCUUCUUCGAAGCAGCUUGGUUCAACUGCAACCACUUGAGCUCUUUCAUAAAUCUCAGCCAAUGGUCUAGUGCCCCUGACUGGUUCAUAAUCAAUGUCCAUUUCAAAACCAGUUUGAUCAGCUUCAGUCUGAUCUGUCAAUAAAUCUUCAGAGACUGCCUCUGGUUCAUUCUUCUCCUAAUUUCAACUUGAAUUCUCAUCAAAGACUACAUCUCUGCUCACAAGCACUUUGUUGCAUGAAGGAUCGAAGAAUUUGUAGCCUUUCUUCAUACUGCUCUAGCCCACCAGGAUGCUAGGUUAGGAUGCAAUGGUUUUCUUAUGGUUGAACUCACAUUGAGUUUCAUAGUUCACUUUUCUUUUAUUUCCAUCUUUACAGAUAAUCCACCAUGUUAGGAUGUAGACUCGGCAUACAGAGGACUCGACUCGGGUUUUAUUUAUUAAAAUAUUUUGGAUUUAUUAUUCAAAAUCUUUCGUUAUUCAAGAACUAUAAUAUCUUAUUUAAAUCAUGGCAUGAGACUUAGGUUUUUGUUUAAUUUAGCAUGUAUGACAUUUAACUUAAUUUAAUAUAUUAUUUUUAAUUAAUUAAACAUGAAAUAUGAUUUUAAUAAAAUUAAGUUGAAAUCAUUUUUCCAUUGCGAAAUUAUAAUUUAGUAUUGAGUUGUAAAUAAAUCGAAAAAUUUAACAAAUUUUCAAUCUCAUAUGUUAUACUGAAAAUAAGCUAAGUUUUCUAUAUUUUAAAUUGGUCAUUUUUUAAACUUUGAUCGCUACUAGGUCAUUUCGGCGGUCGAUGUAUUCUCUCAAAUUUGGAUCUAAUGUAUAGGCCGAGUUGAAGAGGUUACAACAAGAUGCAAGAUUAAUGUUGUUUUGUUUGAAGUAUAAAAUUAGUAAAACACAUAGCAAGGAUAACAUUAAUUGUUGGAGAUUAUGGUAUGCUAAAAUGUUGAUGUAGAAGCCCAAUUUCACCUGGGCCCUACCAGCAAAACAAACCUCAGCCCAAACGGCCCAAUUACAUUAUAAAAUUAAUUGGACCAACCCAAACCCACCUAAACCCAAAACAACUACAGCAACCCAAUUGGCCUAACUACCCAAACCCUAAUAGCCCAAACCACAAAAAAAAAACAAAACCCUAGGUGUGCCGCACUUAGGGCUCUCUGCCUUCUGACUUCUGCACUGCCGCUGUCAAUCACCUGCAAAAUGAAAAUCAAACACGCAAAGCAGAAGCAAAAACAGUGUAAAAUAGUAGAAAAAAAUAGAUAAAAUUGUAUUGCAAAUUGGCUAUAAAAGCCUGGAUCUCAGCCUUGUAAUGGUCUUCUUCUUUUUUCACGAGAAAAUAAAUAGAAAAAUUCAAGGUUUUUUUAUUUCGGCUUUUAUUUAUUUAUUUAUCUAUUUUUUUCUCUCAUUUUCUUUUAUUUUUAUGAAUGAAAAUAAAAAAAAUAAAAGAAGAAGAAAGAGGGAAAGCUUACCGGACGCCCCGUGACCGCACCGUCGGAGGGCAGAUCUCGUCGUCGAGACCGGGUUCGGAGAGAGGGGGUUGUGGGCCACUAUCUCCGUCCUUAGGGGGCUCGAAAGCCUGACCUCACAGCUCGCCUGGAACCGGGCUUUAAAAACCCUUUAUCGUGCUUCAUCGACCGUCGAUUUGGUGGCGGUACGGCGGACGGACGAGCGGAGGUAAGGAGGCCGUCGGAAGGCAUGAGGGGCCUUCAGAGAGUUUUUUCAAAUUUUUUUUUCUGAAGAAGAAGAAAAAUGAAAACAAAGAAAAAAAUUUGGUUUAAAUAACCAUUUCAAAACGGCACCGUUUUAGCCCCCAUGACCCGUGCACGACCCGACCCGCUCCAGGGGGAUCCGCGCGUUUUCAUGAAAUGAGUUAUUUGCGCGCGUGGUCCCUCCGCUUUUGCAGCGCGUUACAAUUAGCCCCUUUUUCCUUCUUUUCUUUUAUUUUAAUUUAGCCGUAUAAUUUUAUAGUUGUUUCAUUUCAAACCCACGUGGAACGACGCGUAUAUGGCUAGGGGUAAUUGCCCAAUCGGUCCCUCUCCCUCUGUGCGAGUCACAGAUUGAUCUUUUACCUUAUUUUAUUUUUGUUUUCUCCCCUGGGAUUUUGUUUUGUUUUCAAUUUAGUCCCGUUAUUAUUAUUAUUAUUGCAUUUAUUAUUAUGAUCAUUUACCCAUUUAUACUUUUUUUAAUUUUUGUUAUAUAUAUAUAUUCUUAUAUACACACACUUACAUAUUUUUAAUUUUCUUAUAUGUACGUAUUAACAUUUUUAUACACCUUAUAAUUUACAUACAUAUAUGUACAUACAUAUUGUUAUAGUGUACGUAUGCAUAUAUAUUUUUUAUUUUAUUCAUAUAUAUAUAUACCUAUUUAAAUUUAUAUUAUUUAUACUUUAUAUUUUAUAUAUGUGUACACAUUUUUAUUAUUUUUAUAAAUACAUACACAUAUUUAUAUAUAUUCUUUAUAUUUUAAAAUCUAUUUCUUCUUAUAUAUUUUCUAUAUUUUAUAAUCCAUAUAUAUAUAUAUAUUAAUAUACAUAUCAAUAUACGCUUUUAAAUUUCAUAAAUACAUAUAUAUAUUUACUUACCUUUAUAUUUUAUAUAUUUUAUAACUUUAUACGUAUAUAUAUGUAUACAUACAUACUCAUAUAUUUUUAUAUAUUUUUUUAUAAUUUAUGUAUACAUAUAUUUAUAUCUACAUACAUAUUUUUUUUAUUUUUAUAAGUGUAUAUUUAUAUAUGUACAUACUUAUAUAUUUUAUACUUUAUAAUUUAUAUAUACAUAUAUACAUAUUUUUUAAUACAUUUUCAAACACACAUACGUUUAUAUAUUUUUAUUUGUUUAUAUAUUUUUUAAUACAUAUUUACUUGUUUAUAUAUUUUUAUUCUUUUCAAACUUUGUUGUAUUCAUACACAUAUGUUUUUAUUUUAUUUUAUUUUUUUUCAUUAUUGUUAUUAUUGUUUUACUCAACAUUUAUUUAUUUAUUUAUGUGUCCAUCAUUAUUUUUACUAUUAUUAACCUUUUAGUCAUUUAUAUAUCAUUUAUUUAUGUAAUUGUUUAUUAUCGUUUUUAGCUUAGCUCUAGUUUCUGUUCAUUCUUGUAUCUUUUAUGUAUUUAUCUUACUUUCGCCUUUAAUUAGUACCAUUCGUAUUAUCGCAUUCAUCAUCUUAUAUAUAUUAAUCUUGUGAUUUAUUUAUAUGGUUUACUAUAACAUCGCGUACCUUUUACUCGAUGCAUUUCAAAUGAUGUUCUAACUAAACUUGUAUUUUAAGGUUUGAAAAAGUCGUACCCUAACUUACGGGUUUCGACUUUCUCGAUAAAUUCGAACACGUGAAUAUUUUUAAACUUAAACUUUUAAACGAUCUCGAGAAUUAAAAAAAAACUCGUGUCCUUACUUACAGGACAUGAUUUCUUUUUCUAAACCAGAGAUAGUCGAAUAUUUCAAGUGAAUAAAUUUUUGACAAUUAUUCUUACAUCGAAAAUUCAAGACAUUGUGUCCUAACUUAUGAGAUGCGAUUCUUUUUCUCGAUCAACGUGAAGUAUGCCAUUUUUCUUUUUAAAUAUUUUUUCGUAUUUCAAUAAAUGAUCGUAUUUUUAAAAUUUUUCAAAGUUUUCAAUUUUCAACACUAAGAUAUUAAUUAAUCAACUAGGUACCAACUUUGGGCGUUACGAGGGUGCUAAUCCUUCCUCGUACGUAACCGACUCCCGAACUCAUUUUUCUAAAUUUCGUAGACUAAAACUGUUGUUUUAAUAAAAUUAAAUUAUUUAUAAAAAAUAACUACUUUUCGAGGUGAUCCAAUCACACCUCAUCAAAAAAGAUUGGUGGCGACUCCUGUUUUCGUUUUCAUUUUUCAAAACUCAAGUCGACCCCGUUUUCGUCAAAAAAGUGGUGUCAACAGUUGAAGUAGGGAAUUUGACAAAGGAAAGAGAUGAAGAAGUGUUAAAGGGAUGGAGGGGGAUGUCACCUCAACAAGUUUAUGAUGCACUUCGAUAUGAGUCAUCACGAGAACUAUCAGUGUGAAAAGGUGUGUGUAUUUCUAUGACCAAGGGCUAUGGUUUUAUUAGUAAUUGGGUUUUGAAUUAAUAUAUAUAUAUAAUAGACCUACAUUACAAUACAAUCGGCUAAUGUGGGUGGCAUGCCAUAAACAAAUUGAAGAAUUGUUGAAAGAUAUUGCACUUGAAGAAGUAGCCAAGUUACCAUUUUUUCACAUUCCCUUAUUAACUGUCUCAGUAGAAAGCUUGCAGAAGACAGGAGAUAUUCAUUUAGUAGUGGCGGCACUUGUUGAAAAGUCAAAAAUGGUGGGAGGUGCAAUUGGCACCGAAAGAAAAAAAAAUAGUUGGCAAGUUGUUUAAAGUUGAAUGGGAUAAUUGCAAUUUUGGUCCCUAAUUUUUUAGGCCAUUUGCAAGUUAGUCCCUGAACCUCAACUAUAAAUAGGCCUAACCAUUUCUCAUUUCAACCAUCCCAACCAAUCUUUCUCUCUUAGUUUUCUCUCUUCUCCCAUUUGAGAAUUCUUAAGGAAUUCUAUUUGUCUGUAAUACUUUGAAGAUAGUAAAGUUAUCAUCUGGUGUUAGUGCCCGAGGACGUAGGUAUAAUUUACCGAACCUCGUUAAAACUCUUGUGUUCUUUCUUGUCCUAUUUUUCUUUCAAUAUUUGAGGGUAUAAUAGUAGUAUUUAAUUGUGCUAUUAAAUUACUAUAGAAGGGAUAUUCUGUCUAAGGAAAGACUUGGUAUUUAAGAGAUCCAUGUGAUCCACCUCUCUUUCCUGGGAAUUGAACUUUGUGUGAUUUUUUAGUACAAUAAUUUACACGCUUCCGACCCUAGUGGAACAACAAAUGGUAUCAAAAGCCGAAGGUUAAUCGUAGUAUGCUCUGUGGUUGCAGUUUGAACUGAUCUUCCACAUCAGAAAAGAUUUCCUUAGGUAUAUUGAAAUAUUAUGGAGAAAACGGUCGGUGUAGAAGCUUCAACAUCGUCCAUGUGGACAAGACCGACAAUUGCAAAUGCAAGAUUGGCCGUGGAGAUCUUUGAUGGCACGGGCCAUUUUGGUAUGUGGCAAAGUGAGGUUCUAGAUGCCCUUUUUCAGCAGGGUCUAGACAUUGCCAUUGUUGAAGAGAAACCAGAUGAUGUACAGGAGAAAGAUUGGAAGGCGAUCAAUCGGUUGGCAUGUGGCACAAUUCGAUCAUGCCUUUCUCGAGAGCAGAGGUACGCUUUUUCAAAGGAGACUUCUGCAAAUAAGUUGUGGGUGGCACUUGAAGAAAAAUUUUUGAAGAAAAACAGUCAAAAUAAGCUCCACUUGAAGAAAAUACUGUUUCGCUUCACAUACGUCCCAAGUACCACAAUGAAUGAUCACAUCACCAAAUUUAAUCAGUUAGUCACUGAUUUGCUGAAUAUGGAUGAGACAUUCAAAGAUGAAGAUUUGGCUUUGAUGCUGUUGGGGUCACUUCCUGAGGAGUUUGAGUUCCUAGAAACUACUCUACUUCAUGGUAGGAGUGAUAUAUCUCUGAGCGAAGUCUGUGCGGCCUUAUACAGUUAUGAACAGAGAAAGAAGGACAAACAGAAAAACUCAAUUAAAGAUACAGAAGCUUUAGUAGUCCGAGGUCGUUCAUACACUCGGAAGAAAACUCAAAAGGGGAGAUCAAAGUCAAAGUCCAGACUCGGGAAAGAUGAAUGUGCUUUUUGUCAUGAGAAAGGCCACUGGAAGAAAAAUUGUCCAAAGCUGAAGAAUAAGGGAAAAGCUGCUGUAGAUGCUUGUGUUGCUAAGCAUGAUACUAGUGACUCUGAACUAUCACUGGUUGCAUCAUCAUCGUCGUUCCAUUCAGAUGAGUGGAUAUUGGAUUCGGGUUGUACCUAUCAUAUGUCCCCUAACCGGGAGUGGUUCUCUGAUUUAGUAGAACUAAAUGGAGGAGUUGUUUAUAUGGGCAAUGACAAUGCCUGUUAAACUGUUGGGAUAGGUUCAAUCCAAUUAAAGAAUCAAGAUGGAUCAACCAGAGUUCUGACUGAUGUUCGGUACGUGCCCAGUUUGAAGAAAAAUCUCAUCUCAUUGGGAGCCUUAGAAUCCAAUGGUUUAGUUGUUACUAUGAGAGAUGGGAUUUUGAAAGUGACAUCUGGCGCACUUGUGAUAUUGAAGGGCAUCAGGAAAAAUAACUUGUAUUACUACCAAGGUAGUACAGUUAUUGGAGCAGUCGCUACAGCUUUCGGUAACAAAGAAUUGGACUCAAUGCAGUUGUGGCAUAUGAAGUUGGGACAUGCCAGCGAAAAAUCCUUGCAAAUUCUGGCAAAGCAAGGAUUGUUGAAAGGUGCAAAGGCUUGCAAAUUAAAAUUUUGUGAGCACUGUGUUCUGGGAAAGCAAAAGAGAGUGAAAUUCGGCACUGCUAUCCAUAAUACAAAAGGUAUUUUGGAAUAUAUUCACUCAGAUGUGUGGGGGCCUUCCAAAACACCUUCGUUGGGAGGAAAACACUACUUUGUUACUUUUGUUGAUGACUUUUCCAGAAGAGUUUGGGUGUAUACCAUGAAAACUAAAGAUGAAGUGCUUGGAGUUUUUCUUAAAUGGAAAACUAUGAUCGAAAACCAGACUGGCAAGAAAAUCAAGCGGCUUAGGACGGACAAUGGAGGGGAAUAUAAAAGUGAUCCGUUCUUCGAUGUGUGCCAAGAGUAUGGUAUUGUUCGACACUUCACAGUUAGGGAUACACCACAACAAAAUGGAGUGGCAGAGCGUAUGAAUCGAACAUUGCUGGAGAAAGUUCGAUGUAUGUUGUCCAAUGCUGGGUUGGGCAAGCAAUUUUGGGCUGAGGCUGUGACAUACGCUGGCCAUCUUAUUAAUCGUUUGCCAUCAUCUGCAUUAGAAAGAAAAACUCCUAUGGAGGUAUGGUCUGGAAAACCGGCUACAGAUUAUGAUUCCUUACAUGUGUUUGGAUCCACUGCAUAUUACCAUGUGAAGGAGUCAAAGUUAGAUCCGAGGGCAAAGAAAGCUCUCUUUAUGGGAAUCACUUCUGGAGUGAAGGGAUUUCGUCUUUGGUGCUUAAGCACAAAGAAAAUGAUCUGUAGCAGAGAUGUUAUCUUUGAUGAAUCUGCCACAUUGAAAAAGGUAGCAGAUAAAGAUAUUCAGACGAGCAAUACUCCACAGCAGGUGGAGUGUACUCCAAAAUAGGUGGAGUUUGAGCAGAUGGGGAUUUGCCCAGUUAAUAAGUCUAAUUCUCUAGCCACAAUGGAGGAAUUAGAGGUUGAAGAGGUUCUGACCCAAGAACCACUAAGUACACUAGAACCAGUUGCAGUUACAAGGCCACGGAGAGAAAUUCGUAAACCUGCUCGAUUUACUGAUAUGGUGGCCUACGCCCUUCCCGUUGUUGAUGAUAUUCCUAUCACUUAUCAAGAAGCAAUGCAAAGCUUAGAAAGUGAUAAAUGGAAAAGCACCAUGGAUGAAGAAAUGCAGUCUCUCCGGAAGAACAAUACUUGGGAGUUGGCGCAAUUACCGAAAGGUAAAAGGGCAAUCGGAUGCAAGUGGGUAUUCGCAAAGAAAGAUGGAUCUCCUAGCAAGAAGGAUAUUCGCUACAAGGCAAGAUUGGUAGCUAAAGGCUACGCUCAGAAGGAGGGAAUUGACUACAAUGAUGUAUUUUCCCCUGUUGUGAAGCAUUCCUCCAUUAGAAUUUUGUUGGCCUUGGUAGCACAGUUGAAUUUGGAGCUAGCUCAACUUGAUGUUAAGACGGCUUUCUUGCAUGGUGAGUUAGAAGAGGAGAUCUAUAUGACUCAGCCAGAAAGAUACACAGAUGCUGGUGGUAGAAAUUGGGUUUGUAAGCUUAACAAAUCGCUAUAUGGAUUGAAGCAAUCCCCGAGGCAGUGGUACAAGCGAUUUGAUAGCUUUAUGAGAAGGCAGAAGUACACAAGAAGCAAAUAUGACAAUUGUGUGUAUUUGCAGAAGCUGCAUGACGGAUCUUUCAUUUAUCUACUCUUGUAUGUUGAUGAUAUGUUAAUCGCUUCGAAGAGCCAAAAUGAGAUAGAUAAGCUGAAGGCUCAGUUGAAUCAAGAGUUCGAGAUGAAAGAUCUAGGUGAGGCCAAGAAGAUUCUCGGCAUGGAGAUAAGUAGAGAUAGACCGAGAGGCAAGCUCUGUUUAAAUCAGAAGCAAUAUCUGAAAAAGGUAUUACAAUGUUUUGGUGUAAAUGAAAACACAAAACAUGUAAGUACCCCACUUGCUUCUCAUUUGAAACUUAGUGCUCAAUUAUCUCCGAAGACUGAAGAUGAAAGAGAAUAUAUGGCGAAAGUCUCAUAUGCUAAUGCAGUUGGGAGUUUGAUGUAUGCUAUGGUGUGUACGAGGCCUGACAUUUCACAAGCUGUUGGAGUUGUGAGCAGGUAUAUGCAUGAUCCUGGAAAAGGACAUUGGCAAGCUGUGAAAUGGAUUCUACGGUAUCUUCGAAAAACCGUAGAUGUUGGUUUAAUUUUUGAACAGGAUGAAGCACUUGGUCAGUUUGUAGUUGGAUAUGUUGAUUCCGACUUUGCUGGUGAUUUAGAUAAACGUCGUUCAACUACGGGGUAUCUGUUUACUCUUGCGAAAUCCCCAGUGAGUUGGAAGUCUACCUUACAGUCUACAGUAGCUGUGUCUACUACAGAGGCAGAAUAUAUGGCAGUUACAGAAGCUGUUAAGGAGGCUAUUUGGCUUAAUGGAUUGUUGAAAGACUUAGGAGUUGUUCAAAGUCACAUAAGUUUAUAUUGUGACAGUCAGAGCGCUAUUCAUUUAGCGAAAAAUCAAGUCUAUCAUUCAAGAACCAAGCAUAUCGAUGUAAGAUAUCACUUUGUGCGGGAAGUCUUUGAAAAAGGAAAAAUUCUACUUGAGAAGAUUCCGACAGCAGAUAAUCCCGCAGAUAUGAUGACCAAGGUGGUAACAACAAUCAAGUUUAAUCAUUGUUUGAACUUGAUUAACAUCCUGAGAAUUUGAGCACUUUUAGGUGUAUGGCGCUCGAGAGCGCAUUUGGAGGCACUACAAAAGAUAGCUUUAUCGAAUUUGGGGAGUUGAAGGAAGUAUGUGAAGAUGUGAUUAUCCUAAUCAAAUCUUCAAGGUGGAGAUUGUUGAAAAGUCAAAAAUGGUGGGAGGUGCAAUUGGCACCGAAAGAAAAAAAAAUAGUUGGCAAGUUGUUUAAAGUUGAAUGGGAUAAUUGUAAUUUUGGUCCCUAAUUUUUUAGGCCAUUUGCAAGUUAGUCCCUGAACCUCAACUAUAAAUAGGCCUAACCAUUUCUCAUUUCAACCAUCCCAACCAAUCUUUCUCUCUUAGUUUUCUCUCUUCUCCCAUUUGAGAAUUCUUAAGGAAUUCUAUUUGUUUGUAAUACUUUGAAGAUAGUAAAGUUAUCAUCUGGUGUUAGUGCCUGAGGACGUAGGUAUAAUUUACCGAACCUCGUUAAAACUCUUGUGUUCUUUCUUGUCCUAUUUUUCUUUCAAUAUUUGAGAGUAUAAUAGUAGUAUUUAAUUGUGCUAUUAAAUUACUAUAGAAGGGAUAUUCUGUCUAAGGAAAGACUUGGUAUUUAAGAGAUCCAUGUGAUCCACCUCUCUUUCCUGGGAAUUGAACUUUGUGUGAUUUUUUAGUACAAUAAUUUACACGCUUCCGACCCUAGUGGAACAACAGCACUUACAACCAUAACUGUUCCAAGUGAUUUCAAGGGUGAAAAAAGGUCAGCGCAGGGAAUUCCUUUUCUAAUUUACGAGGCAGCCUUUAAAGUAUUUGUUAUGCAUUGGCCUUUAUUCUCUUUGUUUUGCUACUCUCCAUCCACUUUGGAAUUCUGAAUCCUCUUUUAUCAAAAAUAAAUUAUUGAGAUAUUAAUAUAAUUUUAUAUUAAACCCAGUUCAUGUCUAAUGUCCUUGGUGAUUGCUUUAGACACAGGUGGUUAUGUGAUUCUAAAACCUUCUCAUAGACUUGCAUAUUGUUUCAUCCGCCCUGCCUUUUUUGUUCAAUUCUUCUCCUUCUUUGCCAAGUAUUUUAUUUACAGUUUCCUUAAACCCAAAUUUCACCGUAAAAAACUCCUCCUUUAUUGACCUGACCUCUAACCAGAGAUUGUGGUUUUGUUUAAAGUAAAAUUAUAUAGUUAAUAAUGCACAAAGCAAGAAUAGUACUUAGGGCAGCAUUGCCUUGACCACGAAGAGCUGUACACCCCAUUUUCUUCCCUUCUUUUUCUUCAAUUCUUCUCCUUCUUUGCCAAGUGUUUUCUUUACGGUUUCCUUAAACCCAAAUUUCACCAUAAAACCUCCUACUUUAUUGACCUGACCUCUAAUCCUAUAUAUUACUAUUACUGAAGUGUUCAAGUAUGAAAUUAUAUAUAUAGUUGUAGGUGACUUAAACGGAGGAUAUGCAAGCAACAAACAAAUAGGUAUGGCAUUUGGAAAAUUUCUUAAUUUGCAGUUUUUUUUUUCUUGAGCUUGGGAUGUUUCAAGAUAAUUAAUUAAAUUUUGUUUGGUGUUAUCCAGGUAGAAAUAGAUCAACAAAAAUGGGACCUCAGGAGCCUGAAGAGAACAUCAGUCACAUGGAUGCUUCGCUCUAUAAGGCAGCAGCAGAAGGCAACAUUGAAGUAUUCAAUAAUAAGCAGGGACUUCAACUUGAGUCGCUAAAGACCCCAAACCAUGACAACGUCCUCCAUGUUAACUUGGCAACCCAGGAGACUGCCGCCUGGCUUUUAAACAGAUUUCACUCAUGCGAUCCGGUUAUGAGUUUUUUCAUUACUAUGAUAAAAAAAGAAAAAAGAUCAGAUUUUAUCGAACAAAUUCUCAGCAAGUGUCCGUCACUGCUACUCCAAACGAAUGCUAAAGGUCAAACUCCUUUACACGUUGCAGCAAGGAAUGGACAUUCUGCUAUUGUGAAACUUCUAAUCAAGUUUUGCGCAAAAGCUAGAGAUGGAGAUUUAGAGAAGCUGGGAAUGGAUCAAGUAAAUGCAGUGAGGGAGAUGCUGAGGAUUACGGAUCAGGAAUCCAACAUGGCUUUACACGAAGCAGCACGUUGUGGCAAUGUUGAAGUGGCGAAAGCAUUGUUGGAGUUUGAAGACCCUGAUUUUCCGUAUUCUGCCAACAAAAAACAGGAGACUCCACUUUACAUAGCAGCUAGGAGGAGAGGAUCUGGGCGCUUGUUGACUCUAUUAUUAGAUAAACUCAAAUCAACUGCUCAUGGCGGCCCCCACGGUAGAACAGCUUUGCAUGCAGCAGCUAUGGCUGGUGAUGCAGGUAUGUUGUUGAGUUAGUUCCAUUUUUUUUUUUUAAUUUUGAAAUAAAUAGAGAACAGGUCUAUUGAGUUUUUUUUUUUUUGCUUGGAUUUAGAGGCAAUAAAGGUAAUAUUAAAUAAGAAGGGGAAUUUGACAAAGGAAAGAGAUGAAGAUGGACACACCCCUCUCCAUUAUGCUUCACACUUGGGUAAUAGAUUGUCAGUUGUGAAAGAACUGUUAAAAAGGGAUGUAACAGCUGCCUAUAUAGGUGAUAAAAAGAGGGGGAUGACACCCCUUCUUAUGGCAGCCAGGCAAGGCCAUAUUUUAACAGUUUCAAAGAUUCUCUCUUUAUGUCCAGAUUGUUGUGAAAAAGUGGACAACAAAAGUUUGAAUGUACUUCAUUAUCUGGCUUUUAGAGACUCUCCUUCUCCAUUUGGGAAUUCUGUUUUCAAGAGUGGUGAUAUUGAGAUUGUAUACGGAUCAGUCAAAACUCUAAUGGAGUUGGAAGGUGCCUUUGGAAUGACACCUCAAGAUGUUGAUAAUGCAGUUCGAUCUCAGAAACAUCAUCAUAAACAGGUAGUUGUGUGUACAUUUUACAUUUCUAUAGCUAUGGUUUUAUUAAUAUUUAAAAUUUUGAAUUAACAUAUUUAAUAAACCUAUAAUACAAUGGGCUAACGUGGUGGCAUGGCAGAAGCAAAUCAAAGAAUUGUUGGAAGAAAUUGAGAAUGAUCAAGUGGCGGAGGAACCAGUUCAUCACUUUACCGUACGAAAUAAUUCUAUAGAAAGUUUGGAGAAGACAGGAAAUGCUCAUUUAGUAGCUGCAGCUCUUAUAGCCACCGUCGCAUUUGCAGCAGCAAUAACUGUUCCUGGUGGUUUGGAGAGUGAAAAAGGGUCAAAUCGAGGCACUCCCAUUUUGAUUCAAGAGGCAGCCUUUAAAGCAUUUGUUGUAACAAAUGCAAUGGCCUUUAUUUUCUCUGUUUCUGCCCUCACCACCUACUUUGGGAUUCUGGAUCAUCUUUUUACACGAUUUAUUUUUUGGCGUGAAGCAAUAAUUUUAAAUCGAACUUGGUCUGUUUCUACGCUCCUUAGCUCUGCAACGCUUGCGAUGGUGAUUGCUUUCAGCACGGGUAGUUAUGUGGUCUUAAAACCUUCCCACGAACUUGCCAUUGUUUCAUAUCUCAUAUGCCCUGCCUUUUUACUUUGUAUGUGGGCAGCUUUGUUUGUAAUUUUGACUCGUUCAAUACAUAUUUAAAAUAUAAAUAUGAUAAUAUUACUUUAUGGUUUUUUACAAUGUUGUUUCAAUUAUUAUAAAUUCAAAAAUAUUUUAUUUUCUUUUAAUAGUUUUUCAAAUAUUAAAUAUAUAAUGCAAAAAUAUAUAUAUUUUGUUUCUCAUGAAAAAUAGAUAUCAAUCAUGCAUUUCAAGUUUUCAUUAUUGAAAACAAAAUUUUAUUUCUAGUUAUCAAACUUGAUUUUAAAUUUUCAAAAAAUAGAAAAUAAAAAUAUUUUCAGAAACCUAACGAAGCUUAACUUUUUUUUUUUGUUAGUAUACCAUUUGGUAUUUGAGUUAAUUUCAAUGUUCAAUUUGAUACUUAAGUUCGGCUUCAAUAUUUAAUUUGAUAUCUAAACCAAACGAUUUCAUAAGGCCUAAUAAAUAUUUGACAGGUCUACUCUAAUAAACAAGCAUGGGUAUUCUAAUUGAGACAAAAGAAAAAAAAAAGAAAAAGAAGCUCAAGUAUUAAAUUGAACUUUUUUAAAGUUAAACUCGGAUUCUUAACUAUGACAAAAAGAAACUCAAGUAUCAACGUGAAAAAAAAUUAAGUACAAAAUCGAACAUUCAAACCAAAUUCAUAUACAAAAUUAUAAAAAAUAAUCUUUUAAUAUUAAAUUAAAAUUUGAUAUGAAAUUCAAGUAUCAAAUAAUAUAUUAACUCUUCUUUUUUUUUUUUUGUUAAAUCCUCACCUUGAAAAAAAGCUAAGGUUAUUUGUUUUACAUUUACAACUUAAAAUUUUCAUAUAAAUAGAUUCUGUAUUUAUAAAAAUCUAUUUUUAUUAAAGAUUAAAUAAGAUUUAAGUGGUGUGUUGUUUUAAAGUUCACAGAUUUUUAUUUAAAAUAAUUACAUAAAAAUAAAAAACUCAAAAUUUCACACUAACAAUAUGAAGUUAAAAAAUCACACAUAAAAAAUAGCAUUGCUAAAGAUUCUGCUUUACUAAAUUGUUUAAGUAAGGAAUUAUACAUGCCAUGGUGCUUUCUUUGUAGCAAUGAUCUCUUUGGAUGGAUGAUGCGUUUAUUUACGGUUAGUGUAAAAAUAACGAUAUAAUACUCCAAACCCGGUCUAGAUGUUAUGGCCGAAUAUGGAGGACUUACAUUAGUUUGUUUUAAAACUCUUGAUUUAAUCAAACUUAGUUGUGCGUUUCAAAAACAAAAAACUUGGUGGAACUCUCACAAACGUUCAGAAAAACUUAAGUCCGAAAACACUUAUUUCAAACUCAGAAAUUUAGUUCAAUUUCAUUUGUUUCAAAAGUACCAAUUUUGGAUAAAUCAUUUCCGGUUAAUGCCAAAAUUUGUUAAAAACUAUUUAUUUAUUUACAGAAAAACAUUUAAGAGUAACUUAAUUUGCAGUGGAAAAUUUUUCAAAAUAAUUUUAGCUUUGAAAACCCUAAUCUAAUUUGCUAACCCAUGUGAUUUUAUAGUUUUAAGAUAAAAAAUAUCAAAAAAAAUCAACGAACGAAACGAAAACCAAAACACAACUGAAAAAUAGAUUACAGUCCCAAAAUUAAUUAAAACAUAAACCAACAUAUUUCAUUUAACGACUGGUAACCAAUCCAAGCUCCCGCACGCCGUCCGGUUCUAAGUCUGAAGUUUACCUAAAACAUAUUAAACAAGCAAGUGAGUUAGAAGCCUAGUGUGUGACCUGACCCACAAACAGAGUUUUCUUAUAAGUUUUGCAUAAACAAUAAUCACAUUGAAAUUUCGUAUCGUAUUACAUAUUAAAGCAUGUCAUGUAAUGUAUCGGAAAUUAUCACAUAUCAUAUUUGAAUGUCAUAAUUUUAAAAACAUAUAUCAGAACAAAAUUUCAUAAUAAACACAUUCUCUUAUACAAAAUUAAUUAUAUGUGUGUUCAGAUUCAAAUAUAAAUACAGACACAAAUCCUACCUCCAUUCGCAACACACCAAAUAGGACUACAAGAGUUCAUCCAUCCAAUCACACCAAUAUGUGGCGGUGUGCCACUCAUAAAUAUGUAGCUAAGCUUCUAUAUAGAAAUUUGCGAUCUAGUCGCCAUAUAUUUGCAAUAAAAACUGCCAUAUAACACUUCUUCUAUUAUAUCAUAACCCACCUCAAUGUAUAUGCAAAAUCACGUUAACAUUCAUACAUAUAUCAUAGAUUGUAUGGCAUGCAUGCAUAAAUAGAUAUUAUACAAAGCAUAACGCAACACAUAACUUAUACAGAUCAUAACAUAUUGAGAUUAUGCUCCACACAAAGGUUGCAAUUUUUUCGUGGAAGAAUUGUUAAAAAGAGUUGUAUCAGCUGCCUAUAUAAGUGACAAAAAGAGGGGGAUGACACCCCUUGAUUAAGUGCUAAAGUUACAUAUUUUAUGUAAUUGAAUUAGUUAAUUUAUGAGAGUGCACCGCUAAUUUUUCCAUGUUUACAUUGAAUUUUGUGCAGAGAUGCAAUUUGGGGCUAAAUAGAAGAAAAAUGAAACAAUUGGGCUAAAUUGAAGAAAGAAGCAAAGAAGGAGGGCCAAAGCAAAAUUUUCCCAAUAUUAAUUAGCUGAAAUUUUUGUUGACUUAGUGGGAGAUUAUUUUGGGAUUUUAUUUUAUAUCAUGGAAUAUUUUUCCAAGGCCACUAGUAUAAAUAGAGGCUACUUUGUUCAUUUUAUUCAUCAAUCAAUCAAUCAAAAUAUUAAGCUUUCAUCUUUCAAUACAUUUUCUCUCUUCCUGUCACGAAUUCAUUUGCUGCUUUUAGUUUCUUUUCCUUCAAUUUAUUAAUUCCUAGUAGCCACCAACUUAAGCCAUUUGCAAUCCCUUUUUCAAAUUCCCUUUUUAUUUCCAGUAGCCAACCACCCAUUUACCUUAUUUAAUUUAUCCAAUAGUCAACAUGCCCCAAACCUUAGUUAACUAAACCCAUUUUCAGCUUUAGGUCGGAAUUAACCUCGUCAAAACCCGUGAGUUACGAACCCGAGCAAUUUAACUCCUAAAUUCCAGUACUUAUUAUUUCUCUGGAUUAAGAGUAUGAUUUUUUCAACUCACAAAGUCAAACCAACAUUAAGUCAAAAAAGACGUCGUUUGAUUUAGUGUGGUUAGACGUACAGUUGAAAUUCCGAAAGGAACGUUUCUAAUCGGUUUUCUGUGAACACAUUGGCGUGCCAAGUAGAGAUUGCUGUUUGGUUCCGUCAAGGGAAGUAGUAACCAGAUUUAAAUGUCCCACGCGGUUGAGGGCAUUGGUUCGAGCUAGGCUUUUCUAGAACGCAAAGCUACCGGAGUUCUAAAUUACGAACGUUUCGUGGUUGUUCGAUCGGUAAGGGUUAGUUAUUGGACGUUCCAUAACUAAUUUACAGAAAGAAGAGUUGGUGUCUGAGGCAUCCUUGGUAGCUAUAACUAGCUUAUUGGAAAAGAGGAGUUCAUCUAAUUUCGAGGAUCGGUUCAAAGACGAGGAAAAAUCCGUGCCUAAAGCUGAGCUUUUUUUAAUUAAUUCCCCUUCAGAUUUUAUUUAACUAUUUUUAUUAUUUUGUCUUCAAGUUUUACUUUUUUACGUUUUUUUUAUUUAUUUAUUUCAAGUUUCAGAUUUUAUCCUCCCGAAUUUCUUGGGCACGACAAUUGCCCCGACAAAAAUCUAGUCAAGAGAAGAACAAUUUGCAGUAAACCCAGUCUCUGAGGGAUCGACCCUACUCUCUAUACUACUUAAAAUGCAAAUUAGGCAUAGGUUUAUAUUGGUGGAUUUGACACCCAUCACCCCUUCUUAUGGCUGCCAAGCAAGGUUAUCUUUUAACAGUUUCAAAGAUUCUCUCUUUAUGUCCAGAUUGUUGUGAAAAAGUCGACAACAAAGGUUUGAAUUUACUUCAUUAUCUGGCUUUUAGAGGCUCUUCCUCUCCAUUAGAGUGUCAUCUUUUCAAGCUUGGUGGUAUUGGGAUUGCAUAUGGAUCGGUCAGAAAUUUAAUGGAGUUGGAAGGUGCCUUUGGAAUGACACCUCAAGAAGUUUAUAAUGCACUUCAAUAUGAGAAACAUCAUCAUAAACAGGUUUAUAAUCAAUGAUUUUUUAUAUCUCAUCCGCACUUCAUUUUGGUGGCCUCCUCAUGGAUGGUUAAAGUUUAAUGUGUGUGGGAUUGCUAAAGAAGAUAGAGCAGGUUGUGGAGGUGUCUUGAGAGAUAAGGAGGGUGUCGCAAGAGCAUUUUUCUGGUUCAGUAGCAGCAAAUGAUGCCGAUGUGGCUGAGAUUGGUGCGGUGAAGAUUGCUCUGUAAGUAUUUUUUUUAGCUAUGAACUGGAAGAUUAAUGAUUCUUUAUUUAUUGAACUUGGUUCAUUGGUGGUGUUUUCUUGGUGUGCUAACAAGGAAUGAGACCAUGGUCUCUUCAAGCAAUUUUUGCAGGUAUUGAAAAUGACAUGUUAAAGGCUUGCAGGUCUCUUCAAGAAAGGUAACGAGAUGGCAUCUUCCUUGGCGAUUGCAGGUUAUAAUCGGGUGAAAAUGUUUAAAGCUUGGUGAUGAAUUUUUGUUUUGUUGCAUUCAUAGGUUUAUUAGAGUUGGAAUGCGUUUUAAUUUUGAUUGCUGUAAUACUGAAAUUUUUGUUGUUGUUCUGUUCGUCUUUGACAACAGUACAGCUCGAAUGAAGCAAAAAAAAGAAAAACGAAUGUUACCUCUUUGAAUAAGCAUUACUUUGAUUUUCAGUUAUAAUUAAAAAUUAGUUUGACAAAUCAUUGAAAAAUAUAAGAAUAAGUUUAAGAAAAAUACAAAGUUUUAUUUAAAAGUGGGAAGUCGUCCUCAACUUUUUUAGUUAGCUUUAAAAAGAUAAAAUUGAGUUUACAAUAUAAAUUCAAAGAAAAAUGUUUAGGUUAGAGAAUUCGUUAGCACUCUUGUGACGCCAAAAAUUGGGCACCUUAUUAAAUAUGUGUUGUCUACAUUCGUAAAUUAAAACUCAUAUCUUGGUUUUGAUUAUGAUCCAAUUUUUUGAUAAAUUAAAAAUAAAUAUUAAAUGAGUGAAUCAAUUUUUUAAUAGCAAAACAAAGAUAAUGAUCAAGUUGUAGCAUUUUCAAAAUUCAGGGGCCUUUUUUGAGAUUUUCCAUUUAUUUUUCAUCAUGUUUAAAAGAGAAGUUAUAAAUUUUGAAGUCAGUAGCCCAAUAUUUAUUAAACAUUAAUUGCGCCCAAAUCAAAUAUUAGCUCAAAGUUCAGAAACAUUCGAAUUUUAAAAUUGUGAAAGCAAUAACAUUUCAAAAACUAAUAAAUAUCAACAAAAUAAAAUUUGAUAUUAUCAUGUAAGCUGCUAUUUUCAAGAAUUUAAUGUUUUAGUCAAUGUUUUCGUUAAAAAAAAUCAAUUUGAUUCCUUUUGAAAGGUUUAUGAACUAAAUUCGACUCUUUUUUGAAAAGAUUUAGGACCAAAUUUAGCUCAAGAAAAGAAUAAGGGUUAAAUUUAGCUCAAAAAAAGAAUAAGGGCUAAAUUGAUAAAAAUAAAUUAUACAUAAAUACUAAGGGCUAAUUUUUUUUAUUAUGCCUACUAAGGGCUAAUUUUGUUAUUAUGCCUAAUGAAAAUUAAGAACUCAAUUUAAGUACUUAUAAAAUCUAUUUGAUAUAUUUCUUAAAAUACAGAACAUUAUUAGAUUGUUUGAUAAAUGUAAUUCUUAAAUUUUAAAAGUAAAGUAUUUAAAAUUUAAUGUUAAAAGAAAUAAAAUACAAAAGAAAAUCUAUCAAUAGUCUAUUAUUUACUUAUCAUUUUUCAUAUUUUUUUCGUUGAAAAAUUCUGUACUUUGAUUUGUCACUCAUUAUCAAUGGCUCUACUUUCUCCAAAUUUGUCUAAAAAUGGGUUUAAAAAUUUGUCUAAGCCUUACUUGAAAGAAAAUUAUUAAGCCUGAGCCCGGCCCAUAUUAAAUUUUACAACACCAAAAAAGGUAUAUAUUUAAUAUAUAUAUUUGAUUAAAAGUAUAUUUGAUUAAAAAUAAAAAAAUAUUUAAUAUAUAAUUUGGGUCGGGCCGGGCUCGGGUCAAAAAAAGUUUUACAAGAACCCCGCCCGUUUUCUAAACGGACCUCAUUUUUUUGCCCAAACUCAUAUUUCAGGCCUAUAUUUUUACCCGAACUCUCCCAUUUUUCGAGCAGGCCGUCGGGCCGGGAUGGACCACUCAACCCAUGAUCACCUCUACAUACAGGGCGACGAAAUUUAUUUUUUGAGAGGGUGGAAAUUAAGUUGAAAUUAAGUUGUAUACUUUUAUGAUAGUAAAAAAAUGUAAUUCCAUCCUUUUAAUAGUUUAAAUUUUUAUAAUAUUUAAAAGAUUAAAUUAAAUAUUUAUAAUUUUUAGAAGGUCAAAAUGUAAUUUUAUCAUUAUUAAUUUAAAAUUUUAUAAAUUAUAGAUAGGUUAAAAAGAGAGACCUAUCGUACCCUUGGCUGCACCCCUAAACCCAUAGGUUUUCAUCCAACUUUGAAAGUCCUUUCAAGCUUUCCAAUCUAUUAUAUUUGAUGUCUCAACGAUCCUAACUCUCGACCAAAUAAUCAUUUCCACUAUUUUUAAGCUAAUAUACUUAGGAUUGAGGUAGAAUAAGGACAUAGUGAAUUCCAAAAGUAAAUUAAUUUUUAAAGGGAUUUAAGCCUAAUUCAUUUUGUGUCAAGUCUACAGUAUUAUUAGUUCAUAUUAACACAUCUCUCUAAAGUUAAUCCUAUUCCGGCAAUCAAGAUAAAUUAUCUCUCCUUAUUAGAUUUUAGACAACAUAAUAAUUUUUAUAUAAAUUUCUCUCUCUUCGUAAUUCUAUAGAUUAUAAGUCAUGUAUUUAGAUUACCGACUAAUGGAAGUUGUAUUUUGCAUACAAAACUAAAUUUGUGAUGCAACUUCGAAUUAAUUUAACAGAGGAAAAGAAGAGGAGUGCGGCAGCCAUGCAGCAACGACCAAAGCCAAAGAGAAGGCGGCUUCCACACAAUUUCUUGACUUUUCUUGUGUUUCUCGUCCAUACAAUUAUUUUAUAUUCUAGUAGCACAUUUUCAUUUUGUUUCCCUUGUAAAUAUUUAAAAAUAUAUAAAUCUAAUUAUUUACAUGUUUGAUAAAUAAAUUGUUUGUAUAAAAAAAGUGAAUUUUAAAAUUAAAAUUCGUUUAUAUAAUUAAACAAAUUAAAAUUUAUGUCCAUAUUACAAAUUAAAUUAAAAUUAAUACAUGAUUUUGAUAUUUAUUUCUUUGCAUUUUCGAGAAAAUGUAUUGACUUCACCAAAAAGAGCUGGAGAGCUCAUUUUCUUCCAUUCUUCUCCUUCUUUGCAGUUUCCUUAAACCCAAAUUUCACCAUCAAAAACUCCUACUUUAUUGACCUCACUUCUAACCCUAUAUCACUAUUACUAUUACUAUUACUAAAGUGUUCAACUAUAUAUAGUUGUCAUUUGUAGUUGACUUGAAUGCAGGAUUUGCAACUAACUGGUAUGGCAUUUGGUAAAUUUCUGAUUUUGCAGUACUUUUUUCUUGAGCUUCGAAUGUUUCAAGCUAAUUAAUUCAAUUUUGUUUGGUGUUAUCCAGGAAGAAAUAGAUCAACAAAAAUGGGACCUGAAGAGCCUGAACAGAACAUCACUCACAUGGAUGCUUCGCUGUAUAAGGCAGCAGUAGAAGGCAACAUUGAAGAAUUCAAUAAUAAGCACGGGCUUCAGCUUGAGUCGCUAAAGACCCCAAACCAUGACAACGUGCUCCAUCUUAACUUGGCAACCCAGGAGAAUGCUACCUUGCUUUUUAACAUAUUUCUCUCAAUAAUCAAAUUCUUCCCCUUACUAUAUGGAUGCUUCUCUCCGCCUAUGCGUGAUUUAAUUACUAUUAUAAGAGGAGAAAGAAGAUCGGAUUUUAUCGAACAAAUUCUCAGCAAGUGUCCGUCAAUGCUACUCCAAACGAAUGCUAAAGGCCAAACUCCUUUGCACGUUGCAGCAAGGUAUGGACAUUCUGCUAUUGUGAAACUUCUAAUCAAGUCUUGUGCAAAAGCUAGAGAUGGAGAUUUAGAGAAGCUGGGAAUGGAUCAAGUAAAUGCAGUGAGGUGGAUGCUGAGGAUUACGGAUCAGGAAUCCAACACGGCUUUACAUGAAGCAGCACGAUUUGGCAAUGUUGAAGUGGUAAAAGCAUUGUUGGAGUUUGAAGACCCUGAUUUUCCGUAUUCUGCCAAUAAAAAACAGGAGACUCCACUUUACAUAGCUGCUAGGAGAGGAGACGGAGGCAUGCUGAGUAUACUAUUAGAUAAAUUGAAAUCAGCAGCUCUUGGUGGCCCCCACGGUAGAACAGUUUUGCAUGCAGCAGCUAUGGCUAGAGAUGCAGGUAUGUCGUUGAGUUAGUUCCAUUUUUGUUUUAAUUUGAAAUAAAUAAAGAACAGGUCUAUUGACAUUUUUUUUGCUUGGAUUUAGAGGCAAUAAGGAUAAUAUUAGAGAAGAAGGGGAAUUUGACAAAGGAAAGAGAUGAAGAUGGGCACACCCCUCUUCAUUAUGCUGCACACUUGGGUUCUAGAUUCUCAGUUGUGGAAGAACUGUUAAAAUGGGAUAUAUCAGCUGCCUAUAUAGGUGAUAAAAAGAGGGGGAUGACACCCCUUCUUAUGGCAGCCAGGCAAGGCUAUCUUGGAACAUGUUCAAAGAUUCUCUCUUUAUGUCCAGAUUGUUGCGAAAAAGUGGACAACUAUGGUUUGAAUUUACUUCAUUAUGCGGCUUUUAGAGACUCUGUCUUUCGAUUUGGGAGUUCUGUUUUUAAGCGUGGUGGUGCUGAGAUUGUAUAUGGAUCAGUUAGAAAUCUAAUGGAGUUGGAAGGUGCCUUUGGAGUCACACCUCAAGAAGUUUAUAAUACACUUCGAUCUAUGAAACAACAUCAUAAACAGGUGUGUGUGUAUAUAUAUUGCAUUUCCAUGGCUAUGGUUUUAUUAAUAUUUAAGUUUUGAAUUAACAUAUUUAAUAAACCUACAAUACACUCGGUUAAUGUGGGUGGCAUGACAGAAGCAAAUCAAAGAAUUGUUGGAAGAAUUGGAGAACGAUCAAGUGGCAGAGGAACCCGUUUGUAAGUUUCGCUUACCAAAUGUUUCUACAAAAAGAUUGGCGGCUAUAAGAAAUACUCAUUUAAUAGUGGCAGCACUUAUAGCCACCGUCACCUUCGCAGCGGCAAUAACUGUUCCUGGUGGUUUGGAGAGUGAAAAAGGGUCAAAGCAAGGCACUCCCUUUUUGAUUCAUGAGGCAGCCUUUAAAGUAUUUGUUGUAACAAACGCAUUGGCCUUUAUUUAUUCUGUUUCUGCCCUCUGCAUCUACUUUGGGGUUCUGGAUAAUCUAUUAUCAAGAUUUAAUUUUUGGCGUGAAACAAUUUUACAUCGAACUAAAGCUGUUUCUGGGCUUCUUGGCUAUGCAACAAUCGCGAUGAUGAUUGCUUUCAGCACAGGCAGUUAUGUGGUCUUAAAACCUUCCCACGGACUUGCCAUUGUUUCAUAUCUCAUAUGCCCUGCCUUCUUUUUCAUUCUGCAUUGGACUAUUUUUGAUUACUAUAUUAAGAGGAUAUUAUUUUAUCGUUGAUUACAAUAUGUUCCCAAUUCCUAAUGUCAAUGUUACCUCUUUGAAGAAAUAUUACUUUAAUAUUAAUAAUCUCCAUUUAAUUGAAAUAAAUAUAAAAUUAUUAGAUACACAUACAAUUUCAAAUAAAGUAAAAUUUAUUAAAUAUCAAAGAAUAAUAAAGAUGUGGCAAUUAACUCUCGGUUAUAAUUAAAAAUUAGUUACAUUAUAAUAAAGACAAUGAGAUUAAAAAAAAAUUCAAAGUUUUUGUGCAUUAGACUUUCAACAUUGUAACUUUAGCAUUUCGACUAUAACUUAAACUACGAAUCUCUAUUUUGAGCCCAUAAUAUAGUAAACUACUUCACAAAUCAAGCACCAAAACCUCAAGAAUGCAUCCAAAAAUAGCCUGGAAGUUUGACGUGAAAGUUGCUAAGAAAUCUUGAAACAAUCUGCUUUAUGUAAAUAGGUAAAUUUUUGCAUUUUCUAUAUUAUAUUAUCUUUGCCUUAUAAACAUACAUUAUUAGGUUAAAACUUGAGGAGAGACCCAGACAUAGUCACCUUAGCUUUAUUUUGUUUUUGCGUUUUAUUUUCUUUAUGAUUUUUUUUAAUUUUUUUUCUAGUUUAAGGUCAAUCAAAGUUUGAUUCAAUUAAUUUGUGAGACAUGAUUUGCACUUUAAUUCUUUUUUGUUCUUUGGUAUUCAUGCAUCUUCUGUUAUAAUUACAAUUGCUCAGGUUUGUUAGUAUUGAGUCAUCAACUAGAACUAAUUUAUUAAAAACAUUGAAGAUAUCAUUACAUAGAUGAUCGAACUUAAAAAUCAAUUGUAGAUUUUACCUUUGGGUAAAAUUACUUUCUUUGGUUCAGUUUUUAAUUUGAAUUUAGUUUUUUAUUUUAUAAAACCCUUUUUUUUAUUUACCUUAGUGGUUCUUACUUAAGGAAUAUAAUUAUCACUAAUAUCUAUAUAUGUGGGUAUAAUUUUGCUUGUUGUUUUCUAUUAGUUUAUAUGUUUAAAUUAAUUUCAAUUUUAUAGGUGUCGAUAGUCUAACAACUCUCUUGGAUCUUCCUUGUUGAGCAUUUUUGAACUUCUUAAACCUUUGGCUUCAUUUUGAUCUGUAUUUAAAAACUUUGUUUAAGUUUCGAGAUAAAAGGGUUAUCUACUCUUGCAACUCUUCUAUAGUAGUGUUAUGAUUAGUGGACAUUACUUCUGUCACUUGUAAGGAAACACCCUUUUUUCCUCCGCUUCAAUUUUCUUUUUAUUUCAUCUAGAUUGAUCUCAUAGGUUUGUAGAAAUCCAAUUAACCCAUCAAUUCACAUAUUAUCAAUAUCUUUGGCUUCUCCAAUGAUUGUGACUUUGAUGUUGAAUUUCUUUAGAAAAGAUCAAAUCACACAAUUUGGAAUAGAACUUGUCAAUUGUUUCAUUAUCCUUCAUUUUUAGAGUUUUAAACCUUGUUAUGAGCAUUUGUAAUUUAGACUGCUUCACAAUCUCUAUAACACCCCUAAACCCCGCCUGAACGUUAUGGCCGAAUCUGAAAUGUUACAAAGAAGAGUUUUGAAACCGAUCUUUACAUGAAAAAAACAACUCGUAUGGUAUGUUACUAGAAAAGAGUCCUUAUUUUAUAAAACAUAUCCAUUUAACAUUUUCUUUACUAAAACCAUCGAUAUUUUGUUCUUUAAGAAAAACUUAAUUUGCUGCAGAAAUCUUAAGUGUCAUUAUAUGUCGAAAACCAAGUUUGUGUUUCCCAAAAUGUUUGUUUGUGUAAAACCGUUAUUUAAAAAAAAAGCGUCUGUUGUACAUUGCAGAAAACAUAAUCAAACCAAAAACAACAUCAAAAACCAAAAGAAAUCAAAAAGGACGGAGAGUCCCAAAAUUACAAAACUCUCAACAAAAACCAAAAAUUAAAAUAAAACCAAUAAUUAAAGGAUAGUUUCCAUACUAGUGGUCAUCGCUGAGCCUCCGUCGCACCGACCCACCUAUGUUUGAAGAUUACUUGAAUAAAGUAGACAAACAGAUGUGAGUUUUCAAAAACUCAAUGUGUAACUUAACAGAGACAUGCAUACACAUAAACUCAGAUUUCUCAUGUAAUAGAUCAGAUACAGGCAUAAGUCCUUAACAGAAUCAUAUAAUAUCAUAAUCGGAUUAUCAGAAACAUACAGAUACGCAAAGUCCUACCCCCAUCCUCUACACACCAUCUCAGACCAUCCUAACACACCAUGUGGGGUAUAAAACACCCACCCAUCCCUACACACCACAUAAUGUCUUUAUAACACUUAUCAAGAAUAGUUUGCAGUCAAGCUGCCAGUAUAUCAGCAACAUGUUGCCUCACAGAACACUUCCUCCACAUAUACAAAUCCCACCCCAUACACAGAUAUAGAUAACAGAUAACAAAUAUAACAGAACUAACAUGUCCGGCAUCCUCAUAUACAAAUAUCAUACAUGUUAUUAUGAAAUAGUCAAAUCAUACAUAUCAACUUCUAAUUACUCAGAUUAGUCUAUCAAAAUAGCAGAUAUCAUGCAUUAAGGUUUGUUUUGCCCUUACUGACCCUAUGAAAGGCCCACAGUUGAUCGGGACGACGUGUGCGACCCUAAGGAAAAUUUUAGAAAUUUGGGCCCACACGCCCGAAACAGCCGGUCACACUGCCACACAUACUCCCGUCACACGGCUGUGUGGCAUCAACAGGCCACUUUUUCAACUUUCAUCGAACCUCGAUUUCUCGUGAUUUCAUUACACACCUGGUUCAAUUUUUAUGUGAAACAAUCUCGAGACCACCAAAACCUAAAAAUUGACAAUACAAGCCCUAAAAUCAGUCCUUAAUCCUCAAUUAAACCAAAACAAAAAAAUAAACUACAGUGAAACUCAAGUAUUCGCCACUUACCCAACUUCCCGAACAAUCCCAAUUAUGUUUCCGUAGGAAGAGAGUUUCGUUCCUCACGAUUCACUGCUACCAAUAAUCCACAAAUUAAUACUAACGAAAGACAACAUCGACUUAGAUCAACUUUAACAAUCGCCAAUAACCCGUGUAAAAUCUCACUACCUCUACUUACCUAGUCGCACGAAGAGAUUCAAAUUUCGAAGCAUCACAAUUUGAAUGGAAAAUCAUGACAAAAACUAAAAGAAAAGAAAGAGAAAGUUUUUGACAGAGGGAGAACAGAAGAAAGUUAGAAAAAGGAGAAUUUUUGGGAAAAAUAAAAUAAAAUCAAAAUAAAUCAAAAUUUAACACAUAUCUUAACUUCCCUCACUACUCAGAAUUUCACUACCACCGAACUUUAUCAUACAACUGAAGCAAAAAUUAAUAUUCACGCUCACACGGGGACUCAAACACAAAACCACAAGGCAAGUUAACACUUUACUAGUCAAACCAACAAACUCAUUCUAUUAUGACUUGACUAACAAUAGAAUAUAAGCCAAACCGUCAAGGAUAAAGCUAGGGUACAAAAUAACAUAAUUUUCCAAAAGAAAAACUUAAACCUAAGACCUCAAAUACACAAUCAGAACACUUAACCAUUGAAACAAAUACCCAUUUAUGAUAAAACUCACAGAAACAAAGUUAAAUUAGUUAGGGCGUUACAAUCUCCAUGCCUUGAUGGGCAAUCUCAGAGACUUCAAGCUAUAUAUAUAUAUGUGUGUCACUUGUCUUGAUAAGCCACAAGGUGUCUUGGAAUAAGUAAGGCAUUUUGUAAUUUUUCUUAAUUUGUAAUGUUUUUUUCUUUUAUCUUUGAAUGUUCCAAGGUAAUUGAUUAAUUGGUGUUUUCAAGGAAGAAAGCUGUGCAAUAGAUCAACAAAUAUGGGACCAACGUUAAACGAAAUUGUUAUUUCCUCCGGUGAACCUGAGAAGCCUGCAGAGAACAUCACUUACAUGGAUGCUUCAUUGUAUAAAGCUGCAGCAAUUGGCAAAAUUGAAGAAUUCAAUAAUUACCAGAGGCCUGAACUUGAGUCGCUGAAGACCCCAAACCAUGACAACGUGCUCCAUGUUAACUUUUCAACCCCUGAGCGUAUCUGGCAACGUGCUCCAUGUUAACUGAAUUGUAAAUAAAUUAAAUUACAAGGUUGACGUUGUGACAUUGUUACUUUCUCGUUGUGACGUUGUCAAAUAGUUUGCCACAUCACGAUAUUGUAGCACCACUUAUUGUUUUGGCCUCGUCGAGAUGACGGUGUUUCUCAUAUCACUGUGACAUUAUAGGUCAUUUCUUGUCGUGGUGUCAUAUGUUAUUUCUACAAAAUUUUUCUUGAUUAUGUUAAAGUUGUAUGACCCAAAUCCUAUCACUUGUUCCUACAUUAAGAAAUUUUACUAACUUUGCUUGAAAACACAACAAGAACAAAGUAAGUAGAAUUUUAUUUUGUUUAAAUAAAAUAAAGUAUAAGUUAAAGUGUUCAAGGAAUGAAAUAUGCAUGCUAUGACGCUUUUUGUUAUGCUAUGCUAAAGUGUUCAAUAAAGGAAUUAUGCAUCCUACGCUUUUGUUAUGCUAUGUUGAAGUGUUCAAGCAAUACAUUAUAUAUAUUAUAUGUGUCACUUGUCUUGAUAAGCCACUAGGUGUCUUGGAAUAAGUAAGGCAUUUUGUAAUUUUUCUUAAUUUGUAAUAUUUUUUUUCUUUUAUCUUUGAAUGUUCCAAGCUAAUUAAAUAAUUGGUGUUAUCAAGGAAGAAAGCUGUGCAAUAGAUCGACAAAUAUGGAACCAUCGUUCAACCACAUUAUUAUUUCCUUUGGUGAACCUAAGAAGCCUGCAAACAACAUUAUUUACAUGGACGUGUCGUUGUAUAAAGCUGCAGCAGUAGGCAAAAUUGAAGAAUUCAAUAAUUACCGGAGGCCUGAACUUGAGUCGCUGAAGACCCCAAACCAUGACAACGUGCUCCAUGUUAACUUAUCAACCUCUGAGUGUAUCGGGCAACGUAGCAGAUCAGAUUUUAUCGAACAAAUCCUUUUCAAGUGUCCAUCACUGCUACGCCAAACAAAUGCGAAAGGUCAAACUCCCUUGCAUGUUGCAGCAAGGAAUGGGCAUUCUGCUAUUGUGAAACUCCUAAUCAAGUCUCGUGCCAAAGCUACUGAUGAAGAUUUAAAGAAGCUGGGAAUGGAUCAAUUGAAUGCAGUCAGGGAGAUGCUGAGGAAUACGGAUCAGGAAUCCAACACGGCUUUACAUGUUGCAGCAAGGUAUGGUCACGUCGAAGUGGUGCAAGAAUUGCUGGAGUUUGAAAACCCUGAUUUCCCAUAUUUUGUCAACAGAAAUCAGGAGACUCCACUUCACAUAGCAGCUAGGAGAGUAGAUAAGCUCUCACUGAUUAUACUAUUAGAUAAAUUGGACAGCUUUGCAUGCAGCAGCCAUGGCUGGAGAUGUCGGUACGUUAAGUUAGUUCCAAAUCAUUCUUGUUUGAAAUAAAUAAAGAAUCAAUUUAUUGACUUUUUUGUUUUGUUUUGCUUGGAUUCAGAGGCAACAAAGAUAAUAGUAGAGAAUAAAGGGGAUAUGACAAAGGAAACAGAUGAAAAUGGACACACCCCUCUUCACUAUGCUGCGCACUUAGGUCACGAUUCAGUUGUGGAAGAGCUGUUAAAAUGGGAUUUACUUGCUGCCUACGUAGGCGAUAAAGAGUGGGAAAUGACACCCCUUCUUAUGGCAGCCCGGCAAGGCCAUGGACAAAUAGUAACAAAGAUUCUCUCUUCUUGUCCGGGUUGCUGUGAAAAAGUGGACAAAAGGGGUUGGAUAACUUUUUCAUUUUGUGGAGUGAAAGUUUUCAAGACAACAUUUAAUAGAACUGUUCUAUAUUUUAUUAACUAAACAACUGAAUUUAAAUAGAAAAAAGAGUAUUAAUUUAAUUGGAAAAAUAAUUUCCUUAUUUUAAUAAACUACUAAAAGAUAAAAUCAAAUAUUCUUAGAAUAUCUCAAAUAAUUUAUUCUAAAAUUUAUCUACCUAAAUAAGAUUUAUCUACCUAAAUAACUUUAAAAUAUAUCCCAAAAUAUAUGCCUUUCACAUAUUUCAGCACAGAGAUCCUUCUUUAUUUACAAUUCUCCAACGUGAUAAUGGUUGUAGCACUAUAUAUGGGCUAGUAAAAAAUCUAAGGCAGUGGAAAAAUGCCCUCGGAAUCACACCUCAAGAAGUCUAUGACACAUAUCGUAGUCGUUUCCAUAUCACUGAUCAGCGUACAGAGAAAAUGGUAAAAUUUCUAUGGCCUAUGGCUAUGGUUUUACAUGCAUGUAUAUAAAAUACAAAGACCUAUACUACAAUACAAUCGAUUAAAGUGGCAGGAGCAAAUUAUGGAAUUGUUGAAAGAUAUUACAAAUGAGGAAGUAGCCGAGAAACCAGUUCGUCCCAUACCUUCGAUAACUAUCUCUGCAGAUAGGUUGGAGAAGGAAAGAGAGGUUCAUUUAGUAGUGGCAGCACUUAUAGCCACCGUGACUUUCGCAGCAGCCAUAACCGUUCCAGGUGGUUUGAAAAAGGAAAAAGGGUCAGAGCAGGGCAUUCCUUUUCUCAUUCAUGAUGCAACUUUUAAAGCAUUUAUUGUAACCGAUGCAUUGGCCUUUCUUUUCUCCCUUUGUGCCCUCCUUUUCCAUUUUGGAAUGCUGCCUCCUUUUUCCUCAAUUCAGCGCCCUACUUUUCUGUCUCACGUCGGUGCCACUACGUUUCUUGGUUAUGCAACGUAUGCGAUGGUGAUUGCUUUCUGUACAACCAUUUAUGUGGUGUUAAAGCCUUCGUACGGGCUUUCCUUCGUUUGCUAAUCCAUGGCAUUGUUUUCCAUUAUUUGGUGGUGAUUGUACAUUAAAGAUGAAAGAGGGAAAUAGUCCUUCAUUAAAAUUGAGUUAUUAGAAUUCCACGUAUUGGCCUAAUAGUUAGGGUGUUUAUUGUCCUUGGUGUCGCUUAAAUUCGAGUAGCGCUAGUCACGUUGCUAUUAAGGCUUUGUCCUCCUCUUAUAAUUCACCAAAAAAAAAAUUUUGAGUUAUUAAAUGCUGAUUUAUGUUUUAUAAGUAUAAGGAUUAAUGAUAAAUUUAUAAAUAAUAUUAUUUGCACAAUUUUAAUUAAAUUAAUGAUUAAAAAUCAACUAAUAAAUUAUUUGAGUCAAAAGUUGAAUAUAAAAACACAGCAAGAAUAAGAUAAUAGAUUAAUGUUGUUUUGUUUGAAGUAAAAGUAUAAAAUUAGUAAAACACAUAGCAAGGAUGCUAUGCUAUGCUAAAAUGUUGAAGUAGGGAAUCGGUGCUUUCAUCAAUUAUGGAAUUAUAUAUGGUUUUCGUUUGUUUUGAUAACUUGUAGGUGAUUUGAAUGAAGCAUGUUAUAGUUAAACCCUAAAUUCUAAAACAUAAACUUUAAAUCGAGAAAGAAAACCUUAAAUAAAUGAGUAAAAGUAUAAUUAUUGUUAAUUAAAUGGUAAUUAAAAUAAAAAUAUAGUCAAAAUAAUAUAAUGAGUUUUAUCUGCUACAAUUCGUUACGACAAAUUAAGUUCUUUUCUGUAAUUAAUAAGCUUAUUUUUGAAUAAUUUGAUUACAUUUCUAUUAAUUUCCCAUUUUAGCAUUUUAUGUUCGAUUUCAAUAAAAUAAACAUUUUUACAUAGUUAGGUGUUUUAAUGGCCCGUUAGGCCAAUCAAAGCCUAAGAAACAACUAAUGGAUUAAUUGAGUGUGUCGGACAUCGUUUCGGGCCAAGAAAUUUGAAGAACGACCCCAAUGUCGCAACAUCCAUUAAUAGUGUUGUAACAACCAACUUCGAAAGUUAGAAUGGGGAUGCAAAGACGACAGUGUCGCAAAAAUGAACUUUGCAUGCAAGCUAGGAGAGUAAAAUCGAUGAUGUCGUGACACCCAACUUCGAGGCCAAGAAAGUCUCAUUCGAUGUCCGAUGUCUUGACAUCAGUCCUAUUGACACUGAUUCAACGAGGGCAAAAUACAACUGAGGAGGGUGUUUUCAUAUGCACAACUCAUCCUAACCCGUUAAUCACUUGCAUUUGAUCUAAUAAGAUCAUAAAAUACCAGAAUUAUAAAUAGAAUAGUUUAAGGUUUAAUUGGGAUUUUAUUCCCUUACUUAAUUUUCUAGCUUUAGGUUUUGUUAGAUUGGGAACUUCUAUUUUAGAUUCAAUUUUAAUUCGAGUUUUAAUUUCUUCAUCAAUCUUUAGUUUUUCUUUUGCAUUGGCUUUCAAUCGCUGUUUCCUCAACGAUUAUUAAGGGGUUUUUGUCUUCCAAGCACAAUCGGCAUAUCAACGAAUCAAAAUUAUAUUUUCCCCUCUUUCUAGUUUGCUAUUUGUUUUAAUGUCUGGAUUGAAUUUAAGGAAAAUUGUAUUUAGACUUAUGAGGAGCUAAACCAGUAGGAAGAUUAAAGAUCGAAGGUGGAAUUAAUUAACUGAGAAAUUAGAGUUCUCCUUAGAAUUAGUUGACUUAAAUUAUGUGUAAUUAAAUCUUAAGGUUGACAACUCUAAGAAGUUAUUUAGGUAAAUGAGGUCAAAAGAAUAGUUUAUCGAGUAUUUCCUAAUUUAAUUCGAUUUAAACUGCGAUGUCAAAAUAUAAGUAGUUUCUAAAGAUUAAUUGAUCUAGUUACAGGCUGAAAGGUAAUAACUAGGUUAAUUAUUAACUAAUUCAUCAAAACCCGAAUUCUGAAGUUAAUUAUGAACACUGACAUGAGUUAAUCUUCUGUCUUUUACCGAGUGAAUUUCAAUUGUUAGUUUAGUUUUCUUUAAUUUACGGUAGUGUCACUACUUAAUUUUAUUUAGAUUUUUCGUACUAUAAUUUUAAAUUAUUAUUGUUUAAACCUGUUAGUGUAGAAAUUAAUCUCUAGUUUAAUCUAGCCUCUUUUGGUACAAUUUUUUGAAUACUUAGUUGUUCCAUUGUAACUUUUAUGUUAUAACCUGACUUGUAUAUUUGCGAACAUAACUAUUAUUUCAUAUAUUUUAUUUACAGUAUUUCCAGCCCCGAUAUUUACAUGUCGAGGCGAGUAAUCAGAGUUCCAACAACUCGUCCUUAGAAGUAAUAAAUAUUAAUAUUUUAAAUAGAUAUAGUCAAAAUAAUAUAAUGAGGUCCAACAACUUGUGGUUGGAAGUAAUAAAUAUUAAUAUUUUAAAUAAAUGUAGCCAAAAUAAUAUAUUUAUGUCCAACAACUAGUCCUUGGAUGUAAUAAAUAUUAAUAUUUUAAAUAAACGUAGCCAAAAUAAAAUCCAACAACUCGUCCUUGGAAGUAUUAAAAUUUUGAUAUUAUUGUUUUUUUUAUAUUUUUAUAAAAAAUAAAAUAUAUAAGCAAUUUGAAUUUUAGUCAACAUGAUUUCAACGUUCUUAAAUUUAUCAUUUCAAUCAUAACAUUAUUUGUUUUUUUAUAAACAUUAACAUGGUAAUAUUUUUAUUUUGGUUUUUUCAAAAUAUUCAUUGAAACAAGUCUAAUGAUUAAUCUUUCGUAUUCUGUAAGUCCAUUAAGAGGUAAGUGCUAAAGUAUAUAUAAAAUAUAUAAAAUAUACUAAGUGUGUCUUAAUUUUAUCAUUUCAGUUAGAGCAUUAUUUAAUUCUUUUAAAAAACAUUUACAUAAAAUUUUCACUUACAAUUAAUGUGUCAUAAUUUAGUCAUAUAUAAAUUUAAAAGUGAUAAAUUUGUUUUUUGGGUACAUGAAGAAUGAUCAAAUCAUAACUAGACUAGAUGGGACCAAGUCAUUUCAAAGCAAUCAUUAUAUAUCUUUUGAAGGAUUUCAUCUGGAGUUGCAUAUAGCUAUAUAUGUCCAGAGGCCCUGAAAAUCCAUUAUUACCAGUCCAUCGGCUACUCAAUUACCCUAUCUGAAUACGUGAUGUGUCCCACUAAUCAUUCAAGCUCCUUGAGUAAUUUCUUUAAUGCUAACAAUUUAGUAAUUUAAUGAUCUUUAACAACCUUGUUUUCCGUAUUAUAUAAUUUUAAUUAAUAUUUUAUAAUUAAAAUUAAAAAUUUAUGUAUUCAAAUUAAUUCAAAUUCACCUAACCUUUGAAUUAGAUUGAUAAACUACAUUUAGAUAAAUCUAUUUAUAACAACUUAAUUUUUUAUUUAAAUUUAUAUAUAAUUCAAUAACAACUUAAUUUUGUAUUUAAAUUUAAAUAUAAAUCAAUCUUAUAAUAUUUGUAAUUAAUAUAGAGUAGUAAACUAUUCUUAGUCAUGAAUUAAUUUCUUCCACCCAUUCUUGGCUGCAAAACCAAAGACAAUGAGAUAAACAAAUAAAAAGAGUCAAGAACGAAGAAAUCCUAGCCUUGAUUUAUGGUUUCAUUAAUUCUACCUUUUGGCCCACAAAAUGAAAAUAAUGACAAAAAGUUGUUCAAUUCUUGAUUGAGUCUUAGCUCAAUUGUUAUUAACAUUAUUACCUGUGUAAGAGGACGUGGGUUCGAGUGUGCUGAAACGUAUUAUCUUCUACCUUAUUUAAGGUCGGGGAGAGAAAAAAAAAAGUUGUUCAAAUGAUGUAAGGGAUCAUUAGUUGUAAUGGGAAUAGAUUUGUGAAAAUACUGAUUUGAGUGGUUUAGGCCAUUGUGCUCUUCAAAAAUUUGAAAUUUCGUUCUUAUAUUUUUAUUUUUAAAAAUUUAGUCCCUCUAUUUUUAAGAUCUUAAAAUUUAGGUCCAAUUGUUAAUUCUAUUGUUUUAACCUUGAAAAAUUUGUAGAUUGAGAUCACAUCCCUUUCAAAAUUUGCUGAAUUUUCAAAAAAAUAUGUUAAAUGUUUGAUGUGAUUUUUCAAAAACUUUACAGAAACUUGGUUGAAGAAUUAAUGGUUUCCAGUUGACAAGUUGACUUAGGCAUUACAGGAGAACUGAUAGUUUGAUGAAUCUAUUUGGUUAUAAAAUAUUUGUAUUGAUCACUCUGCAAGAGACUAAUUACAGGCAAGUAACAAACAGGAAAGACAUUUGGUAAUUUUCUGAAUUUCUAGCUUCUUUUUUUCUUCAGCUUAGAAUAUUCCAAGCUAACUAAUUAAUAUUUGUUUUGUGUUAUCUAGGAAGAAAGCUCUGCAAUAGAUCAACAAAAAUGGAACUAUCGAUAAACGUCAUGCCUAUGUCCUCCGGAAAACCUGAGGAACCUGAAGAGAACAUCACUUACAUGGAUGCUUCGUUGUACAAGGCAGCUGCAGAAGGCAACAUUGAAGUAUUCAAUAAUAAGCAGGGGCAUCAACUUGAGUCGCUAAAGACCCCAAACCAUGACAACGUGCUCCAUGUUAACUUGGCAACCCACGAGCUUGCUGCCUGGUUUUCUAAUGGAAUUCUCUCAAGAACUAGAUCCUUCCCCAAUUUAUAUUUAUUUGUCUAUUUGUUUUUGUGGAUUUUCAUUAUUAAGAAAACAAGUGAAAAAAGAUUAUAUUUUACCGGACAAAUUCUUACCAAAUGUCCGUCACUACUACUCCAGACGAAUGCUAAAGGUCAGACUCCUUUGCACGUUGCAGCAAGGAAUGGACAUUCUGCUAUUGUGAAACUUCUAAUCAGCUUUUGCGCAAAAGCUAGAGUUGGAGAUUUAGAGAAUCUGGGAAUGGAUCAAGUAGUUGCAGUGAGGCAGAUGCUGAGGAUUACGGAUCAGGAAUCCAACACGGCUUUACAUGAAGCAGCACAGUAUGGCGAUGUUGAAAUGGUGGAAGAAUUGUUGAAGCUUGAACACCCCGUGGAAAGAUUGUUGGAGCUUGAAAAUCCUUAUUCUCCGUAUUCUGCCAACAAAAACCAGGAGACUCCACUUUACUUAGCAGCUAUGAGAGGAGAAGAGCCUUUGCUGAAUGUAAUAUUAAAUAAAUGGAAAUCAGCUGAUCAUGGUGGCCCUCAUGGUAGAACAACUUUGCAUGCAACAACUAUGGCCGAAGAUAAAGGUAUGUUGAGUUAGUUCCAUAUAUAUUUUUUGUAAUAAAUAAAGAAUAGAUUUAUUGACAGUUUUUUUGCUUGGAUUUAGAGGCAACAAGUAAAAUAUUAGAGAAGCAAGAGAAUUUGAGAAAGAAAAAAGAUAAAGAUGGGCACACCCCUCUUCAUUAUGCUGCACACAUAGGUUACAAUUCUGUUGUGGAAGUAUUGUUAGAAAAGGAUGUAUCAGCUGCCUAUAUAGGUGAUAAAAAGUUGGGGAUGACACCCCUUCUUGUGGCAGCCAGGGAAGGUAAUGUUGGAACAGUAAAAAAGAUUCUCUCUAAGUGUCCUGAUUGUUGUGAAAAAGUGGACAAAAGAGGUUUGAAUUUACUUCAUUAUUUGGCGUUUAGAGACCGUUCCUAUAAAUUAAGUCAUUCUCUUUUCAUGCCUGGUGGUACUAAGACUGAAUAUGGAUCAAUCAGAAAUCUAAGGAAGUUGAAAGGUGCCUUUGGAUUCACCCCUGAACAAGUUUAUGCAUUACUUCGAUAUGAGGGUCAUAACGAGAAAUAUCUGGAUGAAAAGGUGUGUAUUUCUAUGACUAUGGGUAUGGUUUUAUUAAUAAUUGGGUUUUGAAUUAACAUGUGGUGGUAUGGCAGAAGCAAGUCGAAGAAUUGUUGAAAGAAAUUGCAAGUGAAGAAGUAGCAGGGUUACAAGUUUCCCACAUUCCCUUACCAACUGUCCCUGCAGAAAGCUUGGAGAAGACAAGAGAUGCUCAUUUAGUAGUGGCAGCACUUAUAGCCACCGUCACAUUUGCAGCAGCAAUAACCGUACCUGGUGGUUUGAAUACUGAAAAAGGGUCAGAGCAGGGCACUCCUUUUCUGAUUGAUGAGGCAGCCUUUAAAGCAUUUGUCGUAACAAAUGCAUUAGCCUUUAUUCUCUCUGUUUCGGCCCUCUCCAUCCACUUUGGGAUUCUGGAUCCUCUUUUACCAAAACUAAAAUUUUGGGGUAUUAAUCUAAUAUUAUAUCGAACUCAGUCCGUUUCUAAUCUCCUUGGCCGUGCAAUGUUUGCGAUGGUGAUUGCUUUUAGCACCGGCAGUUAUGUGAUUUUAAAACCUUCUCAUGGACUUGCCAUCGCUUCAUGUUUCAUCUGCCCUGGCUUUUUUGUUUGUUAUUACGUACAACAAUCCCUAUCUUUCGUGAAGAGGUUGUUGGAGUGAUAAGUGAUAAUAACGAAUUUCAUCACAAAUAUUAUAUUAUCUGUGACAAAUUUUAUAUGUCGCACUAAUUAUACCACAAUAGUCAUUAUUAUGAUAAUAGUUGUGACGGUUUAAAUAUUGUUUCUAUAAAUGUAUAAUGGUGACCUAAUCUAUUUGUCAUUAGCAAUUCUCUUUCUUCUUGAGUAAUUAUAUAAUAGUCACAACAUAUAAUUAUUCCGAACAAAAUUAGGCAUUUAUAAAGCUCAAACAAAAGCAUUUGAAUUUUUUGUAAUGAGAUGAAUAGAAGUUAUUAAUUCCGAGUUUUGUAAGUAGAGAUAAUCAAUUUUUACUAAAAGGUACUCAUAUUGUGUGAAAGACAAUAAAAAGAAGAGCUCAUGGAGGCCCAUGGUAGAACAACUUUGCAUGCAGCAGUACUGGCUGUAGAUGGCAGGCAAUUAGAUAUGCAAAUAUGUUAUCAACAACUUCAUUUAUUUCCCGAAAUAUAUGUGAAAGGGAAUUAAAUCUCUAUUUGAAGCCAAAAUGGAUGUGGUUCCAAGUGUUGAGCGGCAUAGGAAGUAAUCAAAAUAUAUGUUGCACUGCAAGGAAUUCAAGGCUGCCUUGUCCACAAAGGCUUAUAACUGCUAAGCACCUGCUCUUAAAUUUGAUUAUGGCCUAAUAAACAACAUAGGGCAGCAUUGACUUCACUACAAAGAGCUGUAGACCCCAUUUUCUUCCAUUCUUUGUCUUCAAUUCUUCUCCUCCUUUGCAGUUUCCUUAAACCCAAAUUUCAACCAGUCAAUUAAAUGUUUAAAUUUGAAAAUCCCCAUACACUUGAUGCUAUUUUCUUUUCUUUUUUUUGAAUUUAGCUAUGGAAUUUACAUCUUUUAUCAAUUUAGUUAUUUUUAUUAUUUUUUAAAUUAAAUUUGACUCUUCAUCUUUCAUAAUAGAGUUCAAUUUUACCAUAACACAAAGAGCUGUAGACCUCAUUUUCUUCCAUUCUUUUUUUCAAUUCUUCUCCUUCUUAGCAGUUUCCUUAAAAGCAAAUUUCACCAUAAAAAGCUCCUACAUCAUUGACCUGACCUAUAACCCUAUAUAUUACUAUUACUAAGCAAUAGUGUUCAAGUAUGAAAUUAUAUAUAGUUGUCGUUUGUAGGUGACUUAAGUGGAGGAUAUGCAAGCAACAAACAGGUAUUGCAUUUGGUAAAUUUCCUAAUUUGCAGUAUUUUUUUCUUGAGUUUGGAAUUUCAAAGCUAAUUAAUUAAAUUUUGUUUUGUGUUAUAUAUCUAGGAAGAAAGUUGUGCAAUAGAUCAUGGGAACAUCGAUAAACAUCAUGUUUAUAUCCUCCGGAAAACCUGAGGAACCUGAAGAGAACAUCACUUACAUGGAUGCUUCGUUGUACUAGGCAGCUGCAGAAGGCAACAUUGAGGUAUUCAAUAGGUACCCAGAGCUUGCACUUGAAUCGCAAACGACCCCAAGCACUGACAACGUGCUCCAUGUUAACUUGGCAACCCACGAGCUUGCUACCUGGUUUUCUAAUGAAAUUCUCUCAAUAACCAGAUACUUCCCCAAAUUAUAUUGUUUUCGUCUAUUUGUUUCAGUGGAUUUUCAUUAUUAACAAAAAAAGUGAAAAAAGAUAAGAUUUUAUAAUGACCCCAAACCAUGACAACGUGCUCCAUGCUAACUUGGCAACCGAGGAGACUGCUGCCUGGCUUUUAAACAGAUUUCUCUCAAUACUCAACUUCCUCCCCGUAAAAUAUGUAUUCAUCACCGUAGAAAAUGUACCAUCUAUCGGUCUUUGAUUAUUUUCAUUACUAUGAUAAGAGGAGAAAAGAGAUCAGAUUUUAUCGUACAAAUUCUCAGCAAGUGUCCGUCACUGCUAAUCCAAACGAAUGCUAAAGGUCAAACUCCUUUGCACGUUGCAGUAAGGUAUGGACAUUCUGCUAUUGUAAAACUUCUAACCAAGUCUUGUGCAAAAGCUAGAGAUGGAGAUUUAGAGAAACUGGGAAUGGAUCAGGUAAAUGCAGUGAGGGAGAUGCUAAGGAUUAGGGAUCAGGAAUCCAAUAUGGGUUUACAUGAAGCAGCACGGUGUGGCAUCCAUCAUGUUCCAUUACUAUUGUCAAAAUUACUGUUAUGCACACAACUUGACUUUGGCUGGUCACUCAUUAUCAAUGGCUCCAGUAUCAAAUUAGGGGUACUUAAUUGUGUUCUCUUGAAAUAUUGAAGAAACUAUUUGAAUACUGAAUACCAAAUUCGCGUUCCCAUUUUAGAAACUAUUUUAAUUUCUUUAAUUUGAAUAUCAAAUUCGAUCUAGGAUCAUCAAGCACUCUUAUUUUUUGAAUUAAUUUUGUAACGGAUUUAAGAUUAUAUUUCAUUUUCGGUUCCAUCUAAUAUGUUAUUAGUCCAAAUUAACACAUCUAUAUCUCUACUUGAUAGUCAAUCCUACCCCGGUAAUCAAGACAAGCUAUUUUUUAUUUUGUUUAAUGAAGAUCAUAUGUUAGAAGCUAAGAAAUUUAUCAAAGUAUAAGAAAUUUUUGAAUUAUUACUAUUUUAAUAUUUUUGUCUUUUAUAUAUUUUUUAAAAAUUAGAAAAUAUAAAAGCAAAUCAAAUCUAAGCUACUAUGACUUUAAUAAUGCUAAUUUUGUAAUUUCAACCAUAACACUAUUUUCUAAAAUAAAUAUUUACAUAAAUUUUUUUGUUACAUGAUAAAUAUGUGAGAAUUUUUUUUCUUAAGGUAUCCACUAAAGCAAGCAUAGUGAUUUAUUUUCCGCAUUUUCUAAACCUAUUAAGAGAGUAAAUGUUUAAAUAUAUAAAAAAAUAUAUUAAGUGUCUCAUAAUUUUUAUUAAAAAUUAUUAAAAUUUAACAACCUAAAUCCGGCCUAGACAGAAAGACUAAGUUUGGGAUGUCUCAUGAGUGAUGAAACUUAGUUGUAUUCCAACUAAGUUUGUUAGUGGUAGUAGGUGGUGAUUUAUUUUAAGUGGAUGUAAUGAUGAAACUUAGUCGUAUUCCAACUAAGUUGUCAAGUUGUAAGCUUGUAUAAAUAGGCUUUAUGCCAUUUUAAAAAAAUGAAUGAAUUCAAUCAAGAUUUCAUCCAUAUACUCUCUAUUUUAGCUUUGCUUAAAAUUUAUUUCAUUUUUCUUCUUUGUUUCUGCCGCAAGUCUCGAUUCUUGCUCGGCAAGCUUUUUGUUGAACCUUGCUAUUUGUUGCACUUAGCUCCAACAAUUGGUAUCAAGAGCCUAUUUCUUAAGGGAUCUGUUAUACAAAUUCAUGGCUUCAUCAAGCUUUUCACCAGCUGCACCUCAAGUCUUCAAUGGAGAAGGCUACCACAUAUGGGUGGUUAAAAUGAAGACCUACCUACAAGCUUUCGAUCUGUGGGAGGUAGUCAACUCAGAUGUUGAACCAGAGCCACUUAGAGGCAAUCCAACAGUGGCUCAAAUCAGGCAGCAUGCUGAUGAGAGGACCAAGAGGCACAAAGCCAUGUCUUGCAUCCAGAACUCAGUGUCAGAUGUGAUUUUCACAAGGAUUAUGGCCUGUGAAUCACCAAAACAAGCCUGGGACAAGUUGCAAGAGGAGUUUCAAGGGACAGAGAGGACAAGGCAGCAACAGUUGCUGAACUUAAGGAGAGAUUUCGAGAAUUUGAAGAUGAAGGAAGAAGAAACUAUCAAGCAGUACUCUGACAGGAUUAUGGCUGUGGUUAACAGCAUAAGGCUCCUUGGAGAGCAGCUCAAGGAAGCUAGGAUAGUGGAGAAGGUUAUUGCAACUCUGCCCGAGAGGUAUGAGGCAAAAAUCUCAUCUCUCGAGGACUCAAGGGACCUGUACACCAUCUCCCUGAUAGAGUUGAUCAAUGCUUUAUAUGCUCAAGAGCAAAGAAGAGCAAGCAGACUGGAGGAGCAUCAAGAAGGUGCCUUUCAGGCAAGAACAAACACUGCCUACAAAGGCAAGAAAGCCUGGAGAGACAAGCCAAGGACUGAUGUUGCAAGAAAAGAGGGUCAGACUUGCAAGCACUGCAGAAGGGCUGGUCAUCCAAAAGAAAAAUGCUGGUUCAAUCCAGAUGCUGUAUGUCAGCAUUGUAAAAAGAAGGGUCAGGUUGAGAGAGUCUGCAAGAGCAAGGCCAAAUCAAGGCAGAGUCAGUUUCAACAGAAGAAAGCUGAGGCUCGAGUAGCUAAGGAGGACAGUGACCAAGAGGAGCAAGUCUUUGCUGUGUUAUGCUCAGCUGCUCAAGAAAGGUUCUCAUCUGGUUGGCUUCUAGACAGUGGAUGCACCAACCACAUGACACCUGAUGCUGCAAUCUUCAAGUCUUUAGAUAGAAGCUGCAGAACUAAAGUCAAGAUAGGAAAUGGACAUUUUAUUCAAGCUGAAGGCAAGGGUGAUGUGCUGAUAUGCACCCCCACAGGUGCCAAAGUGAUUUCAAAUGUGCUUUUGGUGCCUAAAAUUGACAGAAACCUGCUCAGCACAGCUCAGUUGCUGGAGAAAGGUUAUUCUGUUGUGUUCAAAGACAACCAAUGCCAAAUCAAUGAUCCAAGUGGAUCCAAGCUGAUGGCAGUUCCUAUGGCUAAUAAGAGCUUUGUAAUUGACUGGACCAGGGAGUCAGACAUUGCCUACACAGUCACAUCAGAUGAAUCUAAGCUUUGGCAUCAAAGACUGGGACAUGCCAACUUCAGAUCGAUGGCUCGAAUGGUCAGAGAGGACUUGGCUGAAAACUUCAUCAACUCAGUGGAUCAUGAUGAUGUGUGUGAAGUGUGUCAGCUAGGAAAGCAGGCCAGACUCCCAUUUCCCUCGAAUCAAGCCUGGAGAGCUUCUGAAAAACUCCAACUGGUGCACACUGAUGUGUGUGGCCCUAUGAGGACUGAGUCAUUAAGUGGAAACAGGUACUUCAUACUGUUCAUUGAUGAUUUUUCAAGAUAUUGCUGGCUUUACUUCCUAAAACAGAAAUCAGAGGCGGCCUCAGUGUUUUGGAAGUUCAAGACUGCUGCUGAGACUGAAACAGGUUGCAAGCUGAAGUCCAUAAGGUCUGAUAAUGGGACUGAGUACACCUCAGCUCAGUUCCAAGCCUUCUGUGAUAAGGCGGGCAUCAAACAUCAACUUACCAACACAUAUACACCUCAGCAAAAUGGUGUAAGUGAAAGGAAGAAUAGGAGUUUGAUGGAUAUGGCCAGGUGCUUGAUGAUUCAGAAGAAUCUGCCUAAAGCACUAUGGGCAGAGGCAGUUAACACUGCAAACUACAUUCAAAAUAGGCUUCCAACCAAGGCCUUGGAUCAGAAGACUCCAUUCGAAGCCUGGUUUGGAUUCAAGCCAUCACUGGCUCAUCUGAAGGUCUUUGGAUGCAUCUGUUAUGCUCAUGUACCUGCUGUCAAAAGGGACAAAUUGUCUGAAAGAGCUCGACCUGGUAUUUUGGUGGGCUACAGCACUGUUAAGAAGGGCUAUAGGAUCUUGGAUCCUUCAACAAAGAAAGUGUCAGUCAGUAGGGAUGUGGUAUUUGAUGAAAAGUCAUGUUGGAACUGGGAAAAACAUGAACCUGAGGAAGUUUCAGAAGGACUUGCAGCAGAUCAAGCUGAGCCAGAUCAAAAUGUUCCUGAAAUGGACAUUGAUGAUGAACCAGUUAUAGGAACAAGACCAUUGAUUGAGAUUUAUGAAAGAGCUCAUGUAGCCAUAGCUGAACCAAGCAAUUUUGAAGAGGCUGAAGCUCAGCAAGAGUGGAAGCAGGCAAUGGCUGAGGAGAUUAGCAUGAUUGAGAAGAACCAGACCUGGGAAUUAGUUGAAAGGCCAGUCAAAAGGAAGAUAAUUGGGGUGAAAUGGGUGUAAAAAGCCAAGCAAAAUGCUGAUGGUACCUUGAACAAACUGAAAGCAAGGCUAGUUGUCAAGGGGUUCAGUCAGAGGUAUGGCCUGGACUACUUGGAGACCUUUGCACCAGUGGCCAGGCUAGACACCAUCAGAUUACUGAUUGCCUUAGCAGCACAGCUCGAGUGGAAGAUCCAUCAACUCGAUGUGAAAUCAGCCUUUCUGAAUGGUUUCUUAGAUGAAGAGAUCUAUGUUGAACAACCACAAGGGUUUGAGAUAGCUGGCAGAGAGCAUAUGGUCUACAAACUGAAGAAGGCCCUAUAUGGCUUAAAACAGGCUCCAAGGGCCUGGUAUAGCAGAAUCGAUGGCUACUUGACUAAUUUGGGAUUCAAUCGAAGCAAGAAUGAGCCAACACUGUAUGUCAAGAAGCAAGGGACACAAACACAGCUCAUUGUAUCCCUAUAUGUUGAUGACCUGCUGGUGACAGGAGGAGAUCGAGCAGUGCUGGUCGAUUUCAAGACAAAGAUGCAAGAAGUAUUUGAAAUGUCUGAUCUAGGGGAAAUGUCUUAUUUCCUUGGAAUGGAGGUGACUCAAGCACAAAAUGGGAUAUUUCUAAGUCAGAGAAACUUUGCCACAAAGAUUCUGACCAAGUUCUCCAUGCAAAACAGUAAAGCAACUAAAACACCUAUUGCUGUUGGAGAAAAACUAUCGAGCCAAUGUGAUUUUGAGAAGGUUUGUGAAACAACCUACAGAAGUCUAGUUGGUUGUCUGUUAUAUUUAACUGCCACUAGACCAGACAUAAUGUAUGCUGUAGGAUUGCUCUCAAGGUUCUUGCAUUGUUGCAAUAAAAAGCAUUUACAAGCUGCUAAGAGAGUGCUUAGAUAUGUCAAAGGCACUUUGAGCUAUGGUUUAAGGUACAGCAAGGAAGGAAAUCUGAAGCUGGUUGGCUACACUGAUAGUGACUGGGCUGGCUCAAUAGAUGACAUGAAAAGCACCUCAGGGUAUGCUUUCAACCUUGGUUCAGCCAUGUUUUGCUGGAGCCCGAAGAAGCAAAGUCUGGUGGCUCAAUCUACUGCUGAAGCAGAAUAUGUGGCAGCUGCAAGUGCUGUCAACCAAGCCAUUUGGCUAAGAAAAAUCUUAGCUGAUUUGAAAGUGCAUCAAAAGGAAGCUACUGAGAUCUUCUGUGACAACCAAUCUUCAGUUGCAAUUGCUAAAAAUCCAGUGUUCCAUGGAAGAACAAAGCAUUUCAGUAUCAAGUUGCAUGUUGUUCGAGAAAUGGAGCAAGCUCAGGAAGUGAAGCUGAUCCAUUGUAAUUCUGAGGAUCAACUUGCAGACAUUUUGACUAAAGCCCUUAAUGUCACAAGGUUCGAAUGUCUAAGAAGGAAGCUAGGUGUUUGCUCCAUGCAAACCAAGGAGGAGUAUUGAAGCAAUGGUUAGCAUGUAGCAAUCACAUGUUUUAUUAUUAUUAUUAUUAUUUGGAUGUAAUGAUGUAACUUAGUUGUAUUCCAACUAAGUUUGUUAGUGGUAGUAGGUGGUGAUUUAUUUUAAGUGGAUGUAAUGAUGAAACUUAGUUGUAUUCCAACUAAGUUUGUUAGUGGUAGUAGAUGGUGAUUUAUUUUAAGUGGAUGUAAUGAUGAAACUUAGUUGUAUUCCAACUAAGUUUGUUAGUGGUAGUAGGUGGUGAUUUAUUUUAAGUGGAUGUAAUGAUGAAACUUAGUUGUAUUCCAACUAAGUUGUCAAGUUGUAAGCUUGUAUAAAUAGGCUUUAUGCCAUUUUAAAAAAAUGAAUGAAUUCAAUCAAGAUUUCAUCCAUAUACUCUCUAUUUUAGCUUUGCUUAAAAUUUAUUUCAUUUUUCUUCUUUGUUUCUGCCGCAAGUCUCGAUUCUUGCUCGGCAAGCUUUUUGUUGAACCUUGUUAUUUGUUGCACUUAGCUCCAACAAUGAGCUUACCAGAACACGGUUAUACUUAGAGCUGGCUUAAUCAAUACAUAUAGUCAAGUCUUUAAAAAAGACCAAUCAUUCAAAGCAUAAUUCACUCUUAAAACUUAAAGUCUGAAACCAAAUAAAUGAUUUAAACACACACGCAUAUAUUUAAAGUAAGUCCAAUAGAUGACCGAGUCCCUCGUCCGCCGGCCACUCAGUUCUAAGAGUUUCCUGAUAUCCAUUCAAUCCAGUUAGUGUGUUGCAACUUAAUAUACAUAUAAAAAAAUUUGACAUGUUUAUAAUAACUCAGAUAUAAUUGGAAGUUCAGUCAGCAUACUCAAUCUUGAUCGGUCAAAUUAAUAAUUUAUUACAGUUUCGGAAACAAAACAGUUCUGGCACGCAACAAAUCUGAUACAGAAACAUGUACAGAUGUAAAUACGGAUACAAAUGUAAAUAUAGAUACAGAUGUAUUUAUCCUAACCCCCAUCCUCUAUACACCAUCUCCGACCAACCUUAUACACCCCAUAGUGUCGAUAUGACACGUUGCAGUGCUUACAGUCACGCUGCCAGUAUAGAUUCAAUUGUGGAUGGUUUAACCACCAAAUCAGUACAGAAAGCUUCCUCCAUUUCAUGAUCCCCGCCCAAUGCAAAUGUAGAGAGCAAAUGACAAAUAUAUAUGUUUCUUAUGCAAAUAUAAUCACAUAGUCCAGUAUAAUAGAGGGUUGAAAUUCUUAAUAAUUAUCUCAUACGGGUAUGUAGAAAAAGUUUAUAAUCAUGAUAAAACAGAUCAUAUAUAGUUCAGUUUAGUUCAUACAUAUCCUACGGACGGCUUACACUCAUCUCGUACAACAACUAUGGCGUUAAUAGAAAUUUUGUAAUUCAGGCUCACACACCCGUGUGGGUGCCCAUGUGGCUCCACACAGUCUGACACAUGGUCGCGUGGCUACCCGUGUGCCCCUAUUAAUCAAAUUAGUGAGUUACACGGUCUAAGCACACACUCGUGUGCUGCCUGUGUACCUCACAAGGUUUGGCAUACGCCGCUGUCCCUUGCAUGUGAGUCUCUAAUAUAUAAAUAGUGAAUUACACGAUCUAGACACAUGCUUCUGUGCCCCCUGUGUGACCACUGCACCUUAAUUUCUCACACACGGUUUACCCCACGCCUGUGUGGCUCGCCUAUAUGUCUCCAAUCCGAAGUCAGUGAGUUACACAGUCCACUACACGGUCAUGUGGCACACACGGCCUGCACACACGCCUGUGUGUCGUCGAUAGUCCCGUUUCUGGCAAAGAAAAAUGCAGAAAAGAAAGGGAUUUCUAUACCCACCUGUUACACGACGCUGUAGAAGCAUCCAAAUGCAAUUUCCAGUCCUAAAAUAAGUCCCAAACGCCCAAUUCAAUAAAGCAUUUGCAAAAUAUGCAAGUAACAACAAUCAAUGUUCAUCAAAACCGUCGACUCACUACACAAAAUGGAUGGAAGCCUACUUACCGCGAAUUCCCAGUACACGUUUAGUUCCUAAGUAAGGUGAGAAGCGUUAGGCAUCUUCCGGGUCUUCUCCUACAAUUCAUCGAAGUACCUGAAAUGACAAAACGAAUUAACUCAACGAAAUGAAAUUCAAAAGAAAAACCCCAAACAACAAAACCAUCACAACGAACAAAUUAAAAACACGAACUCUUAUCGUUAGCAACAAAAUCGACCACAGAAGAAUUCAAAUCAGCAUUAAUUGAUUUAAUCAGCAACAAAAAUAAUACGAGGCCAAUUGUCAAAAGAAACGGUAACUGAAGAAGAACAGAAAAAUAACGCAGGAGGGAAAUUUUAAGAAAACAAAUCAUAGAAUUUCAGGAAAAAAAACUAAUACACACAAAACACAUAACCACUAAAACAAACACAUAUUUAUUAAAAUAAUUUAACAAGAAAACUCAAAUUUUUGUUGUGAAGUUGAUGAAAUUUUAUUAAAAAUGAUUGAAUGAAAAUAAAAAUUGAAAUCAGUAAAUCGAAGGAUUUAAACGUUGAUUAAUUAUGCUUAGUUUGAGAGAAAAUUUAAGUAGACAAUUUUAAUUCAAAUUAUGAAAAAAAUAAGUAACCAUCGCUAAUCGUAUAUAGCAAGAAUAGCAUAGUAAAAUUAUGGUGCUUUCAUCAAUUAUGGAAUCAUAUAUGGUUUUCAUUAAAUUUAAUAGCUAAAUUGCACUUUGUUCGAGGGUUUCUAUUAAAUUGAAAUUAGAAUGAAUAAACAUAGUAAAAAUAAUCAAUUUCCCUAUUGUUUUUUUAAAAUUAAAUUUUGCCUCAAUUUUUAAAAAAAUUGAAUUGUUAUUUUUCUAAUUAAAAUACUAAUUAAAAUUUUAAAAUUUUAAACAUACAGCCUGCAUUGUAAUUCGCUUGUACUUUAUGUUAAUUUGUUGAAUUUUUAUGAACCUAUUAUAAUUGUUUUUUGAAUUUUGAAUUUUUUUUAUUUUUUGAAUUUUUAAAUUAAUUAUUGACAUGACAUAUAAGAUAAUAAUGCUAUAUCAACAUGAACUACAAAUGGAUUGUUAUGCCAAAAUCGUUAAAUUUUUUUAUGUUAUAGUCAAUUUUUUUAAUUAAAAAAAUUAUUUAACUUUUUUUGAAAGGUUAAUAACCAAAAUUAAUUUAGUGGAUGUAUGCGUACGCAUUAUCUAUAAAGCAAGUUAAAAAUGACGGAUUUGAUGUCUCUACUUUUCAACAAUUUAGUAUUUUAACCAUCACUAGCAACUUUGUUUUAGGGCCAUUUGAUUUCCUUUUUGUUACAAUUAAGUCAUUGUAUAAUAAUAUUUAUGGUAAGAUACACAAAUAGUUAUCAUUGUUUUGGUGAUUUGGGUUUAAUUUUUUUUAGUUAUUAAUAUUAUCGACAUUUGAUAUUUUGUUCACUCUUUCAUUAAAUCAUUAGCAGAAUGUUGACGCAACCUUUCUUUAUUAACAUAAUAAUAAAUUUAACCAUUUAAUAUCUACAAAUUCUAUUAAUCUGGUCCUAAUUCUAACAAAUAAAUUUAGCUCUUAACUUUAUCCAUUAUGCCAAUUUAGUCUUGAUUCUUACAAAUUUAAAAUAAAACUUUAAAAAAAAUUAUUUAAAAAUUUUUAUCAAUAAAAAUACAUACAAAAUUAUAAAAUGCACAAAAAAAUAUAAAAUUUUUUUAAAGGUGAAUACUCAAUUUCUCUUUAAAGAAAAACACAAAUAAAAACUUAGAUCUAAUUUAUCAUUUGUAUUGUUGAAAAUGUGGUAAAUCUUAGGGAUUUUCAUUGUUGUAAGGGUGAAAAGAAAAUGUAGGGUUUAGUCUAAAUCACUCAAUAAUAACUAACAUCAUCAAAAUCUAGUGUGUAACAAUUUUCUCAGCUACCAGACACUGUAGACCCCAUUUUCUUCCAUUCUUUUCUUUAAUUCUUCUCCUUCUUUGCAGUUUCCUUAAAACCAAAUCUCACCAUAAAAAACUCCUACUUUAUUGCCUCACUUCUAACGCUAUAUAUUACUAUUACUAAAGUGUUCAACUAUAUAUAGUUGUCAUUUGUAGUUGACUUGAAUGCAGGAUUUGCAAGCAACUAACUGGUAUGGCAUCUGGUAAAUUUCUGAUUUUGCAGUACUUUUUUCCUGAGCUUCGAAUGUUUCAAGCUAAUUAAUUCAACUUUGUUUGGUGUUAUCCAGGAAGAAAUAGAUAAACAAAAAUGGGACCCGAAGAGCCUGAAGAGAACAUCACUCACAUGGAUGCUUGGCUGUAUAAGGCAGCAGCAGAAGGCAACGUUGAAGUAUUCAAUAAUAACCAGGAGCUUCAACUUGAGUUGCUAAAGACCCCAAACCAUGACAACGUGCUCCAUCUUAACUUGGCAACCAAGGAGAAUGUUCUCUGGCUUUUUAACAGAUUUCACACAAUAUUCGAAGAAUUCCCCGCAGAAUAUGUAUUAUUCCAUCGGUGUUUGAGUAUUUUCAUUACUAUGAUAAAAAGAGAAAAGAGAUCAGAUUUUAUCGGACAAAUUCUCAGCAAGUGUCCGUCACUGCUACAACAAACGAAUGCUAAAGGUCAAACUCCUUUGCACGUUGCAGCAAGGUAUGGACAUUCUGCUAUUGUGAAACUUCUAAUCAAGUCUUGUGCAAAAGCCAGAGAUGGAGAUUUAGAGAAGCUGGGAACGGAUCAAGUAAAUGCAGUGAGGGAGAUGCUGAGGAUUACGGAUCAGGAAUCCAACACGGCUUUACAUGAAGCAGCAGGGUGUGGCAAUGUCAAAGUGGUGAAAGCAUUGUUGGAGUUUGAAGACCCUGAUUUUCCGUAUUCUGCCAACAAAAAACAGGAGACUCCACUUUACAUAGCAGCUAGGAGGCGAGGAUCUGGGCGCUUGUUGACUCUAUUAUUAGAUAAAUUCAGAUCAGCAGCAGCUCAUGGCGGCCCCCAGGGUAGAACAGCUUUGCAUGCAGCAGCUAUGGCUGGAGAUGCAGGUAUGUUGUUGAGUUAGUUCCUUUUUUUUUUUUUUUAAUUUUGAAAUAAAUAAACAGCAGGUCUAUUGACAUUUUUUUUUUGCUUGGAUUUAGAGGCAGUAAAGGUAAUAUUAAAGAAGAAGGGGAAUUUGACAAAGGAAAGAGAUGAAGAUGGACGCACCCCUCUUCAUUAUGCUGCACACUUUGGUUCUAGAUUAUCAGUUGUGGAAGAACUGUUAAAAAGGGAUGUAUCAGCUGCCUAUAUAGGUGAUAAAAAGAGGGGGAUGUGUUGCGCGGAAGCGUGUGAAAGAGUAAAAUUAUUGUACUGAAAAAUCACACUAAGUUCAAUUCCCAGGAAAGAGAGGUGGAUCACGAGGAUCGCUUACAUACCAGAUCUUUCCUAGCCAGAAUAUCCCUCUAUCGUAAUUUAAUAGCACAAUAAAUCACUACAAUGACACUUGCAAAAUAUGCAGAACAAAAAUAAAGAACACUAGAAUUUUAACGAGGUUCAGCAAAUUUUGCCUACGUCCUCGGGCACUACCAAAUAUAUUUCACUCCAAAAAUACAAGUGAAAGUUUACAAAUAGGGAGAGAGAACAAUUGCCUUAAGUAGAGAAUGGCAAGUGUGGGAUGAAGAAAGUAAGAGAUGGUUAGGCCUAUUUAUAGUUGAGGUUUAAGGAUCAACUUGCAAUGUCCCUAUACAAUUAGGGACCAAAAUUGCAAUUAUCCCAUGCCAACUUUUAACCCAACUUGCCAACCAAUCUUACUUUCUACUUUCGGUGCCUUUCGGUGCCAACUUUCUGCCACUAUUCAUCUUUGAAAAGUCAAAGAUUGUAGGUAUCCAAUAAUCUCCACCUUGAAGAUUUGAUUAGGAUAAUCUUAUCUUCACACAAUUCUUUCUUCCUUUGACAAUAAUACUUGAUAGUGCCUUCUUCAACUGUUAAACUUGCAGGAUAUUGAUCAAGUUCAAACAAUAUUUGAACUUGGUUGUUGUUACCACCUUGGUCAUCAUAUCUGCGGGAUUAUCUGUAGUCUUGAUCUUCUGAAGACAAAUUUUCCCCUCUUCAAUAAUUUCCUGCACAAAAUGGAAUCGUACGUCGAUAUGUUUUGUACGUGCAUGAUAGACUUGAUUCUUUGCUAAAUGAAUAGCACUUUGACUAUCACAAUACACGUUAAUAUGCUCCUGAACCAACCCCAAGGUUUUAGCCAUACCUUGUAACCAAAUAGCCUCCUUUACAGCCUCUGUUACAGCCAUGUACUCGGCUUCUGUGGUUGACAAUGCAACUGUAGACUGUAGUGUAGACUUCCAACUUAUUGGUCCUCCAGCAAGUGUAAACACAUAACCGGUGGUUGAUCUUCGCUUGUCCAAAUCACCGGCAUAGUCAGAAUCAACGUACCCAAUAACACCUUUACCAAGUGUAUUAUCCUGCUUGAACAGUAAUCCAACAUCCACGGUUUUCUGAAUAUACCGUAGAAUCCAUUUCACAGCUUGCCAAUGUCCUUUUCCAGGAUUAUGCAUAUACCUGCUCACUAUACUAACUGCCUGUGAAAUGUCGGGUCUUGUACACACCAUUGCAUACAUCAAGCUACCCACUGCAUUAGAAUACGGAACUUGCAACAUGUAUUCUCGUUCCGUAUUCGUCGAAGGAGAUAGUUGUGCAGAAAGCUUGAAAUGAGAAGCCAACGGGGUACUUACAGGUUUGGUAUGCUCGUUCAUACCAAACUGCUGUAGUACUUUCUUCAAAUACUGCUUCUGAGACAAGCUAACUCUGCCAUGAGCUCUAUCUCUACAUAUUUCCAUGCCAAGAAUCUUCUUAGCUUCACCUAGAUCUUUCAUCUCAAACUCGAGAUUGAGUUGAGUCUUCAAUCUCUCAAUCUCAACUUUGCUCUUAGAUGCUAUCAGCAUAUCAUCAACAUAUAAGAGCAAGUAUAUGAAAGUUCCUUCUUGUAGCUUCUGAAAAUAUACGCAAUGAUCAAAUUUACUUCUUGUGUACCUUUGCCCUUUCAUGAACUGAUCAAAUCGCUUGUACCACUGCCUCGGAGAUUGUUUCAAUCCAUAAAGCGACUUUGUCAGUUUGCAAACCCAAUUUUCUUUAUCAGCAACAUUGAAUCCAUCAGGCUGAGUCAUAUAGAUUUCCUCUUCCAAAUCACCAUGUAAAAAUGCUGUCUUCACAUCAAGCUGAACUAGUUCAAGAUCGUAUUGCGCAACCAAGGCUAGUAAAAUUCGAAUAGACGAAUGCUUCACAACUGGAGAAAACACUUCAUUGUAGUCUAUUCCUUCUUUCUGAGCGUAACCCUUUGCUACCAAUCUAGCCUUGUAUCGAAUUAUAUUUUUACCAGGAAAUCCUUCCUUCUUUGCAUAUACCCAUUUGCAUCCAAUUGCCUUCUUUCCCUUGGGCAGUCUCACCAACUCCCAAGUCCUAUUUUUAUGAAGAGACUGCAUUUCUUCAUUCAUAGCUUGCUUCCACUUUACACCAUCAGAGUUACUUAUUGCUUCUGUGUAAGUGGAAGGAACAUCAUCAUCUGCAAUUGGAAGUGCAUAGGCCACCAUAUCAUCAAAGCGAGCAGGCUUACGAAUCUCUCUUCUUGGCCUCCUAUAUGCAAUUGAAUCUUGUUGCUGUAGAAGUUCUUGGGUCAAAACUUCUUCAUCAUUUGUUCUUUCAAUAUUAGCUGGAUCAUCAUUAACCUUUUCAAACUCCACCUGCUGCAAAGUACUACUGGUUUUGUCAUCCUUUUGUGAAUCCUCGUUCUUCAUCAUGGUUGAUUCAUCAAAAGUUACAUCUCUACUGAAAACAAUCUUCCUUGUAUCAGGACACCAAAGACGGUAUCCUUUUACACCACCAGUUAUACCCAUGAAUAAUGCUUUCUUUGCUCUUGGGUCUAAUUUAGAUUCUUUUACAUGAUAAUAUGCAGUGGAACCAAAAACAUGUAAAGAAUCAUAAUCAGUAGCAGGUUUACCAGUCCACAUCUCCAUAGGAGUUUUUCCAUUUAUUGCAGCUGAUGGCAAUCGGUUAAUUAGAUGGCACGCAUAUGUAACUGCCUCAGCCCAAAAUUCCUUGCCCAAUCCAGCAUUGGACAACAUACAUCGAACUUUCUCCAGUAUAGUCCGAUUCAUGUGUUCUGCCACCCCAUUCUGCUGUGGUGUAUCUCGAACAGUGAAGUGUCCACAAUGCCCUCAUCUUGACAUACUUGUAGAAAUGGAUCAUUUUUGUACUCAGUACCAUUAUCUGAUCGAAGUCGUUUGACCUUUCGACCUGUCUGAGUCUCCACCAUCUUCUUCCACUUCAGAAAUGCAUCCAAAACUUCAUUUUUUCUUUUCAUUAGAUACACCCAUACUUUUCUUGAAUAAUCAUCAAGAAAAGUGACAAAAUAGUGCAUACCUCCCAAAGAAGCCACUUUGGUAGGUCCCCACACAUCACUGUGAACAUAGUCCAGAAUUCCUUUCGUAUUGUGAAUUGCUGAACCAAAUUUUACCCUCGUCUGCUUGCCCAGAACACAAUGUUCACAGAAUUCCAAUUUGCAAGAAUUUGCACCUUUCAACAAGCCUUGCUUCGCCAAAGUCUGCAAAGCUUUUUCACCAGCAUGUCCCAAUCGCCUAUGCCAUAACCUGGUAGCCUCUGAAUCUGCAUCUUUCGCAGAAGCUGUUGAUGUUGAUCCAAUAACUGUACUUCCAUUUAAAUAGUACAAGUUAUUUCUUCUAGUGCCUUUCAUCACCGUCAAUACCCCAGCUACUACCUUUAGUAAUCCAUCUCUCAAAGUGAUUGUGAGCCCUUUAGAUUCUAGGGCCCCUAAUGAGAUGAGAUUUUUCUUUAAGCUAGGUACGUAGCGAACAUCUGUCAAGACUUGGAUUGAGCCGUCGUGAUUCUUCAAUUGGACUGUACCCACUCCCAUUGUCUUACAAGCACUAUCAUUGCCCAUAAGAACAAUUCCACCUUCUAGCUCUUUAAGACUAGAAAACCAGUCCUUAUUAGGACACAUAUGGUAAGUACAUCCUGAAUCCAAAAUCCACUCAUCCGUUUGACAUGCCAUUGCCAUGCCAACCAAGCUAAAGUCUGACUCCUCAUCAUGCUCUGCUACACAUGCAUUAGAAAUAGCCUUGCCCUUUUGUAGCUUAGGACAAUUCUUUUUCCAAUGCCCUUUCUCACGACAAAAGGCACAUUCAUCUUUGGCGGGUCUCCCUUUGGACUUACCCCUUCUACCAGGUUUGCUGCUGUGUGAACGACCUCUUACUGUUAAGACUUCUGCAGUUGUAUCUCUGUGAUCUCUUUUAUCUUUCUUUCGAGUCUCAGAUCUAUACAACGCACUACAGACUGCAUCAAAUGUGAUCGUGUCCUUCCCAUAAAGCAAUGUGGUGGUAAGAUGAUCAUAUUCAUCAGGAAGGGAAUUCAACAACAAUAAUGCCUUGUCUUUAUCUUCAAAUUUCUCAUCCAAAUUUAGCAAGUCUGCUAAAAUUUUAUUGAAUGAGUUCACAUGGUCAUUCAUCGACAUACCGGGUGCAUACGUGAAUCGAUAAAGUUUCUUUUUCAUAUAAAGCCUAUUUUCAAGACUUUUCGUUAGAAACUUUUCUUCCAAUGUAUCCCACAGCUUCUUCGCUGAUGUCUCCCUCAUGACGGAGUACUUUUGCUCUUUGGCCAAACAUAGGCGGAUUGUUCCACACGCCUGUCUAUUGAUCUUGGCCCACUCCUUGUCAUCCAUCUUGUCAGGUUUUUCUUCAAGGGCUAUAUCCAGCUCUUGCUGACAUAAGACAUCCUGGAUCUCACACUGCCACAUACCAAAAUUAUUGGUACCGUCAAAUUUCUCUACUUCAAAUUUUGCAUUUGUCACAGUAGUCCUUGCUGAUGACGAUGCUGCUGCCAUUUUUCUCCUCAAUCCCAACUACUGUAUACGUGAACAGUACCGUAUACGUGAAUAGUGCCAUAUACGUGAAUAGUACCAUAUACAUAAAUAGUGCCGUAUACGUGAAUAGUACCGUAAACGGUCGUAUUCCCCAAGUACGAACCUGGCUCUGAUACCAAUUGUUGCGCGGAAGCGUGUGAAAGAGUAAAAUUAUUGUACUGAAAAAUCACACUAAGUUCAAUUCCUAGGAAAGAGAGGUGGAUCACGAGGAUCGCUUACAUACCAGAUCUUUCCUAGCCAGAAUAUCCCUCUAUCGUAAUUUAAUAGCACAAUAAAUCACUACAAUGACACUUGCAAAAUAUGCAGAACAAAAAUAAAGAACACUAGAAUUUUAACGAGGUUCAGCAAAUUUUGCCUACGUCCUCGGGCACUACCAAAUAUAUUUCACUCCAAAAAUACAAGUGAAAGUUUACAAAUAGGGAGAGAGAACAAUUGCCUUAAGUAGAGAAUGGCAAGUGUGGGAUGAAGAAAGUAAGAGAUGGUUAGGCCUAUUUAUAGUUGAGGUUUAAGGAUCAACUUGCAAUGUCCCUAUACAAUUAGGGACCAAAAUUGCAAUUAUCCCAUGCCAACUUUUAACCCAACUUGCCAACCAAUCUUACUUUCUACUUUCGGUGCCUUUCGGUGCCAACUUUCUGCCACUAUUCAUCUUUGAAAAGUCAAAGAUUGUAGGUAUCCAAUAGGAUGACACCCCUUCUUAUGGCAGCCAGGCAAGGUAAUGCUGGAAUAAUUUCGAAGAUUCUCUCUUUAUGUCCAGAUUGUUGUGAAGAAGUGGACAAUAAAUGUUUGAAUUUACUUCAUUAUCUGGCAUUUAGAGGCUCUUCCACUCUAUUUGGGCGUUCUUUUUUCAAGCUUGGUGGUAUUAAGAUUGCAUAUGGAUCACUCAGAAAUCUGAUGGAGUUGGAAGGUGACUUUGGGAUGACACCUCAAGAAGUUUAUAAUGCACUUCAAGAUGAGAAACAUCAUCAUAAACAGGUCAUGUGUUUGCCCAUAUAUAUUGCAUUUCCAUGGCUAUGGUUUUAUUAAUAUUUAAGUUUUGAAUUAACAUAUUUAAUAAACUUACAAUAAGACCUGCUAAUGUGGGUGGCAUUGCAGAAGCAAAUCAAAAAAUUGUUGGAAGAAAUUGAGAAUGAUCAAGGGGCGGAGGAACCAGUUCAUCGCUUUCUUUCACGAAAUGUUUCUACAGAAAGCUCGGAGAUGACAAUAAAUGCUCAUUUAAUAGUGGCAGCACUUAUAUAUACCGUCGCAUUCGCAGCAGCAAUAACUGUUCCUGGUGGUUUGAAUAGUGAAAAAGGGUCAGAGGAAGGCACUCCCCUUUUGAUUGAUAAGGCUGCCUUUAAAGUAUUUUUUGGAACAAAUUUAUCGGCCUUUAUUCUCUCUGUUUUUACCCUCACCAUCCACUUCGGGAUUCUGGAUAUUUUAUUUUCAGGAUUUAGUUUUUGGCAUCAAACAGGAUUUAUUCGAACUGAGUUUGUUUCUUUGAUCCUUGGCUAUGCAACAUUGGCGAUGGUGGUUGCUUUCAUUACAGGCAGUUUUGUGAUCUUAAAACCAACCUACGGACUUCCCGAUGUUCUUUUUCUCAUUAGCCCUGCUGUUUUUUUCUUUGUUUUCAUAUUUACUAUAUACAUACAAUAAUAUUACUUUAUCAUCUAUUGUAAUCUUCUUCCAAUUUUUAGUAUCAAUAUUAUCUCUUUGAAGAAAGAUUACUUCAAAUAUUUUUUUUGAGAUAUGUCUAACUUAUCCAUGUUAAUCAUCUCUAUUUAAUUGAAAUUAAUAUAAAGCUAUUAAUUGAUAAACAUACAAUUUCAGAAAAGGUAAAAGAAAAAUCACAAUUUGUUUAAAGUAAGAAUUAUUAAAUAUCAAAGAGUAAUAAAUAUGUUGUAACUAAUUUUCCGUUAUGAUUAAAAUCCAAUUUGACGAAUCAUUGAAAAAUAUGAGAAUUUUAAGUUUAAGGAAAAACUUAAGGUUCUAUUAAAAAAUGGAAAUUUGUCACCAAUCUUUUUAAUUAGGUGUGAUCAGACACUUAUAAAAUCGCUUUUAUUGUGAAGUUCAUGAAAAUGAUUAAAUGUCAGCUAAUUAACAAAAUUUGGUUUGGUGUUAUUAAGUGAAAGCCUUGAGUAAAACAAGAAUGUAACCAUCGUUAAUCGACAUGAAUUUCAAGAAAACCUAGCCUCCAUUUAUGGUUUGAUUAAUUCCACGCUUUGGCCAAGAAAAUGGAAAUAAAGAUACAAAGUUGUUCAAUUGAAGUAAAUGCAUCAUUAGUAGAGGUGUUCAUGGUUAGGCUAAAUCUAUGCAUGUAUAUAUGUGAUGUCCACUAAAUUAAUUAAUAAAUUGACUAAGUUAAAUGCACCUAUCAAUUAAUAGUAUAGUUAUGGCGACCACACAUAUCGUUCCCUCGAGGAUUACAAUUAGUAAUAAUUAUCUGUAAUAGCCCGAUUUUUAGUGAUGUCGGAAACAGUCCAAAUCUGGCAAAUGAGCUCAAAAAUUUUAUUAUUUAAUAUUUACGAGCCAAAUGAGGUAUUUAAAAGAUUUUUGAAUUAAUAAGUUUGUGGUUAUAAGGAUUUAUUAGAUUAAUUAAUUUAGAAAAAGAGGUAUCGAGACCUCGGUAUUAUAAAUUGAGCCGUAAAUAUUUUUAUAAAUAUUUACAGAGUGUCAAUAAGGUAGUAUUAAAGUUUCAUUAGAAAAUUUUAACGUUUUGGUAGUCAAUUAAUUAAAAAGAACUAAAUUGAAAAAGGUGCAAAAUUUGCUCAAGUGAUUAAAUAGUCUAAAUAAUAAAUAAAGGAAGACUAAAAGGGCAAAUAGACUCAUAUGAAUGGCAUGAAAAAAAUCAAGGAUUUUAUGUGAAAUAAGGGCAAAAUUGUAAAUUUCACCAAAUUAAAGAGAAAUAAAUGGGAAAUUGAAAAAUCUUGACAAAUUCAUCAUCAUUUUCAGCUCAAAAACAGCCAUAAGCUGAUUUUUCAUAUUUUAGCUUAAUGUAAGUUUAAUUCUUACUUUUUCCUUAAAAUUUUUAUGUUUUUGGACUUUUACAACUAGGUCUAACUUACUAUUUUAUUAGUUUUUGAUUUUGUUGAAAGUUUUGGAAGAUAUCAUUGAUAAGUUCAUAUGAUUUUAGUUAUCUAUGAGGAAGCUUUGCACACAUCUGUUGCCAAUACUUGUAGUUAUGAGUUAUUGUAUGCCAUUGAAUUUGUGUUAGAUACAUGUUAUAUGCUAACUCACUAUGUUUUGGAGAAUUUUAAUGUCAUGGUAAUCAAAGAAGCAAAGCAUUUUAAUGGCAUCAGCUUUUUUACAAUUAAAAUGUCCACAAGCUAAUGUGUAUGAACUUGGGAUGUGGAGUUCAGCUUAUUGGGAUGUGGAAACUAAAUAGUAAAAUGUUGAAAUUGUCCCAGUUAAUACCACAUUACGGUUGGUUUCCAUGUUACAAUACGAAAUCCGAUGGGAAAAUUGAAUUGCUGUCUGCUAAUCAUUUUCAUUUAGUUUGCUGUUUAAAUAAUGUUGCCUCACUCUUAUAAUCACCACUUUUUCUAUUUUUAUAUGCCCUCUCUCUUUCCCCAAAGUGGCGUUCCACGUGUUCACUUACUCUAUAUAACACCUUAGGUUUAGUCUUUUAAUUACUAAGGAUGUGGGUGUUUACCCAGACCAUGAGCUGAGUAGUGUUAUUGAUUUUGGAUAAAGCAUGUCGGCUACGUGCAUCUUAAUUGCCAUAAACAAGGGAUAAAUGAGAGACAUUGAGGCCCCAAUGGAAUGCUAAAAACAAUUUGAAACAAGGUUGAGAGAAGUGGGGUUUGGUAAACGUCACAUGCAAAUGCAAUUAUUAUUAUUAACUUCAACAUAUUAGUAUAAAAAAGGGGGACGAAUGUGGGCUAUGGGCCUAAAGUCAAAAAGGGGUUUUGUUAUGAAUCUAAAUUAAAGCAACCUAAAAGCAUUUCAUAAGCUUAUGAUUAAGACAAAUCUUGCUUUUAAAUUAGUAUUAUUUGCAUGGUCAUGGCCUUAUCCCUAGAGCUACACCUUUUGAAAUGACAAGUGCUAUUUUUAGAUUGUCUGAACAUUGAAGAGACAAAAGCUGUCAUAUAGUAAUCUAUCCUUCAAUUAUUGUCGCCUAUUCCUCACUAUUAACGGAAUAACAGGAUUCAUUUAUAAUUCACCAUUUUCCAACUUAAUUAACAACUAAAAAGGUCAAAUGUUCCAUAUUUCAAUGGCAUCAGGGAGAUGGAAUUCCUUGAUCUAACAUUUAAAUUCCACAAUUAGUUAUAAUUUUGAUUUUCUUUUUAUAAAAAAGACAGAAGCAUGCAAUAGAUAGUAAUAUAUAGCACUCUAUUACGUAGGUGGAUUAAAAAACAUAUUUUUUAUCGAUUGUGAAAGAGUUUAAACCGUACAUAGACUCCGAUAAUGGAUGUUGUCUUUAUUAUAUCACAAACCUUAAUUGUUGACUAAGUCGGCAAACAUCCAAGCUAAUCCGCUCUAACUUCCAAUGUACCUUGACACUUGCCCAAUAAAACCCUCCUCCAUCAAUUGUGAAAAUCAUAACAAACACGGCCUUCAACGUUAAGUUUUCGAUUAUUAAUUAAUAGCUCUCAAAAAACAAGUAGGGGACUAUGAAUUGGAUUUAUACUAGUAAAAGAUCGACAAACUAUUACAUGAUCCAAAAAAUCUCUAAGAGCAAUUACUAUAUAUCCCUACCGUAGUACCAUCUUAUUCUUGCCAACCAAACAAAUAUCACUACUACUCAUUCCUGGCCAAUCUAUACUGGAGUUGCUAUGACUAGAUCAUCUUUUUAUAACCAAACUACCUUCUUUUUUCUACUACUUCUAUUUUGAAAUACCUCUAUAGUUGUUGUAGACAAUUUUUGAACCUCAUUCCUUGUUUAUAAAGAUCAAGUUUCGCACCUUUAAAUAUCACCUCAUUCCGCAUUUCCAUAUCAACCACAUAGUCUUCGCACCGAUACUAUAUAUACAAGUUGCAUCGUCUACCCCUUUCCAUUGUUUUCAGCUUAACAUCCAAUUCUUUACAUUGCCUACGUUUAUACUUCCCAUUCUAAUGCCUAAACCCAGUCCAAACUAUACAGCGUGCGAACAAACCUUUAAUGAAUAAGUGAUUCACAUCCUCGUCCUUCUGCUUACAUAGUUGACAAAUAAGUUUUACAUUUUGUAAGAGGUGCUAAAGAAAAAUCACAAUUUCAUAAGGAAUAUCACGAUUCCACAACCACUUCCAAUCAAAGUGAAGUGUAGUUUCUAUGCCUUCAUAUGAAUUCAUAAGGAAUAUCACGAUUCCACAACCACUUCCAAUCAAAGUUAAGUAUAGUUUCUAUGCCUUCAUAUGAAUUCAUAAGGAAUUUAGGGUUUAAGGAAGUUGUCUAAGCUUGUAUACGCUGACUUCAUAUGAAUUCAUAAGGAAUAUCAAUGAAUGCGUUCAAAUGAAUUCAUCUUUCCCUUCACUAGGAGAGUACUUAGUUCCUUACCCUAACCAUUCUAAGCACUUUGAUUGAUACACUUUGGGACUUUAACAUAAGACAAUCAAUACGAAGGUAGAGAUGCAAAUUGGGAGUAUACCAUUGUAACAACCUGACAUUAGUCAAAGUCAGAAAAUACGGUUUCAAAACUCUAUUUCCGUAAACUGAGUCCAAAAAGACAAAAUAAGAAUAUUUAUGGAGUUUAUAGAAAAUAUAUUAAAGAUCGGUUAAGUAAUUUAACCGAGAAACUCAUUAAUUAAAGCUCAGGUGUUAAAUUGCAAUCGCUAUUGAAUUUUAAAUUGAAAAUGCUUGAAGACCAAAUUAACAAUUAGUCAAAGGACCAAAUGGUUAUUUAACCAUUAAUUUGAAAAGAGUUUUAAUUAAUGUAUUUUAAUUAAGUUUUGGAAACCUAUUUGCUUGUAUGAAUCGUCGAGUAGGUAUUAAAACAAAAUCAUAAUUGCUUCUACCACAAAUGUGGCAUUUCAUGUUUCGGACCGAACGACCGGGUCGUGUGCAAGGUCUUACAACCAUUGCCUUAAACAUAAAGGCUUCCAAUGUGCUCAUUUAUUUUUGCAAUAUAUCAAUAGGGGUUGGAAAAACUUUCUUGUUACAAAGGUAACCCAACUAGAUUCCAAGAGUUUUGGGGUCGCUCUACUCGUUUGAUUCCUACAUAUUCGAAAACCACCGCUUUUAUUGACUCCUACUUGAUAGACUAAGAUAUAAAUAAAGAUUUUCUAUAAUUGAUGGACAAACUUGAUAUUCCUCCAAAAUUCCCUUCCCUUAUUUUGUAUUCCUAAUUGCAUGCAUAAGUUCAACCCCUAAGAAAAUAUUAUCAAUAAUACGUCUCCCUUAUGGUGUAAUCAAUCUUGACUAGCCCCUUCAAUCUACUCACUGAAACUUUUGUUCAAAUUUUAUAAACCACAUUAUACAGGCUAAUUGGACAUUACCUUUAUCCUCAAGAUACGAGUGAUCUACGGUCUUAAAUUCUUUCAAUAAAAAACCAAAACAUGCUUGAGUUAUGAGAGGACCUACAAUAUCCCAGAACAUGCUAUCAAUCCCGGCAGCUUUAGAGCAUCAUUUUAAAAUAUAUACCACCUUUACUAUUUCUUCUGGUCUAAUCACCCCUCAAAGAUAGUUUAUGGGGUAAUCGUAAAAAAAAAAAAGAAAGAAAGAAACCCAUCAAUAAGAAAUAAAAAUAUCAAUUAAACUUUCAAUUCAACUCUUGUAGCUGAAAAAAUUAAUCAACGAAACCUUAAACUAACAUUGAUCGUGACAUUUUUAUUGACUUUGACUAAAAUAGUAAUAAUACAUAACAUAUCAUAUGGACUGCAUAUUGACAUGGCAUUUUUUACGCAUCAAGCAAAUAUUUAAAAAAUCGUUAACAAAUAGAUACAUUUUUUUAAAAAUAAUUAUUUAAAAUAAUAUAUCUAGAAUAAACCUAAAUAAACAACUAUCCACAUUCAUUUGAAUCUAGAUAACUAUUUAUCCAGACUCAUCUUGAACUUGAUUCCUUUGAUAAUUACUAAAAAUUAAAAAAAAAGAAUAUAAAAGAAACUUUUUAAUAAUUAUAAGUUAUUAAAAUUAUUAAAAACUUAUAAAAGAUAUUAAAAACCACUGAGAUGAACCUAGACUCUUUUUUUUUUUUUUCACUUAACACGUACAAAACUAAUUUUCAUAGAAAACCAAAAUAAAAUUGUCAACAUUAUAAGGAUUAAACAAAAUUUUUACUGUUUUGCUCAAAAUACAAUCGACAAAUACUUAAAAAAUGAAAGCCCCAAAAUGAAUUCUAAAGCAUUGAAUACAAACAUUCACAUUGAGAAUAAGAAGUUACAUUGAAGCGUCACUAUAAAUAUAGUUGAAUGAGCUCAUCACUAAUCACGGAAGGAGUAAGCACACCCAAGUCUGUAUAGAGUAGAGUAAGAUAUUGAGGAGGAGUGUAAUCUCGAGCCGAUCUUUUUACCUCAACCUUGGAUGGGAUUAGUACCCCAAAAUCAAUGGGGUGUCGCGCAGGACUCAUAUCUUUUUGGUCCUAAGGAUAAUGUCGAGCAAACUACAAGGGAGAAGAAAUUCACAACUGAGUUAUGCUAGCCGGUAGUCUGAACCCUUCUUUCUAGGUUCGUUGUAUGUAGCCUAUUUCUUUGCUCGGAUUCAAAUACUUAAGAGCAAGAAAUGAAGCUUUUUAGUUACCUUGUAGCAUUCUGCAGCCACAUAAACAGGCUUGUUCAUGCUAUGUGCCACAAAUGCAAUCCGGAAUGGCGCCAUCAUGUUAAUGAUACCUUCACUUUCAACCACUCCAUCAGCUCCAAAGAGUACCAUGUCCACCUCAUCCAUAGUGUAUGCCACAGCAGAGUCUAUUAAAAGCUUUACGGGAACAUCAAGGUUGGCCAGCUCAUUAGAAAAUCGUAAUCCAGUUCUAUCUGGCCUUCCUUCUGUUUUAAAACAAUGUGAACUCUUUCAUAAACACCGCCAUCUGAUAUGACUUAGUAGAACAUAUGCAAAAAAAAAAAGAAGAUAAAAUGACUAGACUUCUUUUUUGGUGACAGCACAUUUGGUUUAAUCCUGUUAAGAAUUAGUUGCAUGCACAUGACAAGGUACACAGAAAGUAAAACCUGUGCAGAGAACUCUAAAAGUGUUUCUUGUUUUCAGCUGCUGUCUUCAAUACUUCGAGAACAACUCUAGAGAAACCAUGUACCAAAAUGGUACAACCAUCAAAAAUAAAAUCUUGACUUAGCAUUGCAAUAAUCCUGCGAGCCUACAAUGUUUGGCAAUAAUGUCUUUCAACAUCAGGAAUGCUUCAAGUAUAAUUAAAAUGAAAUGAAACAGUAGAGAAGUAAUUUACUAGAAAAGCCACAAUUUAUCUGAAAUACCUUACAAGAUAUUUCCCCAAACUUCUCUGCACGUUCGAUCAGGCGAGACUUAGCUGAAUUAAAGUCCUCAUACUCUAAAGCUGAUGUUCUUGUUACAUACAACAUGAAGAGAUCACAACCAGCUGUCAACGAGAUAGAGGUUGUGUCCCAUGACUGGCAAUACAAACAUAAGCUUGAUGAUGAAAUUGAGAUGUUGAUGGGUGUUUAAAGGUAUUUUAUUAAGGAAUUUUGGAUGAAAUCAUGUUUUAGGGAUUAAUUAGUAAAGUUGUUGAAUUUAUGUGAAAUUCUAAAAUUUCAUCGAAUUUAUGGGAUGCUAUUGAUAUAUGUGAAAGUAUUUAGGCUUGGAAUAAGGAAUAAAUUACUUAAAUUUCAAUUUUCGAGCCUAGGGAUGAAAUCGUCAUUUAGUAAAAGUAUAGGGGCAAAAUAAUAAUUUUGCCUAAGAUGUGACUUGGAUAGAAUUGAAUGUAAAUUUUAUUAAGUUGAUGUUAAAUUUACUCAUAUAGAUCCGGAUAGAUCAAAUACGAAGCUAGAUCGAGGUAAAGAAAAAGUGACGGAUUAGUAGACAUCAAUUCACAAACACUUGUCGAGAUAAGUUCGUGUAACUAAAUUGUGUAUAUUUAUAUGCUUAAAUUUGAAUAUUGAAUAUGUAAAUUGUAUAAAUGUCAUGUAUGUGUAUAUAAUUUACCUCAUAUCCGAUAAUUCCUGAUAAAUGAGUCAUGUAUGUGUAUAUAAUUUACCUCAUAUCCGAUAAUUCCUGAUAAAUGAAUAAGUCCCAUAAAAUGAAUGAAACUCGAUUGGAUACAGGGUUCUGUUUCCCAAUAUGGUAAUGUUCCUGCAUAUGUUGCAAACGUCCGUAUCUCGAAAGAGCGUCCCGUUACAAGCCCUCUCAAGCUUCCCGUUAUAGUGUUCUUGCGAGCUUCCCGUUAAAUGCUCUUCUGAGUAUCUCGACUGGUUGUGUUCUGCAUAUGUUGUAGACACACCCACGCUCUUAUGGGUGUUCUGUUUAUAGGUUCUUUGUGAACCUCCUGUUAAAGUGCUCUUCGGAGCUUCCCGUUAGUGCUCGCUUGAACUUCCCGUUAUAUGACUAUCCGGUGCUCUCUGUUAAAGUGCUCUUUGGAGCUACCCGAUAUAGGCUCUUUGUGAGCUUCCUGUUGUUAAGCCCAGAAAAGCUUCCCGUUAUAGUGCUUGAGAGAGAGCUUUCUGUUUAAGUGCUCUAAUGAGUACUCGACAUGAAUUGACAGAUUUCUGAUUUAUACACUUUAUGUGUGUAACAGCCCGAUCUUGACCCUAAUCGGAACAGUAGUUUUGGGACCACAAAUUCGAGUCUAAAAAAAUAUUUUAAUAUUAUUUUCUGUGUUAAUUAUGUGUGAAUUUACAUGUGUGAAAGUUUCGUAAAUUAAUUUUAUUGUUUGUGUGCUUAAUUUGAAAAAAAAGGGGCUUAAUCGCGUAAAAUGAAAAUUUGAUGGCUAAUUAAGAAAGUGCCUAAUUGUUGUUGUCUUUAUAAGUUGGAGGCCUUAUGUUGUAAUUUAGCCAAUAAUAAUAGGUAGUGGAUGGCAUAAUGAUGAUAUGUGAUUUAUAUAUAUAUAAAAUAAAAGUUAAAAUAAUAUUAAUAUAAUAAUAUAUGUUAUAAUAAAACAAAACAUUAAAAGCCACUAUUUUUUUUAUGUUCAUCUUUCUUCACCGAAUGGAGAAAAGAAAAACAAGGUUUGAAAGCUUGAAACAUUCGGCCAUUUUGAAGCUUAAUUCAAGGUUGGUUUUUGUUCGGUUUUUGAUAAUUUUUACGUUUUUGAGAUCGUUGCUUUGAAUACUUCAAAACCCAUGUCUUAAUUUUGUGAAUUGUUGAUGAUUUUGAGAAAUGCCAUUGAUGAAUGCUUGAGCUUUGUGAUAGUUGAUGAUGAAAUAUGAAAGAUAUGUGAAAGAUUAACAUGUUUGUCUUUGAAUUUUUGAUGAAUUUGAGUAAUUAGGGUUAAAUUGUAAAAAUAAAUUUUUGAGGGACUAAAAUGUGAAAUAAAUGAAAUGUGUGGUCUUGUAUGGACACUAGGAAUAUUUGGCCCUUAAGGAGUGUAGUCAAAUUUUGUGUAUUUUGUGUUUUGAGCAAAAAGGACUAAAUUGUAAAAAGUGUGAAAUGUUAGGGGCAAAAUUGUAAUUUCCCAUUUAUGUGUUUUUAGGCUAAAUUGAAUAGAAUGGUGUUUAACUAAGCUUAAUUUGAAUAUGCUUAGAUUAAGAAUUAAAGAAAUCUAAUUUGGAUCGAGGAAAGACAAAAGUGGUGGAGUAGCCGAUUUAACAGUCGACGACAUCCGAGGUAAGUCUAUAGGCAUAUAAAUGUCGUUAAAUUUGAUAAUAUAUAUGUUACAUGUUGGAUGGAAUUUUUGUGAAUAUAUUUGUGUAUGGCCGAAUGUAUAUUGAGCAAAUGAGCUAUAUUCGAGUUCGAUUCGAUCGAGAUACGUUAUCCGAAAGUCCCGUACGAACCCUAGGAAUAGAUAGGAUACAUAUGUCAUGGCAUAGGAUUUUCGAUAUGUGUUAUCGUGUAAGACCACGUCUGGGACGUUGGCAUCGACUUGUGUUUACGUGUAAGACCCUGUCUGGGACAAUGGCAUCGAUAUGUGAUUACAUGUAAGACCACGUCUGGGACGUUGGCAUUGUACGAGUCUUCCGACUAUCCGAGUAUCCUUUUUAAUUCCGAAUGGUUCAACGGGAAAAGAUAAGUUGUGUACGAAUGUAUAAAUCGGGCUAAGUGACCAGGUAUGUGAUAGUUAAUUACCUAUUUGAAAAUAAGGCAAGUUGUAUACUUGAAUUGAUGAUAUGAAGUUAUGUGAAAUAUGGAUUAUGUUAUUGCAUAUUUGAAUAUAUAUGUAUUCGACCUUGAUGUAUAUGUGCAUUGAGGAAAGUGAUGAUUGGUUAUAUUAAUGUUCAAUGGAUUAUUCAGUAAAGAGGGAAGUUAUUACAAAUUAUAUAAGUUUUGAUAUAUAAGUUGAUAAAUUGAAUUAUAUGUGAAAUUAUAAUGGUUUAUUACUAAUUGUCUAGCUCAAUUUAUGUAAAUGAUUAAAUGUUUAUUUGCUUAUGAAUACUAAGCUUUAAUAGCUUACUGUGUGUAAUUGCUUUCAAUUUUAUAGAUUUGGAAGUUGGUUAAGAGCGGGGAUCGUCAGAGAAGUCUAUCACACUAUCGACUAUUUUCGGUAUUUUACUAAGUUUGAAUUUAAACUUAUGGCAUGUAUAGUCUAGUUAAUAUGUUUGAUUUUUGGGGAUGUAAAUAUGAGCCAUGCGAAAAUGGCUUAUUUAUUUUGUUAAGCAUGGUUUUUAUGCUUUCGAUCAAGUGAUAGAUAUGUUGAUUUUGGUAUUUCGGCUAUGGCAUAUUUAUUUAUGUGAAUUAUGUUUGAUAUAUUUUGUUAAUAAGGUGGUAAAUAAUUCGGCAUAGGUGAGCUUAGUUAAAGCAUAUAAUUGAAGUGAGUUUCGUAUAAUAUGUUAAUCUCUGAAUCGGCCAUGGUAUAUAUAUUAUGGUGUUUUAGUCAUGUGCUUCGGUAAUGAGGUAAAUGAUAUUCAAGCUUAAUUAAUCUUGGUUAUGUGUUAUAUAUAUAUAUGAUAUGUGUGAUAUGUUUGGUUUUGGUCUUGGUGUUUCGGCUAUGGUUUAUUUAUAAGUAAAUAUAUGUGAAUCUUGUUUGAUAUGCUUUGUUAAGGUAUUGUUAUGUAAUUUAGUAAUUAAGUGAACUCGGUUAUGGCAUAUAGGUGAAAUGCUAAGUAAAUCAUAGAUGAAAUGACAGUUAAAUUUGGUUUGUAAGAGUAUAUUUGCAUUAAUAAAUUGAUUUGAAAGAAACUAGUAAUGUGCAUAGGUAUGUACGAUUAUAAGGUAUGGAAGAAUAUGUGUAUAUUUGGUCAUGAUCUAGACCUGUUUUGGAAGUGUGUUUUAUGCUAUAAAUUGGUGUAUGGAUAUAGGUUUGGAAAAUGUGAAUUGAUAUGUAUGAUUUUACUAUUUGAAUCGAUAUGGUUUGAUUAGUAAAUGCCAUAUUUUGACUUAUGAUUUAAUGACUAAAUCUUGUACAGUUUAUGAGGUUAUUUAUGGAUGCCAAUUUGUUAUGAAAUAAAUUAGGAAUGUCGAGUAUUUAAUAAAGGUACGAUUUGCUCAUGCAAGUGGACUUAAUAUUCGAUUUUAUAUUUGUAAAAUGAUAUGAAUUGUAUGGAUUUUUGGAUAUGGCUAAAAUGGUGUAUUCAUAUGCGCAAACUUGUAAUAGAUAAAUAUGAAUGUUUUGGUCUUUUGAAUGAUAUAUAUAUAAAUGAUUUUAAGGUAGGUUUAAAAUUUAUGAAUAAGAUACAAACAAAUUCGGGUAAUGAUAGUUAAGUGAGUAAAACAAGUUUGAAUUUAGCUUUUAUAAAUUUAUUGGAUUAGUCAAUUAAAGGAUAAGUUGAUUUGUAUUGAGCGUAUAUAAUUUAUGAUUGAAUGAUUUCACUGAAAUGGUCAUAUGUGUAUAAUAUAAUGGCAUAAAAGGUAUGUACGACCAUAAUAUAAUGUUACUAAUGUUGUAUAUGUGAUUGGACAUUAAGUUGUAUACAUAUUGGUUUCAUUAUGUACAUAUACAGAAGUUAUGAAAUGCAAUGUUUGAUAUUUAGAUAGUAAAAUUAUGUACGGAAGUAUUUUCUAUAUAUGAAAAGUGAAGAUAUAUGCUUGAAUAUGAUUUAAUUAUGAAAAUGUCAUUAAUACGAUGGAUUUAGGGAAAUCGAAUAUUGAAAGUAUUUUAAUUUAACAUGACUCUGAUGUAUACAAGUUUGGUUCGAAUUUGUUAAUUAUAGAAUAUGUUCAUUGAGCUUUGAUGUAUGUUUAAAUUGAAUUAGUUUAAAUUUUGAAAUGUGUUUAUUUGUGAUACAUGCUUAGUAAGGUAUGAUUGAUUUGAAUUGUAAUUAUCAUUUUAUACAUAUUUGAAUUUAAAAUAAGUAAAAUGAGGAUAUUCAAGUUUGAUAAUGUUAUAAAUGAAUCGUUAUUCUUUGGUGUAUGAAAGGAGGUAAAUGACUGUGCUGAACUGUGUCUUGUUCGGUAAUGCCUUGUAACCCUAAUCCGAUGACGAAUACGGGUUAGGGGUGUUACAAUAUGUACUACCCUCGUAUCCAUCGAGAUUUCAAAUGAUUCAACAGGUGAAAUUCUGACAUGAAGACAAGUGAAAAUUAAAAUGAAAUCAAUAUAUGAAAAAUACAUGAAAUGCAUGGAACUUGGUAUUUGAUGAGCUCAUCUUUGGUGUUGAUAUUUACAUGAAAUGAAUAACUAACAUAUUUGAUGAGAUUAUGUACUUAGGCUAUGGCCAAGUUGUUUGGAAUGCAUGAGUAUGUUUACUUAGUGUACAAAUGAAUGGUAAGUUUACUUCCCGUUAUACGAACUUACUAAGCACUAAGUGCUUACUCUGUUUUAUAGUAAUCGGAAGCUCGUUGGGUUGGAAGCUUGGCGGAGAUCACUCACACUAUCCAUUGGCUCACUUUGGUAUAUUUAUGACACUAUUUUUGGAUAUAAUGGCAUGUGUAGGUUUGGUUAGCCAAAGUUGGCAUACAAAUAUUUUGGUUGUAAAUAGCCAUUGGAAUGGCUUGUGAUGAAUGUGUUUUGGCAUAUUAACAUAUGAGUUAAUUUCAUGUUUGGUAUAAGUGCUUAAUUUGGUUUAUGAAUAUUAGUAUGAUAUUAAGUAAAUGUGGUCAAAUAUAUAAAUUCACAAACAUGGAUUAUGAAGUGAUAUGGUAAGUAUGAGACUUGAGUUUUGCAUGUUUUUAAAUGUUUUAGAUUGACUUUUGGAUGUGUUAAAAUGUUUGUAUAGGUGAGUGAUCAAAUGGGUGAGAAAUAAGGCUUGGAAAUGACAUUAUUUUGUCCACACGGGCAGAGGCACGAGUGUGUGUCUUAGUCGUGUGUGACACACGGCCUAGCACAUGGGCAUGUGUUCUAGCCAUGUGUCCCUUGCAUUUUAAAAUUUUAAAAUAGAGCACUUGAAAUUGAUCACACGGUCUGGCACACGGGCAUGUGACUUAGCCGUGUGACCCCUGCACUUAAUUAAGUUGCAAGUCAGAGAGUUACACGGGUUAGAGACACGGGCGUGUGCCCUACCUCAUAUACCACACGGCCUAAGACAUGGGCAUGUCACUUGGCCGUGUGAGCCACAUUGCUUGACCACACAAGCGUGUGACCCCUGAACCUAGGAAAAAUUUUGAAAUUUUGUAAAAAUUCUCUAAGUUCCCGAUUCAGUCUCGACUCAUUUCUAAUGUAUGAUUUGGGCCACGAAGGCCUAUAGAAGGGACGAUAUGGUUAAACCCUGUUCCAACGACGGAUACGAGUUAGGGAUGUUACAUUAUCGCCUUUCGGUUACUUAACCUAAUAAUUCAAAGGAUUGCUUAAAACUAAAAUUGACUAACUAAAAUAACUAACGAAUGUGUCAAAUAGCAAAACACGAAAAUAAUCUAAUAUCAUCCGAUUUACUAAACGAUACCCACGUACGAAUCCACUUAGAAUUCAUCUAAAAUUCUCAAUUUAAUUUAUGCAAUUUAUUUCCUUAGUUUCCUUGAUCCAUAGAAAUCCCUAACUUAUGCUAAUAUCUCUUUCGAGCAUAAAAGCAACUAACUCUAGGUUGAUUAAUUGAAAUUUCCUUCUAAUUAAAACCCUUAUUAUCUCAUUAAUUCACUCUAUGGAUUCUCUUAUUAGAUUUGAUUCUAAUUUGGUAGAUUUGUAUCGACCUAUUUCUAGGAUUAUAUGCAACUCCAUUCGACUAUGCAAAAUCUAAUUACAAGAAGGGUCUAUUCAACCUCAAACUCAUGCCCAUCAAACAUGGAUUAAGACCCUAGAAAUAUUAACCCAAGAAAAAAUUUAGAAUUCAUAAUUGAAAAUAAAGAAGCUAAGAUUUUAUUGCAUAAAACUAUAAAUCAAAUAAUAUCAUCCAUCGUAAGGCUCGUCUCCUCUAGGGAUUUAGAAAAUUAGUUCAUACUUGCAAGAAUAAACACCGAUAAUACAAUAUAACCAUUAAAAUAAAAGAAACCUAUGAUAACUUCCUCAGAAAUCAAUUUGGAAUCUUUAAUUUUGAUGGAGAACUGCUUUGAAAUCAACUUCAAUGGUGUUCUUUUGGGUAAUUUUCGUGCUAAACCAAGACGGAUGUUGUUUUCCCUUUUUUAUUUCCUUAUAUAUGCCUUCUUAAAGUACCAAAAACUUAAAAAUUUAAACUUCCGACUAUCAUUGUACACGGUUCCCAAAAGUUACACACCCUUGCCACACACCCUUGUGGUUCACAUAGCUUUGUGGUCUGGCUGUGUGAAAAUCUGUUACCCGUGUACAGCUUCCAGACUGCUUCAAUGUUAUGAUUUUCACUUGUUUUUCGCUCUAUUUGUUCCCAAGUUCUCUAUUAAGCUUCAAAACAUGAAUUUAAAGGAUUAUAAGUAUAUAAUUCACAAUUAACACCACUUUAUUACCCAAAAAUGCACUAAGAAUGAGGCUAGAAUAUGUUACUUUUGACACUUAUCAAAUAUCCCUAUACUUAAGCAUUUAUUUGUCCUCAAGCAUAGGUCUCGGCUCACAUUCAAAUUAACUUUCCUUCACCCAUUAUUUUCACUAGUCAUGGCUUAGGAUAGUCUAUAUAUAAUUCGAAAAUUAAACUAAAAUGACAAUAAAGAGCAUGAGUAAUCCAAGCAAAAAUUUUAAUUUCAAAACAUAGGAUUCUCCCCUACCUUAUAAUGACUUGAAAUUCAAACCCAACCAGAUUUAACAUCCUUACUAAGUUUCACUCAAAACACUCAAAGUGUUUAAAGGUUAAUUAAUAUGCACUCAAUAGUCAAACAAGGAAUGUUAUUACCAUAAGCUUGCUUAAGAACCAAAUCUCCACCACUACAAAUAUGAGAUGACACAAAGAUCAAGAGGUUUUUACAAGGGUUGUAACGGGGAUUAGGUUAAGAGUAUAGAAGGUAUAAAAGGUGAAUAUAGUUGAGAGUUGAAAUGAUAAGUUACCAAACUAAAAGAAUAAGAUGCUGAAUUGCAAAAAUUUAACAUUAAAGUGAAACAAAGAAUUGAAGUGAGCUUUUAUAUAUGGUGAUGAUGAUGAUUUAAGCUCAAAAAAAAAAAGAUAAUGAUGCUUAUAACAUGAAUAUUGACCUCUCAAUUGAACAAGAUAGCCUAAAGAAUUUUUAGAAUGAUCGAACAUAUCUAGGAAAUUUACCAAAAAUCUAAUCUCAAUUUAAGGGAAGCAAUAAAAAAGGUAAUUCACAAAAUUAUUGGGGUUUAAGGGUUAAAAUGGAGGGGGUGAUAAACAAACAAAAAGGGAUUAGGCUCAAAGGGGUUUACUAGUGGGCAAUGAAAUGGGUAGGCUAUUUAAAUGUUAAAUGGUUUAAAUCUUAAGUAUUUCUAUCAUCUCAGUAUAUCAAAUCAUUAUAUUUGAGAAUUCACAACAAAUGUUGGAUCUCGGUAACAUUUGUAAUCAAUCUCAUACAAGUGCGCACAAGACCUUAUUUACAUGCCAAUUUUAUCCUGACAUUUACUAAGUUCACAUGAGCAUCUCUUACACAUAUAAAUAUAUAUUUUCAAUUUAGUCCAAUUCCAACAUUUAGAACCAAUCAAUAAAUCCACAAUCACACACUUAUACACAAAUCAAAUCAAUUAAUUAUUUUAAAUAUAAUUAUUUUUAGUAAAAAUAAAUUUUAUAUGUGAAAUAUUUAUUUUUUUUCCAUCCAUAUAAUGGGUCUGACAAAUUUUAGUAUUAUAUAUUUUUAUGUGUAUUUUAGAUAAUUAUUUGAAAUAUUUUACAUAUAAAAACAAUGAUAUUUGAAAUAAUUAUUUUUAUAAUAUUAAAAUUUACCAUACUUGCAAUAUAGGUGAAAAUAUAUUGAUAUUUGUAAUAGUUAUUUGAAAUAUUUCACAUAUAUUUGAAAUAAUUUUUUGAAAUAAUUUACAUAUAAAAUCAAUAGUGAUAUUUGAAAUAAUUAUUUGAUUUUAUAAUAUUAGAAUCUACAAUAUCCACAAUGUAGGUGAAAAAAAAAUAUUUCACAUAUAAAAAAUUAUAUUUACUAUUUACUAAAAAUAAUGAUAUUUGAAAUGGUUAAUUGAUUUUUUUAUAGUAGAAUUUAUCGUACUUACAAUGCAUAUAAAAAAAAUAUUUGAUGUAUAAAAAUUAUAUAUAUAGAAAAAUAUAAAAAAAUUAGUUGAUGUUUUUUAAAAAAUAAAAAAUAAAUAACAUAAUGAUACUUAUGAAUAUAUUUUCACUAUAUCCACAAUGCAAGUGGAAAAAAAUAAUGAUAUUUGAAAUAAUUAUUUUUAUAAUAUUAAAAUUUAUGUUACCCACAAUGUACGUAAAAACAUUUUUUUUAUAUAAAGAAUUAUUUAUAAAGAAAAAUAUAUCAAAAAAUUAGUUGAUGUUUUUAAAAAUACAUAUAAUUUUAACAUAAUGAUACAUAUGAAUAUAUAUUCAUCAUAUCAAUAAUGUAAGUGAAAAUAUAAAGAGAUUUGAAAUAAUUAAUUUUAUAUGUUAGAAUUUACGAUACCCACAAUGUACGUAAAAAAAUAUUUGACAUAAAAAAUAUAUAAAGAAAAAUAUAUCAAAAAAAUAGUUGAUGUUUUUAAAAAAUAAAAUAUAUUAACAUAAUUAUAUAUAAAUUAUUUUCAUUAUAUAAUUACAUAUUUAUUAUUUUGUGUGUAUAAAUAAAGAAGUGAUUAAUUAAAAUAAAAAGUUAAUUGAAGACUUGAAAAUAGCAUGCUUAUUAAUUAAAAAUUAAGAAAAAAAAGCUUGAAGAAAUAUUCAUUAGGAAAAAAAAAAUAAUAUAUGGGGGGGGAUUCGGAUAUGGGACUUAAGGGUAGAAAAUGCUAGAAAAAUAAUGAGGUCCUUGGAAGUAAUAAAUAUUAAUAUUUUGAUAUUUUAUAAAAAAUUUAUAAACUAUAUAAGCAUAAUAGGAUUUGAACUUAAGUUACUAUGACUUCAACGAUCUUAUUCUUGUUAUCAGAACAUUAUUUAUUUCUUUUUAUAAACAUUUACAUAUAUUUUUUUUAGAUCUAACAAACAGGGAAGGCAUUUGGUAAAUUUCUGGAUUUGCAGUAUUUUUUUCUUCAAGCUAAUUAAUUCAAUUUUGUAUGGUGUUAUCCAGGAAGAAAUAGAUCAACAAAAAUGGGAGCUGAGGAGCCUGAAGAGAACAUCACUCACAUGGAUGCUUGGCUUUAUAAGGCAGCAGCAGAAGGCAACAUUGAAGUAUUCAAUAAUAACCAGCGGCUUCAACUUGAGCCGCUAAAGACCCCAAACCAUGACAACCUGCUCCAUGUUAGCUUGGCAACCCAGGAGAAUGCUGUCUGGCUUUUUAACAGCGUUCACUCAAUAUUCAAAUCGUCCCCGCACAAUAUGUAUUCUCCCUGAUAGAUUUUGUAUCACACGAUCCGGGUUUCAAUAUUUUCGUAACUGUGAUAAGAAGAGACAAAAUAUCUGAUUUUAUCAGACAAAUUCUGUUGGGACAAUGGCAGCAGCAAAAAGAAAAGAACAAGACAGAGAACAAAGGAGGAAGAAACAAAAACAAUUUACUUGCUCACAAACGUGCAACAAGGAAGCAAUCUGAGUUUCACAACUGAUAUGCUUGAUUUUUCAAUAAGAAAAACAAUACAUUUAUAGCCAACUACAUCAGUUAUUAUUACCUAAUACCACUAAGUAGCCUAGUAACUUUAAAAACAUUGCUUACACAAACAAGCCACCUAAACUAGUCAUUCAACACCUAAACAUAUUAAGCUGUCAUAAGCUUGUUCAUUUCCAAGUAGUUUAAUCAACAAAGAAACUAAAAAGAAAAACUUGUUGUUACAGCAAGUAUAUGUGCUGCAGCAUGUCAUCAAGCUGCAUGCACUUCAACCAAAACAUGUAUCAGCAGCAUGGUUGGCCAAUUUCAACACUCCUCCUUGGACUCCAUGCUGCAAAUACCAAUCAUUCAUCAAGUUUUUUGAACUUGGCAACCCUUAGAUGCUUUGUUUCAAGCUGACCAAUUCAUUUUCAACCUUGGCCUCAUUCACAAACAAAUCUGACUUACACACUUGACUAUCCCAGUCUUUUGUGCCAAAGAUUUGUUCACCAAAUGGAGUCUUCUUGAUACGGGGUUGCGCGCGGACCAAGAUCGAGUUGCCAAGUCACGGGAAACUCCUACGAAAACCCUAAACAAUUAGAUCUGAAACGAAACAGAAAAUUAAAAGAUUAGAUUUUUGAAUUUUCAGAUCUGAAAUAAAAUCCCCAAAUCAGCAAAGAAUCAAAUUGAGAAUAGAAAUAAGUGUUAGGGUUCUUGAAACCCUCAAGGAGAUUGUGAUUCUGCCCAAUUGAACACCAAGAUAGUUUUCCCCAAAUUUCGACAAUCUAAUUUCACCCAAAAAGAGUAUGGAAAACCCUAGAAAUUGGAGAUUUUUGGGCUGAUUCCUUAAGAUAGAAAAAGGCUGAAAACACAAUAAGAACAGAAAAUAGAUUAGAUAAUGAUUCAGCACAAGUAGAAAUAAAGAAAGAAUUGACAGUAAGAAAUUAAAAGAUAAGUCCUAAGAAGCCUUGAAAUCUCGAAAGAUCUCACAACUCCCUUCAAACGACUCUAAUCUCCCCUCCAAAGAAUAUCAAUGGCAAGAAGAAGGUUGAAGAUGGCUCCCACAAUCAAAAAGAUUGUUAAAACAACUUCUAAAGAAAACUCAAGAGAAAAUCCUUGAAGAACUCAAAGAGAAUUUUCACUCAAAUCAAAUCUGAAAUUUUCAAUGUAAUUGUAAUGUAGUGUAGGGUGGCUGGCCAAGCCAUAUAAAUAGGCCUUUCAAAUGUUUUCCUAAUUUAAUUAGAACACUAAAACUAAAACUAAAAAAAAAAACUCCUAAUUAUUUUAAUAUGAAAAUUCGGCCAAGGGUCUUUUAUUUGGGACUCCUGGACUGAAUAUAAAUAAAUAAAUAAAUAAAAAUAAAACUUUACAACUUGGGCCACUUUGACAAUUUGGCUUGAUUUUCAACUAAGUAUGGGUGGAUUUCUUGAUUGGGCUUGGAAUCUUCUUAUUGGGCCUCGCCUUCAAGAAUUUGGGCUUUUGUGACUCGUAUCAUUCCCCCUUCCUCAAAAAGAUUCGUCCUCGAAUCUGAAAAAUCAAAUGAACUCGACUUUCCUCUAUCGAACGGGACUAAUGGCAAUUGAGUCCACUGAAAAGAAUAACCAUGAGAUAGUAAAUAGCAACGGAAACAAGCUUGUAGUCCAAUCAUAAGCAUAACAGAACAGGUAUAACGCAUGUGAAUGGACAGAUUCAGAUUACCAUGCAAACAAUCUAAUUUACUCACCACUGUCUCGUCAAAUAUUUGAAACAAAGAUGGACAUGUUUUAAGGCAUUCAGUCGUCUCACAUUGUUCGCACAAACCAUGAAUAAAUUGCGAGUAAUAAAUCAAAUGGUAAACAUAAUCGUCACAAGUAGGUAUUUGAAAAGAUUCACAUGGUUCACAGAGUUGCAUAAUCAUACCAUGCAUUAAUCGACGGUCUAUAGAUUCACUCACACAUGCAUUAUCAAAAACAAGAAUCUUUUUAUCAACCAUCAAAACAGAUAGAUCAUCAAUAAAUAAAAUAGGACAGUUAAGCACGUUUCGAUCUAAGUGUUCAUCAACACGAUCUUUAUCACUAUCCGAGGAGUACAAAAGUGUUUCAAAGGUUUCAAGCAUCUUACCUCGAUAAGCAGAAGAAUAAGGGUCGAUUUUACCUUUUUCAUUUAAAACAAACCUUCGCUCAUCGGGGGCAUAGUGUAAUCGAAUCUCCGUUGUUGAGUUAACCUUUGUCAAAUGGAACUCAAACUUCAUGUACAACGACAUAAACUGUUUAAGGCACGAAUAUAAAUUGAAAACAAAUUUGGAAAAUUUCGUUACCUUAUUCUCCAAAACAGAUUUGGACAAAUUCGAGGAUUUUACACAAGGUAAAUCAAGAGAAUAACAAAUCACGCUUCUUUUCGUAAUGACUUUAUCAACCACAAUCGAAGAGUAACAAUUAAUCGAAUCAAAAUGAGGGGAUCUUUUAAGAACUAAGUCACCAAAAGUUUUAUCAAUAAUUUUCAAAUCUGCACUGGACUCGGUUUCUAAAAUUUCCUUACCUCGCUUACCUUCAGGAUCAUGUAGUGUGAUUUCAUCUUUGCCUAAGUUGAUCGUAUGAAAGCGUCUUUCAUUUGAGAGGUAUUGAAGUUGAAAGUUAUCUUUUGAUCUUUCGGGAACCUGAAAAGUAGCAACACAAGAAAAAUUCAUAUCUUGGUUAGUGGAAACAUUCCUCACUACCCUUUCCAUGUCUUUUUCUUUUGUUUCUUUUUUUAAUUCAUUUUCUCUUCUUUCUUCAAUUUCUUUUUCAAUCUCAAUCUCUUUUUGCUCUUUUUCAUUCUCUUUUUCUUUUUCCUCACUUGUUUUAACAGAAUUUUUCAGUUUGAUUUGGUCCUCAUGGACUUGUUCCGGAGUGAGCGGCACUAAGGUGAGUUUCUUUCCUUGAUGCUUGAAAGAAUACCUAUUGGUACGACCAUCGUGAGUGACUUUUCGAUCUAGUUGCCAUGGUUCUCCUAGCAACAAAUGGCAGGCUUGAAUAGGCAUUACGUCGCACACAACUUCGUCUUGAUACUUACCGAUAGAAAAGGCGAUGCGCACUUGUUGAGUGACCCUAAAUUGGCCUUUGUUGCUAAGCCCUUGUAGUUGAUAAGGUUGUGGAUGCUUGGUAGUGGUUAAGCAAAGCUUUUCCACCAUCGUCGUGCUGGCUAUGUUCGAGCAACUUUCACCAUCAAUAAUAACUCUACAAAGCUUACCUUGUACAUGGCAGCAAGUAUGAAAAAGAUGUUCUCGUUGCUGCUCGCUCUUUGGUUUUGCCAAAGAUGAUUGUCCACGAUCAUGAAAAUCAUCAUCCAUUCUAGGGACACGUUGAGGGCUGCACCUAUAGGGCUGGUUAUCCCUAUCUUCCUUAAUUGGAUCUCGAUAUUGAUGUUUUUGAUUCACUCGUACCUCAUUCAAAGUAGUAUUCAAUGCUUGAAGUGUAGCAUUUAUUUGUGUGAUUGCAGCAGUAUGUUCGUCUAACUGUUGUUGGACUUUCAUAAGUGCAUCAUUAUUAUCACCUUUAGACAUCUUCAAAACCUGUAAAAAAUAAACACUCAACACUCAAAAAUAAAAGUUAGCAAACCUCACCAUUAAUCACUCAAAAAGAAAAAUCAAAUUCUCAAUGAGGUCGAAUUCAAUCUUGUGAGUUUUUUAUCAGAGUUUAUAUCAACCAAUUAGAGAGUGUGAACCAAAUUACCAAAGAAUCCUAAUUUGCACUAGGAUGCCAAAAACUGACGAGACACCAAGUGAUUCGUGUUGCACCGAGGAAGGAGUUGUGCACACGUGUAAAUCCUACUAACACAAGAAACAAAAAGGUGUUAGAUAAUGUAACGGAAGAAUAAAAGCAAACAAAUGAAAACCUACAGCUAAGAAUCAAUAAAAAUUGCUGAAAACAGAAAACCCGAAAAAUUGCGGAGUAACUUGACAACUUCGUUCGAGGUGGUCCCGAUCUCUAAAAAUCACGAAAUUAAAUCUGUAAUGUCCUUAAAUAUUGAAUUUCUUAUCUGGAAAUUUUGGGCACCAAAUUCAACCCACUGAAUCUUUUUUUAAAUUUUUAUUGAAUUUCGUAUUUUUUUAUUAUUUUGACUUUUUUGACUGAUUUUUUUUGCGGGAAUAAUUUUUUUAUAUUCAAUCACAGUGCCAAAAACAUGUAUGUAAAAUUUCAGAUCAAUCGGACAACGUUUACCCACUCAAAUGAAUUUUUUUUAAACAAUUUUUCUGGGUAAAACUGCUGUUUGUGCUUUAAAAAAUAGAGAUCAGUUUAGAAAUCAACCAAGAACACCCAAAACGCCCAAAAUCUGAUACCAAAUGAUACGGGGUUGCGCGUGGACCAAGAUCGAGUUGCCAAGUCACGGGAAACUCCUACGAAAACCCUAAACAAUUAGAUCUGAAACGAAACAGAAAAUUAAAAGAUUAGAUUUUUGAAUUUUCAGAUCUGAAAUAAAAUCCCCAAAUCAGCAAAGAAUCAAAUUGAGAAUAGAAAUAAGUGUUAGGGUUCUUGAAACCCUCAAGGAGAUUGUGAUUCUGCCCAAUUGAACACCAAGAUAGUUUUCCCCAAAUUUCGACAAUCUAAUUUCACCCAAAAAGAGUAUGGAAAAACCCUAGAAAUUGGAGAUUUUUGGGCUGAUUCCUUAAGAUAGAAAAAGGCUGAAAACACAAUAAGAACAUAAAAUAGAUUAGAUAAUGAUUCAGCACAAGUAGAAAUAAAGAAAGAAUUGACAGUAAGAAAUUAAAAAAAAGUCCUAAGAAGCCUUGAAAUCUCGAAAGAUCUCACAACUCCCUUCAAACGGCUCUAAUCUCCCCUCCAAAGAAUAUCAAUGGCAAGAAGAAGGUUGAAGAUGGCUCCCACAAUCAAAAAGAUUGUUAAAACAACUUCUAAAGAAAACUCAAGAGAAAAUCCUUGAAGAACUCAAAGAGAAUUUUCACUCAAAUCAAAUCUGAAAUUUUCAAUGUAAUUGUAAUGUAGUGUAGGGUGGCUGGCCAAGCCAUAUAAAUAGGCCUUUCAAAUAUUUUCCUAAUUUAAUUAGAACACUAAAACUAAAACUAAAAAAAAAAACUCCUAAUUAUUUUAAUAUGAAAAUUCGGCCAAGGGUCUUUUACUUGGGACUCUUGGACUGAAUAUAAAUAAAUAAAUAAAUAAAAAUAAAACUUUACAACUUGGGCCACUUUGACAAUUUGGCCUGAUUUUCAACUAAGUAUGGGUGGAUUUCUUGAUUGGGCUUGGAAUCUUCUUAUUGGGCCUCGCCUUCAAGAAUUUGGGCUUUUGUGACUCGUAUCACUUCUCCUCCUUCACAGCCUUGGUUGACAACACAUCUUGCCUUGUUUCUUUGUUCAUAACAAUCCUGUUUCUUCUUGCACAAACAGUUCGUGAGUAUAGUUUGCUUGCACAAACUGUCUUCAACAGGCUUGCAACUAUACAACACGCAUUGAGCUUCCACAUGUUGCUGAGCUCACACCUUUGACAGACUCACAUCUUUGCAUAUUGUCUUCAACAGGUGUCUUCAAUAGGCUCGCACUUUGCUAAGCUUGCAGCUUUGACAUCUUGCUAAGCUUGCACAUUUGGAAAGCUCACACCUUUCCUUGAAACUCCUCCUCCAGCUUAUUCAAGCUUGUUUGGGGGUCUUAUAAGUUUGAGCCGAUGUUGAGCAGGGGAAGCAAAAUCAAUGGUCCCUUAAGACUUAGGCUCUGAUACCAUUUGUUGGAACAAUGGCAGCAGCAAAAAGAAAAAGAACAAGACAGAGAACAAAGGAGGAAGAAACAAAAAUAAUUUACUUGCUCACAAACGUGCAACAAGGAAGCAAUCUGAGUUUCACAACUGAUAUGCUUGAUUUUUCAAUAAGAAAAACAAUACAUUUAUAGCCAACUACAUCAGUUAUUACUACCUAAUACCACUAAGUAGCCUAGUAACUUUAAAAACAUUGCUUGUACGCAAACAAGCCACCUAAACUAGUCAUUCAACACCUAAACAUAUCAAGCUAUCAUCAGCUUGUUCAUUUCCAAGUAGUUUAAUCAACAAAGAAACUAAAAAGAAAACUUGCUGUUACAGCAAGUAUAUGUGCUGCAGCAUGUCAUCAAGCUGCAUGCACUUCAACCAAAACAUGUAUCAGCAGCAUGGUUGGCCAAUUUCAACAAAUUCUCAGCAAAUGUCCAUCACUGCUACUCCAGACGAAUGCUAAAGGUCAAACUCCUUUGCACGUUGCAGCAAGGUAUGGAAAUUCUACUAUUGUGAAACUUCUAAUCAAGUCUUGUGCAAAAGCUAGAGAUGGAGAUUUAGAGAAGCUGGGAAUGGAUCAAGUAAAUGCAGUGGGGGAGAUGCUGAGGAUUACAGAUCAGGAAUCCAACACGGCUUUACACGAAGCAGCACGGCGUUACAAUGUUGAAGUGGUGAAAGCAUUAUGUUGGAGUUUGAAGACCCUGAUUUUCCGUAUUCCGCCAACAAAAAACAGGAGACUCCACUUUACAAUGUUGAAGUGGUGAAAGCAAUGCUGCACACUUGGGUUAUAGAUUAUCAGUUGUGGAAGAAGUGUUAAAAAGGGAUGUAUCAGCUGCCUAUAUAAGUGAUAAAAAGAGGGGGAUGACACCCCUGCUUAUGGCAGCCAGGUAAAGCUAUCUUGGAACAGUUUCAAAGAUUCUCUCUUUAUGUCCAGAUUGUUGUGAAAAAGUGGACAACAAAGGUUUGAAUUUACUUCAUUACCUGGUUUUUAGAGGCGCUUUCUCUCCAUUAAGAGUUUCUCCUUUGAAAUGACACUCAAGAAGUUUAUUAUGCACUUCGAUCUAAGAAACAAGAUCAGAAACAAGUGUGUGUAUAUAUUGUAUUUCCAUGGCUAUGGUUUUAUUAAUAUUUAAGUUUUGAAUUAACAUAUUUAAUAAAUCUUCAAUACAAUCAGCUAAUGUGGGUGGCAUGGCAGAAACAAAUCAAUGAUUUGUUGGAAGAAAUUGAGACUGAUCAAGUGGCGGAGGACCCAGUUCAACUCAAUCUCUUGCCAACUAUCUCUGCAGAAAGCUUGGAGAAGACAAGAGAUGCUCAUUUAGUAGUGGCAGCACUUAUAGCCACCAUCGCAUUUGCAGCGGUAAUCCCGGUGGUUUGAAUAGCGAAAAAGGGUCAGAGCAAGGCGCUCCCCUUUUGAUUGAUGAGGCGGCAGCCUUUAAAGCAUUUGUUGUAACAAAUGCAUUGGCCUUUAUUCUCUCUGUUUCUGCCAUCUUCAUCCACUCCGGGGUUCUGGGUAAUAUGUUAUCAGGAUUUAAGUUUGGGCAUCGGACAGUUUUAUAUCGAACUCUGUCUGUUUCUGGGAUCCUUUUUCUAUGCAACGUUUGCAAUGUUGAUUGCUUUCAGCACAGGCUGUUAUGUGGUCUUAAAACCUUCCCACGGACUUGCCAUUGUUUCAUAUCUCAUCUACCCUGCCUUUUUUGUCUUUAUGUUGCUAAUUUUGAAUCUUACAUCAUAUAUGUAACAUAUAAAUAUGAGAAUAUUACUUUAUCACGGAUUACUAUUCUUCCAAUUCCUAGUGUCAAUGUUCUCUUUGAAGAAAUAUUACUUUUAAGUUUUUUUUAGAUAUAUCUAACUCAUCAGUAUUGUUGCGGAAAGGAUCGAUUCGAGAACUCCGAUAUGACUACAAGUAAAUUGACCGAAACGAAAAAUAAAGUGAACACAAGGAUUUACGUGGUUCGGCUUUAAUGCCUACGUCCACGGGCAGAGGCGAAAAGAAAUUUCACUAUAACAAGAUGAAGAUUACAAGUGUUUUACACUCAAGACACAACCCGAGAACCUCACAACUCUCAACCCCUAUAGAAAACCCGAAAGCUAAAAUCCUAGCUUUCAAAGAACAAGCUUUGCUCUCUCUUGGUUUGGGAUGAUUAAUAUGGCUAAUGAACCUCUCUAUUUAUAAGAGAGUUCAAGGACAUAAUUGUCCAAAACUUUGGCAAAGAUUUGUGGUUGAAAAUGGACACCAACAACCAUCCACUAAUCCACUACCACCAACAACCCACUACCAACAACAACAAUCCACUACCAAUUUUAAGCCAUUUCUUAACAAAUCUCCACCUUGGCUUGAAAUUUACCAAGCUGAACAUCAUAGUGAACUGGAUCACCUCUUCCAAACGCCUCUCUGGCGCUAAUCAAUCCCGAAUACCUAUCAAGUCCAAGCAAUGCUUGAACUUAUAUGCAGGGAUCACCUUAGUUAACAUAUCUGCAGGAUUCUUCUCGGUAGCAACCUUGCUGAUAACAAUGUCACCUUGCGUAACAUGUUCCCGAACAAAAUGAUAUCUGACAUCAAUGUGUUUGGUCCGUUCAUGAAACAUCUGAUUUUUAGUCAGAUGUAUGGCACUCUGGCUAUCGCAAAAUACAACAGUGAAAUCCUGUUGUAAACCCAAACUGCUUACUAGACCUUUCAUCCACAAUGCUUCUUUCACUGCUUCUGCUAACGCCAUAUAUUCCGCCUCAGUCGUAGAUAAGGCUACGGUAGACUGUAACACAGCUUUCCAACUAAUGGCUCCUCCAGAAUAAGUGAAAACAUAACCCGUCAGAGAUCUUCUUUUGUCCAGAUCUCCAGCAUAAUCAGAGUCCGCAUAGCCCGUGACACUGCUAGUGCAGUCACUCUGAUCAUAUACCAAGCAUAAAUCUGCAGAACCUCUCAAGUACCUGAGAAUCCAUUUCACGGCCUGCCAGUGUUCCUUGCCAGGACAACUCAUGUAUCUGCUGACCACACUAACUGCAUGUGAAAUGUCUGGACGAGUGCAAACCAUUGCAUACAUCACGCUUCCAACUGCACUCGAGUAUGGAAUGUGAGACAUUUGCUGCUUUUCUUCAUCAGAUUGUGGUGACAACUCUGCAGAGAGUUUGAAAUGUGGUGCCAACGGAGUACUCACAGUUUUCGCUUUAUCCAUGCCGAAGCGUUGAAGAACCUUUUCAAUGUAGUUCUUCUGCGACACACGAAGCUUGCCCGCCUUGCGAUCUCUGUGAAUAUCCAUGCCCAAAAUUUUCUUGGCAGCACCCAGAUCCUUCAUCUCGAACUCACCACUCAACUGCGACUUUAACUUGUUGAUUUCCGACAUGUUUUUGGAAGCAAUUAACAUGUCAUCAACAUACAGCAACAAAUAAAUGUGCGAACCAUCUGAGAGCUUCCGAUGAUAGACACAAGCAUCAUAGUCACAUCUUGUGUAACCAUGCUGAAUCAUGAAGCUAUCAAACCGCUUGUACCACUGCCUUGGGGAUUGUUUCAAUCCAUAUAAAGACUUCUUUAAUAGACAGACAUGGUCUUCUUUACCAGGAACUGUAAAACCCUCUGGUUGACGCAUGUAGAUUGUUUCCUCGAGCUCACCAUGCAAGAACGCCGUUUUUACGUCAAGCUGCUCAAGUUCUAGAUCAGACUUGGCCACCAUGGCAAGUAAUACACGAAUGGAAGAAUGCUUUACGACUGGGGAGAAAACUUCAUUGUAGUCAAUCCCCUCUUUCUGAGUGAAGCCUUUAGCAACCAAUCGUGCCUUGAAUCUAGUUGCUUCAACCCCUAGGAUGCCUUCCUUUUUCUUGAAGACCCAUUUGCAACCAACUAUCUUCUGGUUACUUGGCGGCUUAACCAACUCCCAAGUAUGGUUCUUGUGAAGAGAUUCUAUCUCCUCACUCAUAGCAAUUGCCCACUGUGCCGACUCAUCACACGUGACAGCCUCAUUAUAACUGGAAGGUUCUAUACCAAUGGACUCCGCCACACUGAGCGCGAAAGACACCAGAUUAGCGUAACGCGGAUUUGGUUUGAUUUGUCUCUUCGUUCUUCCAGUGGCAAUGCUAUAUGGUUUUUCUUGAGGUGACUCAUCUUCAUCGGAAUCUUGCACCUCAACUUGAUCAUCCUGGACUGAAGUACCUUCCGUAGGAAUUGGAGCGUCCACCUGACACUCCACCUGCUUCUCAACACCGUGAUCUCCCAUUCUAUCUGACUCCUCCUUUUCCCGGGAAUUUGUGGUGGAUCGAAGCAUGGAUGACUCAUCAAAAGUCACAUCUCUGCUGAUGAUGAACUUGGACGAAACCGGAUCAGGACACCACAACCUGUAUCCUUUCACCCCUUGGCCGUAUCCAAGAAAUAUGCAUUUCUUCGCCCUCGGUUUGAGUUUUCCCUCAUUUACAUGAGCAUACGCAGGGCAGCCAAACACUCUUAAACCAGAGUAAUCAGCAGGAGAACCAGACCAUACUUCCUCAGGAGUCUUCAGCUCAAUAGCUGUUGACGGAGAUCUGUUAACCAAAUAACAAGCAGUAUUAACAGCUUCAGCCCAAAAUUCUUCACCGAGCCCAGCAUUUGAUCGCAUGCAACGAGCUCGCUCCAAGAGAGUUCUAUUCAUGCGUUCUGCAACUCCAUUUUGUUGUGGUGUUCGACGAACAGUGCGGUGUCUCACUAUUCCUUCAUUUUUGCAGAACUCAUUGAAUUCACCUGAGCAAAACUCCAAGCCAUUAUCCGUCCGGAAUCGCUUGAUCUUCUUUCCUGUUUGAUUUUCGAUCAAAGCUUUAAAUUGCUUGAAGUUGAUGAGAACCUCAUACUUGCUCUUCAGAAAAUACACCCAAACCUUUCUCGAGUAAUCAUCGAUAAAGGUAAGCAGAUAUCUGUAACCACCUUUAGAAAUUGUCGGAGAAGGCCCCCAAAGGUCAGAAUGGAAGUAAUCCACUGUGCCUUUUGUCUUGUGAAUCCCAGUGCUGAACUUUACCCGAGUCUGCUUACCGAAGACGCAGUGCUCACAGAAAUUCAACUUUCCUGUACACUGCCCAGACAAUAAUCCUCGUUUGCUUAGCACCGAUAAGCCUCUCUCGCUCAUAUGCCCGAGCCGCAUAUGCCAUAACUUCGUGGUGUCAGAAUCUAGAUCAUCUGAUGAUGACACUCCCGCAACACCUGUAACCGAGGAACCAUCGAGGAAGUAAAGGCCUCGCUCCAAAUUACCACGUAUCACAGUCAAAGCACCCGAGAAUACCUUGAGAACUCCACCUUCAGCAGAGUACCGAAAGCCUUUCUUGUCCAACGUACUCAAAGAGAUCAAAUUUUUCUUCAUUUCUGGAAUGUGCCGAACAUCAGUUAGAGUUCUAACAAUACCGUCAAACAUCUUUAUACGAACUGUGCCAAUCCCCAUGACUUGACAUGCGUGGUCAUUUCCCAUUAGUACUGAACCAGAAUGCUUCUCGUAUGUUGAGAAUGCAUCUUUCGAAGUACUUAUAUGAAAUGUAGCUCCCGUAUCAAGAAUCCAUCUCCCACCAGCGUAAGAGUCGGAUACUGCAAGAACGAUCUCGGCAUCACUUGAAGAAUCUGCAUCAGCUACAUUCGCACGAUCAUUUUGUUGCUCCUGUGAUUCUGAUUUCUCCUUCCUUUUCGGACAAUCUACCUUCAUGUGCCCGUACUUCUUACAGUAGUAGCACUGUAUUCUCUUCUUGGACUGCGAUCUAGGAUGGCUUUUACUUGAACUUCCACCCUUUGCCUUGGAUCUUCCUCGAGCAACCAAGCCUUCGCCUUCAUUGUUUUCGACCACCUUACCAGUGAUUUUCUUCCUCAACUCACUGGAACUUAAGGCAUUUUUCACCUCCUCUAGAGUCAGGUCAUCACGACCGUACAUCAUUGUAUCAACAAAAUUCUCAUACGAGGGAGGCAAAGAACACAAAACAAUUAUUGCUUGGUCCUCAUCAUCGAUUUUGUUAUCGAUAUUAUUCAAAUCCAUGAUAAUGGAAUUGAAUUUAUCCAGGUGCUGGGAAACAGGUGUACCUUCCUCCAUCUUCAGGGCAUAGAGUCUUUGCUUGAGGUAGAGCCGGUUCGUCAAUGACUUCGUCAUGUACUUGCUUUCUAACCGGAGCCACAAACCGGACGCGGUUUUCUCAUCCGCUACUUCUCGUAGCACUUCAUCUCCUAGACAUAGCAGAAUAGCACUAUGUGCUCUUUCUAGCAUGUCAUCCUUUUGCUCUUCCGAAAGCGUGCUUGGUAAUUUAUCUUUACCAGACAAUGCUUUUAGCAAUCCUUGUUGAACCAGCACUGCCCGCAUCUUGAUGCGCCAUAAACUGAAACUAUUUUUCCCGGUAAAUUUCUCGACAUCAUACUUAGUCGAUGAAACACUUGUAGCCAUAAUUUGGAACCUUUGAAUGAAUGAUAAUAUUUUCUUCCUGAUGUGAAAGAUCAGACAAAGCUGCAGUCACAGGGCAAUUCAGAAAAUAUUAUCACUCCUUCAACUACGCUCUGAUACCAAUUUGUUGCGGAAAGGAUCGAUUCGAGAACUCCGAUAUGACUACAAGUAAAUUGACCGAAACGAAAAAUAAAGUGAACACAAGGAUUUACGUGGUUCGGCUUUAAUGCCUACGUCCACGGGCAGAGGCGAAAAGAAAUUUCACUAUAACAAGAUGAAGAUUACAAGUGUUUUACACUCAAGACACAACCCGAGAACCUCACAACUCUCAACCCCUAUAGAAAACCCGAAAGCUAAAAUCCUAGCUUUCAAAGAACAAGCUUUGCUCUCUCUUGGUUUGGGAUGAUUAAUAUGGCUAAUGAACCUCUCUAUUUAUAAGAGAGUUCAAGGACAUAAUUGUCCAAAACUUUGGCAAAGAUUUGUGGUUGAAAAUGGACACCAACAACCAUCCACUAAUCCACUACCACCAACAACCCACUACCAACAACAACAAUCCACUACCAAUUUUAAGCCAUUUCUUAACAAGUAUUAACAAUCUCCAUUUAAUUGAAAUCAAUGUUAUUAGUUGAUAAAUACACAUUUUCAAAAAAAAAUUAAAAAAAUUCAUAAUUUAUGUAAAGUAAAAUUUAUUAAAUAUCAAAAAAUAAUAAAUAUGUUGUAACUAAUUUUCCGUUAUAAUUAAAAAUUAGUUUGAGGAAUCAUUGAAAAAUAUGAGAUUUUUAAGUUCACCACCAAUUUUUGUUGGCUAGGUGUGAUCAAACACCUAUAAAAUCACUCUUUAAAAAGAAAAUUUUGAUUUAAAAAAAAAUUAAUUUUGGGUACGAUAGAAAUUCAGAAAAUAAAUAUUUAAGUUCAAGAGUUGAUUACGUGAAAAGAAGGUUUUAGCACCCAUGCCUAAAAUUGAUAGUUUGUUAAAUAUAUUCGUCAAUUAAAAUUUAUAUCUCGGUAUUUAAUUAAAAUCAAAAAUUUUGAUAAAUUAAAAAUAAAUAUAUGAAAGAUGUCCAGAUUGUUGUGAAAAAUUGGAAAAAAGAGGUUUGAAUUUACUUCAUUAUUUGGCUUUUAGAGACCGUUCCUACAAUUAAGUCAUUCUCUUUUCAUGACUGGUGGUACUAUGGCUGCAUAUGGAUCAAUAAGAAAUCUAAUGAAGUUGAAAGGUGACUUUGGAUUUACAGCAGCAAUAACUCUACCUGGUGGUUUGAAUAGUGAAAAAGGAUCAGAGCAGGGCAAUCCUUUUCUGAUUGAUGAGGCAGCCUUCAACAAAUGCAUUGGCCUUUAUUCUCUGUUUCUGCCCUCUCCAUCCAGUUUGGGAUUCUGGAUCUUCUUUUAUGUUUCUAAUCUCCUUGAUUGUGCAGUGGUUGUGAUGGUGAUUGCUUUUAGCACAAGUUGUUAUGUGGUUUUAAAACCUUCCCAUAGACUUGGUACCGAUUCAUGUUUCAUUUGCCCUGCCUUCUUUGUUUAUUAUUACAUACAACAAUACCUAGCUCUUGUGAAGAUGUCGUACUAAAAAGUACUCAUAUUGUGUGAGACAAUAAAACGAAGAGCUCAUGGAGGCCCUCAUGAUAGAACAAUUUUGCAUGCAGCAGUUAUGGCUGUAGAUGCCAGGCAAUUACAUAUGCAAAUAUAUUUAUUAACAACUUCAUUCCCCCCCAUCUCUGUAUUAAACCGAAAGUCCAUGUGAUUCCAACUGUUAAGCACCAUGGGAAGUGUUGAAAUAUAUAGGAAGUAAUAAGAAUUUUAUACAUAAUAAUAAAUUUACUAAUUUGACAUUUUUCGUAAUUAAAUUUAGCGUUUAAUUUUUUAAAAAGAGUCAAAUUUGAUCAUUUACUUUUAAAAACUAUUUAAUUAUCGUUUUUACACUAAAAUAUUAAAAUUUUAAAUAUAGUAGUUCGCGUGAAAGUUGGCAUGAACUUCAUGUUAACUUUUUCAACUUUUAAAUUUUUUAUAAUUUUUAAAUUAUUUCUUGACGUGCCGGAUAAAUAGUGUUAUCUCACCGUUUACGAGUUUUUCCAUUCCUAUGAUAAAAAGAGAAACGAGAUCAGAUUUUAUGGAACAAAUUCUCAGCAAGUGUCCGUCACUGCUACUCCAAACGAAUGCUAAAGGUCAAACUCCUUCGCACCUUGCAGCAAGGUAUGGGCAUUCUGCUAUUGUGAAACUUCUAAUAAGUCUUGCGCAAAAGCUAGAGAUGGAGAUUUAGAGAAGCUGGGAAUGGAUUGAGUAAAUGCAGCGAGGGAGAUGCUGAGGAUUAGGGAUCAGGAAUCCAACACCGCUUUACAUGAAGCAGCACGGUGUGGCACAGGGAUUUAAAUUGCGGUCGCGGUCGUAUUUUCGGUCGCGUCGCGUUUGUCGCGGUUGCAGACAUAACGGACGCUAUUGCGAUUACUGCGGGUAUCACGGUCGUGAAUUUUUUUAAAAUUCGUACAACUUAUUAUAAAAUAUAGGAAUUAUAAUUAUAAUUAUAAAAAGUCAUUUUUUAUGAUUUUUAGAGUUUUAAAUAUUUAGACUUUGAUUGCUUUUUGCUAUUUAUUUGGACUUCUUUUUUUUUAAUAACAUUAUAUUAGGCUUUUAUUAAUAAAACAAAAUUAUAAAAACUGCACACUUAUAAUUCUAAAAAGCCCAAAGCAGAUGGCCAAAAGUAAAAAAAUCUAGAUAUUUUUAAAGUAAAAAAAUCUAGAUAUAAUCCUAAAAAAAGGCACCGAUUCCUUGCCCAAUCAGCUGAAAUCUGCCCUCUCUUCUUCCCAUAAUCCAUCAUUUCAUUUUCAAUUUGACCAUUUCCUUUUUCAAAACUUUUCCUUCCGAACCGUUCCAUUUUCUUAUUGUUUUGAAGCUUUCUUCCUUCCGUUCUUCCUCUCCUGGUGCUUUCUAGUCUGGUUCACAUAGCCAAUCGUAUCUUCUUUGUUCUUCAGCGUACUCAGGCCCUCAGGGAGCUCCAUUUCCAGGCAUACCUCCUCUUUUUUGUUUUUUGUUCUUUUUCCUGUUGUCUUCUUUGUUCUUUGUUCUUUUUCCUUUUUUUGAUUGAACUGUGUUUCAGUGUUUCUGUUGAUUUUUGUUUAGAGGGGAUGAUUUUUUUUAAUUUGCUGUUAACAGAAAAUAACGGGAAUAGCGGCCCGUUAUUGCCGCAAUUGGCCGUUACCCGUUAAAUUGCGGCCGUGAUCCACCGCUAUCGGUGUGACUCCGCUUCUCACCGCUAUUUUCAGCAAUUGCGGUUUCGGACGGCGCCGCUACCGCUAUAUAACGGCCGCUAUUUCGGUAACGGACCGUUAUUUAAAUCCCUGGUACUGUGGCAUUGUCGAAGUGGUGAAAGCAUUGUUGGAGUUUGAAGACCCUGAUUUUCCGUCUUCUGCCAACAAAAAACAGGAGACUCCACUUUAUAUAGCAGCUAUGGCUGGAGAUGCAGGUAUGCUGUUGAUAUUAAUAAUUUUGAUAAAAUGUCUGCAAUUUGUUAAAAUGCAACCUGAAGCUUAGAAAACUUUCCAGCAUCAGAAUUAACAGGAAGAGCUUACAUCAUGAUUUCAUGGAUUAUGAACUAUACAUUUAAAUUACAAAUUGAUAGAAGUUGUUUUUGUUAGUACAAAUUUUCGAUGAGGAAAAUUUCGAACAUACGAACGAAACUUGAACAGCAAAUAAAGAAAUAAGACAAGGCUUCAAAGUGUGUAUCAAGUCGCUAUUUUUAAGGUUAUAUUCGCCUCCACCUAUGUUUAGUGUGCAAAAGAGUUUCGAGUAAAUUAAUCUCAAGGAUACAAUGAAGCCGAUGACUAUUUGUGUUUUGCACUGAUGAAAAUAAAUCGCUAAGCACUGAGCAAUAUAUAACAAGAAACUCAAUUUUAAAAAAAAAAAUUACAGUAAUACUUUAUAGAAUAAUCUAAUAAUAUUUGAAGAUGGAGGAAGGAAAGAAAGAAUUUUAGAAUUUGUUGAUAUAAUUUUCAAAUAAAAUCUCAUUCCUAUUUAUAAGAAUUUUCAUGUUUCUCCGUAUACUCUUCGUAGACUCUUUAAGAAAGUGAGAAUUUUAUCCAAUUAAUGUUUUUGUUUCUUGUUUUGUUUAAUGAAGACCAGAAGUUAGGAAGCUCGACAAGAGUUUAAGCGUCCGUUUUGUUUGUUGUUAUUUUCAUUAAUUCCUAAUCUAAUUUGAUUCUACAGUUUUAUAACGUUAUUAAUUAAUCAAAAUUGUUAAUACAAUUAAUUUUUUGAUUAAAAAAUUUCAUGAUUAUAUAUAAUUUGAAUGUUUUAAGGGUUUUAGAGAUGAAUACGUGACUCAUUAUUUCUUUUAGGUUUGCCUUACUUUUUUUUAUAUUAUAAGAAAAUGAUCAAAUUUUAAUUUUAGCCCUUACACAAUGUGAAAAUUUGGGAUUUAAUUUAUAUACAUUAUUUUUUACAUAAUUUGAUCAUUCUUCUUUUACAAUGUCAUUAGUUAGCCCUUACACAAUGUUGGCAUCAAUAUUUUUAGGAAUCCUAUUCCAAGAAAAAAAUAUUCAUGACGAGUUCGAAUGAAUGUUCUAAAGGAAAAAUCUAUAUAAACAUUUUCAAUGUUAUUUUUAUUUUUAUAUGACUACCAAGUAAUUUUUUUUAAUUUUCAAAAUAUCACACUAACAAAUUUAAUAGAAGAAUUUUAGUAGUAGUAAUGAUUGAACCUAAAAUUUUAAAUCUAAAAAACAGAGGGUCUAAAGUUCUAAAAAUAAAAGUAUGCUUAAAGUAUAUUGUCCUUUAAAUUGUACUGCAUAAUUUAAUACAAAUAAAUAAUGAACCCUUUGCGAAGCAUGAGAUUCAUACUAGUUUAUGAUUAGGUUAAUGGACAUUAAUUACCAAAUUUGCUAAAGUGUCUAUUUGAUGAAAUAAAGCAAUCACACGUCUAAAACAUAUAAGGUUGUGGAAUGCUUGUACUAUUAUAAAUAGAGGUGGUUUCUCCACUUUUAGAUUAUCCCGAAAUUUGUUGUUUUUUUUUGUAAUUUUCUAUUUUAUCUUUUGCAGUAUAAUAUAUUUGGUAAUAUUCAAGGACGUAGGCAUAAUUUGCUGAAUCUCAUCAAAAUUUUGGUGUUUUUAUUAUUUUUUUUUUCUCAAUAUUUUGUAGAGUAUAUUUGUAGUGAUAUAUUGGGCUUUAAGCAGGAUUAUAUGUGACCCUUUCAAUCUUUAUUGAGAAUUGAACAAGUAUUUUUUACGACAAUAAUUUACUCACUUGUAUCCGGUUCACACAACACUAUUAACUCUUUAUGAUUAUACUAACAAUUUAGUCUUAUUUUUCUCUUUUGAUAGUAAAAAAGUAGCAGCAAAAAGCUUCAAAACAAACCAAAUCAAAGACUAAACUAGUUUCCAUGGUAAGUAAGCAGGUCCAAAACACCAGGUGAUGGCUCUUCAAAAAAAUGCAGAGUAAUUCCCAAAUCAGGACCCAGCGGCGCCAUAAAGUCUGCAAUCUUAGUAGCUUCCCGUCUCUUAUGCAUAAAUUGGAAUCCAUCUGCCAAUAGCUUGGUCAUUAGUCGCCUCUUUAAAAUAUCCAUCGCCCCUCACAUUUUCCGAUUCAAUGAUAACCUUCCGAUAGCCUUGGCGGCGGGCCAACAAUUUAGUAUUUUAAUCAUCUUUAACAACUUUGUUUUGGCCCCAUUUGCUAAUUUUAAUUAUUUUUUAUUAUUAAAAUUAAAAUUAAAAAUUCAGAUUGACCCAUACUUACCUAACCUUUGAAUUAGAUUGAUAAACUACAUAUAGAUAAAUCCAUAUAUGACAAAUUUUUUAUAAUUAAAAUUUAGUAUACCGUCAUAAGUGUGUCAUAAUUUAGUGAUAUAUAAAUUUAAAAAUGAUAAUUUUGAUGUUUAUACUGUUAGAGAUUGUAUGACCCAAAUCUCGUCACUUUAAAUAAAAUACAAAGUCAAAAUAAGGAGAUCUAUGGGGACGAAGGAUUUUUCAAGCUUUAAAUAGAUGUAGUCGAAAUUCUUCUUGUUUUAUUCAUUUUUCAAUAUUAGUGAAUUUCUCCUGCCCCAUGAUUAUUUCCAAAAAGAUUUUCACAUAAAAUUUAUAUUUUUUUUUCUUUUCUUAUCGAUUUGCAAUUAUUCUACUAUCAUUAUUGACGUCGAUAAUGGAAUUUGACAACGAAAAGAGAUGAAGUGUAUUUCAUCUGCCCUUCCAACUUUGUCAAAUUCCCAUGGACGUUGCCAUCGUUUUAUGUUUGAUCUGCUCUGCUUUUUAUUAUUAUUAUUACUUACAACAAUACCUAGCUUUGUUGAAGAUGGUUUUGUAGUGAUAAUCAAGAAUUUUCUUAACUUCAUUUAUUUCCCCAAAUAUCUGUGAAAGGGAAUUAAAUCUCCAUAUGAAGCCAAAGUGGAUGUGGUUCCAAGUGUUGAGCAGCAUAGGAAGUAAUCAAAAUAUAUAUGUCGCACUGCAAGGAAUUCAAGGCUGCCUUGUCCACAACACAAAGGCUUAUAGCUGCUAAGCACCUGCUCUUAAAUUUGAUUAUGGCCUAAUAAACAACAUAGGGCAGCAUUGACUUCACCGCAAAGAGCUGUACACCGCAUUUUCUUCCAUUCUUCUUCUUUGCAGUUUCUUAAACCCAAAUUUCACCAUAAAAAACUCCUAAAAAUGAUGGAUUUGGUGCGUCUACUUUUCAACAAUUUUUAGUAUUUUAAUCAUCUUUAGCAACUUUGUUUUAGGGCCAUUUGCUUUUCUUUUCGUUACAAUUAAGUCAUCAUAUGAUAAUAACAUUUAGUGUAAGUUAUACAAAUAGUCCUUUAAUUAUUAGCACAUUAUUAGUUUGGUCACUCAUGUUUAAAAAAAGUCUAAUUUAGUCACUAACGUUAUGGACAAUUGAUAUUUUUGUCAUUCCUCAUUCAAUCAUUAAUAGAAUGCUGAUGCAACUUUUUUUUAUUGGCAUAUUAAUAAAUUUAGCCUUUCAAUCUCUAUAAAUUCCAGUAAUUUGAUUUACACAUUAUGUUAACUUAAUCUUCAUUCUUAAUUUUUUUUUUUAAAACUUAAAAACUAAAAAUAUAUAUUUAAUUUUUUUUUCUAUAAAAUACAUAUACAAAAUUAUAAAAUACAUAAAAAUAUAAAAAUAUUUAUAAAUAAAUGAAUACUAUUUUUUUCUUCAAAGAAAAUAUAGGGUUUAGUCUGAAUGAGUCAAUAUUAACUAACAUGACCAAAAUUUAGUGUGUAACAGUUUUCUGAGCUACCAAACACAGUCUUAGAAUAAAAAAAGAACAUAGAGCAGCAUUAACUUGACCACGAAGAGCUGUAGACCCCAUUUUCUUCCAUUCUAUUCUUUAAUUCUUCUCCUUCUUUGCAGUUUCCUUAAAACCAAAUCUCACCAUAAAAAACUCCUACUUUAUUGACCUCACUUCCAACCCAAUAUGCCACUUUUACUAAAGUGUUCAACUAUAUAAAGUUUUCAUUCGUAGGUGACUUGAAUGCAGGCAUAUGCAAGCAAGUAACUAACUGGAAAGGAAUUUGGUAAAUUUCUGAUUUGCAGUAUUUUUUUUCUUGAGCUUGGAAUGCUUCAAGCUAAUUAAUUAAAUUCUGUUUAGUGUUAUCCAGGAAGAAAUAGAUCCAGAAAAAAGGAACCUCGGAAGCCUGAACAGAACAUCACUCACAUGGAGGCUUCGCUAUAUAAUGCAGCAGCAGAAGGAAACAUUGAAGUAUUCAAUAAUAAACAGGGGCUUCAACUUGAGUCGCUAAAGACCCCAAACCAAGACAACGUGCUCCAUGUUAACUUGGCAACCGAGGAGACUGUCAAAUUCUCAAUAAUCAAAAUCUUCUCCGUAGGAUUUGUACCAGCCUAUCCGUUUUUGAAUUUAUUCGUUACUAUGAUAAAAAGAGAAAAAAAAUCAGAUUUUAUCGAACAAAUUCUCAGCAAGUGUCCGUCACUGCUAUUCCAAACGAAUGCUAAAGGUCAAACUCCUUUGCACGUCGCAGCAAGGUAUGGACAUUCUGCUAUUGUGAAACUUCUAAUCAAGUCCUGCGCAAAAGCUAUAGAUGGAGAUUUAGAGCUGGGAAUGGAUCAAGUAAGUGCAGUCAGGGAGAUGCUGAGGAUUACGGAUCAGGAAUCCAACACGGCUUUACAUGAAGCAGCAGGGUGUGGCAAUGUUGAAGUGGUGAAAGCAUUGUUGGAGUUUGAAGUCCCUGAUUUUCCGUAUUCUGCCAAUAAAAAACAGGAGACUCCACUUUAUAUUGCAGCUAAGAGAGGAGACGGCGGCGUGCUGAGUGUAAUAUUAGAUAAAUCAAAAUCAGCAGCUCAUGGCGGCCCCCACGGUAGAACAGCUUUGCAUGCAGCAGCUAUGGCUGGAGAUGCAGGUAUGUUGUUGAGUUAGUUCCAUUUUUUUUUUAAUUUGAAAUAAAUAAAGAACAGGUCUAUUGACAUUUUUUUUUUUUGCUUGGAUUUAGAGGCAAUAAGGAUAAUAUUAGAGAAGAAGGGGAAUUUGACAAAGGAAAGAGAUGAAGAUGGACACACCCCUCUUCAUUAUGCUGCACACUUGGGUUCUAGAUUAUCAGUUGUGGAAGAACUGUUAAAAAGGGAUGUGUCAGCUGCCUAUAUAGGUGAUAAAAAGAGGGGGAUGACACCCCUUCUUAUGGCAGCCAGGGAAGGUAAUGGUGGAACAAGGGCAAAGAUUCUCUCUUUAUGUCCAGAUUGUUGCGAAAAAGUGGACAAUAAAGGUUUGAAUUUACUUCAUUAUACGGCUUUUAAAGACUGUCUUCCCAUCAGGGAGUUCUGUUUUUAAGCGUGGUGGUGUUGAGAUUGUAUAUGGAUCAGUUAGAAAUCUAACGGAGUUGGAAGGUGCCUGUAAAAUCUAAUGGUUUUGCAUUUCCAUGGCUACUGUUUUAUUAAUAUUUAAGUUUUGAGUUAACAUAUUUAAUAAACCUAUAAUACAAUCGGUUAAUGUGGGUGGCAUGACAGAAGCAAAUCAAAGAUUUGUUGGAAGAAAUUGAGAAUGAUCAAGUGGCAUAGGAACCAGUUCGUCACUUUCACUUACCAAAUGUUUCUAUAAAAAGAUUGGAGGCUAUAAGAAAUACUCAUUUAAUAGUGGCAGCACUUAUAGCCACCAUCACCUUCGCAGCGGUAAUAACUGUUCCUGGUGGUUUGGAGAGUGAAAAGGGGUCAAAGCAAGGUAAUCCCUUUUUGAUUCAUGAGGCAGCCUUUAAAGCAUUUGUUGUAAAUUGGCCUUUAUUUUCUCUGUUUCUGCCUGUUGGGAUUUGGAGAAUGAUAGAUGAAGGUUAACAGAGCUUGAGCAACAAUGCUGUAUGUUUGCUGGUGAAAUAAACAGAAUCGGGCUUGGGAACAAAGAAAAUGAAAAACAAGAAAAGAGAGUUUUGGAUGAAAUUUUGAAAAUGAUUUCAUUAACAUUGAUUGAAGGCACAAAGCCAAUACAUAAACCAGACAUUUAGCCGGUCAAAUCAAAACAAAUUGUCACCUAACAUUACCUACUAUCACUAAGUAACAUUGGAACUUAUGAAAACAUUGCUUGCACACAUAGGUAUACUGAUUUAUCAAUCUAUCAGUACCUAAUUACAUCAAAACAAUAUCAAUUUAGUUCAAAUCUGACUAAAUUACAAAGCGAUAUUUAAGGUAACAAAACGAAAUGAAAUACAAUAGCAGUAAUGUGCUUCAGCAGCUGCAUGCAUACUUCAUGUGUUGUAAGUGCGGCUUGAUCUGCUUGUUCAUACUUUAUGUGCUGUAAAUGCGGUAUCCAGGCCAACUUCAACACUCCUCCUUGGCUUGCAUGCUGCAUACUCCCAUUUUAGCUCUCAAAUGCACGAACCUUGAACACUAAUGGGCUUUGUUAAGAUAUCAGCAAGUUGUUCUUUAGAACUGCAAUGAAUUAGCUUCACUUCUUGAGCUUGCUCCAUCUCUCUAACAAAGUGAAAUUUGAUCUUGAAGUGUUUCAUUCUUCCAUGGAAUACUGAAUUCUUUGCAAUUGCAACAGCAGAUUGGUUGUCACAAUUGAUCUCUGUCGCUUCCCUUGGUGUAGAUUCAAGUCAGCCAUGAUUUUUCUUAUCCAAAUGGCUUGAUUGAUAGCAAUAGCAGCUGCUACAUAUUCUGCUUCAGUAGUUGAUUGAGCAACAACAUUUUGCUUCUUCGAAUUCCAGCAAAAAAUGGCUUAUCCAAAAGUAAAAACAUACCUUGAUGUACUCUUCAUGUUAUCUAUCGAUCCAACCCAAUCACUAUCAGCAUAACCAACCACUUUCGUAUUUUUAGCUUUGCUAAAUAGCAUUCCAUAGCUCAAUGUACCUUUGAUGUACCUGAGAACUCUUUUGGUAGGUUGAAAGUGAUUUUCAUUGCAGCAAUGCAUGAAUCUAGAUAGCAGACUCACAAUAAACAUGAUGUCUGGUCUAGUGGCAGUAAGAUAUCGCAAACAACCUACCAAGCUCCUAUAGACAGAUUCACUAACCUGCUCAAAGUCACCUUGGCUCGAUAGUUUCUCUCUAAUGGCAACUUGUGUGUUUGAUGCCUUACAAUUUUGCAUGGAGAAUUUGUUCAGAAUCUUGGAGACAAAAGCCUUCUGACUUAGGAAGAUUCCAUGUUGUGUUUGAGUCGCUUCCAUACCAAGGAAGUAAGACAUUUGCCCCAAAUCUGACAUCUCGAACAUGUGUUCCAUCUUGGCUUUGAAAUCAGCUAGCAUUUCAUGAUCUCCUCCAGUUACUAGCAGGUUAUCAACGUAUAGGAACACUAUUAGUUGAGUUUCACUACCUUGCUUCUUCACAUACAAGGUAGGUUCACUGAUGCUUCUUUCAAAUCCAAGGCUAGCUAGGUAGCCAUCGAUCCUGCUAUACCAAACUCUUGGUGCUUGUUUCAAACAAUACAAGGCUUUCUUCAGUUUGUACACCUUGUCCUCUUCACCUGCCACUUUAAAACCUUCAGGUUGCUCAACAUAGAUUUUUUCAUCAAGAAACCCAUUGAGGAAUGCUAAUUUUACAUCAAGCUGAUGAAUUUUCCACUGCAUUUGUGCUGCUAAGGCAACUAGCAGCCUUAUGGUGUCAAGCCUAGCUACUGGUGCAAAGGUUUCAAAGUAGUCAAUGCCGUACUUUUGGCUGAACCUUUUUACAACCAGCCUUGCUUUUAGUUUGCUCAAGCUUCCUUCAGCAUUGUGCUUGGCUCGAAACACCCAUUUCACCCUAAUAACCUUUCUAUUUGCUGGUCUCUCAACUAGCAGCCAAGUCUGAUUAUUUUCAGUCAUUCUGAUUUCAUCAGCCAUUGCCUAUUUCCAGCCUUGUUGAGCUUCAACUUCUUCGAAGCAGCUUGGUUCAACUGCUGCCACUUGAGCUAUUUCAUAAAUCGCAGCUAAUGGUCUAGUGCCCCUGACUGGUUCAUUAUCAAUGUCCAUUUCAAGGCCAUUUUGAUCAGCUUUAGUCUGAUCUGUCAGUAAAUCUUCAAAGACUGCCUCUGGUUCAUUCUUCUCUCAAUUCCAACUUGAAUUCUCAUCAAAGACUACAUCUUUGCUCACAAGCACUUUGUUGCAUGAAGGAUCUAGGAUUCUGUAGCCUUUCUUCAUACUGCUAUAUCCCAUCAGGAUGCCAGGUUAGGAUGCAGUGAUUUUCUUAUGAUUGAACUCGCAUUGAGUUUCAUAGUUCACUUCUCUUUUAUUUCCAUCUUUACAGAUAAUCCACCAAGUUAGGAUGCAGACUCGGCAUACAGAGGACUCGACUCGGGUUUUAUUUAUUAAAAUAUUUUGGAUUUAUUAUUCAAAAUUUUUCGUUAUUCAGGAACUAUAAUAUCUUAUUUAAAUCAUGGCAUGAGACUUAGGUUUUUGUUUAAUUUAUCAUGUAUGACAUAUAAUAUAAUUUAAUAUAUUAUUUUUAAUUAAUUAAGCAUGAAAUAUGAUUUUAAUAAAAUUAAGUUGAAAAUCAUUUUUCCAUUGCUAAAUUAUAGUUUAGUAUUGAGUUGUAAAUAAAUCAGAAAAUUUAACUAAUUUUCAAUCUCAUGUGUUAUACUGAAAAUAAGCUAAGUUUUCCAUAUUUUAAAUUGGUCAUUUUUUAAACUUUGAUCGCUAUUGGGCUAUUUCAGUGGCCGAUAUAAUCUCUCAAAUUUAGAUCUAAUGUAUAGGCUGAGUUGAAGAGGUUACAACAAGAUGCAAGAUUAAUGUUGUUUUGUUUGAAGUAUAAAAUUAGUAAAACACAUAGCAAGGAUAACAUUGUUGGAGAUUAUGGUAUGCUAAAAUGUUGAAGUAGGGAAUUUGACAAAGGAAAGAGAUGACACCUCAACAGUUUAUGAUGCACUUCGAUAUGAGUCAUCACGAGAAAUAUCAGUGUGAAAAGGUGUGUGUAUUUCUAUGACCAAGAGCUAUGGUUUUAUUAACAUAUAUAUAUAUAUAUAAUAGACCUACAUUACAAUACAAUCGGCUAAUGUGGGUGGCAUGCCAUAAGCAAAUUGAAGAAUUGUUGAAAGAUAUUGCACUUGAAGAAGUAGCCAAGUUACCAUUUUUUCACAUUCCCUUAUUAACUGUCUCAGCAGAAAGCUUGGAGAAGACAGGAGAUAUUCAUUUAGUAGUGGCGGCAUUUAUAGCCACUGUGGCAUUCGUAGCAACCAUAACUGUUCCAAGUGAUUUCAAGGGUGAAAAAAUGUCAGAGCGGGGAACUCCUUUUCUAAUUUACGAGGCAGCCUUUAAAGCAUUUGUUAUGCAUUGGCCUUUAUUCUCUUUGUUUUUGCCCUCUCCAUCCACUUUGGAAUUUUGGAUCCUCUUUUAUCAAAAAUAAAUUAUUGAGAUAUUAAUAUAAUUUUAUAUUAAACCCAGUUCAUGUCUAAUGUCCUUGGUGACUGCUUUCCACAUAGGUGGUUAUGUGAUUUUAAAACCUUCUCAUAGACUUGCAUAUUGUUUCAUCUGCCCUGCCUUUUUUGUUCAAUUCUUCUCCUUCUUUGCCAAGUAUUUUCUUUACAGUUUCCUUAAACCCAAAUUUCACCGUAAAAAACUCCUCCUUUAUUGACCUGACCUCUAACCAGAGAUUUUCGUUUUGUUUAAAGUAAAAUUAUAAAGUUAAUAAAGCACAAAGCAAGAAUAGUACUUAGGGCAGCAUCGCCUUGACCACAAAGAGCUGUUCACCCCAUUUUCUUCCCUUCUUUUUCUUCAAUUCUUCUUCUUUGCCAAGUGUUUUCUUUACAGUUUCCUUAAACCCAAAUUUCACCAUAAAACCUCCUACUUUAUUGACCUGACCUCUAACCCUGUAUAUUACUAUUACUAAAGUGUUCAAGUAUGAAACUAUAUAUAUAUAGUUGUAGGUGACUUGAAUGGAGGAUAUGCAAGCAACAAACAAAUAGGUAUGGCAUUUGGUAAAUUUCUUAAUUUGCAGUUUUUUUUUUUCUUGAGCUUGGGAUGUUUCAAGAUAAUUAAUUAAAUUUUGUUUGGUGUUAUAUCCAGGUAGAAAUAGAUCAACAAAAAUGGGACCUCAGGAGCCUGAAGAGAACAUCAGUCACAUGGAUGCUUCGCUCUAUAAGGCAGCAGCAGAAGGCAACAUUGAAGUAUUCAAUAAUAAGCAGGGACUUCAACUUGAGUCGCUAAAGACCCCAAACCAUGACAACGUCCUCCAUGUUAACUUGGCAACCCAGGAGACUGCCGCCUGGCUUUUAAACAGAUUUCACUCAUGCGAUCCGGUUAUGAGUUUUUUCAUUACUAUGAUAAAAAGAGAAAAAAGAUCAGAUUUUAUCGAACAAAUUCUCAGCAAGUGUCCGUCACUGCUACUCCAAACGAAUGCUAAAGGUCAAACUCCUUUACACGUUGCAGCAAGGAAUGGACAUUCUGCUAUUGUGAAACUUCUAAUCAAGUUUUGCGCAAAAGCUAGAGAUGGAGAUUUAGAGAAGCUGGGAAUGGAUCAAGUAAAUGCAGUGAGGGAGAUGCUGAGGAUUACGGAUCAGGAAUCCAACAUGGCUUUACACAAAGCAGCACGUUGUGGCAAUGUUGAAGUGGCGAAAGCAUUGUUGGAGUUUGAAGACCCUGAAUUUCCGUAUUCUGCCAACAAAAAACAGGAGACUCCACUUUACAUAGCAGCUAGGAGGAGAGGAUCUGGGCGCUUGUUGACUCUAUUAUUAGAUAAAUUCAAAUCAACUGCUCAUGGCGGCCCUCACGGUAGAACAGCUUUGCAUGCAGCAGCUAUGGCUGGUGAUGCAGGUAUGUUGUUGAGUUAGUUCCAUUUUUUCUUUUUUUGAAAUAAAUAGAGAACAGGUCUAUUGAUUUUUUUUUUUUUUUGCUUGGAUUUAGAGGCAAUAAAGGUAAUAUUAAAUAAGAAGGGAAAUUUGACAAAGGAAAGAGAUGAAGAUGGACACACCCCUCUCCAUUAUGCUGCACACCUUGGUAAUAGAUUGUCAGUUGUGAAAGAACUGUUAAAAAGGGAUGUAACAGCUGCCUAUAUAGGUGAUAAAAUGAGGGGGAUGGCACCCCUUCUUAUGGCAGCGAGGCAAGGUCAUCUUUUAACAGUUUCAAAGAUUCUCUCUUUAUGUCCAGAUUGUUGUGAAAAAGUGGACAACAAAAGUUUGAAUGUACUUCAUUAUCUGGCUUUUAGAGGCUCUCUGUUGGAACAAUGGCAGUAGCAAAGAAAGCAAAAACGAAUGAAAGAAAACAAAAGAAAAAGAACUCAGCAAGAAAAUUUGUAACUGAAAAGUCAUCAUAGUUUCAUUCAAAUUUUGAAUAUAUGAAGAUUACAAAAGUAUUUGACAGUUACCUACUAAUUUAACUGCUCUUACUUAAUACUUACUAAAAAUAUAGCAACUUGUAUACAAAAGAAAGCUGGCAUACCAGCUAUUACAUCAGUCAAUCUUUCCUACUAACUUAGCUAACUCAUUACAAAGAUUUAGGCUAAGUUCCAUAGGAACAAAUAUUCAAAAAAUAAUUUUAUAACUGAACCAACUCCAUUUCUUUGCUACAAAACAGUAUAGUAGCUAAAAUUGUACAAUUUGCCGCUGUUGGUCUUUUGACCAAUUUGUUGCUGUUGGUUCUUUGUUGCAAUGCAGGCCACGGCUUCAACACUCCUCCUUGGUCUGUAUGCAACAAACACCAAUCCUUUCCUUCAAAGCAUUAAAUCGGUUGGCUCCCAAUGGUUUAGUUAAAAUGUCAGCUAGCUGAAUUUCUGAGCUGCAAUGAACUAAGCUAACCUCCCUAGAUUGCUCAGCUUCUCUAACAAAAUGGAAUUUAAUUUUGAAGUGUUUAGUCUUACCAUGGAAGACUGGAUUCUUGGCUAUGGCCACAGUUGAUUGAUUAUCCACUCUAAUCUCAGUAGGCUGAACUUGACUUUCAUUCAAAUCAUCCAAAAUCUUCCUAAGCCAAAUGGCUUGGUUCACAGCUGCUGCAGCUGAGAUAUACUCAGCCUCUGCUGUAGAUUGUGCAACAGUUUGUUGCUUCUUGGAACUCCAGCUGAAAACACUCGAGCCUAAGGUGAAAAAAUAACCUGAAGUGCUCCUCAUGUCAUCAACUGACCCUGCCCAAUCGCUAUCAGAAUAGCCUACGAGUUUCAGCUCCUUUGCCCUCCAAAACUUCACACCAGUAUCGAUGGUUCCUUUGACAUACCUUAACACUCUUUUUGCUGCCUUCAGAUGUGCCACAUUACUGCAGUGCAUAAACCUUGAAAGUAGACUAACAGCAUAGACAAUGUCUGGUCUAGUUGCUGUUAAAUAAAGCAAACAACCAAUUAAGCUUCUAUAUGCCUUCUCAUCUACUCGAUCAUGUUCACUGGCACUUGACAAUUUUUCUCCCAAUGCAACUGGUGUAGUGACUGAUUUGCAUUUCAACAUGAAAAAUUUUUCAAGCACCUUGGAAGUAAAUGUUUACUGACUUAUGAAAAUGCCAUCACUUCCUUGUUUUAUCUCCAUGCCAAGAAAGUAGGUCAUCAGACCAAGGUCAGUCAUCUCAAAGACAUGUUGCAUCUGUUUCUUGAAGUCUUCAAUAAGUUCAUCUUUGCAGCCAAUAACCAACAGAUCAUCAACAUACAAGGAAACAAUUAACAAGGUUUCCUCCUGAUCCUUCUUAACAUAGAGUGUAGGCUCACUGAUACUCUUUGUGAACCCGAGCAUUGCUAAGUAGCCAUCAAUCCUCUCAUACCAGGCCCUUGGAGCCUGUUUUAGACCAUACAAAGCCUUUUUCAGCUUGUAGACCUUCUGUUCUUCACCAGUGACCUUAAAACCCUCAGGUUGCUCAAUGAAUAUUUCUUCAUUAAGAAAUCCAUUUAGAAAGGCUGACUUAACAUCCAGAUGAUGCACCUUCCAAUGCUUUUGAGCUGCCAAAGCUAGCAGCAAUCUGAUAGUAUCCAACCUUGCAACAGGUGCAAAGGUUUCAGAAAAAUCAACCCCUUGCUGCUGACUAUAACCUUUAACAACCAGUCUGGCCUUAUGUCUAUUAAGAGAGCCAUCUGCAUUGUUCUUAAUUCUAUAGACCCACUUUACACCUAUAAUUUUUCUGUUUUCAGGUCUGUUUACAAGCUCCCAUGUAUCAUUUUUCUGAAUCAUUUUAAAUUCAGCUUCCAUAGCAUCCUGCCAGCAUUUUUCUUUUGCAGCUUCUUCAAAACAUGAAGGCUCUACUAUAGUUACUGUACAUCUCUCAUAGAUGUCAGUUAAUGUCCUGGUGCCUCGAACAGGUUGAUCAUCAUAGCCAUUUUCAAUUACUUCUUCAUUUUCAGCUUGCUGCAGAUCAACAUCAAUCUCUUCUCCAUCUGGAAAAUUUGCUUCAAUUCCAUCCCAUUUCCAGCUACUUGCUUCACUGAAUUUCACAUCUCUGCUCACUACAACCUUCUUGGUCAGUGGAUCAAAGACUCUGUAUCCUUUCUUCACAUUGCUGUAGCCAACAAACACCCCAGGCAUGGACCUCCUGUCCAACUUGGUUCUUCUCUCCUCAGGUACCAACACAUAACAUAGACAGCCAAAUACCUUCAAAUGAGAGACAGAUGGUUUCUGUGCAAACCAGGCUUCAAAGGGAGUUUUUCCUUUGACUGCAUUAGUUGGCAACCUAUUCAACAGGUAAAUAGCUGUAUUCACAGCUUCAGCCCAAAAAACAUUAGGCAUUUUAGCCUCAAAUAACAAACACCUAGCCAUAUCAAGGACUGUUCUGUUUUUCCUUUCACAAACACCAUUUUGCUGUGGUGUGUACACAGUAGUCAAUUGGUGUUGAAUUCCAGCAUCAUCACACAAUUUUUGAAACUUCUGAGAUACAUACUCAGAACCAUUGUCAGACCUCAAACAUUUUAAUUUGCAAUUUGCUUGGUUUUCGACCAAGGCUUUAAAUUUGCAGAAAGAGUCAUAAACAUCUGACUUAUGCUUCAAAAAAUUUACCCAACAGAACCUUGAAUAAUCAUCAAUGAAGAGUACAAAGUACCUGCUGCCAUUUAAGGAGGUAGUCUUCAUUGGUCCACAGAUGUCUGUAUGAAUAAGCUGAAGCUUCCCUUGUGCUCUCCAUGCCUUGUUGACUGGAAAGGGUAAUCUGGUCUGUUUGCCUAGCUAACAGACCUCACAUACAGCAUCCUUUGGCUCAAUUUUGGACAUAUCACUGACCAAAUCCAUUUUGUGCAGCAUGCUCAGUGAAUUGUAGUUCACAUGCCCCAUCCUCCUGUGCCACAAGUCUGUCUCAUCAGACUGAGAUGCGUAUGCCUUGGCUUGCAGUUGAUUCACAUCCACAAUGAAGGUUCUGUCUUGCAUAGCCACUGUAGUCAACACUUCACCAGCAGCAUUUUUGAUCAAACAGUUUUUGCCUUCAAAAAUCAGAGAGUAACCCUUCUCCAAUAGCUGGCCAACACUUAGCAAGUUUUGGUCAAUGUCAGGUACAUAGAGAACCUCUGAAAUGGUUUUAAUACCUGACUUAGUGCUUAUCAAAGCCUUGCCUUUCCCUUUUGCCUCUAGCAGCUCACCAUUGCCAAUUUUGACUUUGGACUUGAAGGUGGUGUCAAGCUCCUUAAAUAUACUCUUCUUAGAAGCCAUAUGGUGGGUACAUCCACUGUCAAUCAACCAUAUUUUACUAACUUUGCUCGAGCUUGCAAAGCAUGAUGCUGAAAAGACAUGCUCUUCUGGUGAUUCAACCUCUUUUGCAGCUUGAGCUUGGCUUUGAAAUUGUGGUUGUGGUUUUGGCUUGCUCUUACAGACCUUUUCAAUGUGGCCAAAUUGCUUGCAGGCUCUACAUUGAAUGUCUGGUCUGUACCAGCAGUAUUUCUCAAGAUGAGUAGUCUUCUUGCAAUGGACACAAGGUGGGAACUUCCUUUUGACAGGUUCUUUCUUCUUCUUCUCAGUCCAGGGCUUCUUGCCUUUGGCAUUUAAGUUUGCACUUGAGCUUUCUCUGCUUCUAGCCUGAAAAGCUCCUUCAUAGUGGUCCUCCUGCCUAUUUGCCAUUCUCUGCUCUUGAGCAUAGAGAGCAUUUAUAAGCUCUGUCAAAGGGAUUGUUGACAAGUCCCUUGAAUCUUCCAGAGAAGAAAUUUUUGCUUCAUACUUCUCUGGCAAGGUUGUUAUGACCUUCUCAACCACUCUUUGGUCACUGAAUUCUUCCCCAAGCAGCCUUAUGUUGUUGACAGUAGCCAUGAUUCUGUCAGCAUACUGCUUGAUGGUUUCUGAGUCCUUCAUUUUGAGAUUUUCAAAAUCUCUUCUCAUGUUGAUCAGCUGCUGUUGCCUGGUCUUGUCAGACCCCUGAAACUCCUCCUUGAGUUUGUCCCAGGCCUGCUUUGGAGUGUCACAAGCCAUUAUUCUUGUGAAAAUAACAUCAGAAACUCCACUUUGAAGGCACGACAUAGCCUUAUACUUCUUGGCACAGUCUUCAUUGUGCUGCCUAAUCUGGGCUAUAGUCGGGUUGGCUCUUAGUGGUGGUGGCUCAGUGUCAUUGAGAACAACAUUCCACAGGUCGUGUGCCUGCAGGUAUGUUCUCAUUUUCACUGCCCAGAUGUUGUAAUUUUCUCCAGCAAAGACAGGUGGAGGAGGUGGUGUAAAACUCAUUUUUCAGCAAGCAAAACAACCUCUUCUUCUUUUGUUUCAAACACAAUUUGCUUAGUGACAGUGUACAACCAAGGCCCUCAAAGACUGAAAGCUCUUGAUACCAUUUGUUGGAACAAUGGCAGUAGCAAAGAAAGCAAAAACGAAUGAAACAAAACAAAAGAAAAAGAACUCAGCAAGAAAAUUUGUAACUGAAAAGUCAUCAUAGUUUCAUUCAAAUUUUGAAUAUAUGAAGAUUACAAAAGUAUUUGACAGUUACCUACUAAUUUAACUGCUCUUACUUAAUACUUACUAAAAAUAUAGCAACUUGUAUACCAAAGAAAGCUGGCAUACCAGCUAUUACAUCAGUCAAUCUUUCCUACUAACUUAGCUAACUCAUUACAAAGAUUUAGGCUAAGUUCCAUAGGAACAAAUAUUCAAAAAAUAAUUUUAUAACUGAACCAACUCCAUUUCUUUGCUACAAAACAGUAUAGCAGCUAAAAUUGUACAAUUUUCUGCUGUUGGUCUUUUGACCAAUUUGUUGCUGUUGGUUCUUUGUUGCAAUGCAGGCCACGGCUUCAACACUCUCCCUCUCCAUUUGGGAAUUCUGUUUUCAAGAGUGGUCAUAUUGAGAUUGUAUAUGGAUCAGUCAAAACUCUAAUGGAGUUGGAAGGUGCCUUUGGAAUGACACCUCAAGAUGUUGAUAAUGCAGUUCGAUCUCAUAAACAUCAUCAUAAACAGGUAGUUGUGUGUACAUAUUACAUUUCUAUAGCUAUGUUUUUAUUAAUAUUUAAAAUUUUGAAUUAACAUAUUUAAUAAACCUACAAUACAAUGGGCUAACGUGGCGGCAUGGCAGAAGCAAAUCAAAGAAUUGUUGGAAGAAAUUGAGAAUGAUCAAGUGGCGGAGGAACCAGUUCAUCACUUUACCGUACGAAAUAAUUCUAUAGAAAGUUUGGAGAAGACAGGAAAUGCUCAUUUAGUAGCUGCAGCACUUAUAGCCACCGUCGCAUUUGCAGCAGCAAUAACUGUUCCUGGUGGUUUGGAGAGUGAAAAAGGGUCAAAUCGAGGCACUCCCAUUUUGAUUCAAGAGGCAGCCUUUAAAGCAUUUGUUGUAACAAAUGCAAUGGCCUUUAUUUUCUCUGUUUCUGCCCUCACCACCUACUUUGCGGUUCUGGAUCAUCUUUUUACACGAUUUAUUUUUUGGCGUGAAGCAAUAAUUUUAAAUCGAACUUGGUCUGUUUCUAUGCUCCUUAACUAUGCAACGCUUGCAAUGGUAAUUGCUUUCAGCACGGGUAGUUAUGUGGUCUUAAAACCUUCCCACGAACUUGCCAUUGUUUCAUAUCUCAUAUGCCCUGCCUUUUUACUUUGUAAGUGGACAGCUUUGUUUGUAAUUUUGAGUCAUUCAAUACAUAUUUAAAAUAUAAAUAUGAUAAUAUUACUUUAUGGAUUAUUACAAUGUUGUUUCGAUUAUUAUAAAUUCAAAAAUAUUUUAUUUCCUUUUAAUAGUUUUUCAAAUAUUAAAUAUAUAACGCAAAAUAUAUAUAUAUAUUUUGUUUCUCAUGAAAAAUAGAUAUCAAUCAUGCUUUUCAAGUUUUCAUUAUUGAAAACAAAAUUUUAUUUCUAGUUAUCAAACUUGAUUUUAAAUUUUCAAAAAAUAGAAAAUAAAAAUAUUUUCAGAAACCUAACAAAGCUUAACUUUUUUUUUUGUUAAUAUACCAUUUGGUAUUUGAGUUAGUUUUAUUGUUCAAUUUGAUAAUUAAUUUCGGCUUCAAUAUUUAAUUUGAUAUCUAAACCAAAUGGUUUCAUAAGGCCUAAUAAAUAUUUGACAGGUCUACUCUAAAAAAUAGACGUGGGUAUUCUAAUUGAGACAAAAAAAAAAAAAAGAAGAAGCUCAAGUAUUAAAUUGAACUUUUUUAAAGUUAAACUCGGAUACUUAACUAUGACAAAAAGAAACUCAAGUAUCAAAGUAAAAAAAUUAAGUACAAAAUUGAACAUUCAAACCAAAUUCAUAUACAAAAUUAUAAAAAAUAAUCUUUUAAUACUAAAUUAAAAUUUGAAGUGAAAUUCAAGUAUCAAAUAAUAUAUUAACUCUUCUUUUUCUCUUAGAUCCUCACCUUGAAAAAAGCUAAUUAAGGUUAUUUGUUUUACAUUUACAACUUAAAAUUUUCAUAUAAAUAGAUUCUGUAUUUAUAAAAAUUUAUUUUUAUUAAAGAUUAAAUAAGAUUUAAAUGGUGUGUUGUUCUAAAGUUCACAAAUUUUUAUUUAAAAUAAUUACAUAAAAGUAAUAAAAAUUCAAAAUUUCACACCAACAAUAUAAAGUUAAAAAAUCACACAUAAAAAAUAGCAUUGCUAAAGAUUCUGCUUUACUAAAUUGUUUAAGUAAGGAAUUAUACAUGCCAUGGUGCUUUCUUUGUACCAAUGAUCUCUUUGGAUGGGUGAUGUGUUUAUUUACGAUUAGUAUAAAAAUAACAAUGUAAUACCUCAAAUUCGGUCUAGACGUUAUGACCGAAUAGGACUACAAGAGUUCAUCCAUCCAAUCACACCAAUAUGUGGCGGUGUGCCACUCAUAAAUAUGUAGCUGAGCUUCCAUAUAGAAAUUUGCUCUAGUCGCCAUAUAUUUGCGGUAAAAACUGUCAUAUAACACUUCCUCUAUUUUAUCAUAACCCAACUCAAUGCAAAUGUAAAAUCACGUUAACAUUCAUACAUAUAAUAUAGAUCGUAUGGCAUGCAUGCAUAAAUAGAUAUUAUACAAAGCAUAACACAACACAUAACUUAUACAGAUCAUAACAGAUUGAGAUUAUGCUGCACACAGAGGUUGCAAUUUUGUCGUGGAAGAACUGUUAAAAAGGGAUGUAUCAGCUGCCUAUGUAAGUGACAAAAAGAGGGGGAUGACACCCCUUCUUAUGGCAGCCAAGCAAGGUUAUCUUUUAACAGUUUCAAAGAUUCUCUCUUUUAUGUCCAGAUUGUUGUGAAAAAGUCGACAACAAAGGUUUGAAUUUACUUCAUUAUCAGGCUUUUAGAGUGUCAUCUUUUCAAGCUUGGUGGUAUUGGGAUUGCAUAUGGAUCGGUCAGAAAUUUAAUGGAGUUGGAAGGUGCCUUUGGAAUGACACCUCAAGAAGUUUAUAAUGCACUUCAAUAUGAGAAACAUCAUCAUAAACAGGUUUAUAAUCAAUGAUUUUUUUAUAUCUCAUCCGCACUUCAUUUUGGUGGCCUCCUCCACAUGGAUGGUUAAAGUUUAAUGUGUGUGGGAUUGCUAAAGAAGAUAGAGCAGGUUGUCGAGGUGUCUUGAGAGAUAAGGAGGGUGUCGCAAGAGCAUUAUUUUCUGGUUCAGUUGCAGCAAAUGAUGCCGAUGUGGCUGAGAUUGGUGCGGUGAAGAUUGCUCUGUAAGUAUUUUUUAGCUAUGAACUGGAAGAUUAAUGAUUCUUUAUUUAUUGAACUUGGUUCAUUGGUGGUGUUUUCUUGGUGUGCUAACAAGGUAAUGAGACCAUGGUCUCUUCAAGCAAUUUUUGCAGGUAUUGAAAAUGACAUGUUAAAGGCCGGAAAUGUUGUAUUCUCAUUGGCGGAUAAGAAAGGUAACGAGAUGGCAUCUUCCUUGGCAAUUGCAGGUUUUAAUCGGGUGAAAAUGUUUAAAGCUUGGUGAUGAAUUUUUGUUUUGUUGCAUUCAUAGGUUUAUUAGAGUUGGAAUGCGUUUUACUUUUGAUUGCUGUAAUACUGAAAUUUUUGUUGUUGUUCUGUUCGUCUUUGACAACAGUACAGCUCGAAUGGAGCCAAAAAAAAAAAAAAAAAGGGAAUGUUACAUCUUUGUAUAAGCAUUACUUUAAUUUUCAGUUAUAAUUAAAAAUUAGUUUGACAAAUCAUUGAAAAAUAUGAGAAUUUUAAGUUUAAGAAAAACACAAAGUUUUAUUUAAAAGUGGGAAGUCGUCCUCAACUUUUCUAGUUAGCUGCGAUUAGACACAUUUAAAAUCAAAAUUCUUUUUUAAAAAGAUAAAAUUGAGUUUACAAUAUAAAUCCAAACAAAAAUGUUUAGGUUAAUUAGAGAAUUUGUUAUACGAAAGGAAGAUUUUAGCAUCCUCAUGACGCCAAAAAUUAAUUCCUUGUUAAAUAUGUGUUGUCUACAUUCGUAAAUUAAAACUCAUAUCUUGGUUUUUGAUUAUGAUCCAAUUUUUUGAUAAAUUAAAAAUAAAUAUUAAAUGAGUGAAUCAAUUUUUUAAUAGCAAAACAAAGAUAAUGAUCAAGAUGUAGCAUUUUCAAAAUUCAGGGGCCCUUUUUGAGAUUUUCCAUUUAUUUUUCAUCAUGUUUAAAAGAGAAAAGUUAUAAAUUUUGAAGUCAGUAGCCCAAUAUUUAUUAAGCCCAAAUCAAAUAUUAGCUCAAAGUUCAGAAGCAUUCGAAUUUUAAAAUUGUGAAAUUACAUUUAAUAGAAAGCAAUAACAUUUCAAAAGCUAAUAAAUAUUAACAAAAAUCGGAUCCGAUAUCAACAACAUAAAAUUUGAUAUUAUCAUGUAAGCCGCUAUUUUUAAAUAUUUAAUGUUUUAGUCAAUAUUUUUGUUAAAAAAAUCAAUUUGAUUGCUUUUGAAAGGUUUAUGGCUAAAUUCGAGUCUUUUUUUAAAAGAUUGAUGACCAAAUUUAGCUCAAGAAAAGAAUAAGGGCCAAAUUGAUAAAAAAAAUUUACAUAAAUACUACGAGCUAAUUUUAUCAUUAUGCCUAAUGAAAAUUAAGUUGUAUACUUUUAUGAUAGUAAAAAAAAAUGUAAUUUCAUAAUUUUAAUAGCUUAAAUCUUUAUAAUAUUUAAAAGAUUAAAUCAAAUAUUUAUAAUUUUUAGAAGGUCAAAAUAUAAUUUUAUCAUUAUUAAUUUAAAAUUUUGUAAAUUAUAGAUAGGUUAAAAAGAGAGACCUAUUGUCCCCUUGGCUCCACCCCUAAACCCAUACGUUUUCAUCCAACUUUGAAAGUCCUUUCAAGCUUUCCAAUCUAUUAUAUUUGAUGUCUCAACGAUCCUAACUCUCGACCAAAUAAUCUUUUUCACUAUUUUUAAACUAAUAUACUUAGGAUUGAGGUAGAAUAAGGACAUGGUGAACUCCAAAAGUAAAUUAAUUUUUAAAGGGAUUUAAGACUAAUUCAUUUUGUGUCAAGUCUACAGUAUUAUUAGUUCAUAUUAACACAUCUCUGUCUUCACUUGAAAGUUAAUCUUACUCCGGCACAAUCAAGACAAAUUAUGUCUCAUUAUUAGAUUUUAGACAACGUAUAAAUCUCUUUCUCUUCGUAAUUCUAUAGAUUACAAGUCAUGUAUUUAAAUUAUCGACUAAUGGAAAUUGUCUUUUGCAUACAAAACUAAAUUUGUGAUGCAACUCCGAAUUAAUUUAACAUAGGAAAAGAAGGGAGUGCGGCUUCCAUGCAGCAACGACCAAAGCCAAAGAGAAGGCGUGCUGCCUAAUUUCUUGCCCUUCUCAUCCACACAAUUUCUUGACUUUUCUUGUGUUUCUCAUCCACACAAUUAAUUUAUAUUUUAGUAACACAUUUUGAUUUUGUUUCCCUUGUAAAUAUUUAAAAAUAUAUAAAUCUAAGUAUUUACAUGUUUGAUAAAUAAAUUGUUUGUAUAAAAAAAGUGAAUUUUAAAUUAUGUCAUAAUAGUUACAAUAUUAAUGGUUUGCGAAAUUUAAUUAAAAUUAAAAUUCGUUUUUAUAAUUAAACAAAUUAAAAUUUAUGUUUCAUAUUGCAAAUUAAAUUAAAGUUAAUACAUGAUUUUGAUUUUUAUUUCUUUGCAUUUUCGUGAAAAAAGUAUUGACUUCACCAAAAAGAGCUGGAGAGCUCAUUUUCUUCCAUUCUUCUCCUUCUUUGCAGUUUCCUUAAACCCGAAUUUCACCAUAAAAAACUCCUAAAAAUGAUGGAUUAGGUGCAUCUACUUUUCAACAAUUGUUAGUAUUUUAACCAUCUUUAUUAACUUUGUUUUAGGGCCAUUUGCUUUCCUUUUCGUUUCAAUUAAGUCAUCAUAUGAUAAUAAUAUUUAAUGUAAGUUAUACAAAUAGCCAUUUAAUUAUUAGCACAUUAUUAUUUUGGUCACUCGUGUUUAAAAAAGUUUAAUUUAGUCACUAAUAUUAUGGACAAUUGAUAUUUUUGUCAUUCCUCGUUCAAUUAUUAAUAGAAUCUUGAUGCAACUUUUUUAUUGGCAUAUUAAUAAAUUUAGCUUUUCAAUCUCUAUAAAUUUUAUUAAUUUGAUCUUAAUUCUAAAAAAUAAAUUUAACCCUUAACUUUACACAUUAUGUUAAUUUAAUCUUGAUUCUUAAAAUUUUAAAAAAUAAAAAUAUAUAUUUAAAAGUUUUUUUUUUAUAAAAUACAUAUACAAAUUUAUAAAAUGCAUACAAAAAUAUAAAAAUAUUUAUAAAUAAAUGAAUACUAAUUUUUUUCUUCAAAGAAAUCCUUCAAAGAAAAUCUAGGGUUUAGUCUGAAUGAGUCAAUAUUAACUAACAUGACCAAAAUUUAGUCUGUAACAGUUUUCUGAGCUACCAAACACCGUCUUAGAAUAAAAAAGAGCAUAGGGCAGCAUUAACUUGACCACGAAGAGCUCUAGACCCCAUUUUCUUCCAUUAUUUUCUUUAAUUCUUCUCCUUCUUUGCAGUUUCCUUAAAACCAAAUUUCACCAUAAAAAACCUCCUACUUUAUUGACCUCACUUCUAACCCAAUAUAUCACUAUUAUUAUUACUAAAGUGUUCAACCAUAUAUGGUUGCCAGUAGUUGACUUGAAUGCAGGAUUUGCAAGCAAGUAACUAACUGGUAUGGCAUUCGGUAAAUUUCUGAUUUUGCAGUACUUUUUUCUUGAGCUUCGAAUGUUUCAAGCUAAUUAAUUCAAUUUUGUUUGGUGUUAUCCAGGAAGAAAUAGAUCAACAAAAAUGGGACCUGAAGAGCCUGAACAGAACAUCACUCACAUGGAUGCUUCGCUGUAUAAGGCAGCAGUAGAAGGCAACAUUGAAGAAUUCAAUAAUAAGCAGGGGCCUCAGCUUGAGUCGCUAAAGACCCCAAACCAUGACAACGUGCUCCAUCUUAACUUGGCAACCCAGGAGAAUGCUACCUUGCUUUUUAACAUAUUUCUCUCAAUAAUCAAAUUCUUCCCCGUACUAUAUGGAUGCUUCUCUCCGCCUAUGCGUGAUUUAAUUACUAUUAUAAGAGGAGAAAAAAGAUCAGAUUUUAUCGAACAAAUUCUCAGCAAGUGUCCGUCAAUGCUACUCCAAACGAAUGCUAAAGGCCAAACUCCUUUGCACGUUGCAGCAAGGUAUGGUCAUUCUGCUAUUGUGAAACUUCUAAUCAAGUCUUGUGCAAAAGCUAGAGAUGGAGAUUUAGAGAAGCUGGGAAUGGAUGAAGUAAAUGCAGUGAGGGGGAUGCUGAGGAUUAGGGAUCAGGAAUCCAACACGGCUUUACAUGAAGCAGCACGAUGUGGCAAUGUUGAAGUGGUAAAAGCAUUGUCGGAGUUUGAAGAACCUGAUUUUCCGUAUUCUGCCAAUAAAAAACAGGAGACUCCACUUUACAUAGCUGCUAGGAGAGGAGACGGAGGCAUGCUGAGUAUACUAUUAGAUAAAUCAAAAUCAACAGCUCAUGGCGGCCCCCACGGUAGAACAGCUUUGCAUGCAGCAGCUAUGGCUGGAGAUGCAGGUAUGUUGUUGAGUUGGUUCCAAUUUUUUUAAAAAAAAAUUUGAAAUAAAUAAAGAACAGGUCUAUUGGCAUUUUUUUUUGCUUGGAUUUAGAGGCAAUAAGGAUAAUAUUAGAGAAGAAGGGGAAUUUGACAAAAGAAAGAGAUGAAGAUGGACACACCCCUCUUCAUUAUGCUGCACACUUGGGUUCUAGAUUAUCAGUUGUGGAAGAACUGUUAAAAAGGGAUGUUUCAGCUGCCUACAUAGGUGAUAAAAAGAGGGGGAUGACACCCCUUGUUAUGGCAGCCAGGCAAGGUUAUGGUGGAACAUGUUCAAAGAUUCUCUCUUUAUGUCCAGAUUGUUGUGAAAAAGUGGACAAAAUAGGUUUGAAUUUACUUCAUUAUAUGGCUUUUAGAGACUCUGUCUUCCCACUAGGGAGUUCUAUUUUCAAGCGUGGUGGUGCUGAGAUUGUAUAUGGAUCAGUUAGAAAUCUAAUGGAGUUGGAAGGUGCCUUUGGAAUCACACCUCAGGAAGCUCAUAAUACACUUCGAUCUAAGAAACAACAUCAAAAACAGGUGUGUGUAUAUAUAUUGCAUUUCCAUGGCUAUGGUUUUAUUAAUAUUUAAGUUUUGAAUUAACAUAUUCAAUAAACCUACAAUACAACCGGUUAAUGUGGGUGGCAUGACAGAAGCAAAUCAAAGAAUUGUUGGAAGAAUUGGAGAACGAUCAAGUGGCAGAGGAACCCGUUCGUCACUUUCGCUUACCAAAUGUUUCUACAGAAAGAUUGGAGGCUAUAAGAAAUACUCAUUUAAUAGUGGCAGCACUUAUAGCCACCGUCACCUUCGCAGCGGCAAUAACUGUUCCUGGUGGUUUGGAGAGUGAAAAAGGGUCAAAGCAAGGCACUCCCUUUUUGAUUCAUGAGGCAGCCUUUAAAGUAUUUGUUGUAACAAACGCAUUGGCCUUUAUUUUCUCUGUUUCUGCCCUCUUCAUCUACUUUGGGGUUCUGGAUAUUCUAUUAUCAAGAUUUAAAUUUUGGCGUCAAACAGUUUUAUAUCGAACUCGGUCUGUUUCUGGGCUUCUUGGCUAUGCAACGCUCGCGAUGAUGAUUGCUUUCAGCACAGGCAGUUAUGUGGUCUUAAAACCUUCCCACGGACUUGCCAUUGUUUCAUAUCUCAUAUGCCCUGCCUUCUUUUUCGUUCUGCAUUUGACUAUUUUUGAUUACUAUAUUACUAAGAUAUUAUUUCAUCGUUGAUUACAAUAUUUUUCCAAUUCCUAAUGUCAAUGUUACCUCUUUGAAGAAAUAUUACUUUAAUAUUAAUAAUCUCCAUUUAAUUGUAAUUAAUAUAAAAUUAUUAGUUGCUAGACAUACAAUUUCAAAUAAAGUAAAAUUUAUUAAAUAUCAAAGAAUAAUAAAGAUGAUGUAAUUAACUCUCGGUUAUAAUUAAAAAUUAGUUGCAUUAUAAUAUGCAUGCCCUGUAAUUUUGAUAAUUUUGAUUCUUUUUCUAAUAAUUUAGUAAUUUAAUGAUGUUUAACAACUUUGUUUUCGCACGUUAUAUAAUUUUAUUUAAUAUUUUAUAAUUAAAUUAAAAUUUUAUGUAUUCAAAAUAACCUAAACUUACCUAACCUUUGAAUUAGAUUCAAUCUUAUAAUAUUUGUAAUUAAUAUAAAGUAGUAAACUAUUCUUAGUCAUGAAUUAAUUUCUUCCUCCAAUACUUGCAUGCAAAACCAAAGACAAUGAGAUUAAAAAAAAAAAAAAAUUUAAAGUUUUUGCGAUUUGGACUUUCAAUAUUGUAACUUUAGCAUUUCGACCAUAACUUAAACUACAAAUCUCUAUUUUGAGCCCAUAAUAUAGCAUCUAAUUAAAAUUAUUUCACAAAUCAAGCACCAAAACCUCAUGAACGCAUCUAAAAAUAGCCUGGAAGUUUGACACGAAAGUUGCUAAGAAAUCUUGAAAAAAUCUGCUUUAUAUAAAUAGAUAAUUUUUUGUAUUUUCUCUAUUAUAUUAUCUUUGCCUUAUAAACAUACAUUAUUAGGUUAAAACUUGAGGAGAGACCUAGACAUAGUCACCUUAGCUUUAUUUUGUUUUUGCGUUUUAUUUUCUUUAUGAGUUUUUAAAUUUUUUUUCUAGUUUAAGGUCAAUCAAAGUUUGAUUCAAUAAAUUUAUGAGACAUGAUUUGCACUUUAAUUCUUUUUUGUUCUUUGAUAUUCAUGCAUCUUCUGUUAUAAUUACAAUUGCUCAAGUUUAUUACUAUUGAGUCAUCAACUAGAACUAAUUUAUUAAACACAUUGAAGAUAUCAUUAUAUCGAUGAUCGAACUUACAAAAUCAAUUGUAGAUUUUACCUUUGGGUAAAACCUUUCAACAUUGAAUUUCCUAAAAUUUUUAAUUAUUACUUUCUUUGAUUCAGCUUUUAAUUUAAAUUUAGUUUUUUUAUUUUAUAAAACCCUUUUUUUUAUUUACCUUAGUGGUUCUUACUUAAGGAAUAUAAUUAUCACUAAUAUCUAUAUAUGUGGAUAUAAUUUUGCUUCUUGUUUUCUAUUAAUUUAUAUGUUCAAAUUGAUUUUAUUUUUAUAGGUCUCGAUAGUCUAACAACUCUCUUGGAUCUUCUUGUUGAGCAUUUUUGAACUUCUUAAACCUUUGGCUUCAUUUUGACCUGUAUUUAAAAACUUUGUUUAAGUUUCAAGAUAAAAAGGUUAUCUACCAUUGCAACUCUUCUAUAGUAGUGUUAUGAUUAGUGGACAUUACUUCUGUCACUUGUAAGGAAACACUCUUUUUUCCUCUACUUCAAUUUUCUUUUUAUUUAAUCUAGAUUGAUCUCAUAGGUUUGUAGAAAUCCAAUUGAUUCAUCAAUUCACAUAUUAUCAAUAUCUUUGGCUUCUCCAAUGAUUGUGACUUUGAUGUUGAAUUUCUUUAGAAAAGAUCAAAUCACACAAUUUGGCAUAGAACUUGUCAAUUGUUUCAUUAUCCUCCAUUUUUAGAGUUUUAAACCUUGUUAUGAGCAUUUGUAAUUUAGAUUGCUUCACAAUCUCUAUAACACCCCUAAACCUCGCCUGAACGUUAUGGCUGAAUCUAGAAUGUUACGAAGAAGGGUUUUGAAACCGAUCUUUACAUGAUAAAAAAAAACCUCGUAUGGUAUCUUACUAGAAAAGAGUCCUUAUUGUAUAAAACAUAUCCAUUUAACAUUGUCUUUACUAAAACCGUUGAUAGUUUGUUCUUUAAGAAAAACUUAAUUCGCGACAGAAAUCUUAAGUGUCAUUAUAUGUCGAAAACCAAGUUUGUGUUUUCCAAAACGUUUGUUUGCAUAAAACCAUUAUUUACGAAAAAUUGUUUGUUGUGCGUUGCAGAAAACAUAAUCAAACCAAAAACAACAACAAAAACCAAAAGAAAUCAAAAAGUCCGGAGAGUCCCAAAAUUACAAAACUCUCAAGAAAAACCAUAAAUUAAAAUAAAACCAAUAAUUAAAGGAUAGUUUCCAUACUAGUGGUCAUCGCUGAGCUUCCGUUGCACCGACCUGCCUAUGUCUGAAGAUUACCUGAAUAGAGUAGACAAACAAAUGUGAGUUUUCAAAAACUCAAUGUGUAACUUAACAGAGACAUGCAUACACAUAAACUCAGAUUUCUCAUGUAGCAAAUCAGAUACGGGCAUAAGUCAUUAACAGAAUCAUAUAAUAUCAUAAUCGGAUUAUUAGAAACAUACAGAUAUCCAAAGUCCUACCCCCAUCCUCUACACACUAUCUCUGACCAUCCCAACACACCAUAUGGGGUAUAAAACACCCACUCAUCCCUACACACCACAUAGUGUCUUUACAACACUUAUCAAGAAUAGUAUGCAGUCAAGCUGCCAGUAUAUCGGCGAAAUGUCACCUCACAGAACACUUCCUCCACAUAUACAAAUCCCACCCCAUACAUAGAUACAGAUAACAGAUAACAAAUAUAACAGAACUAACAUGUCCCGCAUGCUCAUAUACAAAUAUCAUACAUGUUAUUAUGAAAUAGUCAAAUCAUACAUAUCAACUUCUAAAUACUCAAAUUAGUCUAUCAAAGUAGCAGAUAUCAUACAUUAGGGUUUGUUAUUAUGUAAUGUAUUGAAAUAAUCAUAAUCUAAACUUAAAAUAAUAAAAUAAAUUUAAAUAGCAUCGGAUGCUUAAACUAAAAUCAGAAAGAAAUAUAAAAUUAAACAAAACAUUGACUUUGUUAUACAAUAGUUUAAGUAUCAUUAAAUAAUAUUUAUAAAUAUAAAAAAGUCAAAGUCUUUUUAAAAUACUAAUUAUUUAAUUAGUUAAUGAGUGUUGCAUUUGAUCUCAUGUUAUAUAUAUUAUAAUAUGCAUGUGCUACUUGCCUGGAAAGGUUAAAAUUAGUUGUAUAAUUAAUUAAUAAAUAUUUGAAACAUUAUUUUUCUUGAAAGAUGGACUGAUUUUUAAUAGCUUCAUUAAUUAAUUAAAAUCUAAUAAUGCAACUUUGUUUUAAGGCCAUUUGCUUUCCAUUUCCUUACAAUUAAGUCAUUCAAUAACAUUUUAGUAGCGUAUUUCUGUUUUGUUCAUUCAGAUUUAAAAAAUUAUAUGUUAAUCACUUAUCGGUUGUUGAUAUUUUGGUCACUUUUCCGUUAAAUCAUUAAUAGAAUGUUAAUGCAGUUUUGUUUUUAUUGGUAUAAUAAUAAAGUUAGCUCUUUAAUGUUUAUAGAUUCUAUUAAUUUAGACCUAAUUUUAAAAAAAAACAAAUUUAACCCUUAACUUUACAUAUUAUGCCAAUUGAUCUCAAUUCUUAAAAAUUUAAAAAAUAAAAAAGAUAUUUAAAAUUUGUUUCGAUAAAAAUACAUACAAAAUUAUAAAAGUUAUAAAAUACAUACAUAUAAAUAAAUGAGUAUUCAAUUCUCUCCUUUAAAGAAAAACACGAAAAAGAACUUAUAUAAUUUAUCAUUUGUUUUGUUGAAAAUGUGGUAAAUCUUAGGGAUUUUCAUUGUUGGAAGGGUGAAAAGAAAAUCUAGGGUUUAGUCUAAAUCACUCAAUAAUAACUAACAUCAUCAAAUUUUGGAUGGACAUAAUGCAUUGAAAUAAUCAAUAAUCAAAAUUGACAUCAUAAAUACAAUCAACUUCAUAAUUAAAAUAUAUCUAAAUUUAAAUAGAUAAAACUAAAAUCAGAAAUAAAUAUGAAAUUAAACAAAACACUUACGCUGUUAUAUUGUAGUUUAAGUAUCAUUAAAUAAUAUUUAUAAUUAUAAAUAAGUCAAAGUCUUUUUAAAAUACUAAUUAAUUAAUUAGUUAAUGAGUGUUCCAUGUGAUCUCAUCUUAUAUUAUAAUAUGAAUAUGGGAAUGUGCUCCUUGCCUUGAAAGGUUAAUAUUAAUUAAUAAAAAUGUGAAAAAAUUAAAACUCGCCAUGUGCCUCCAUAAUUAGAAUUUAAUAAUGCAACUUUGUUUUACGGAUUUGCUUUCCAUUUCCUUACAAUUAAGUCUUUCAAUUAUAUUUUAGCAGUGUUUUACUGUUUUGGUCCGUUUAUGAUCAAACUCACAGAAACAAAGUUAAAUUAGUUAGGGGGUUACAAUCUCCAUGCCUUCAUGGGCAAUCUCAAAGAUUUCAAGCUAUAUAUAUGUGUCACUUGUCUUGAUAAGCCACAAGGUGUCUUGGAAUAAGUAAGGCAUUUUGUAAUUUUUCUUAAUUUGUAAUCUUUUUUUCGUUUAUCUUUGAAUGUUCCACGGUAAUUGAAUAUUAAUUGGUGUUUUCAAGGAAGAAAGCUGUGCAAUAGAUCAACAAAUAUGGGACCAUCGUUAAACGACAUUGUUAUUUCCUCCGGUGAACCUGAGAAGCCUGCAGAGAACAUCACUUGCAUGGAUGCUUCAUUGUAUAAAGCUGCAGCAGUAGGCAAAAUUGAAGAAUUCAAUAAUUACCAGGGGCCUGAACUUGAGUCGCUGAAGACCCCAAACCAUGACAACGUGCUCCAUGUUAACUUGUCAACCCCUGAGCGUAUCUGGCAACGUACCAGAUUUGAUUUUGUCCUACAAAUUCUUGACAAGUGUCCAUCACUGCUACUCCAAACAAAUGCUAAAGGUCAAAUUCCACUGCAUGUUGCAGCAAGGUAUGGAUAUUCUACUAUUGUACGACAUCUAAUCAUGUUUUGUGCAAGGGUUAUUUAUAAAGAUUUAGAGAAGCUGGGAAUGGAUCAACUGAAUGCAGUGAGGGGGAUGAUCAGACAUACGGAUCAAGAAUCCAAUACGGCUUUACAUAUAGCAACACGGUAUGGCCAUGUUGAAGUGGUGCAAGCAUUGCUGGAGCAUGAAGACCCUGAUUUUCCAUAUUUUGCCAAUAUAAACCACGAAACUCCACUUUACUUAGCAGCUAGGAGAGGAAGUCGGCGCUUGCUGAGUAUAUUAUUAGAUAAAUCAAAAUCAACUGCUCAUGGUGGCCCCCACGGUAGAACAGCUUUGCAUGCAACAGCUAUGGUUAGAGAUCCAUGUAAGUUAAGUUCCAAUUUUUUUUUUUUUGUUUGAAAUAAACAGAGAAUAGAACCAUUGACUUUUUUUUUUGGGCUUGAAUUUAGGGGUUACAAGGAUAAUACUAGAGAAGAAAGGGAAUUUGACAAAGGAAACAGAUGAAAAUGGACACACCCCUCUUCACUAUGCUGCACACUUGGGUCACGAUGCUGUUGUGGAAGAGCUGUUAAAAUGGGAUAUAUCUGUUGCUUAUAUAGGUGAUAAAAAGUGGGGGAUGACACCCCUUCUUAUGGCAGCCAGGCAAGGUCUUUUUGGAACAGUAAGAAAGAUUCUGUCUUAUUGUCCAGAUUGUUGUGAAAGAGUGGACAAAAGAGGUUGGAAUUUACUUCAUUUUAUGGCGUUUAGAGACCUUUCUCGUGGAUUCCGCAUUUUAUUAAAGAAUGAUAAUGCUACCACGACUGAAUAUGGAUCAGUCAGAAAUCUAAGGGACUGGAAAGAUGCUAGUGGAAUCACACCUCAACAAGUUUUCAAUGCAUGUCAAUAUGAUAAGGAAGAGAAAAAGGUAUAUUUAUAUUUGUAUUUGUAUGCCUACGGCUAUGGUUUUAUUAAUAUUUGUGUUUUGAAUUAUGAUUAUAUAACAUAUAUAAUAUAAUGAUCUAUAAUAUAAUCGGCUAAUGUGGUAGGAACAAAUUGUGAAAUUGUUAAAAGAAAUUGUGAAUGAAGAAGUCGCGGAGAAACCAGUUUAUCCCAUCGGCUUGCCAAACAUAUCUGCAGAUAAAAACUUGGAGAAAGCAAGAGAUGCUCAUUUAGUAGUGGCAGCACUUAUAGUCACCGUCACAUUCGCAGCGGCAAUAACCGUUCCAGGUGGUUUGCAGAGUGAAAAAGGGUUAGAGCAAGGCACUCCCCUUUUGAUUCAUGAGGCAGUGUUUAAAGCAUUUGUUGUGACAAAUUCAUUGGCCUUUAUUUUCUCUGUUUCUGCCCUCACCACCCACUUUGGGGUUCUGGAUAAUCAAUUAUCAGGAUUUAAAUUUUUUCGUGAAACAGUUUUAUAUCGAACUCAGUCUGUUUCUGGGAUCCUUGGCUAUGCAACGUUGGCAAUGGUGGUUGCUUUCAGCACAGGUAGUUAUGUGGUCUUAAAACCUUCCCACGGACUUGCCAUUGUUUCGUAUCUCAUCUGCCCUGCCUUUUUACUCUGUAUUUGGGAAAUUUUGAAUCCUUUAAUGCAAAUGUAAAAUAUAAAUAUGAUAAUAUUACUUUAUCAUUGAUUACAAUGUUGUUCCAAUUCCUAAUAAAAAAUUAAUUUUUUUUUAAAAGAUAAUUUUGAGUCUACGAUAAAAAUUAAAAAAAAAUGUUGUUUACAUAGCAUCCUCGCGACGCUCAAAAUCGGCACCUUAUUAAAUAUGUUUUGUGUACCUUGUUAAAUUAAAAUUCAUAUCUAGGUACUUAAUUAUGAUCCAAAUUUUUGAUAAAUUAAAAGCAAAGAUAUUAAAUGAGUGAAUCGGUUAUUUAAUAGCAAAACAAAAGUAAGGAUCAAGAUGUAGCAUAUUCAAAAUUCAAGGGCCUUUCUUGAGGUUUUUCAUUUUAUAUUUUUUAUCAUUAUAAAAGAUAAAAAAGUUAUAAAUUUUGAAGUAAAUGGGCCCACAGUCCAACAUUUAUUACACAUAUGAACAGAUAAGAAAACAUUUGGGCCCAAAUCGAAUAUUAUCCCAAAGUUCAUAAACAUUUGACUUUAAAAAUUGUGAAAUUAAAUUCAAAACUAAUAAAUAUUAACAAAAAUUGGAUCCCAUAUCCACAAAUUAAAACUCCAAUUCUUGUUACUUACGGAUCCUGGACGAAAUUCGGUGUUUACAAAAGGUAUCAAGUGGCGGAGGAACUAGUUUGUCCCAUUUGCUUGCCAACUAUCUCUGCAAAAAGCUUGGAGAAGAAGGGAAAUGCUCAUUUAGUAGUGGCAGCACUUAUUGCCACCUUUGCAUUCGCAGCGGCAAUAACUGUUCUUGGUGGUUUGCAAAGUGACAAAAGGUCAAAGCAAGGCACUCCCCUUUUCAUUCAUGAGGCAGCCUUCAAAGCAUUUUAUUGUAACAAAUGCAUUGGCCUUUUUAUACUCCGUUUCUACCCUCACCAUCCACUUUGGGUUAUGGAUAAUAUAUUAUCAAGAUAUAAUUUUUGGCAUCGAACAGUUUCAAAUCGAACUCGAUUUGUUUCUGGGAUCCUUGGGCAUGCAAUGAUUGCAAUGGUGAUUGCUUUCAGCACAGGUAGUUAUGUGGUUUUAAAAUCUUCCCACGGACUUGUCAUCGUUUCAUAUCUGAUCGGCCCUGCCUUUUUCUUUGGUGUGUGGCUAAUUUUGCAUGCUUCCUUAUAUAUAUAAAAUAUAAAUGUGACAAUAUACUUUAUCAUCGAUUACAAUAUUCUUCCAAUUUCUAGUUCGAAUGUUACCUCUUUGAAUAAACAUUACUUCAAUUUUUUUUUUUGAGAUAUGUCUAUCUUAUUAAAAUUAUGAAAAAGGUCAAAAAAAAAUCACAAUUUGUGUAAAGUAAGAUUUACUAAAUAUCAAAGAAUAGUAAAGAUAUAUUGUAAUUAAUUUUCGGUUAUAAUUAAAAAUUAAUUUGACAAAUAAUUGAAAAAUAUGAGGAUUCUAGGUUUAAGAAAAACAUGAAAUGUUAUUUAAAAAUGAAAAGUGGCGAUUAAAUUUUUUGGCUAGGUGUGAUCAAACACAUUUAAAGUCAUCUUCUAAAAACAAAAUUUUGAAAAUUCUUUUUUAAAAAGAUAAUUUUGGGUCUACCAUAGAAAUUCAGAGAAAAUUAUUUAGGUUAGGGAAUUGGUUACGGAAGAUUUUGGGUCUAUCUUGUUAAAUAUAUGUUGUUUACAUUCGUAAAUUAAAAUUCAUAUCUCUGUAUUUAAUUGUAACACUCCAAAAUUGGGGCGAGGAGCAGUAAGGUUUGUUGGUUUGGGGUUAGUGGUUCGUAAGUCCUAAGUUAAUUUUUGUAUUUUAAAAAUAAAAUGAGUCUCUUGAUUUAGUGGUAAAAAAUUAGUUUACCUUUAGAUCUUGUGUUCAAAUUCUCGUGAGAGCUUUGAGGAAGUUAAUUUUUGGUUUUUAAAUUUUGUUAAAUUCUAUCACGUUUGGAUUCAAUUUUCAAUACUUCACUAAGUGAUGUAUGUAUUUGGACUAUAUGGACUUUUGUUAUGGUCCUUUUAUGAUAUUACUAAUAAUUUCUUGAUUGAGAAAAAAAAAUAUAUUACUUAUGACAUGUGGCUUCCCUUGUACCAUGUUAAAUAAUCUCUCGUGUUUGCAAGAUUUUCUAUUAUGUUCGUAUAUCAAGUGUUUAUGAAUGAAGUCAAAAAAUUUUUGUUGGGAGUCUGAAGUAAUAAUUUUAGAGGGGAAAUAAUUUUAAAUAAAUUUAAAAUUAAUUUAUCUCGUGUUUAGUUUAAUGUAUUCUUUAUCUAUAUCACUAUUUAAGAGUCAAUUCUAUUUUGAUAGCGAAGAUAAGUUAUUUUCCCUUAUUGGACAUUAGACUACAUGAUAUCCUUAUAUGAAUCACUUACUUAUCAUGUUUCCAUGAGUUAAUGGACUAUUCAUUUAAAUUACAACUAAUUGAAAUUAUCUUUUGCAUCCAAAACAAUAUUUGUGAUGCAACUUCCGAUAAAUUUAACGUAAGUAACUAAUGAGCUAAUAUUUACACAUACUAUUAGUUUACAUGUUGGUUUGAAUCCAUAAAAAUGUAAAUUUAUAUAAAUGUAAAAAAAAAUUCGACAGUUUUUCAAAUAUUAAAUCUCGUACAUUCGUUUGAAUCAUAAAAAAUAUACACUUUCUAUUUUAUUAUAGAAAAAAAAGUAUAUACCAUGUUUUUCAUGUUUUCAAAAUUUUAAUUUUAUUUAUCAAAUGUGUUUUUCAAUUUGAGAAAAAAAUAAAAAUUAGAAAAUGAAAUAUUUCUUUGAAAAUGAUAAUAGGAAAUAAAAAAAAAUAUUGUAAGGAACCGAAGGAAGCUUACCCUUUUUUUUUGGAUUAAUAUACCAUUUGGUAUUUAAAUUUGGUUCUAAUGUUCAAUUUAAUACUCAAACCAAAUGACUUCAUAUAGCUUAAUAAAUAUUUUACAUGUGUACUAUGGUAAAAAAAAACAUAAGUAUUUUAAUUGAGAUAAAAAAAAUGGGUAUUAAAAGAAACAUUGAAGCUAAAUUUAAGCAUUUAAUUAUGACAAAAGGAAAUUCAAGCAUUGAAUUGACAAUAUUUGGGUACCAAAUUAAACAUUGAAGCCAAACUUAUGUACCAAUUUGGAAAAAAAAAAUCUCGAGUACAUUAACGUUCUUCUGCUAUUAAAUCUUCUCAUUGAAUAAAGCAAAAGCUAUGAUUUGCAAAGAGAAUAAAUGGUGUGUAGGAAAAAUGUAGGGAAAGAAGAAUAAAGGGGAAAUUGUAGCUCCAUCUACUUGGACCAAAUUUUUUAUUAUAUUGAUUCCUUUUAAUGAAAAAUAAUUGUACUCAGGCGCAAAAGGUGGAAAAAAAAUUUUAGAGGGUCGAAAUUAAAUUUUAAUUUUUAUAAUAAUAAAAAUGUAAUUUUAACAUUUGAAUAGCCUAUAUAUUUAUAAUGUUUAAAAGAUUAAAUCAAAUUUUUAUCAUUUUAGGGGGGCCAAAGUGUAAUUUUAUCUUUACUAAUUUAAAUUUUUUUACUUGUACUACGAGUUGUAUUGCAUUUUGCCCCAUUUAAUUUAUAAAAAAAAAGUAAAUUAGUCAUUGUAUACUAGAUCAAAGAUCAAGUUGGUCCUUCUGAUAAACAUUAGCCCAUGUACAUUAGAAUGAGGGACACGUUGCAUGUCAUGUUUAACUAUCUAACUAUUCUGUUUGUUAUGCCCGUUUUAUUGAUAGAAAAGGAUGAAACUUUUAAUAGAAAUGAUCAGUUUACUUUUUUUAUCUAAUAAACAAUGACUAAUUUACUCAUUUUUUAAAAAGAAAAGGUAAGAUACAAUCUAAACCCUAAACCUUCAUAGUACUUUUACCUUAAUUAAAGCUCAUAGCAAGAAUAGCAUUGUUGAGGAUUAUGCUACGCGAAUGUGUUAAGGAAGAAAUUGAAAAAUGUAACGGUAGUUCUUUACGCAACACUAAAGUGUUCAAGUAAGGAAUUAUAUAUAGUUGUCACACUUGAAUGAAAGAUAUUAUAGGCAAGCAACAAAUAUGUAAGGCAUUUGGUAAAUUUCUGAAUUUGUAGUACCUUUUUUUUUUCCUUGAGCUUGGAAUGUUCCUAGCUAAUUAAUUACAUUUUGUUUGGUGUUAUCUAGGACGAAAGCUGUGCAAUAGAUCAACAAAAAUGGAACCAUCGACAAACAUCGCGCUUAUAUCCUCCGGUGAACCUGAGGAGCCUGAAGAGAACAUCACUUACAUGGAUGCUUUGUUGUACAAGGCAGCAGCAGAAGGCAUAAUUGAAGAAUUCAAUAAUCACCCAGAGCUUCAACUUGAGUCGCUAAAGACCCCAAACCAUGACAACCUGCUCCAUGUUAACUUGGCAACCCAGGAGAGUGCUGUUGACAUUGUGUACUCAUUAUUCAUAUUAUUCCCCGAAGGAUAUGUAUUAUUCCAUCAGUAUUUGAGUAUUUUCAUUAGUAUGAUAAAAAGAGAAAAGAGAUCAGAUUUUUUCGAGCAAAUUCUCAGCAAGUGUCCGUCACUGCUACUCCAAACGAAUGCUAAAGGUCAAACUCCUUUGCACGUUGCAGCAAGGUUUGGACAUUCUGCUAUUGUGAAACUACUAAUCAAGUCUUGUGCAAAAGCUAGAGAUGGAGAUUUAGAGAAGCUGGGAAUGGAUCAAGUAAAUGCAGUGAGGGAGAUGUUGAGGAUUACGGAUCAGGAAUCGAACACGGCUUUGCAUGAAGCAGCAGGGUGUGGCAAUGUUGAAGUGGUGAAAGCAUUGUUGGAGUUUGAAGACCCUGAUUUUCCGUAUUCUGCCAACAAAAAACAGGAGACUCCACUUUACAUAGCAGCUAGGAGGAGAGGAUCUGGGCGCUUGUUGACU
This 241683-nucleotide long non-coding RNA is filed under the name Gossypium barbadense (sea-island cotton). RNAcentral describes it as "long non-coding RNA (GBAR_LNC015874)". Lineage: Eukaryota; Viridiplantae; Streptophyta; Magnoliopsida; Malvales; Malvaceae. The record is from RNAcentral.